GUGUUUUUUUUGUGUGUGUGGGAGUCAUUGGGAUUUCAAUCAUAAUCGUGUCAUGUGGCUUUGGUGGUAAGACUAUCCACAGUGGUGCAGAAAUAAUGCAGCCUUAGUCACCUUACCUCUCUCCACGUAGUACGUUGGGUCCCACCAGUCAGAGGGUGAACCAGACAAAUUAAUAAGAAAAAUUAAAAGCGCCAGUGGUGUAUCUUACCUCACACAUCUCGCUACUGCUCGGGAACACUGUCCAAUUGAUCCCUCUGUUCACUCACGUACUAUUUUAAGUGAAUCCUUAUUAUAACAUGCACACAAACUUUGGGCACUUGUAUUCGAGUUAAGUCAGUGUGCCACCGUAUCUCGUAUACUUACUACUCCCUCCGUCUAGGCGUAAUAAGUCACGUUAGAAGGUGCAACGGGACCAAGGUGUGUGCGUGUGCGCGCGCGUGUGUGUGUGUGUGUGUGUUUAACAACAUGUGUGUGUUAGAGAGAGCGACAGAUCGACCUACUCCUACAGAGAGAUGUUGUGUAGUGUAUGAUUUUAGCCGCGAGAGUCGGUGCAUCCUCUCGUUUCCGGGCGUGUCUGGUAGGGACAUGCGGACAGCUGCCACGCCCGCUCCUGACCAGCCUGGCCCACCCAAAGCCCCUCCAGCGCCCGCGCGCGCUUCCCGCCCGAAACGGUCAGCGCGCCGCUCCAAAGAACCGGUGCCGCAUUCAUGCCCGGGCAGAGCGGACGCGACCUCUCACUGGCGCAAGAGUGAUGGUUGCUUCGUCCGUCCAACUUACUGCUGGGUCUAUGUGAUUUGACGGCUCAUUGGUCUUUAUUACUGAGGUGGUAGGACUGCUGGAUGUCCCACGCUUUCGGCGAAAGGAGGUACUACUACUAGAGUACAAUUUUCUCCAUUCUUACAGCAGAGGUGUGCAAGAGCAGUGAAAACACGCAGGCUCAGUGAUUACAUGGCCCACCUCACACUAUCACCGUGCGACACCUAAAUCUUUACAUAGUACUCCCUCUGUUCCUAAAUAUUACUAGAUGAGUCCCCGCGCGUUGUCGUGGAACAGCGGUAUAUCUCUCUGCGCAAAAUUAUCGAUUUCAUAGAACUAAAAAAAACUCUAUAACUGCAUGACAAAUGUGGUAGCCAAACUAAAUAAACUCCCAUCAUCAUUUAGAUCAUCCCACGUAAGGAAAAAAAUCGGCCAACUCCUACUGCAUAAUGGGAUUAUAUUUUUCUUUUUGACAUGUUAAUGGGACUUAAAAGCUCACUUACAUGCAUGCUACUUGUGCAUGCUUGCAUGCAGACAUGUUGAUGUGAUUUAAAACCCACUCACAUGCAUGUGCCACGGUAUUUCUGCAUGCUUGCAUGUGGCUUAGUGCGGAGCCUCUCAACGUCUAGAUCAGAUGGCUAUUAUGGACUUAUUUACUUCAUCUAACGGCUACAUCAAUUUUUAUGAUGUGGCUCAAAGAGAGGAUAGAGAAUUCCUAGUAGUGGGGGCUAGCUAUUACUAGUAGAUAAGUCUUUGUAGAGAUUCCACUACGUACGGAACAAAAUGAAUGAAUCUACACUUAAAAUGCAUCUAUAUACAUCCGCAUGUGGUUCAUGGUGAAAUCUCUACAAAGACUUAUAUUUAGGAACGGAGGAAGUACUAGUAUAGUACGUACUGUAAUUUAUCAGCGAGAUAAAUUUGUACAAUGCUAUGAAGCUUCCAGCUUCUGUUACAUGUAUCUUGCGUCCAAGGUUGCCCGUUGCAACAUUUCAUCAAAUACAAAGGAGACUAACAUGCAUGCUAUUGCAUCUCAAUGAUUGACAGAUCAUAGCAAAUAUGUACCCCCUCCAUUCCAAAAUAAGUGUCUCAACUUUGUGCAAACUUUAGUACAAAGUUGUACUACUACUAAAGUUGACACUUAUUUUAGAACAGAGGCAGCUAAAGAAAAGAUGAUCCAUGCAGUCCCUAGCCCUUGAACCGUGAACCCUGACCAGGCUUCAAUUUGCUGGCAACGUUCGAGCUUCCUAAUAAAUGAAGUUUGCAACCUUUUGACCAUCGGAUCAUUCUGUGCAGUUUCACCAAAAUCGAGAUGAGCAUCCCUGUGGCAAACAAAUUGAAGAAGCGUGAUUGGAAUAAGAUUACUGGGAGUAGUUGAUAAGACAUAAACUCAUCACAAAUACAGUACGUAGAAGCCAGUAGAGGUAUGUGCGGGGCAAAGGAGUAGAGAAAUAUCCACAGGGAGUGAUGUGGGCAGCUGGAGCAGUGGUGCAAGCCGGCUGUAACGGGAGUUGUACCUGAGGGACGUAGCUCAACCUUGAGGAGGGCGGCGGGAGGCAGCAACUGCCCACGUCGCGGCAGUGACCAAGGGACGAAGGCAACCUCAUCGGCUUUGUGAGAGAGAACGGCGGGGACCCCUGAUCGGGACGUGCCGACAGUGGGUUUUCGCCGUCGGCGACGACCACCGCAUCUACACUAAGCAUCCACCCCUUCCUCAAGCGGAAGUGAUCCGCUGGGAUGUUAGAGAUGUGGCCACAGUCGUUUUGUGUGAGAGAGUGUGAAGAGAGCAACCCCAGCAAGCAACCGUGUAGGCUGGCCCGUUCUGACUAUGUAUAUAGUGGAGCGGUUUCCCUUUCUCUCCAUAUGAACCUAUCAUAUUGCGUACGUGCCACUGAAGAAAAAAAACUUUAUUUAAAAAUGACGCGGCACCUACUACUCGUUCUCCUAUAACCUUGCGCUUGGCAUCUCCAAAAUAUUAACCUUGCGAUUGGCUCUUCGCCUCUUCGGGAAGUCGAGCAAUAAUGGUAGUGCAGUAUAUAUCGUUCUGGCUAUAUGAGACCGAAUGAAUUGCUGCACGUCCACCACGUGGGCGAGGGUCGAGGGGCGAGGGAGAGUGCUACAUACGGAGCAAAAUGAGUGAAUCUACACUCUAAAAUACGUCUAUAUACAUCAGUGUUUGGAGUAUGUACUAGUAGUUCAUAUUGAAAUCUACUAAAGGACAUACAUAUUCCAAACAAUAUGAUAUAAUCUCUAUAACCAAGGUAGUAGGGGCGAUUAGUAAACGGAGGGAGUAGUAAAUUUUUCUCCUCGUCCUGCGAGCCACCGCGCGCAUGGGCGAGGGAGCGGGCGUAAGGCGGAGCAAGCUUCACCUCAUCCUGCGAGCCACCGUGCCCGUAGGCGGGGGAGACGGCGUACUAAGCAAGCUUCUCCUCGUUCUGCGAGUUGACGGGACACCUACGUGGGUGUGUGUGAGAGAUNNNNNNNNNNNNNNNNNNNNNNNNNNNNNNNNNNNNNNNNNNNNNNNNNNNNNNNNNNNNNNNNNNNNNNNNNNNNNNNNNNNNNNNNNNNNNNNNNNNNNNNNNNNNNNNNNNNNNNNNNNNNNNNNNNNNNNNNNNNNNNNNNNNNNNNNNNNNNNNNNNNNNNNNNNNNNNNNNNNNNNNNNNNNNNNNNNNNNNNNNNNNNNNNNNNNNNNNNNNNNNNNNNNNNNNNNNNNNNNNNNNNNNNNNNNNNNNNNNNNNNNNNNNNNNNNNNNNNNNNNNNNNNNNNNNNNNNNNNNNNNNNNNNNNNNNNNNNNNNNNNNNNNNNNNNNNNNNNNNNNNNNNNNNNNNNNNNNNNNNNNNNNNNNNNNNNNNNNNNNNNNNNNNNNNNNNNNNNNNNNNNNNNNNNNNNNNNNNNNNNNNNNNNNNNNNNNNNNNNNNNNNNNNNNNNNNNNNNNNNNNNNNNNNNNNNNNNNNNNNNNNNNNNNNNNNNNNNNNNNNNNNNNNNNNNNNNNNNNNNNNNNNNNNNNNNNNNNNNNNNNNNNNNNNNNNNNNNNNNNNNNNNNNNNNNNNNNNNNNNNNNNNNNNNNNNNNNNNNNNNNNNNNNNNNNNNNNNNNNNNNNNNNNNNNNNNNNNNNNNNNNNNNNNNNNNNNNNNNNNNNNNNNNNNNNNNNNNNNNNNNNNNNNNNNNNNNNNNNNNNNCGACUGGCCUACCGGAAUGUUAGAGGGCACAUGUCAAGUUUGUGUGUGCCAGGGAGACAUGACUAGAGCGCUCGAUGUAUUGGUGUGUGUGGGGGGAGGGGUGGGGGGAGGGGUAGGAAGAGGCCUAACUAUAGAGGUAGAACGACUCGUAUAUGUGUUGAGAAGGAGAGACCCAGCUAUGUCUUGAGCGAGAUCGGUCGACAUCCAUACAUAACUGAAGGACGGGAAAUAUGAUGGGACAGAGAGAGAGGAGAGAGAGAGAGAGAGAGAGAGAGAGGGGGAGGGAGAGGGAGGGAGAGGGGUAGAGUGCUGGAUGGGUGAUGGAGUUGCUUCUCGAAGAUGGUGGGAGAGGCCUACUAGACAAACUGAGGGUGGAACUGGAAUGUUAUCAAUAAGAGUGGGGAUGUGUUUCUGUGUGUGCCUGUGCGUGAUAGAUCUGUCGGGACGCAUCCAUGGAUGAUGAAGGGGAACCAUGUGUUUGGUAAGCAAACCUAACUAGAUCGGUAGAUCAAUUGUUGUUUGUCGGAGGAAGGGAGAGACACAACUAAUGAGGUAGAUCGAUUGACGUGUGGGUAAAAACGAGUUAUAAGGACCUAGCUAGCUAUAUGUAUAGCGAGAGAUCGGUCGGUGUACGUCCAUUUGUUAGAGGCAAAUAAGGCCCAGCGAGACGGAUAGACUGAGAAAAUGGAGCUAGGAGGUGGUGCGAGAGGCCCAACUACUAGCUAGAUAGGGGGAGGAGUGUGCGGUUGUGAGAUCGAUGAAAAGAAGGGCGAGAGUUUACACGUGUGUCUGACCGUAUGAGAGACACGAGGCAAGGACACAUAAAGGAGGAGAUUGAAGGUGUGUGUGUAUGUUGUAGGCAGGCAUCGCUGGAGAGGUUUAUCGAUCGGUGUGUGUCGGAAAGGAGUUGUGGAGACUCUGGCAGAACGACCUAAAGAAAAAAUGAAUGAGCCCAGUGGAUAGAAUGCCGAGGGAGGGGGAGGGCGAGGAGGGCGUGUGCACGCACGAGAGAAAGUUAGUGGUAGCUACAAAGGUUAGAGUAUUGUGUGGGUGUAAGAGACUAACAAAGAUCAUAAUUUGAUAUGAAAGCGGAUUCAUACAUUUGAAUAGGAGAUCAUAGUGUUUUAAACAUUGCAUGCAUGAAUAUAGCGGUGAUACACGUGCUGUGCACAUGUUAUACCAUAAUGUGAUAAUGCAUGGCGUUUGCAACUCACAGCUAAAUGCCGAACAAUCUAAACCUUACUAUACAUCAAACAAUCUCAUAGUUUAUUUGAAUUUGUGAUAAUGUGUGGCGUUGCAGCUUACAACUAAAUAUCGAACAAUCUAAACAAUACUAUAUAUCGAACAUUCUCACAUUUUAUUUGAAUUUGUGGUAAUGUGUGGUGUUUCCAACUCACAUCUAAAUACUUGUAGGCGUAGGGGGCGGGGCACCAUACAUAAUGUGAUAAACACAUUAUACAUAUGAGACAUGGUUUAGAUUAUGAAGAUCUAGCUAGAGCUAGAAAUGUAAUGUGAUUUGAAAUCAAAAUAAAGUGGAUUCAAAAAAUCUAGUUCGAGUUCAUAUAGUACACAUAGUUCAUAUGUAACUCGAGACUAAUCAUGUGGUGUGCUACGAAGAUAAUACACAAACGAUGGUUUAACUUGACAAUAAUGAUGAUUGUAGAUCUUAUUAAAACAGAGAAACGAAUUCAAAUGCUUUGACUUCACAACAAUCAUUACUGUAGAUCUUAUUCAAAUAGAGAAACGAAUUCAAAUUAAGUUCAUAUUGAAGCGGUAGUAUAUACGUUUGGAAUGCGCUAAAACGUUCAUUUGAGUAGUAGGUUGCAUGCAUUAUACACGUAGCGUAAUAUUUUAAUUGAACAUAACAUGAAUUCAAAGUUUUGAAUGACAUUUGUAGUGCGCAUUGAUUUGGUGCAGUACACGUUAGGCUUGUCCGGAAAUUUCAACCCGCGCCUUGUUAGCCCGAAAUAUUUAAGAUAUAUCUUUGUCUCGUUGUGCCCCGACAACUCCCUCCAUCUCAACCAGCGCCUUGCUAUUCCGAAAUUACAAUGCGUGCGAAAACUCCCACCUCCUGUGAAAUCCCGAUACGCGAAAUGCCCGUGGUACCCCUGAACCGAAAGAACCGCCUCAAAUUGGUGGGGGUACUUUCGUAACUUACCCCGCAUUUCGGACAAGCGCGUCUCUAAGCCAUGGUUCCCCACUGCCAUCCCAUCCGCCCACCGAUUCAUACACCGAGGCCGCAAAAACCUGCGACGAAACCCCACACCCUGCUCCGUCCGCCAGCCAGCCGGAGCCUCUUCCCCGACGACGUCGUCCACAGCAACACCUCAAUGUCCCUCAUCCACCAUACCGGAUGAGGAUCCGUCGUCGAUCUCAUCGUCCCGCCGGUUCAGCCACCCCGUCCUCCACCUCCAAGGAGCUGCCCCGACGUUCCCCUCGUCUUUCACGCCACCUCCAUUCCCACACCACCGUCUUCACCUGCACCACCGGAAGAGCAUCAUCAUCACCGUUUCCUCGGAUGAAGCUGCGGCCUAAUCGGUGCCACCAACGAGGUUGUACACUAAUCGCCGCAUUUUCUUCUUGAUUCGAUCUCACGGUGCUGCCGGCGCUCGGUCCUGAGCCGACACGGCGCGGCUCCAUCCACGGCGGCUUCGCCGGCCACUUCCUCCACGGCGUCGCUCCCUCGGCGGCGAAGUCCACAUCAGUAGGAGCUGCUACUGCUUUAGCUCUCGCUCAUGCUGCUGCUCUGCUCUUGCUCUCGGUCCCCUGCCUGGUCUGCUCUUGCUAUUGCUCUUGCUCACGCUGCUGCUCUCGCUCUUGCUCUUGCUUGCGAUGCUGCUCUGAUUUAUCUACACUUCAGUCGACUGAAUCAACUUUUNNNNNNNNNNNNNNNNNNNNNNNNNNNNNNNNNNNNNNNNNNNNNNNNNNNNNNNNNNNNNNNNNNNNNNNNNNNNNNNNNNNNNNNNNNNNNNNNNNNNNNNNNNNNNNNNNNNNNNNNNNNNNNNNNNNNNNNNNNNNNNNNNNNNNNNNNNNNNNNNNNNNNNNNNNNNNNNNNNNNNNNNNNNNNNNNNNNNNNNNNNNNNNNNNNNNNNNNNNNNNNNNNNNNNNNNNNNNNNNNNNNNNNNNNNNNNNNNNNNNNNNNNNNNNNNNNNNNNNNNNNNNUUUCAGGGGGUGGGGGUGGGGGCUCGCCGGGGUGAAGGAAGAACCAACCGCAGCGGGGAGGGGGGCUCGCCGGAGAGGUACCCCACUAUCUACCUUAGGGUUCAGGAUGGGGGCGGUGGUCGCCGGCGGUGGCGGGGCGUUGGCGGGGCGGUAGCGUGGGGAUCGCCGGAGAAAAAGCUCGGCACGGGGGCCCUAGAGGGAUGGUCGGGGCGGCGGCGGACCGGCGGUGGGGAGUGUUUUCGGGGCGGGCGGGGUGGCGCACCGCCGGCCGCGGGCGGCGGUGUCUGCUGUUUGGCCGGUGGUGGCUGGCGGCUCAGUGGUGGUGGAGGUUGAAGAUGAACCGCAGUCCCUUGAUUUCGUAUCCAAUGGCUGCAAAAUCGACUAACCAGAGAUGAAAAAGUCAGUCGACCGACGUGUAGCCUCACCUUGCUAGUGCGUUCAGUUUCGACAGCAAAAUUCAGUUUCGACAGUUAAGUUCAGUUUCGACAGUUAAGUUCUGUUUCGACAGCUAAGUUCAGUUUCGACAGUUAAGUUCGGAGAUGAGCGGCUGAUGUAUUUUACAUCUAGCACUUUGUGGUUAUGUAUUUUACGUCAUGUAUUAGAGAUGCUAUUAGAAUUCCACUCAGGUUAACGUUGUUCGUUGUCUCUCUUGUCCUGCUUCAGCCUCGGCGUCGUACAACUCACCGGAGCUGCUCCAACAACGAAACCCUCCAUCACAGCGGAGUAGUACCUCGGGCUCCAUCUCCAGACGCCUAAGAUCUUCUUCCCCUCCUCCGACAGCAAAGUCAGCCGGAGCAUCCUCACCGGCCAACCCAAUCACGCUGAGAUCGACAUGGCUUCGCCAAAGAGGUUGUACACUUGUUGCAUCUCUUUUUUACUCUACAUGUUAUAUAUAUUGUCCACUGAGCACACGGAUUUGUUCCUUUGGUGUCUCCUUGAAAGAAAAAAUGUAGGAAUUUUAAUUUCACUUGUCCUCCUUUUCAAAUUCCUGUUCAUGAAGCAUAAGACUAAGAGAUAGUAGCAUAAUAGCACUAUAACCGUACAUUUUCUUGUGGUUUGACUUAAUCUCACCAUGCUUCUUUGCAUCCUGUGAUCUUCCAAUUGUUGUGAAUCAAACAGCUAGAUUGGCAGAAAUCCUGUGUUUUUAAAUUCUCUGUUUUGCACGUGCAUUCCUAUCCUAUUCCUGUCUAUUUCCUAUCCCUGCAUUGUUGGAAUCCUCCAAUUCAAACGAGCCCUUACAGAAUUACUUCUCUUACAGAUAGUUGUCAAAGAAAACCUUGCGUGGUUUGUCCCGCUCCUGCUACGCCGUCAUCCACCCCAGCUCAGCUGCUCCAACGACAGAAGGGUCUAGCACAGCAGGGAUCCGGCCUCCAUACUGUCUUUCGCCGCCUCAGAUCUUCUUCCCCGCCGCUGGCAGCCAUGAAAACUGCAUUACCAUCAUCAACCGAGCAGAUGACCUCGAGGACUACACGGGUCCGCAAGAGAGGUCGCACUCCUUACAUAAUCUCACUAUGUUUUAUUCCUAUGCAUGAUAGUUAUUGUAAACAAUGGAACUGAACAUGUAGAGCAAAAGAGACGAGCCUUGCGUGGCAAUAAAAUUUCAUGCAGAUGUCGCUCCAUGGUAGGCGCAAAGGCAGCCCCCCUCCACGCAUUUCGGAUUGUAAUCGAGAGGAAGAUAUUUGUUCUGAGGGGCAUUCAGAAGGACAAGACAACUCCUAUUUACCCCCUGAGGUCUUCGCUCUAACUUGGCAUGCUGAUGUUGGUUAUAUCAUGCAUAUGGUGUCUUACAUUGCUUACUUUAUACAUCAAAUAUGUCAUCUGCUUAGUUUGGACAUCCUUUGUGCGAAUGCCAUCUGUUUAGUUUAUUCAUCGUUUAUGUGAAUUAUGCAACGCCAUGUUGUUUAGCCAGGCAUCAUAUAUGUGAAUUUUGCAGUGCCAUCCUGCUUAGCCAGUCAUCUUAUAUGUAAAUUAUAUCAGGUCAUCCUUUUUUCGUUACAUAUUACAUUUGUCAACAAUGUUAGUACAUUCAACUGCUCUUCGUGUGCAUCAGCCAUUUGACAUGGUGAUGGCAAAUUCUGGAGUGAAAACAAGGUCUUCAGAGCAGACUAUGCUAUCUGACGAAGCGCAUAUCUCGCUAGUUACGGAUAGCUCCUCAGAGGAGGAUUCAGAGACAGAUGACCAGUCCUAUUUCCCCCCUCCCCCAAGGUGUAUGCUCUAACUUGGCAGGGUUAUGUUGCUCAUAUCGUGCGUAUGGUGUCUCGCAUUGCUAUGUCAUUUGAAUAGUUUAGACAUGCUUUGUGUGAAUGCUACCUAUUCAGUGUCUAAUUACCAUAUAUGUGGAUUAUGCAUUGCCAUCUUGUUGCAAGACAUUAUAUAUGUGAAUUAUACAAUGCUAUCUUGUUGCAAAGGCAUUAUAUAUGUGAAUUAUGCAAUGCCAUGCUGUUUAGGCAAUCAUCAUGUAUGUGAAUUAUAUCAUGCUAUCAUUUUUUGUAUUAUGUGUUCCAUUUGUCGACAACGUUUGUAUAUUCAACUACUCUUCCUGUGCAUCAGCCAUUUGAAGCGGUGAUGGAAGUAUGUGGAGUGAAAAUAAGGUAUUCGAAGCAGACAAUGCAACCUGCUGAAGCAGACAUCUUGCUGGUUACAGAGAGCUCCUCAGAGGAGGAUUCAGAGACUGAUGACCAGUCCUAUUUCCCCCCUGAGGUCUAUGCUUAAACUUGGCAGGGUUAUAUUACCCAUGUCAUGCAUGUUGUCUUGCAUUCCUUAGUUUUUACAUCAUAUAUGGAUUUCCAUCUGCUGACUUGCUUACUAUAUAAAUCAUAUAUUUGAAUUCUAUCAUGCCAUCAUGUUUACAUAGUAAAUACGCAUCAUCUAUCUGAAUUAUGGCAUGGCAACCCAUUUAAUAAAGACAUCAUAUAGUUAUAUCAUCUCAUCCUGUUUAGUGUUUACAGUCAUCAUAUUUUGAAUUAUGGCAUUCUAUCCGUGAAUGUAUGUGAAUUAUGGCAUGCCAAUCUAUUUAAUAAACACAUUAUAUAGUUAUGUCAUGUCAACCUGUUUACAUAGUCUCAUAUUUUGAACUAUGUCUUUCCAUCUUUUUUAGUUAGCCAUCAUAUAUGUGAUAUUGUGUCAUGCUAUCCUGUUUGGUUUGACAACAUAAAUAUGAAUUAUUUCAUGCCCUCUUUUAUUCCCCACUAUCCAUUGCACCUGUCUAUCAUACAAUGUCUAUACUUUCAAUUACUUUUCUUGUUUAUCAGCCAUUUGAAUUCGAGAGCGUGAUGGCAGUAUCUAAGGGAGUAACAACACGGUCUUCAGAAAAGAUAGUGCUACCAGUUGAUGCAGAUAGAACCACGGUUGUGCUUGCCCAAGGACCAGAUCCACCACACAUAACCCAGACUCUCGCAGAUUGUACCCCUACCCAGUUGGACAGAGAACCAGCUACACCCCUUCUAACCCCAACCCCGGCAGAUAGUAACCCAAUUCCAAUUGACACAUCACCGUCUCCACCACAGAGCACCCAAACACGAGCAGUUAGUAAGGGAACUGCAGUGCCCAAAGCACAAGGACCACCACUCCGAAUCCCAACUCAACGCUUACAGGAGAAGAAGAUUUGUUCUCAGGUCAGGUUCUGUAGCUAUGGUUCAUACUCCUUUGCUCUUGCAUUACUGUAUUUACUCAUACCAACUAUUUUCAAACUUGAAGGAUGGAAUUGAAACUCCAAUGGCGCAACAGGUAUGUUUUAAACCUGUUUCUUUAACUGGUUUGCUGUUGUAACCUGCUCUAUAUUGAUUUCAGUUUCAAUUGAAUAAACAGUUAUGUUCUCAUGUCAUGCACAUUACAAGUGUUGUUAUUGCUCUAUAGUUACCCACACUUAUAUUCUGUCUAUUCUGCUUUGUCUUGAACAAAUAUUAUUCGAAUUGUGUCUCUAUCUUGAUUUGGCAACAAAAACUAGAAUGAUAUAGACCAUAAAGUGACCAUGGUACAUAGAUAUAUGUUUGUUUCAUGCUGUUAUCCUGUCCAGUUUACUACUGAACUCAUUUACCAAAAUGAGUUUCACAUACAACAUAGUAAACAUGUGAUGUGUCUGCUUGUUUCUCUUUUAGAAUGCGGACAAAAUAUUGGAGAACAGUACCGCGUUAUCCAAUGGUAAAGGAAGUAAUGCAGAUAAGGUUCAAGAUAGUGAGACAUCCCUGUUAGUCUCCAAGAAAGCUGAUAAAAACUAUCUUGACGACAGUGAGGGAACCCAAAAGUCCUGUCUUGAUGUAGUGUUCGAAUUACUGGCCACUACUGCUGGCACAAGCUCUUCGAACUCGCUGCCUGAAUUAGUUCAUCUUCUUGAGUCUCAACUUCAAGUUGAAAGACAUCGAUCAGAUGUGCUUCGGCAGGAAGCUGAAGGACUGAGGAAGUCCCUGCAGAAUUCAGAUGCAUAUUUUCUGGUGCAACAGCAAGCGCUGGAGGAUUUAAGCGCCAAACAAGAGAAAGUUAAUAAGCCUUCUAAACAUCUUGCCAGCAUUAUGGGUACCCAGGAUAUUGUUUCUUGAGAUCUUCUGAAGUGGUUUCAGUUCUGGAUUUGUUUUGCUGCGGCGUUUAUUUGCGCUGGUCGCCAACUUUGACAGCCAGUGUAUAUGAUAUGCUGCUUUGUUCCUAUAUUUGCACUGGUGGCGAACUUUGAUGCCCAGUGGAUGUAAUAUGUGUAAUAGCCGUGAUAGCCUAGCGUUAGUUGCUUGAUUAUUUAUUUCCUUGUUGUCUUGUUUAUUUGUUUGCUUGUAGUCAUUGCAGUUCUUUUUCCGCGGUUAGCUAGUGGCUGCAAUAACCUAUUUUUUAAAACUAGGCCACAAUAACCAUGGGCUAAUAUUUACUGUAGUGACACUGGGCCUCCAACUAGCCGUAGAAAUAGUGGGCCUUCUACGGGCCGUAGAAACAAUGGGCGUUCUAUGGGCUAUAGAAACAAUGGGCCUUCUGCGGGCCGUAUCAUCAAUGGGCCUUAUACUGGCCGUAUGAUCGAUUGGCCAAACAUGGGCCAAACAGACCGCAUUAUGGCCGUAAACGGGCUAGAUUUGGAAUCGUCCGUUCAUGGGCCGACCAUAACGGGCCAUCGUUAAUAGUCUGUAUUUGGUGAUGCUAUGAAAAUGGCCCAACAGACUAACGGUCCACAAACGGGCCGACUGUAACGACGGGCUGAAUUUGGCCCACAAGCAGAAAAUGACAGUAACGGGUCGUAAGUAACCGAAUGCUGCAAAUGAGCCCAAGAAUAAAUGGGCCCUCAGAAGGCCGAAGGUAACUUGGGCAGGAAACGGCCCAACGGAAUAAUGGGCCGUCAAUGGGUAUAAAGUGAUACACUGUUCAUUACGGGCCAGUUUCACCACGGGCCGUUCAUGGGUGUAAAGUAAUACAUUGUUCAUUACGGGCCAGUUUCAGCACGGGCCGCUAAUGGGUCAAGAGUUACAAAGGGCCUCAUAUGGGCCGAAAGACAUCAUGGUCUAUACAUGGGCCAGAAGUGAAAACGGGCUGGAAUCAUAUUGGAUGGCCCAGAUGACGCUACUGGGCCUAAUUCGGAUAGGGCGUAACGGGCCUUGGGUUAGCGGGCUGUAAAUGGGCAAUAUGCGAACGUGCCGUUAACAGGCUUUCCAUGGGCCGGCCCGCUAGCUUUUGACCAAGUCAAACGGGCCGGCCUUUUCACAGGAAUGGGCCACUGUUGGGCCGUGCCACGUGUCGACGUAUCAUAGGCGCCUUCUGUCCACUGAGUGGAUGACAUCUGUCCCAACGAUGAGCCGACACGUGUUUCCUCUAGCCAAUGAUGAUUUCACACGUGGAAAAUCCCCAUUGGUCGGGGCUGUUAACGGGUUAUCGGAUCCAAAACCCGACCCAAUAGCUUAGAUGCCACGUGUCGGUCACCCUUGACGAAAGCACUUUUGUGACGCGCGAUUUAUCGUCAUGGAAGUGGACACUUCCGUGAUGAUAAUUUUGGUAAUGUCAUGGAACACUUCUACGACAGCACAUGUAUGACUAUCUUGAUUCUGUCAUAAAUUUGUCAUGGAUGUACAUGCAUGACAAAAAACGUGACCUACUGUGACAAACACGUAUCAUCACGGAAGUGUAUUUUUUUGUAGUGCAACUAGACGUAUCAACGGGCUAUGGAGAUGCCCAUCCAUAGAUAUCAAUGUGAAUGAGUAGGGAUUGCCAUGCAAUGGAUGCACUAGAGCUAUAAGUGUAUGAAAGCUCAACAAGAAACUAAGUGGGUGUGCAUCCAACUUGCUUGCUCACGAAGAUCUAGGGCAAUUUGAGGAAGCCCAUCAUUGGAAUAUACAAGCCAAGUUCUAUAAUGUAAAAUUCCCACUAGUAUAUGAAAGUGACAACAUAGAAGACUCUCUAUCAUGAAUAUCACGGUGCUACUUUGAAGCACAAAUGUGGUAAAAGGAUAGUAGCAUUGCCCCUUCUCUCUUUUUCUCUCAUUUUUUAUUUUUUUUAUUUGGGCCUUUUCUCUUUUUUAUGGCCUCUUUUUUUAGUCCGGAGUCUCAUCCUGACUUGUGGGGGAAUCAUAGUCUCCAUCAUCCUUUCCUCACUGGGACAAUGCUCUAAUAAUGAUGAUCAUCACACUUUUAUUUACUUACAACUCAUGAAUUACAACUCGAUACUUAGAACAAAAUAUGACUCUAUAUGAAUGCCUCCGGUGGUGUACCGGCAUGUGCAAUGAAUCAAGAGUGACAUGUAUAAAGAUAAUGAACGGUGGCUUUGCCACAAAUACGAUGUCAACUACAUGAUCAUUCAAAGCAAUAUUACAAUGAUGGAGCGUGUCAUAAUAAACGGAACGGUGGUAAGUUGCAUGGCAAUAUAUCUCGGAAUGGCUAUGGAAAUGCCAUGAUAGGUAGGCAUGGUGGCUGUUUUGAGGAAGGUAUAUGGUGGGUGUAUGAUACCGGCGAAAGGUGUGCGGUAUUAGAGAGGCUAGCAAUGGUGGAAGGGUGAGAGUGCGUAUAAUCCAUGGACUCAACAUUAGUCAUAAAGAACUCAUAUAAUUAUUGCAAAAAUCUAUUAGUUAUCGAAACAAAUUACUACACGCAUGAUCCUAGGGGGAUAGAUUGGUAGGAAAAGACCAUCGCUCGUCCCCGACCGCCACUCAUAAGGAAGACAAUCAAUAAAUAAAUCAUGUUCCGACUUCAUCACAUAACGGUUCACCAUACGUGCAUGCUACGGGAAUCACAAAAUUUACCACAAGUAUCUCUCAAAUACACAGCUACUCAACUAGCAUGACUCUAAUAUCACCAUCUUCAUAUCUCAAAACAAUCAUAAGGAAUCAAACUUCUCAUAGUAUUCAAUGCACUUUAUAUGAAAGUUUUUAUUAUAUCCCUCUUGGAUGCCCAUCAUAUUAGGACUAGUUUCAUAACCAAAGCAAAUCACCAUGCUGUUCUAAAGACUCUCAAAAUAAUAUAAGUGAAGCACGAGAGUUCCUCUAUUUCUUCAAAAUAAAACUACAGUCGUGCUCUAAAAGAUAUAAGUGAAGCACUAGAGCAAACGACAAACUACUCCGAAAGAUAUAAGUGAAGAUCAAUGAGUAGUCGAAUAAUUGUGCAACUAUGUGAAGACUCUCUAACAUUUAAGAAUUUCAGAUCUUGGUAUUUUAUUCAAACAGCAAGCAAAACAAAAGAAAAUAAAAUGACGCUCCAGGCAAAACACAUAUCAUGUGGUGAAUAAAAAUAUAGCUCCAAGUAAAGUUACCGAUGAACGAAGACGAAAGAGGGGAUGCCAUCCGGGGCAUCCCCAAGCUUAGGCUCUUGGUUGUCAUUGAAUAUUAACUUGGGGUGCCUUGGGCAUCCCCAAGCUUAGGCUCUUGCCACUCCUUAUUCCAUAGUCCAUCGAAUCUUUACCCAAAACUUGAAAACUUCACAACACAAAACUUAACAGAAGAUCUCGUGAGCUCCGUUAGCGAAAGAAAACAAAACACCACUUCAAGGUACUGUAAUGAACUCAUUAUUUAUUUGUAUUGGUUUUAAAUCUACUGUAUUCCAACUUCUUUAUGGUUUAUAAACUAUUUUACUAGCCAUAGAUUCAUCAAAAUAAGCAAACAACGCCCGAAAAACAGAAUCUGUCAAAAACAGAACAAUCUGUAGUAAUCUGUACCAAACGCAAACUUCUGGAACUCAAAAAAUUCUACCAAAAUAGGACGACCUAGAUAAUUUGAUUAUUGAUCUUCUGCAAUUGGAAUCCGUAUUUUAUCUCUUUCUGGUGAUUUUAAACAAUUCUUUCCGUGAACAGAAAGUUUCUGGAAUUUUCAGCAAGAUCAAAUAACUAUCAUCCAAGAAGAUCCUAUAUGUCUUAAUUGGCACAAACAAUAAUUAAAACAUAAAACCACAUCUAACCAGAGGCUAGAUCAAAUAUGUAUUACUAAACAUAACCAAAAAGAAAGAACAAAAAUAAAAAUUGGGUGCCUCCCAACAAGCGCUAACGUUUAACGCCCCUAGCUAGGCAUGAUGAUUUCAAUGAUGCUCGCGUAAAAGAUAAGAAUUGAAACAUAAAGAGAGCAUCAUGAAGAAUAUGACUAGCACAUUUAAGUCUAACCCACUUCCUAUGCAUAGGUAUUUGUGAGAAAACAACUUAUGGGAACAAUAAUCAACUAGCAUAGGAAGGCAAAACAAGCAUAACUUCAAAACUUUAAGCACAUAGAGAGGAAACUUGAUAUUAUUGCAAUUCCUACAAGCAUACAUUCCUCCCUCAUAAUAAUUUUCAGUAGCAUCAUGAAUGAAUUCAACAAUAUAACCAGCACCUAAAGCAUUCUUUUCAUGAUCUACUUGCAUAGAAAUUUUACUACUCUCCACAUAAGCAAAAUUCUUCUCUUUCGGAAUAGUGGGAGUAUCAUACGAGACUCGAAUACUAUAAAUUAUUUCCACGUUAAAAGAGUAAUGUUCAGAAAAAGGGUAAUCAUAAUCAUGACAAGUUUUAUAAAUAUAAUCAUCACUACUUUUUAUAGCAUAAGUGUCAUCACAAUAAUCAUCAUAAAUAGGAGGCAUGCUAUCAUCAUAAUAAAUUUGCUCAUCAAAACUUGGGAGGCUAAAAAUAUCAUCUUCAUUAAAAAUAGCAUCCCCAAGCUUGGGACAAACAUUAAUUGCAGCAAAUAUAUUCUCAAACAUGUCAUUCUCAUCAAACAUAGCAUCCCCAAGCUUGGGCAUUUUCAUAUCAUAAGCAUAAUCACUCUCAUCAUUAAUAGUAUGGAUAGCACCAAUAGUAUAGUAAUUAUCAUCGCAAUGAGUAAUAGGAGCAACAUCAUUUGGGAGGGAUACCUUUCUACCUUUACUUAUCCGUCUUUUCUUUUUCUUCUUCACAUCAUGUGUGGGCUCAAUCCUCUUUUUGGAGCUCCUUAUUAAUGAGAUUGGUUGAAUAGAAGGCUCCACCUCAUUACCUGAUUCAUCAUAAGAAAUAAUAGGAGAAUAUUGGGAAGUCUCUUCCCUUUCGUUAGUAUUCUCUUCAUCUUCUAUUUGUUUUGUUUUCUUUAUGUAAUUGGCAAUAUAAGGAUUUUCGAUGCAAUUCACCGCACAAAACAUAUAAAUUUCCUCUCGAUCAAAAUUAAGAACUCUAUCAAGAGAAAAUUCUGGAAUAACCUUAGUUAUAUGUUUCAUUUCUUCAUAACCCAAGAGCAAACUAAGUUCAUUAUGAUGUGCAAGGGAAAUCAAGUCAUCACAAUUUUUGGACAUGAUACGAUCAUGAAACAAUUUGCAUUGCGUACUGAAAUGAUCACGUUCAUUGCAAAGUUCACAAGUACGGCUAAGAAAGUUUAAAUUUUCAGCACAAACAUCUAGCCUCUCUUGCAACCAUUUAGUUUCUAAGUACUUGUCCCUCUUACAAAAUCUAUAUUCCCUUUUUGGUAUGUAUUUGCAAACUCUAUGCACUCCACAGAAAUCGACAUGCUUAUAGGAAACAUUUUCAUCAUGAAUAGUGCAAUCAUCAUUAGUACCAUGGAUAUUCAAAGAGUUCAUACUAACAAUAUUGCAAUCAUGCUCAUCAUUCAAAGAUUCAGUGCCAAACAUUUUAUAGACUUCUUCUUCUAGAACUUGAGCACAAUUUCCCUUUCCAUCAUUCUCACGAAAGAUAUUAAAAAGAUGAAGCGUAUGAGACAAACUCAAUUCCAUUUUUUUGUGGUUUUCUUUUAUAAACUAAACUUGUGAUAAAACAAGAAGCUAAAAGAUUCAAUUGCAAGAUCUAAAGAUAUACCUUCAGGCACUCACCUCCCCGGCAAUGGCUAGUAGACGUUGUUGGGCCUCCAAGUGCAGAGGUUUGUAGGACAAUAGCAAAUUUCCCUCAAGUGGAUGACCUAAGGUUUAUCAAUCCAUGGGAGGCGUAGGAUGAGGAUGGUCUCUCUCAAACAACCCUGCAACCAAAUAACAAAGAGUCUCUUGUGUCCCCAACACACCCAAUACAAUGGUAAAUUGUAUAGGUGCACUAGUUCAGUGAAGAGAUGGUGAUACAAGUGCAAUAUGGAUGGUAGAUAUAGGUUUUUGUAAUCUGAAAAUAUAAAAACAGCAAGGUAACUAAUAAUAAAAGUGAGCGUAAACGGUAUUGCAAUGCUAGGAAACAAGGCCUAGGGUUCAUACUUUCACUAGUGCAAGUUCUCUCAACAAUAAUAACAUAAUUGGAUCAUAUAACUAUCCCUCAACAUGCAAAAAAGAGUCACUCCAAAGUCACUAACAGCGGAGAACAAACGAAGAGAUUAUGGUAGGGUACGAAACCACCUCAAAGUUAUUCUUUCGGAUCGAUCUAUUCAAGAGUCCGUAGUAAAAUAACACGAAGCUAUUCUUUCCGUUCGAUCUAUCAUAGAGUUCGUACUAGAAUAACACCUUAAGACACAAAUCAACCAAAACCCUGAUGUCACCUAGAUACUCCAAUGUCACCUCAAGUAUCCGUGGGUAUGAUUAUACGAUAUGUAUCACACAAUCUCAGAUUCAUCUAUUUCAACCAACACAGAGAACUUCAAAGAGUGCCCCAAAGUUUCUACCAGAGAGUCAAGACGAAAACGUGUGCCAACCCCUAUGCAUAAGUUCACGAGGUCACGGAACCCACAAGUUGAUCACCAAAACAUACAUCAAGUGAAUCACGUGAUAUCCCAUUGUCACCACAGAUAAGCACAUGCAAGACAUACAUCAAGUGUUCUCAAAUCCUUAAAGACUCAAUUCGAUAAGAUAACUUCAAAGGGAAAACUCAAUCCAUCACAAGAGAGUAGAGGGGGAGAAACAUAAUAGGAUCCAACUACAAUAGCAAAGCUCACGAUACAUCAAGACUGUGCCACCUCAAGAACAUGAGAGAGAGAGAGAGAGAUCAAACGCAUAGCUACUGGUACAUACCCUCAGCCUCGAGGGUGAACUACUCCCUCCUUGUCAAGGAGAUCGCCGGGAUGAUAAAGAUGGCCACCGGUGAUGGAUCCCCCAUCCGGCAGAGUGCGGAACAGGGUCCCGAUUGGUUUUUGGUGGCUACAGAGGCUUGCGGCGGCGGAACUCCCGAUCUAUUCUGUUCUCCGAUGUUUUUAGGGUAUAUGGACAUAUAUAGGCGAAAGAAGUCGGUCAGGGGAGCCACGAGGGGCCCAUGAGGGUGGGGGCGCGCCCAGGGGCAGGCGCGCCUCCCUGCCUCGUGGCCACCUUGUUGCUUCCCUGACGUACACUCCAAGUCUCCUGGAUUGCUUCCGUUCCAAAAAGAACUCUCUCGAAGGUUUCAUUCCGUUUGGACUCCGUUUGAUAUUCCUUUUCUUCGAAACACUAAAAUAGGCAAGAAAACAACAAUUUGGGCUGGGCCUCCGGUUAAUAGGUUAGUCCCAAAAAUAAUAUAAAAGUGUUUAGUAAAGCCCAUAAAAUAUCCAAAACAGAUAAUAUAAUAGCAUGGAACAAUAAAAAAAUUAUAGAUACGUUGGAGACGUAUCAAUUCCCAAGGUGACAUUGGGGUAAUCUAUGCAUAGGGGUUGAUGCACGUUCUUGUCUUUGUUUCUCCGGUAGAAAUCUUGGGGCACUCUUUGAAGUUCUUUGUGUUGGACUGAGUAUUAUGAAUAUGGAUUUGCUUUGGUGUUAUUUUCGUACGAACUCUAGGAUAGAUCGAACGGAAAGAAUAGCUUUGUGUUAUUUUAGUACGAACUCUUGAGUAGAUCGAACGGAAAGAAUAGCUUUGAGGUGGUUUUGUGCCCUACAAACAAUUUAUUCUUAUGCUCUCCGCUAGAUAGGAACUUUGGAGUGAUUCUCCGUCGCACUUUGAGGGGUGGUUAUAUGAUCCAAUUAUAAUAGCAUUGUCGAGAUAUUGCACUAGCGAAAGUACGGACCCUAGGCCUCAUUUUCAAGCAUUGCAAUACCGUUUUUGUGCCUGUUUACUAUUUGCUACCUUGCUGUUUUUAUUUAUUCAGACUAUAAAAAUAUAUUUCUACCAUCCAUAUUACACUUUUAUCACCAUCUCUUCACCGAACUAGUGCACCUAUACAAUUUGCCAUUGUAUUGGGUGUGUUGGGGACACAAGAGAUUUCCUGUAUUUGGUUGCAGGGUCAUUUGAGAGAGACCAUCUUCAUCCUACACCUCUCAUGGAUUGAUAAACCUUAGAUCAUCCACUUGAGCGAAAAUUGCUACUGUCCUACAAAACUCUGCGCUUGGAGGCCCAACACGUGUCUACAAGAAUAAAGUUGCGUAGUAGACAUCAAGCUCUUUUCUGGCGCCGUUACCGGGGAGGUUAGUGCUUGAAGGUAUAUCUUUAGAUAUUGCAAUUGAAUCUUUUAGUUUCUUGUUUUAUCACUAGUGUGACGCCCGGAUAAUCAAGCUACAGUAAAACUCUGCUAAUGAUGCCACGUCACCUCCGUUACUGUUUCGAAUCCUUCGUUAGUUCAAAACCAGAUUCAAAAAUCAAUUCAAAAUAUGGCAAACAACAAAAGUUUUCAAACUUUGAAACAAAAAUGUUUGGAGUGAACCAAAUAUUGCACAGAUAAUUAUGGUGGAGAAACCACACCUUUAUAAAAUGUUUAAAUACUAUGAGAUGAAUAAAACAGUAGCAAAAACAAUUAUAUAAGUGUUUUUAAAUAUAAACAAAUAUUAAACUAGUUUAUUUAGUCACUAAAAACUUUUUACAACUCCGAUUUAGGUGUGGGCUUUAACUUAUUAUAAAACUAUAACUAUUAAAGAAAUAAAAUAAAACAGUAAAGGAAAAUAAAUAAAAGAAAACACAAACAAAAACAAAACAACUGCCCCCCCCCUGCUGGGCCAAGUGGCCCAGCUGGCCUCAGCCGCCCGAACGGGCCGGCCCACCCCGGUCCACCUCCCCUACUAACCCCCCGCUACCCCGUAACCCUAACCCCCACCAGUCGCCCCCGAUCCCCACUCCCUCGUCUCCCNNNNNNNNNNNNNNNNNNNNNNNNNNNNNNNNNNNNNNNNNNNNNNNNNNNNNNNNNNNNNNNNNNNNNNNNNNNNNNNNNNNNNNNNNNNNNNNNNNNNNNNNNNNNNNNNNNNNNNNNNNNNNNNNNNNNNNNNNNNNNNNNNNNNNNNNNNNNNNNNNNNNNNNNNNNNNNNNNNNNNNNNNNNNNNNNNNNNNNNNNNNNNNNNNNNNNNNNNNNNNNNNNNNNNNNNNNNNNNNNNNNNNNNNNNNNNNNNNNNNNNNNNNNNNNNNNNNNNNNNNNNNNNNNNNNNNNNNNNNNNNNNNNNNNNNNNNNNNNNNNNNNNNNNNNNNNNNNNNNNNNNNNNNNNNNNNNNNNNNNNNNNNNNNNNNNNNNNNNNNNNNNNNNNNNNNNNNNNNNNNNNNNNNNNNNNNNNNNNNNNNNNNNNNNNNNNNNNNNNNNNNNNNNNNNNNNNNNNNNNNNNNNNNNNNNNNNNNNNNNNNNNNNNNNNNNNNNNNNNNNNNNNNNNNNNNNNNNNNNNNNNNNNNNNNNNNNNNNNNNNNNNNNNNNNNNNNNNNNNNNNNNNNNNNNNNNNNNNNNNNNNNNNNNNNNNNNNNNNNNNNNNNNNNNNNNNNNNNNNNNNNNNNNNNNNNNNNNNNNNNNNNNNNNNNNNNNNNNNNNNNNNNNNNNNNNNNNNNNNNNNNNNNNNNNNNNNNNNNNNNNNNNNNNNNNNNNNNNNNNNNNNNNNNNNNNNNCCCCUGGCUGCGUCUAGCGCUCCGUGCCCGGCGCCCGUCCGCGCGGUCCCACUCCGGCACCACCUCCUGCUGCCGUCACGACCACCCCCUCGCCGUGCCGCCCCGGCGCCAUGCCGUCGCCGUUGCCCCUUUGGCAGUUGAGGCGUGCGCCCGAACGAACGGGUGCUGGGCACCCGUUGCGCCCAUUCGCCCAGUGCCCGCUGCACCCCCCUGAGCCACUGACACGAGGACCCCACCCCAGAACGUAAAAAAAAAGAAGAAAAAAAAAGAAAAAAAAGAAGAAUAAAAAAAAUAAAUAAUAAUAAUAUAUUAAAAACAAUUAAUUAAUUAAAGAAUUAAUUAACCUAAUUAAUUUUUGAUUAAUUAAACUAAUCUAAUAACUAAACUAAUUAAACUAUUAGUUAAUUAAUUAAUCAGUCAAUGACAGCUGGGUCCCGCACAUCAGUUUGACCCAGUCAACGCCCUGUUGACUGCUGACGUCAUGAUGACGUCAGCAGGCCCUAUUCUGGAUAAUGUUGAAUUAAAUAAAUUAAAUAAAUUCUAAAAUGAUUUAAAACUUUGAAAAUUCAUAUCUUUUAAACCAUAACUCGGAUGAAAAUGUUUUCUAUAUGAAAGUUGCUCAGAACGACGAGACGAAUCCAAAUACGCAGUCCGUUCGUCCACCACACCUCCCUAACCUAUCGAACUCGCAACUUUCCCCCUCCGGUCCGUCUGUUCGAAAACGCGAAACAUCGGGAAGACUUUCCCGGAUGUUUCCCCCCUUCACCGGUAUCACCUCAUACCGCGUUAGAACACGUCUAGCUCUGCCUGUUGUCUUGUUAUGCACUUGCUUGCUAUGUAUUUACUGUUUCUCCCCCCUCUUCUCUUCGGUAGACCCCGUGACGAUGCUGAUGCCCCUGUGGUCGACUACGUCACCGAUGACCCAUCCUUCUUGUCUGAGCAACCAGGCAAGCCCCCCCUUGAUCACCAGAUAUCGCCUACUCUACUCUCUACUACUUGCAUUAGAGUAGUGUAGCAUGUUACUGCUUUCGAUUAAUCCUAUUCUGUUGCAUAGCCUGUCAUUGUUGCUACAGUUGUUCCCCUUACCUGCUAUCCUACUGCUUAGUCUAGGAUGCUAGAUUUCCAUCAGUGGCCCUACAUUCUUGUCCGUCUGCUGUGCUAUACUAUCGGGCCGUGAUCACCUGGGCGGUGAUCACGGGUAUAUACUAUAUACAUUAUAUACAUGACACAUGUGGUGACUAAAGUCGGGUCGGCUCGAGGAGUACCCGCAGGUGAUUCUGAUGAGGGGGCUGAAAGGACAGGUGGCUCCACCCCGGUAGAGGUGGGCCUGGGUUCUUGACGGCCCCCGACUGUUACUUUGUGGCGAAGCGACAGGGCAGGUUGAGACCACCCAGGAGAGAGGUGGGCCUGGCCCUGGUCGGCGUUCGCGGAUAAACAACACGCUUAACGAGUUCUGGGUAUUUGAUCUGAGUCUGGCCAUUUGGUCUAUACGCACUAACCAUCUACGUGGGAGUAGUUAUGGGUAUCCCGACGUCGUGGUAUCAGCCGAAGCUCUUUUGACGUCAGCGACUGAGUGGCGCGCGCCGGAUUGGACUGGAACGCCACUAGGCUAGGUCUGCUUCCGGCCGCGUACGCAACGUGCAGGUGUGCAUAGGGCGAUGGGCCCAGACCCCUGCGCGCAUAGGUUUAGACCGGCGUGCUGGCCUCUCUGUUGAGCCUAGGUGGGGCUGCGACGUGUUGAUCUUACGAGGCCGGGCAUGACCCAGAAAAGUGUGUCCGGCCAAAUGGGAUCGAGCGUGUUGGGUUAUGUGGUGCACCCCUGCAGUAAAGUUUAUCUAUUCGAAUAGCCGUGUCCCUCGGUAAAAGGACGACCCGGAGUUGUACCUUGACCUUAUGACAACUAGAACUGGAUACUUAAUAAAACACACCCUUCCAAGUGCCAGAUAUAACCCGGUGGUCGCUCUCUAACAGGGUGACGAGGAGGGGAUCGCCGGGUAGGAUUAUGCUAUGCGAUGCUACUUGGAGGACUUCAACCUACUCUCUUCUAUAUGCUGCAAGAUGGAGAUGUCCAGAAGCGUAGUCUUCGACAGGACUAGCUAUCCCCCUCUUAUUCUGGCAUUCUGCAGUUCAGUCCACUGAUAUGCCCCUUUACACAUAUUCCCAUGCAUAUGUAGUGUAGCUCCUUGCUUGCGAGUACUUUGGAUGAGUACUCACGGUUGCUUUUCUCCCUCUUUUCCCCUUUCUAUACCGGAUUGUCGCAACCAGAUGCUGGAGUCCAGGAGCUAGAGAUCCCGAGGAUGAUUCUACAACGAGUUCGGCUUCGAGGAGUAGUUAGGAGGUCCCAGGCAGGAGGCCUUGCCUUUUCGAUCGUGGCUACUUUUGUGCUAGCCUUCUUAAGGCAAACUUGUUUAACUUAUGUCUGUACUCAGAUAUUGUUGCUUCCGCUGACUCGUCUAUGAUCGAGCACUUUUAUUCGAGCCCUCGAGGCCCCUGGCUUGUAUUAUAAUGCUUGUAUGACUUAUUUAUGUUUUAGAGUUGUGUUGUGAUAUCUUCCCGUGAGUCCCUGAUCUUGGUCGUACACAUUUGCGUGCAUGAUUAGUGUACGGUCAAAUCGGGGGCGUCACAACUAGUUUGGUUUAUAAAAAGAAAACUACAAAAAUAUGGAAUUGAGGAAAAUUGUGCUCCAUUGUUAGAAGAAGAAUUCUAUAAAAUGUUUGACAAAAAAUCUUUGAAUGAUGAGCAUGAUUGCAAUGUUGUUGGUAUGAACUCUUUGAAUAUCCAUGAUGCUAGUGAUAUGCAAAGCCAUAAGCUUGGGGAUGCUAUGUUUGAUGAAGAUGAUAUUUUUAGUCCCCCAAGAUUUGAUGUGCAAAUUUGUUAUAAUGAUUGCAUGCCUCCUAUUUAUGAUGAUUAUAUUGAUGAAAGUGGGUUUGGAAGAGUGUCAACUUUAGAUAGUGAUCCCACUAUUUUGGAGGGUGUUGAAUCUUAUUGUUAUAAUGAUAAAAAUGGAAUUGGAAAGGUCAUGACUUUAUUUAGUGAUGAAUCCACUAUUUCGGAAGAGGUUCCAAUUGAUUAUGAGAACAAAAUUGCUAUAUAUGAUGAUUAUGGUGAUGACAUGUAUGCUAUAAAGAAUAAUGAUAACCAUGAAACUUGUCAUCAUGAUUUUAAUUUUCACUCUCAUGAUAGUUAUUUUGUUGAGUUUGCUCCCACUACUAUUGAUGAGAAGAAUUUUUCUUAUGUGGAGAGUAAUGAGUUUUCUAUGCUUUUGUGUCAUGAAAAGAAUGCUUUAUGUGAUAGUUAUAUUUUUUAUUUUCUUCAUGAUGCAACUGAAAUUUUUUUAUGAGGUAAGAACAUAUGCUUGUAGGAAUUGCAAUAAUAUCAAGUUUCCUGUCUAUGUGUUGAAAGUUUUGAAGUUAUGCUUGUUUUGCCUUCCUAUGCUAGUUGAUUAUUGUUCCCAUAAGUUGUUUGCUCACAAAAUACCUAUGCAUAGGAAGUGGGUUAGACUUAAAUGUGCUAGUCAUAUGCUUCAGGAUGCUCUCUUUGUGUUUCAGUUCUUUACUUUUAUGCGCGCAUCAUUGAAAUCAUCAUGCCUAGCUAAAAGGCACUAAAGAAAAGCGCUUGUUGGGAGACAACCCAAAACUUUUACCUACUGUUUUUGUGUGUUCACAUGAUUAGGCUACUAUAGUAAUCAUGUUUUAUUGCAUUCGUUUCAAUAAAGUGCCAAGUAAGACCUUUGGGAUCUUGCUAAAAAACAGAAACGUUGGCGCUGACGAAAAUAAGUCUCAUUUUUAACAUAAGAGUGCUUUUGAGUUGAUUAUUUUUGCAGAAGUUUAAUAUACUAAUUGCUCACGUGGUCAUAAUUUUUUGAGUAGCAGAAGUAUGGUAGUUAUCCAGAUCAUUACAGACUGUUCUGUUUUUGACAGAUUCUGUUUUCAAUGCAUAGUUUGCUUGUUUUCUAGUUUCUAUGGCUUAUAUUACUCAAUAUAAAUUGUGGAAAUGAUGAGGUACAGUAGGCAUUGUGUGGAAAAAAUUAUGAACCUUAUCUUUGACAGUACCAAAGUGAGAUGGUUUGCUCUUUAUCAUACUAACCUAUCUCACGAAGUUCCGUUAAGUUUUGUGUGAUUGAAGUUUUCAAGUUUUAGGUGAGAUAUCGAUAUGAGGAGAAUAAGGAGUGACAAGACACUAAGCUUGGGGAUGCCCAAGGCACCCCAAGCUAAUAUCCAAGGAAGAUCCAAGCAACUAAGCUUGGGGAUGCCCGGAAGGCAUCCCCUCUUUCGUCUCCAACAUUAUCGGUAACCUCCCUUGGAGCUAUGUUUUCUUCGUCACAUGAUUUUUUUUUGUUUGGAGCAUCAUUUUAUUUUGUUAGGAUUUUAUUGUUGUUAUUUAGAAUAAUCUUUUGCAUCUUUUAUUUCGAUAAAAGUGGCAAUGAUAGCCUUUGCCAUGCUUAUUUUGCAAGUAUACAUGUUGCUGUUUGAAAACAGAAAGUUUACCGGUGUUGCAAAAAUUCCCUAGAAAAGUCAAAAUGUGAUAAAAUGUUGAAACUUCUUGAAUAAUAAGCUAUGAUAAAUUCUCUACAGUGUGGUAGAAUUCCAUAAUGUUUGGAGUUGAAUAAGUAUUGAUACUCUUGCAUUCUUUACAAACUGUACUGUUUUGGCAGAUUGCUGUUAUGUUUGCAUUGUUUGCAUAUGUUUGCUUGUUUAAUGAUCCUAUUUGUGCAUAUGAGUAUUAAAUAUGCAGAGGCAUUUAGUAUGCAAUGUUGAAUAAUAAUUUUAGUGAUUUGCUGCAGUAGAUAAUGAUAAGGUUUUUGCAUUGGUUUAUACUGACUUAUCUCACGAGUUCUUGUUGAGUUUUGUGUGGAUGAAGCUUUUGAGAUUUAGGAAAACCGUGAUAUGAGAGGAAUUAAGGAGACACAAAAGCUCAAGCUUGGGGAUGCCCAAGGCAUCCCAAGAUAAUAUUUCAAGAAGUCUCAAGCAUCUAAGCUUGGCGAUGCCCCGGUAGGCAUCCCACCUUUUCUCUUCAACAAUAAUCGGUUAGUAUCGGUUGAGCCUAAGUUUUUGCUUCUUCACAUGAGUUGUGCUAUUCUUAGAACGUCAUUUUAUUUUUGUUUUGCUUGUUGUUUUAAUAGAAUACUUAGAUCUGUAAGUUUUAAAUAAGAGAGAGUCCAGACAUAGCUAUCUAUUUACUUAACUACUCAUUUGAUCUUCACUUAUAUCUUUUUGGAGUAGCUUGUCAUUUACUCUUGUGCUUCACUUAUAUCCUAUAAGUAAAUUGUUGAAUGAACUGAAUAUCAUGAAGUUGAAAUUAUAUCAUGCCUAGUGGUAGCUUAACAUUGGGUUUAGAAAGUGAAAGCUUUUGAGGCUUGACAAUCACAAUAUUGGUCAUACAAGCAAUUCCACGAAUAAUUAGUAUAAGGAAGAGAACUUUCACAUGCAAAUACAUUAUCAUGGAAAUAUUUUGUGAUUGUGAGCCCCCAUCAAAAUAUUAUAUGCCAAAAUUGUUGACGUUGAACAAGGAAGACAAUGUAAUGAUUUAUGUUUGCUCAUAUUCACAUAGAAGUUAUAUUGUCAUAUAUCCUUCAACAUGUGGUGCUUGCCCCCAUCUUUGCUAGCCAAAAAUUCUGCACCAAGUAGAGAUACUACUUGUGCAUCCAAAAACCCUUAAACCCAAAUCUUAUUUUCAAGAGUCCACCAUACCUACCUAAGGAUUGAGUCAGAUCCUUCAAUUAAGUUGUCAUCGAUGCAUUGAGGCAAUAAAAAUUGCUUCUAAAAGUGAGAUCAUUUAGUGUAAGAGAAAAUUGAGCGUUGUACGAACUUGGAUGGCAAAGAAUAGAAUCGACAGACUGCAUAAUAAAGGUUGCCAUCUUAAGGGGCAAUACAAUGUGACGUUCUUUUGCACUAAGGGAUUGAGCAUACAAACAAAUAAGCGCAUGGCAACCUCUGCUUCCCUCUGUGAAGGGCCUAUCUUUUACUUCUAUGUAUUUACUUUUAUGCAAGAGUCAAAGUUUUUCUCUCUAUUCCUUUUUUAUUUUCUCUUUUGGCAAGCAUCAUGUGGUGAGGACAGAUCUAGGCACAUAUGUCCAGUUGAAUAUGGGUAGCAUGAGUUAUUAUUGUUGACAUCACCCUUGAGGUGAAUACGUUGGGAGGCGAAACUAUAAGCCCCUAUCUUUUGUAGCGACCCGACCUCAGUCGGUCAAGUCUCUGUGCUUCCGUAUCAUCCCUAGAUCGGUAAUGCUGACACACACAGUACUCGAAUGAUUUAUAACAGAGUAGCAAUCACACACUUAUUACAUCAAAUGUCUCAAAAGAGAACUUAUUACAAUAAAUAUGGCAUAAGGCCAUCUAAUACGAUAACAUCGGAAGGCUUGGAAUAUAAAGUGAGUCCAUCAACUCCAACGGCAUAGCUGAGCUGCACGGCAAUGACCUAACGAACCUUACUCCUCGUCUGAAAAGUCUGCAACAAAUACGUUACAGCCCGAAAACGGGUCAGCACAUGGAAUAUGCUGGCAAUAUAACACGGUAGAGCAAGAACAGAAUAAAUGCUAUCACUACAUGCAUAUUUGGCUGGUGGAAAGCUCCAUGGUUAUAGUUUUGCGAAAAGCCAAUUUUCCCUACAACAAAGGAAUAGAUUUUAUUUAACUAUCAUGGUAGUUGAAACAUCAUUGAGAAGGUUCCUCCAACUCAAUCCCAAUUAAAAGUAAUUAUCAACCCAACAAUAUUAAAUUAAAGUGAUGAGAUACUUAGGAUAAUCCAAGUACUAGAUACUCAAGAUGUCCAUAACCGGGGACACGGCUAAUCAUGAUUAGAUUGUACACUCUGCAGAGGUUUGCGCACUUUUCCCCACAAGACUCGAUCUCCUCCGUUGGAUUUCUCGCACUACAUGGUGUUUGAGAAACGGAUGACCGAGACACAGUCUUUCAGAAGCAUUAACUCUAACCCCGGGUGGACAGUACCAACCUACAUCCCUCUAUAUCUGCUAGCCUACCAAUGGAAGAGGUCAUGCAACUUACUCAACUAUGCUAGAGCCCAUAAUAGCUUGUGGCUGCACACGGAAGUUUCUAGCACGAAAUAUCUCAGUUCCCUUUGAGCCUGGGUGGCGGAUCUUAGGAUGAUCACACGGGUACUCCGGGAUAUCCUAGGACAACACUGGAUUCUCCAGGUUCCCGACAAGCAAUCCACCCAGAUGUGUAUUAAAGUUGCCACCUUAAGUUGAACCAUUAAUUAACAAACUCACAUCUGUCAUGGAUUCACUCACCCAAACCACGUCUACGAGCAUAGCAUAGCAAUAUAAGCAUUACGUAGAAGUAACUCCCAAGGGUUUUAUAAUAACAGGGCAAUAGGUUCUACCUCGUCAACUACUUCCCAAUACCCACAAGUUAAUCACAUCCUAUUCAUGUAGUGUUUGAGGAUUGGAGCUAAUGCACAAAAACUGGGUAUGAAAAGACAAUGAUCAAUGUGUUACUUGCCUUGUUGAUGAUCCGCAAAACGUAGGGACUCGUAGUAGCACGCUUCGCACUCCAGGAAUUCUAUCGCAAACAAACAAUAGCAUACAUAAGCAAUAAAUCAUAGAUGAAUGGGCAAAACUCAAAUAAGAAGAAUUGACCAGAAAGUUCAACUUAAGAACUCCGGUUUGCAAAAAGAAUCAAAUCAAACGGAGCAACGAAACUCAAACUACGAAAGAAACAAGAUCCGAUUACUAAUCUGGACUAAAGUCAAAUUUUACAGUACCAAAAUCUUGUUCAAGUUGAUUAAACAGAAAGAGGGUUCCGAGACAAAGAUCUAGGCGCUUGAAUCGCCUGAUUCCGAUAAACAAGCGAAAAGAUAAACUAAAACGAAAAUCGGAUCAGAAAUCGCGAUCGAAAAUAAUCGAGAAAAACCCGAGAAAAAUAAAAAAUGACGAACAGGCUAACGAACGAACGUUCGUUGUCUGUGACUAACGGGCGAAAACUGUUCGUUAAAACGAAUGUACGGACGAACGUCCACAAAAUAAACUAAACCGAGAAAACCGGCGAACCGAUCUAAAAAAACGAACUAGGGUUUUUUUAAUAAAACCGACAGUUUUUACCAAAACCGAAAAAAACCGAGCGGCUCCGGAUCGGAUCGGCGGCGGCGGCUCCGGCGGCGAGGCGGCGGCUCCGGCGGCGCGAGGUGGGGCUGCGGGGUGGCGGCGGCGGCGCAAGGCGAGGCGAGGCGCGGGAGAUUCCGCCGAAAAUAAAUCCUAGAAAAAUAAAUAAAAAUUUAAAAAUGCCAAAACAAUUCACCAUCUAAAUAAAAUAUUUAGAACAAGAUGAACAUUUUCUUGGCCCUAAAAUGCAAUUUUGAAAACAUGCAAUUUUUCUAAUGCAAAUAAAAUAGCAAUAAAAUCCGAAUAAAAUCAAAUAUUUGAUUUUAAUAUUUUCCUCCAAUAUUUCAUUUAUUUUGAAGAAGUCAUAUUAUCUUCGCUCAUAUAUUUUAAUAUGAAAUAUUUUUCGGAGAGAAAUAAUUAAAACAAAUAAUCCUCGUUUCAAUAUUUGAUAAAACUCAAAUAUGAAAACAGUGAAAUCCCCAACUCUCUCCGAGGGUCCUUGAGUUGCUUAGAAUUUCGACGAUCGCGAAACGAAAUGCAACAAAAAUAUGAUAUGCAUGAAUGAUCUAUGUAUAACAAUCCAAAUUGAAAAUUUGGGAUGUUACAAACCUACCCCCCUUAAGAUGAAUCUCGCCCUCGAGAUUCGGGUUGGCUAGAAAAUAGGUGUGGGUGGUCUUUGCGAAGAUCAUCCUCUCGUUCCCAGGUGGCUUCAUCCUCGGUAUGGUGGCUCCACUGAACUUUGCAAAACUGGAUAACCUUGUUGCGGGUGACUCGGCUGGCAAAUUCAAGAAUCUUGACCGGCUUCUCCUCAUAGGUCAGAUCACUGUCCAACUGAAUCGCUUCUAGAGGAACUAUAUCUCUUAGUGGUAUAUCGGCCAUCUCAGCAUGACACUUCUUCAACUGUGAAACAUGAAACACAUCAUGAACUCCUGACAGUCCUUCAGGUAUCUCAAACUUGUAGGCAACCUCUCCCAUACGUUCCAAUACACGAUACGGUCCUACAAAUCUCGGGGCUAACUUUCCCUUAACUCCGAAACGUUUCACUCCUCGCAGAGGUGACACUCGCAAAUAUGCUCUAUCUCCAAUUUCAUAGGUUACUUCCUUGCGUUUCGAAUCCGCAUAACUCUUCUGCCUGGACUGAGCUACCUUCAGUCUAUCGCGAAUCAAUUUAACUUUCUCUUCAGACUCCUUGAUCAAAUCUGGUCCAAACAACUGUCGGCCUCCAACUUCAUCCCACAUCAACGGUGUUCUGCACCUUCGUCCAUACAGGGCUUCGAAUGGUACCAUCUUCAAACUGGCUUGAUACCUAUUGUUGUAUGAGAACUCCGCGUAGGGCAAAUUUUCAUCCCAACUAGAUCCAUAAUCUAGUGCACAAGCUCUCAACAUAUCCUCCAGAAUCUGGUUGACUCUCUCGGUCUGUCCAUCUGUCUGCGGAUGGAAUGUUGUACUGAACUCUAGCCUUGUGCCCAAAGUCUGGUGCAACUGAUGCCAAAACUUUGAGGUAAACUGUGUUCCUCUAUCUGAUACGAUGGUCCUCGGAACUCCAUGCACACAUACGAUCCUGGUCAUGUAUAUCUUGGCCAACUUCGCACUUGUAUAGGUGGUUUUCACAGGGAUAAAGUGGGCUACUUUGGUCAAGCGAUCAACUACUACCCAUACAGAAUCAUAUCCUGAUUUGGUCCUGGGCAAUCCGGUGAUGAAAUCCAUGCCAAGUUUAUCCCACUUCCAUUCGGGUAUCAGCAUAGGUUGUAGCAAUCCUGCUGGCUUUUGAUGUUGUGCCUUCAGUCUCUGACAUACAUCACAUACGACUACAUACUCGGCAAUAUCCUUCUUCAUACCAGUCCACCAGAAACGUUCCUUCAAAUCCAAAUACAUCUUGGUGUUUCCGGGGUGUAUCGAGUAUGGUGAGUCAUGAGCCUCCUGAAGUAUUAACUUCCUGAUCUCUGUGUUAUUAGGCACAUAAACACGGUCCUCAAACCAUAAGGUGUCGUGCUCAUCUUCACGAAAACCUUUGGCCUUUCCUUUGCUCAUUCUCUCUUUUAUCUCGGCAAUCUCUUUGUCAUCCUUCUGAGCUUCUCGAAUUGUUCCUAACAAUGUAGACUGAACUUCCAUUGUUGCAACAAAACCUCUAGGAACAAUCUCCAAUCGAAGUUCCCUGAGAUCCUCUACUAACUCCUUUGGCAAUCCUGUGCUUACGAGGGUGUUAGCAUAACUCUUGCGACUCAAAGCGUCUGCUACGACAUUGGCCUUGCCUGGAUGAUAGUGAAGUUUCAUGUCAUAAUCCUUUAUAAGCUCCAACCAUCUCCUCUGCCUAAGGUUCAGCUCCUUCUGUGUGAAAAUGUACUUCAAACUCUUAUGAUCAGUGUACCCAUCACAAUGGUUUCCAAUAAGAUAAUGUCUCCAAGUCUUGAGUGCAUGCACUAUAGCUGCUAACUCCAAAUCAUGCGUGGCAUAAUUCAAUUCGUGCGGUUUUAGUUGUCGUGAGGCAUACGAAACAACUCUUCCGUCCUACAUAAGCACACUUCCAAGUCCUAGGCGAGAGGCGUCACAAUACACUUGGAAAUCCUUGCGUAUAUCCGGCAGAAUCAACACUGGGGCUGUAGUCAAACGUUUCUUUAACUCCUGAAUACUCGCCUCACAUUCUUCCGUCUAUUUAAAUUUGGUAUCCUUCUUCAAUAACUCCUUCAUUGGCUUCGCAAUCUUGAAAAAAUUCUCAAUGAAUCUCCGAUAGUAUCCUGCGAGUCCAAGAAAACUGCGGAUCUCGCUAACUGAAGUGGGUGCCAACCAUUUAGUGACUGACUGAACCUUGGUAGGGUCUACUGAUAUACCUUCUCCUGAUAUAACAUGUCCAAGGAAUCCAACUUCCUUCAACCGAAACUCACAUUUGCUGAACUUGGCAUACAACUAAUGUUCCCUGAGUUUUUCGAGAACUCAACGCAAAUGCUCUUUGUGCUCCUCUUCAUUCUUCGAGUAUACCAUUAUAUCAUCAAUGAACACCACAACAAACUUAUUGAAAUAUUCCAUGAACACCUUGUUCAUCAUGCUCAUGAAGUAAGCAGGGGCGUUAGUCAGUCCAAAUGACAUGACCGUAUAUUCAUACAACCCAUACCGUGUGGUGAAUGUUGUCUUUGGUAUAUCCUUCUCUCAAAUCUUCAGCUGAUGAUACCUGAUCGCAGAUCGAUCUUCGAAAACACUUUAGCUCCUUGCAGCUGGUCAAACAAAUCAUUGAUCAUCGGCAGUGGGUAUUUUUUCUUGAUCGUCACCUCAUUCAACGCCCGAUAAUCAACAACCAUUCUCAAGGAUCCAUCCUUCUUCUUAACCAAGAGCACUGGGGCUCCCCACGGUGAUGAACUUCGUCGAAUGUAACCUUUCUCCAAUAACUCCUUGAUCUGCUUCUUAAUCUCCUCCAGAUCAUUUGCGGGCAUCUGGUACGGUCGCUUCGAUAUAGCACUACAAAAAAAAUACACUUCCGUGAUGAUACGUGUUUGUCACAGUAGGUCGCAUUUUCUGUCAUGCAUGUACAUCCAUGACGAUUUUAUGACAGAAUCAAGAUAGUCAUACCUGUGCUGUCGUAGAAGUGUUCCAUGACAUUACCAAAAUUAUCAUCACGGAAGUGUCCACUUCCAUGACGAUAAAUCCCGCGUCACAGAAGUGCUUUCGUCAAGGGUGGCCGACGCGUGGCAUCCACCGUAACGGAACGCCGUUAAGCUAUCGGGUAGGGUUUUGGAUCUGAUAACCCGUUAACAGCCCCGACCAAUGGGGAUUUUCCACGUGUAAAAUCAUCAUUGGCUGGAGGAAAGACGUGUCGGCUCAUCGUUGGGACAGAUGUCAUCCACUCAUUGGACAGAAGGCGCCUAUGAUACGUCGACACGUGGCACGGCCCAACAGAGGCCCAUUCCUGUGAAAAGGCCGGCCCGUUUGACUUGGUCAAAAGGUGGCGGGCCAGCCCAUGUAAAGCCUGUUAACGGCAUGUUCGCAUAUAGCCCAUUUACAGCCCGCUAACCCAAGGCCCGUUACGCCCUAUCCGAAUUAGGCCCAGUAGCGUCAUCUGGGCCACCCAAUAUGAUUCUAGCCCAUUUUCACUUCUGGCCCAUGUAUGGCCCAUGACGUCUUUCGGCCCAUAUGAGGCCCUAUCUAACUCUUGGUCUAUUAACGGCCCGUGGUGAAACUGGCCCGUAAUGAACAGUGUAUCACUUUACACCCAUUAACUGCCCGUGGUGAAACUGGCCCGUAAUGAACAGUGUAUCACUUUAUACCCAUUAACGGCCCGUUAUUCCGUUGGGCCAUUUCCAGCCCAUGUUAUCUUUCGGGCUUCUCAGAGCCCAUUUAUUCUUGGUCUCAUUUCCAGCAUUCGUUUACUUACGGCCCGUUACUGUCAUUUUCUGCUUGUGGGCCAAAUUCAGCCCGUGGUUACAGUCGGCCCGUUUGUGGUCCGUUAAUACGUUGGGCCGUUUUCAUAGCGUCAUCAAAUACGGCCUAUUAAUGAUGGCCCGUUAUGGUCGGCCCAUGAACGGACGAUUCCAACUCUAGCCCGUUUAUGGCCAUAAUGCGGCCUGUUAUUGGCCCAUGUUUGGCCAAUCGAUCAUACUGCCCGUAUAAGGCCCAUUGAUGAUACGGCCCGUAGAAGGCCCAUUGUUUCUACGUCCCGUAGAAGGCCCACUGUUUCUACGGCCAGUAGAAGGCCCACUGUUUCUACGGCCCGUAGGAGGCCCAGUGUCACUAUAGUAAAUAUUAGCCCAUGGUUAUUGUGGCCUAGUUUUAAAAAAUAGGUUAUUGCAGCCACUAGCAAACCGCGGAAAAAGAACUGCAACGACUACAAGCAAACAAAUAGACAAGACAACAAGGAAAUAAAUAAGCAAGCAACUUACGCUAGGCUAUCACGGCUAUCACACAUAUUACAUCCACUGGGCAUCAAAGUUCGCCACCAGUGCAAAUAAACGCGCCGACAAAAGAAUAUACAAAAUUGAGAGCACUUCAGAAGGCACUAGGCCUGGCCACGUCGGCCCCCCCCCCCAAACAGCUGAAGAAGCUGAGUAGACCUCAGUUGUGUCAACGAUUGAUGCAUCAACACUGGAUUUAAGGCAUGAUGGUGCGCACAGCAGUCCUCUGACAUCUUCAUUGCAUCUUUGACUUCAAGUCGGAGCUGAGCUGAAGCAAGCCUUUCCGCUUUAAGUUGAGACUGAAGAAGUCGAACUGAUUGAGGCAGCGACUGCACAGAGGUUGUCUCACACCUGCUGGUGAGUAGCUUCAACUCACUGUCUUCAUCAAGACAGGACCUUGGGGUCAUCUCGCUGUCCUCAAGAUGGUUUGGCUCACUAUCUUCCCUAAAGUUCUGCCUGGCGUAAGAGAUACGAGUCUGAAAGAGAAACAAGGAUACACGUAACAGGUUUCACAAUUAUAUAAGCAAAUAAAUGGAUCUGUUCUGCAUAAGGAACAUGUUUUUACAACUACAAUUUGAAACUGGUAGUUGUUGCAAACAUCCAAUCAGAUGUAAACAACAAAGCAAACAGCAGUGGAGGAAAUGCUGCCUAUCCAAAUCUAUACUAGAACAAAGUUUGAAGGCUUGAGAAGGAUGAACAUACAUUACAUGUUAACACGGGUUGGACAAAGCCCUUCUCCAUGUUGAUGGAAGGAUAAUUCAAUAAAUUCCCCAAAGAAAAUUCUUUAUAAGCGUUGCCAUUAUUCUACAUUUUGCAAAGAGUAAAUAUAGAUCAAAUAAUAUUGGAAGAAACAGAGGAUAAUGAAGCUCAGGUGCAGACUGAUGAUACAUAAUCAAAUAGCAAUUAAUUAAGUACAGCGUUACAAGGCAAAAGGGAGAGAGGUACUGACAAGAGCAAUGCAGAGCCCAUUAUUGUUUUGAGAUCGUAUGAUCCUUUGAGCAAGGAGAUUCAUCUGAAAUUAGUUUUCAUACAAGAGAGAAGGUAAGGCACGAGCAGAAAUUUAGGAGUUCAAAUUUUGAAUUGAUAUCAUAGACAGUACGUGACGCUGGGCUCCCAGCAGUUCUAAUAGGGGUUUGGCCACUGGAGUAGGGGUAAAGUGUGGUAUAGUUGGGCCUGUGUUUUCUGUGGCUGCUGAUCUAUCUGAUUUAACAGGUAUCACUACCUUUUCCAAAUACCUAGUUUGUACUCCUUGAGGAUCUGCACUCACCCUCUUCCUUUUGGACAUCUAUUACGAAAGAACAACAUUUGACUAGAAAACAUAGUGUGACGACACAUGGAAUAGGUACAGAAAAUGGAUAGGUAUGGCAUAUACUCAUAUAUGAUGCUUAAACUAAGCAGAUGGUGUAACAAAGUAGAACUAAUGCAAGAGGUCAGAUGCAAAAUAUGUGCGACCAAUACAACUUUGCAAAGUUAGAGCAAGCACCUUGAUGGGUGAAUAAGAUAGGCCAUCCUCCACCAUGCCAAGUUUGUUAGCCAGUGGAUCGUUCCGCAAUAUUCCUCUCGUGCGCCCAUUCUCAUAUUCAUUUUGAUAAUGUUCAAUAUCUGACAUGCAUGAAAACAUAAAAACAAGUGAGAUUUUCUUUGUAAUGCACAAGUGAUUCUAAUCCAAUACUGCCUCCCUGUAAACCUCUUUGUGCUAUCUCUGCAAUUCUUUUAAAAGAUGCCACUGUAAUUUGUUGUGUUCAUUAAUAUAAUGUGGCCUACUACUCAAAAUAUGAGAGCUCCAGAAGUGAUGACACUUCGCAGAUGAUAGCUUCAACAUAUAGUAAAGAAGAACAAGUCGACCUGACCUGACAGAUUCAAAAUAUACUAAGGGAGAACAACUCGACCUGACCAGUCGACCGCAAGAGAAGAGUAUCAUCUUAAAGAAGAGCAGAAGAGCAAGCAGAUUGAAGAUAUUACAAGUCUUUCAAUACAAUGUCGGUUGGCCACCCAUGAUGAACCAGAGUGCACAGAGAAAUACUAUUCUUUCAGGUCUCUCCAUAUGUGGCUCACAUGCAUUUUGAAACUAAAGUAGGAACAUUUAGCUAACCAAUUAAACAUCUCUCAGUUUUACUAUAUCAGCAAUAUCAUCAGAUAUGAAUUUGUACAACUUAGCUUGUUUAGCUCGAUGGGUGGAGCAGUGCUAUUACGACACGAACCACGUAGGCUGAUUGUGGUCAUCAUAAAAUGGGGAAAACAUAAGCAUGAUGAGUACAGUGUUGACCGUGGCAGUGGGAUAGCAGAUCUGAAGCUGCAAACCGCGCAAAGGGUAGUUAGCAACCGAUGUUUGCUUUGAAAUAACAACUAAGAUUUGGUAUGGACAAGAAAGUAUGGUCAACAAGUGACAAAGAAAUGCAAUUAUGCUGUCUCUCUAUAUGUCGCGACAUGCAUUUGGAAACUCAAGUGGGACCUUUAGCUAACCAAUUAAAAGUGUCGGUUAACUAAUAUCAGUAUCAUAUCACAAUCAUAUUUGAACAACUAAGCUUUCGAAUUCUGAGUGUUGUGUUGUUUAGCUUGAAGGGUGGAGUAAUGCUAGUAUGACAUAAAGCACCUACGCAGAUCAUAGUAGAGUAGAUAAAAGGGGAAAACCCUAAGCAUCAAGAGAAAAAUCAGGAAAGUGGAACUAGCUGGACCAGUGGGUGGCGCACAUGCUUUUCGAAACGAAUAUAGGAACAUUAGGUGACCAAUUAAACGUUCUCUGUUUUAGUGAUAUGAGCAUCAUAUCAGAUUCGUAUUUCAACACGUAAGCUUUGGGUUGAGGUCUUGAGGAGCAGUGCUAGCACGACACGAAGCACCUACGAUGAUGGUAGUGAAUAUAAAGGGGGGAAACCAUAAGCUUUACGAGUAGAGUGUCCGUGCCAUGGCGGAUCUGAAGGUGCAAACCGGACAAAGCUACUUCGCAACCAAUGUUAGCUUUCAACUAGCAACAAGAAAAGUACAGUAAACAAAUUACGAUCUAUUUUUGGGAGAGAUCAAUAAAUUAAGCACAUAUGGAAGAGUACCACCUCUCUUCCGACGCCGUGUAGGCCUAUGCUGAUACGUUGAGGGUGCUGCGGGUGCGAUGGCUGUCGGUGGCGGGGAAGAAGACUUUAGACGGCAGACGGCCGGGUCGGGGGAUAUAUCCUGUUGCCGUGGACGAGGCGGUCGUAGGAGCGGCAACGGCAAGGUGGACAACGGCGCCGAUGAAGCGAGAGGAGGCGAUAAAAGGAUCCUGGUCCAGCGCCGUGGAUGAGAGAUGUCCAUCUCUUGUAGUGGACGACAGGGUAGGGGUAGCGGCUUCGGCAAGGUGGAGGAUGGGGUGCCGGACGGAGGAGGCUGGCCGCAGUGCGGAGGUUGUCAUGCCGCCGACGGUGUAUGAAUGGGGAAAUGGAGGGGAGGGGGAUCUCAAACUUUGGGACGCGCUUCUCUAAAAUGGGGGAAAGUUACGAACUUAUCCCCCGUUUAAAAUUUCGGACAUCGCGUCGGUUGGGGAUAGGACGAUAAUCUCGCAUCUCCCAAAUAUUUGCCGGUAACUAUUUCACGCGAGGAGAGGGUGUUUUGCCGGCCACGGUUGGCGCCCACGGUGUAUUAACGGGCCUGACAGGUAGGGCGGUUGUGUCACGUCUGAUGGAAGUUACACAUCUGCCCCUAUUUAAAAUAUUAGCCUACAUCGAUUUCGGACAAGGAGAGUUUGUUUUGCCGCCCACCGUGUAUGAAUGGGGAAAUGGAGGAAGAGACACAUGUCUUUCGGACGAGCUUGAAUCAAAUGUGUUUUGCCGCCCACGUUUGGCGCCCACCGUGUCUGAAUGGGCUCCGAGGCCGUCGUGUCACGUCUGAUUGAAGUUACUAGUCUACCCCUAUCGACAGCAGUGUAAAUCCGGUCGAUAAGGAUGUCAAGUGUCAGGGGUAGAUAGUAAUUUCCAUCUCGCAAACACUUGCUUCGGGCAGCCCACAAAUUAUAGUGGGUGUUUAGCCGCUUCGUUCAAAACUUGGGAGAAUUAGCAUUCACGUUUGCCCUGGGACCUGGCAAACUAAAUUCAAAUCCAAUUUGUAUUCGAUUACGAAUAUCCACAGAUAAUUAUAUGUUUUGUUAUUUAUUUCUUCAAAACCACAACAAAGAUUUAUUCCACCUUUAUAUAUGGUUAUGAUUUAGAAAUGCCGUGAUUUCGAAUUCAGUAGGUUGGAUACACUCUGAAUCAAACAGUUAUUUCAUCCAAUACAAUAUGCCCAUACGAAAAACAGUUCACCUUAUGUAAAUCAUACAAGUACUGAGGAUUACCUCGCCUAAAAAAUUCGGAUCAUUACAACACAUGGACAACAUAGGGGGUCUUGCAACAUAAUCCAUUCAGAGACAUGACACAACAUGCAAGUACAAUAAUCUAAUGAUAACUGGUAUCUAAAGAAGAACCGGGAUUACCUUGGGCUUCAGAUAGCAGAAACAGCAGGACCUCCUCCAUCUUCAAAUGCAACAUUCUUACUUCCUCCAAUUCUUGGGUUGCUUGCAUAAUGCGUGCCGCUAAUUCCGUAAUUUCCAGCCUCAAGAUAAAGAUGACCUCAUUCAUGGCAGCCACACCAUCUCUUUCUGCCUCUAGUAGAGCCUCAAGCACUAUAAUAUCUGUGCUCAGACUGCUCUCUGGCGGUGUUGCCUCUGAACUGCUACCAUCUGGUAACAUGGAUGGCGCACUGCUUCCAAAAAAUAGAUUCUGGGGUUGUACAUUGUGUCCUAGUGUGAACGGCAUCCUGAAAGGUUUCUGCUGGACAUCAGUAAGAGAUAGUUAUCGUAUGAUCCAGGCAGUAAGCUUACAUGGUAAACGACGGACGAAUUAUUGCCGAGCAUGGCAAACUAUAUUUAAAUGGUUCGAAGCAGCAUCAGCCGAAAAGAAAUUAAAAUGGUAAGAUGAAACAAGGGAUGUAAGUGGCAAAUAAACGACAUCCGCCAGUCCCAUCUAGUUAGUUUUUGCUACCUCCCUAGUUCAUUUUCCUCAAAAAACAAAAAACUCUUUUGAACUAUCAUACCACUAGUGGACUUUAAUCGGGAUUAAACGGGACCCAGUUGACAUCCCUAGUUGAAAGGGAGUGUACAACCGCUAUAUUUAAGUUGCCAAGGCAUCUAAGCAGUUGAAAUAAUCUUAGAAAGCACUUAAUAGUGUGGCCUCAUAUAAACUACGAAGAAAAUCUUAAUAGUGCAUGCAUUUCUUUACGAUAGUACAGCAGGCACUGCUGACAUAUUGGCCAACUCAGGUAUAGCGUAACAACAAAUAAGCAUUCGAAUCAAGCACUACAGCAAAGCAGACAACUGAACUAUUUGUAAUUCGGUAGGAUUACACGUUGAGGGCACAAUCCAAGAAAGCAGCCCACUCGCAUUACAUUUCACAUGUACUAAAACACACUGGCUUACCAUAUGUUGCUGUGAAGCCUAGCUGCUGUUGCAAUGUUCUUUGAAGAUAUCGCCAGCAUCCCGUGGUUGCAAAUCUAGUUGUUGUAGUUUAUUCUGCACCAUCUAUUUAGGUAAAAUUAAUUUUAAUCGCAUGCACUGGUCCGAAUUGAUCAUCAAUGGUUCAUCUAAACUAAUGAAAGAAGGGUUUGUGCAUACACGACAAUAUAUCUGCUUCCAUCUAUUUUAUGCUUGUUCGAGGUGCCAGCCCCAAAAGAACAAAUAUUUUGCUUGAUGGGGUUGGCAACUCCAUAAUUAAUAGAAGCAUCAAAUUAGUCAUGCAACUUGGGAAGAUCAAGAACACACAAACAAGUAAUGAACAGAGGCUCGGAGCAGUGAUGUAAUAGUUAGCAUCAGAAAAUGUAGGGUAAAACGAACAAAAAGCAGCGGAACCACAUGCUAGUUUGCUGCUGUGUAAUUAAGCAUAGAGAACAUUAAGCAGUCUGAUGGAACCAACAGGUGGCAUCAGAACAAAACUAAAGCAUAUUAACUAUAUGUGCACUGGUAUGUAAUUUAGCACAUGUAACAUGUUCACUGCCAGAAGUAUGGCCCUAUAGGUGCAAGCAGAAGAAUGCGUCUCAUGAAAAACUGAAUGAUGCCCUGAAGAAAUUCAAAGGUGCGGUGCUUAUGCUAGGAAAGUGAACGUAGGCGCCGGCUGUUGGAUAAUAGUACCUGAUUCUCGGCAGUGUACGGGUAUCGUUGUCAUACUUGAUAGCUAAGGAUCGUCGAUGGUGCUCGUGUUGCGGUUGAGUUUGGGCCGGCUGUCGCCGUCGCUGAAGCGGCUCCGGUGCUACGGUUGCGGCGCCUGCCGACAUACAAGAAAGCUCAUCUGUGGUAAGUGAACAGUUGCACGAUAAAGAGAAAAACCGAAGGAGUACAAAUCAAAAUAACCUGAUGAGGCUGCAGCGUCGGUAAAGCAGGGCCGGUGGAGUUGAAUAUGGCGUCCGUGGAGCGGGUCCGGUGCAGUGGACGAAGGCUUCAGCGGGUGCGUUGUACAGUGCUUUCGGUGAGGCGGAUCUGUUGCGGCAGACGAGGGCUUGUAUGAAGGGCCAGCGAAGGGGCUGACGAGGGAGUCAGUGAAGGGCCUACGCUGUGGUGGACGAGGGCGCCGGUUAAGCCGAUCCGGUGCGGUGGACCAUGAUGGCGGUCAAGGAUAUCUAGGGCGGUGGACAAGCCAGUCGCUGAAGCGGCUACGGUGAAGUGGUGAGUUGGCAGUUGGGGGUUCCAAGGUGCGGAAGGUAGAUCCGGCGGGGUGUGAGGUCCACAGCUGCGGCGGAGGACUAGAUUCGGCGGCUUGCCGUGGUUGGGGGGUCGGGGAGGGGCUCUGGGAAGAAUGUUGGGGGCAAAGAGGGGAAAACAAUGGAGUUACCAAAGCAGCCCUUUUCCGUUCAUGUGGCAAGGGUAAAACAGGAAUAUCGCAGGGCUAAACUUUCGGGCGCGUGAUAUUUCGAUGUGAGCGGGAAGUUUGAAAGCUUUUGGCGCCUAAAAUUAUAAGUAUUCUGCUCUCGUACGGCCGACUAUGAUAUCAUGGCUGACAAUUUGUUUGUUUUGCACGCAAAAAAAUGUGCAAGUUUUGAAAAUCAAUGUCUCCAACUCGAAACCUAGAUUGUCCAUUCAAUUCAAAUAUGGAUCAUUGAGCUACUACAAGCAAAUACCAUCAUUCGGUCCAAUUCAAAUGAAAUUCCAAAUGUGUAUAUCCUAAAUAUGAUGACAAAAGCAAAAUUGUGUAUGUGUAUGAAUAAAGUGGAUGAUUAUAAAGCUUGAACAUGCCCGUGUGUGUAUAUCUCUAGGUUUGAUAUAUGAAUUUGAAAUCACGAAAUCCCGGCUUAAAAAAUGUACCUCCGUUUAAAUGAAUUACAAAAGCUAAUGAUGGAGUCGAAUUCCAAAAUUCCAAUCUUAGGUUUGUAAUUCUGGUACAUCAAGGUAUAUCACGCAUGUUCAAAAGUAUCGUUAUCUCAUAGUACAAAUNNNNNNNNNNNNNNNNNNNNNNNNNNNNNNNNNNNNNNNNNNNNNNNNNNNNNNNNNNNNNNNNNNNNNNNNNNNNNNNNNNNNNNNNNNNNNNNNNNNNNNNNNNNNNNNNNNNNNNNNNNNNNNNNNNNNNNNNNNNNNNNNNNNNNNNNNNNNNNNNNNNNNNNNNNNNNNNNNNNNNNNNNNNNNNNNNNNNNNNNNNNNNNNNNNNNNNNNNNNNNNNNNNNNNNNNNNNNNNNNNNNNNNNNNNNNNNNNNNNNNNNNNNNNNNNNNNNNNNNNNNNNNNNNNNNNNNNNNNNNNNNNNNNNNNNNNNNNNNNNNNNNNNNNNNNNNNNNNNNNNNNNNNNNNNNAGAGAAGUCGUUCUCUCCCCCAAACACCAACACACGAGCACAUUAACACCCCUCUCUCUUGUAAAGUCCGGAUCCCAACAUAGGUCUCUAUCACUUUGUCUCUCGGGCAUGCACACAUCUCUUACCUCACUCUCUAGGUCUCCCGCUAUCUCUCUUACCCAAGCAAACGCACUAUGUAGAGUGUAUAUUUCCCAUACACACAAAACGUCGCCCCCAAACGUCUAUCUCCCUAGUCAUUUGGUUCUCGCGCACUCACCUCACACACCACCCCCACUGCAAACAAGCACACUUUGUCUCCUUGUGCACCACUCUCCUCUUUCUAUCUCUCCCACAUGCGGACCCGCCCCAGCUCCUUCCCUGUAUACAUAUAUGUCGUGACUCUUUGCCUAGCUCCCUAAUGUAUAAUCGUUCUCGAUUUUGCACAUUGUUCUCUACACCAUCUAUUCUAGAUCUCUCAUGAAGUCCCUAUCACACACACGAUGACUCGCUUCCCUUGCGUCUCCGUUCAUAGGCCAAUUUCGGACAACAUCAACAUUGUCUCCCUAUCUAUACGCCAUUUAUGGACACAAACGACCCCUCUCGCCCCCUCUCUUCCUCUCUCUCUCUCUCUCUCUCUCUCUCUCUCUCUCUCCGUCGCUAGCUCUCUCUUUCUCUCGCUCUCACACCCCUCUCCCACACACACACUCGAUGUCUCUUCCAAAUAGUCUGCUCCCCCCGCCCGCACCCGUGCUAUCUCGCUACUACACAUGUCACACCAUUCCCCCCUUUCCUUAUACUAGGUUUACAUCAUCAGUGGUCUCUCUACUCCACGUACACUCUCUCCCUCUCACACACAAACGCGUGCACAAACACACACAGACACGCACAAACACCCAUUUAUCUGGAUCCUCAUCUCUCCUCAUGUCCGCAUGUGUAUCUCACACACUCACUCUCUAAUUAUGUAUAUGUGUCUCCACGUUACACAACACAAAGCCCCAUGUACAUGUCUCUCUCUAUCCUCCACACACAUAGACACAAAGAAUCUGUUAUCAUUACCUCAGUCUCUAACAUAUCACACACGCACACUGUCUCUCUCUCUCUCUCUCGCAAACACGCUCAACAAGGGUUUUCCCGUGAAUAACUUACCGUCUAUUCACCAACAGUCGUGGCAGUACGGCGAACACGAGACGUGAAAAAGAAUAAAUCUACACGUGCUUAGACCACCUAGUAUGACUACUAGGACUAGAGCAAGCCAAAAAGCGCGCCGCCGUCACCCCCUCCUUGUCGGCGACGGGAAAAUCUUUGUUUUACACAGUCGAGAAGUCAUUGUGCUAAGGCCCCACAUGCCGAGGCGUUGAAUAGAAUGUAGAUGCUAGUUUACGGAAGCAAAUAUCGAUAAUACGUUUGUAUCUCCAUACUUAUAUUUCUUCUCUUAUAAAAAACCGAGUUGGUGAUGAUGGUACGUGUGCCAUCUUGCAAUAUAGACCGUCCAAUCUAUAUCUGACGGAUGGAAACUAAACUAAAAGAUACCCGCACCCCUCUCCACAUUUGCAGACAAGGCCUUCCCUCGUUCAUCCUUAUCUCCAACAAACCUCAUUGUUGAGCAAUUAAGAAAGGAAGCCUCUGGAACAAACUGGCCUGGUGGCCGCUGCCAGCGUCGUCAAUCCCCAUGCCUCCGCUCAGUCCGACCACCAACCACCACCACACCCCACUCCUCUUCACCUUAUCUCAUAUUUCUCGAGAUAUCAUUAGUUUUUACACAUGGGAUUACUCCCGCAAGGGUCAAUCACAACAAGUGUUUUAUAAAAAAAUGCAUCUUGAUGUUCCGUGCAAUGCACGGAUCUUGCUAGUACUCCUACACAAGACUAAGUUGGUGAUGCUGGUGUGUCUGCCAUCCAUCGUUUCUGACCAUUAGAUCUACAUCUAACGAUUGUGAGGUAAGUUGUUGCCUUUUCUCACCAACAUCCCACUUGUCUACCAAUUUGCAGAAAAACCCAUAAUUAGUAUCUUAAAACCAACCACAUCCCUCCCUGGCCUCACCAAAACAGCCCAAGGAAUAUAUUCUAAUUGAAACAUAAUAUAUCUCUAGUGACAUAUGUAUAUCAAAAUUAGAGUGUUUUGUACCAAGUUUGUGACUAAGUAUUAUUCUAAUUAUGAUUCGUUGCAACGGACAUGAACAUUGCUAGUAUUUCCAACCAUACAUUUUUCCUAGUAUUCCAUAGUUUCGAGUUUUCCAUCAAGAUAUUAGUCACUCAUGGUUGAUAUUUACUUUCAAUCAUGUACACAUAUGCACUAUGUAACUAGCCUUGCUUAUUGGCUUCCAAAGCUUAACUUUCACUCCUACUUACAAUAUGUAGAGUAUUUAACAAAAAACUACCACUUUCGACCAGCCCUAGGAAGAAUCUAUUGUACAAAAAUAGCAAAAACAUACCCAAAAUUUCUUAAUCCACGCCAAAAACUACCUAGUACUCCUACCGAUUAGGUUCGUUUAAACCCAUUUAUGACAGGGUUGGCCUACACGUCCGUGCUGAGAGGCAGCUUAAACCAACACAUUUUGUUUGACCGUUGACACGAGGGACCCACAUCUGACCUUCCAUCAUGUUAUUCCCCCUCAAAUCAUUAUUUUUCCUGAACAUUACUUCAAACAGUACUGAUGCGUGUUCGUCGGUGGCGCCGGUGAUGAGCGAGUUGGCCGCCGCUCCGCCGGACAGGCCGGACGCCGCGCUGGCCUCCGCAUGGGUUGGCAGGCUGGCCCGAGUGUGAGUCACGAGCGAGCAAGCCGCCGCGCUGGCCUUCGCUCGGGCCAGAUGGCUGGCCUUAGCGCGACACGCACGAGCAAGCCGCCGCGCUGCCGUGCCAAUCUAGCUAGCAAACCUUGCAGACAAGCAGCUGGACGGAGCUAUCUUGGCUAGAUAGCGGCCGCGAGCGCCGGACGGAGCUGGCAUCCGGGCUGCCGCAACAUGGGCUCCGCACCGCCGACGGUUUUGACCUCGCCUUCUGCCGGCGGCGGUAGCUGCGUCCCGUGGCCGAGGAUGACUAGGUGGACGGGCCGGAGGGAGGAGGUCACUCGAGGAUUUUUGCUGGUAAGAGCAUGUACAAUGGUUGAUAAGGUAGUCUUAUCUUAAGUCUGCCACGUAUGCAAGUGGUAGUAGUUUCUUGGCAUUUUAGUGGUUUCUUGCAUUAUUAGAGCAAGUACAAUAGAGCUGAGUCAGCGGACUAUAAGAAAUAAACUAGUAUAUUUCUGCUUAGUUGGAGGAAAGAGAAGAGGAGAGAGAAGGUAAGCGGGCUCUUCGUGAAGAGCCAGCUCUAGCACGUGCUCCUAGGCACUUUGUGAGAAUGAGAAGUGGGCCACAUAAUAAAAAAGUAGUACACUCUUUUGAUCUAUUAUUGUACAUGUUGGCUAUAAGAUGGGCUGUAGAUGACAUGGCACUGGCUUAUAGCCAGCAGCUGGCUAUACUAUUAACCAUUAGGGGUUUCUUGUAAGGAACAAUGUACGUACUACUAGCGACAAAAUGCGAUUCUAGGUUGCGCUGUACUCCAACGAGUACUACUAAUGGUCGCGGGAGUGUAUACCUCGUUUUGUGGGUUCGAUCCCGGCCGAACGCACGGCGGCCUUUUUUUUAAAUAGUACUACUACACUUCGCUGUGAGCCGAUAUUUUAUACGGGUAGUUUGAGUUUUGAAGUCAAACGGGCGUGCAGCCCCACAAUCUCGGUGCACUGGACAGCCUAGCCACGUGAACGGGUUUUCCCUCCCAACAUCCCGUGGCUCGCGUGCUCGCCCUAGCCGCAUCUCGCUUGCAGCUUCCAGCUAGUAGCAUAUUUAAACUAGCGCCUCCCAAUUAAGCCCGAGGAGCCGGAAAAGCCUGGCGGGGCAUUGGGAACUGUGCAAUAUGGCUCUGUACGUAAAGUGCUCUACUACUAAUCUGUAGCUUGUGGCGUUGCACGCAUGGACUUCACUCCAUUAUCGGCUCUACUAUAAAAGAAAUUCCUCUUGACGUGUUUUUUUUGAAACGAAGGCAAAAGCUUUGCUUCAUCUCAUUCAUAAAGAAGGAACUACUAACAAAGUUCGACAAGAUCCAUUACACCUCCACAAAUGGAAGCGAAAAGCCUAGUCUCGCUGUAUCAAAUAACUCAAAUGUUCUGCCUCCGCAGUAACCGUCGCUGAUAAACAGGCUGCUAGUGUGUGCGUGAGAGGAGCGGCUGAGUAGGCCAGCUACAUGAGAGGAGCGGCUGAAUAGAUCACCGAGAGUACCCACUAGGGCACUACGCAGGUGUACUUCCCCUGCAUUGAUAGUACAGCGAUGGUUCUAGAGAACAGUAGUACCCUCCACUUCCAACUGUAGCUCCUUGGCCCUGAGAUUCAAGAGUUCAAAACUGGUGCACUAUACUAGACUAGACUAGAAGUACAGUACAUCGCACUACUAGUUGAGAAAAGUAGUACGAGUACUGCUACAGUACGAGUACAUACUCCUCCGUCACAUAAUGUAAGACGUUUUUUGACACUAGUUGGCGUGUACAAAAAAUGGCAAAAACAUACCCAAAAAUUCUUAAUCCACGCCAAAAACUACUACCUAGUGCCAAAAAUUUCUUACUAGUGCUAUUAUUUACAGUAUAAUGCAAUCCCAUAACGUUCCAUAAUGCUAGUACUAGUAGUAAAUAAUAGCCUCACCCCUUCGCUGAGGAACGAUCUACAGUUGGAAGGGACGAGGCCCUACGGUUACUACGCUCUUAUCUCCUCCUCGCCAGUCCCCCUCCCCCCGAAGAGAAGGCAGUUCAUCGCUGCACCCAUGGAUUCGCCAGGCGGUUCUCCUCCUCGUCGGGGCUGGGAGACCUUGGACGACGAUCCUCUGGGAGAAAUCGCACGCCGCUCCGACGUCCUCACCGCCGCAAGACUCGGUGCUUCCUGCACCAACUUUUUCAAGACGCAGCUUAAACAGGCUUGGGAAAAGGCCAUGCUUGUUGGUCUUCCAUGCGUCCUCGAGGAGAAGGUUCUUCUAUGGGACAAUCCUUCGAACAGUCCACCACUCCCUGGCCAUGGUUGCACAUUGACUCCGCUAGAGUUGCCGACGUUGAGAGGUAGUCGGAUUUUGUCCGAUGAGCAGGUCAGUAAUGGAGUUUGAUCAUGUAGUACUUAGUUAUUCCAUUUCCAUCCCGUAAUUUCUCCGCUGCCCACCGUCUUAUAUAUAGGUCUGGGUCGGUGCCAAUGAAGAUUGGCUUGCAUACCUCCGGCCGGAUACCACCAUCAUUUUGCACAACAUCCACAGCAGUGCGGCCGUUCCGGUAGACCCCUUCUCCACCAUUGGGAUCGGCCUUCCGGACUGGCUGGGCUUGAAUACGUAUGAUGAUGCCUACAUGAGAUUGAAGAAGAUAGCAAUUGCGGACCCGCCGACAAAGCGACGCGGCUACGACGAUUACUAUCUCAUCGCGGUGUUCGACAUAAGGAUUGCCAUCAAUGCAAGAGGCAGUAACGGCAGAGGCUGGCGCAUGUUGGCGGCGGCAGAUUUGUACCCCUACAUGUUCGAAGACGCCGUGCGCCAUCUAGGCCGCAUCUUCGCGGUGACAAGCCAGGGGACUUGUUUCAUCUGGUUGCCAUCCUACGGUACGGGAGAUUACAAACGGAAUGCACAAACCAUCAUUUGCAUCCCUAACGGUACUCCAUUAUUUUGCAGGGACCAGUCAUCCCCCGAUCAAAAUAAGAUCGCCGAUCCUGGAUGUGCAUUUGCAUCUGCGAUUCGGUCUAACCUGGAACCUUGUAGCUGACUUUGGCAUAUUGGGAUCAACUAUCUUAGCAGUCGUUACCCAUGGUACCACUGAUGUGCAACAUGGUCACACAAUCUACCACGAUCGGACCGUCACCAUCUACCCAGGUAUUCCAUUUUUUAACCCUCUCGCCUUCUCUUUCAUUGUUGUACUAGUAGUAUACUUUGUAGUACUAGUAGGAGUACUUUUUACCUUAGAGGAUGCGUAUAGCUAGCUAGGCCCUUGAAGACUUGAACCCACUAGCUGCCACCAUUUUCAUUUUUCCAUGUCUUACUAUCUCAUCCAUGUAGCCAAGAGUAGCUAUAUAUAAUAAGCCAGUUAUUUUACUUCCUCUAUACCGGAGUAGUACUAUUUGCUGCACAGUAUUACUGACCGCCAUAUUUGAGCACAACAUUAUUAUGCAUGGACCUUGACUAUGUACGUCACCAUGUGUCCAGAUCUGGGAUGCUGCGUGUACCAGAUGAACGGCGCCGAGUUCGACCCCUGUGAUGCUACGUGGGUGCCGAGGAACACUCUUGGAGAGUACUCGCUUUUCAUCGGGGACAGCUACCCCAUUGUGAAGCGGAUGCCACCUUCCGUGCACGAUACGGAAGGCCUGCCGUUCAUGAAGCAUGGUUGUGUCUUCAGUGCGCACCGCCGGAUGAACGUCAUGCUGGGACACGCUAUCCCUGAUUUAUGCCGCUUCAGCCUGGAUGAGUCUCCAUCGUGUGGAACCGGACUAGAAAGUUGCGACAAUGAUUCCCGUUGCCCACCGCUAUGGAUCAUGCCAUCCAUGAAGAACACCUGGGACUGGAACCUGGAGGAGGACAUGUAGCCCAUCUAUAACGUGUAAGUGGAGUAUGGUAAUUGUGAACGGUAGCGCUGUGAAUAUAUGUAGACUAGUCGUGCACAAAUUUAUCACAUGAAUUGGAGAUGAACUUGUGUGGCAUACUGGCAUUUGUCCUUUAGAAUUUAUUACUAGUAAAUGUGUUAUGUGUACGUGCAACUUGUGUGGUUGUUGCACGGGCUCCAACACGCUCUUUGAGAAAAAAAAGGUGGCACAGCUUUGGAUAUACGUGACAUGGCGGCAUCAUACAGUAGCAUCGUUCGCUAUAGUUGUAGUACACUCCUACUAGGACGACAACUCCUAUAAAACCUUGCGCUUGGCUCUUUGCCUCUUCGGGAGGUUCAACAGUUCGUACUCGUGUGAACCUUGCACUUGGCUCUUCGCCUCUUCGGAAGGUCCAACAAUGAUGAUACUACAGUACAAUAUGCUUCUGGCAAUCUGACACCGAUUGAACUGCUGCACGUCCACCGCGAGGGCGAGGGAGAGGGAGAGGGAGAGGGAGAGGGCGCUGUAGUCAAAACCCUCUCCUCGUCCUACGAACCACCGCGCGCGUCGGCGAGGGAGAGGCAUAGUAAGCAAGCUUCUCCUCGUUCGGCGAGUUGACGGGACACAUCAAAGCAGUACUAGUACUAGUAGUAGUAGUCCAUACUGCGUCCUUUCCGAUUAAUAUGGCUUAAUUUGAAAUGAGAAAAAUACACUGGCGGUCAACAUAUGUAACAAUACGCUCUUUACGGUCACUACAUAUAGUUUUGCGGCGAUUAUACGAUCACUAGCUCAUCGUAGAGCACCGUAUUGCACCCUAUUGACCUGCCACAUAGUCGACAUGGCACUUUGUUGACUGGUUAAAUUGUCACCUGGUUUCUGGGACCCACCUGUCAGUUGGCAGAGCAAAGAAAUCAGUUAAACAAAACUUUACGCAGGCGCGACAAGAGCCCAACCCUUGUGCACGAACCGUCCUAGCUGUGUAUGUGAGUGCAUGCACGUGUCCUCCCUCGGUCUUCCAACAAAGAGUGUACAUCGGCUAUAAAACAAAGAGUGUAGUACAUGAUGUACAUCUACACUUCCAAUGCAUUUAGCCUUUAAUCUAAAUCGAUAUUGAUUGACUAAUGCACCAACUUGUGCUGUAGGUAUACGCUACAUGUCUAUCCUUAAUUACAGCAUGCAACGGCCUUCAUUUAAUCUUCUUAUCUCAAUGGUCGCAUGCACACAUAAGUCUACUACUUUUGGGCGUUAAUUAUGCCCUGGUCAAUGUGUAAAUCUCUAAAUGUACUUGAGCGUGAGCGUGUGUGUUGCGUCGUGUGCUGUGUGCCGCAUGGGUGCGUGAGUGUUGCGUGCGUCCAUGUGUACGUGUGAGUGUUGCAUGUUGCAUGCAUGCAUGGGGCUUACUACCUCCCAUUGACAUGUUCAUAUUUCAAGCUUCCUCUGUUCCCUCCAUAUGGUGAUACUCCCUCUGUUCCCAAAGAGUACGGAGUAAAAGCCUCCCUCUGUUCCUAAAUACGGAGUAUUUGUCUUUCUACAUAUUUCAACAAGUGACUAGGUACGGAACAAAAUGAGUGCAGUGAGCAUAGAGGCAUAGGGAUACUGUAGAAAGGAAGUCCUCGCAAUCCAUUAUUCCCCAUCUCGGUCAGAGAGAACUAUUCAACUAGUCUUCGCAGUGAAGUGACAAUACACGCUGCAGCAGAUGGGACACGUAAUUAAUAAGCUGAACCAGCGUGUUGGUGUUACUAAAUCAGCCUUACCCAGUACUGCCAUCAUGUUUGCCAGUAGAGCACGCUUCCGCAAAUACGCCUACGCACCUCUGUCCUCCAUUAACUGACAUAUGUCCCCUGUUGUGGUAGACCCACAUGUCAUCGGUGUAACUAUUUACACUCCGAAGGACGGUAUAUCCUGGUAGUAGUACUAGUAGAAUUGAGAUUGAAUGCACUUUCUUCCCCGUCUUCCACUCUUCUUCCUCCUCUCUUCUUCUUCCUCCUCUCUUCCCCAUCGUCGGCCAGACACCAUUUACCCCCGCUCACUGCUCGCCCGCCCGCGCCAUCUUCCUUGGUAGCUCGCGCGUACCAUAUCCUCCCGCUCACUGCUCGGCCACACGAGGAGAAGCUUCUUUGCUCGCCCGCCCGAAUCCACUUCCCCGCUGGCUCGCAGGCACCGAAAACCCCAAUGGCAGAACCGACUGACACGCAGAGCCGCGAUUGGAAUUCCCUCCCCGAUGUUCUCUUGGAGCAGAUCUGUAGUCGUAUGGACCUACUCAGCACCGUCCGUCUGGCCGCAUGCUCGGUGUCUUUGUACCAUCUACUCGUCUGCAACCGGCCGGCUCUUUUCAAGACACCCUGCUUGCUGAUGCCCGAUCCUCGCAGGUGGCCCAAACACCGACUUGAUGAUCCUACGGAGGUUGUCGUGGUUCCCCUCGACAUGCUACCACUACCCGUCCACCUGUCCUUCAUGCGCGGCCACUACUGGGCGGGCAUGAAGGCCAACUGGAUCGUCCUCAUCCACCACACCGGUAGUCCGUGGCGUCUCGUGGAUAUCUACACCCAGCGAGAGAUCACCCUUCCAUCAUUGGAUACCGCCGCCAUCGAGCCUCGUGGCCCGCCGGACACUCCUGCCUACUACGCACGAGACGCGUCAAGCUUUUGGCUCGACCUCUGUUUGCAGAAAGUUGUAAUCUGCGAAGUGCCCACACCAUCAGAAGACUACAUGGAUUACAAGCUCAUUGCCUUGUUCAACAUGGGAUUAGUCUAUCUGGAAUCCGGUUGCCAUACAUGGUUAUGGCUCAUCAUCAAUCCUGUUGAGGCAACAUUUCUGUCUGAUGCUAUAGUGCACGAUGGCAUCGUUUACGCGGUCGACGCACAGAUUGGCUGCCUAUACUGGUGGAAUCUAUCGUCGUGUAAUUGUUCUAUCUCAUCUCAUCUUUACCUUAUGAAUACAACUGCCUGUUCAUUUGUUACAAAUUUAGAAUGCAUAGCAUGUCUAUAACCACAUCAUUGCUAUAUGUUCCUCUCAUUUCCUAGAUUUUUAUGACCACACAUGUUAUUGUUAGAGUUGAUAUGAGAACAAUUGGCAUCUAAUGAUUGUUAGAAUACAUAUUAUGAGCAUAACAUCAUGAUUGCUAUAUGUUACUCUCGUUUACAAGAUUUUUAUAACAACGCAUGUUAUUGCUUAGAGUUGAUAUGAGAACAGUAGUAGUAAGUGCUAUGGUAGAAUAUGAGUAGGCGUUGUCAUAGCGGUUUUCCUCUCAUUGUUAUAUGAUGUUUGAACCAUGACAUAUUGCUUGAAUAUGAAAGCCAUUGGCUUAUUUUUUUAACUUGGGGUAUGAUUAUGACCACGGCAUUGCAAUUCUCUGUCUAUGGUAUGUGUCGCUGUUAUAAUAAUCUUAAUUCCACACAUACUCUGAACAUGAUUGUUCUUUUUUGUCCUUUUGGUCUCCAAUUUGAAUUGUUGCAGCAGACGCAAAUGCGCUGGCCUUCAUGAUUCCAGGACCUGGAAUCAUACCAGCCGAUGGGUGGUGGUUUAUCGCUCGUUCAGCUGACGGCGGUCAUUUGAUGCUCAUUCGCACGUACCAAAUUGACCAAACCAUUACAUCAAACCACAUGCAGUACAAUGCGUGGGGCGUUCGUGACAUUGAUGGCUAUGGCUGCUUCGUGUUCGAGAAAGAUCCCAGCUCCGUUGGGCCAGGCGUAUUCAACUGGAGGCGGGUUUACAGCCUCCGCAACCACUCCUUUUUCCUCGGGCUCAAUUAUCCGAUCAUCCAACCAAUCAUCGAUCGUAUCACCGGUGAUGAUUACUGUGCUAUGCAACUUCCAUUCGCGAGGGGGGGGCUGUGUUUACACAUCAUACCAUGGGUUUCAUGAAUCACCAUAUCCAGAGAUUCGUCGACACAGCUUGUUGCCAGAUAAUCUUCAGUGUGUGAAAGGCAUCAAGCUUCCAUGCGAUGGAUGGCUUUUGCAAACCCGACAUGCGGCGAUGUGGUUCAUGCCAACAGCAAAUAUGCACAACUUGAUUCGUGCUGAUAUCUAGACUGAGCCAUGUAUUCUGCUGCUGUAGCACGACCCUCUUUUGUUGGAUAUUAUGUACUGUUGUUAGUUUGAAGCACUCCUCUGGUUUGAAGGAUAGAUUUUUUCCUGGGAUCAAGUGCAUCCUAACUCACCUGCGUAGGAUGUAUUAUAUAUAUAUAUAUAUAUAUAUAUAUCAGUUAGGCUUCAAGUGCGUACUUGUUAGUUAAACCUAUGUAUAAAUUGUGACACUAAAUACGACUAGUAAGUAGUACAAUAGCAGUACUAGUAUACGUCGGUCAAAUUAUUCAUCAUGUCCACACAUUGAAUUGACGUGACAACACGCUGCGCGUGAGGUGACACAAGAAUCCCGGCGACGUGUUCAGGUAUUCUGGAUUUCAGAUUUGGAGUACCACUUAUCUGUUGAAAUCUUUCAUCAUUCACUUAAAACAGUCGAUUGAUCAUACAUUGAGUACGAUAUAACUGGAAUUACCGAUGCAAGUCGAAGAAGGAUUGGCCGGUGCUGCCGGCUGGCGUCAAGUUCGAUCCCACGGAUCAGGAGUUGAUCGAGCACCUUGAGGCCAAAGUGAGUGCUGACAGCGCGAGAUUUCAGUCUCUCAUCGAUUUGUUCAUACCAACCAUCGACAGCGAGCACGGCAUAUGCUACACCCAACCUGAGAAACUUCCAGGUAAGACACCGAUCGGCCGUCUACUUGCACAAACAUAUUCCUUUGUUUAUAGCUCUAUUUUUCUUUUUAGACGCAGACCUGGUGAAGCAAUUACAAUUUGACAGUUAAUAAAAAGUGAAACAAGUGACUGCAACAUGCCAAAGAUGUUAUGAAAAUGCCAACUAGGUACAUUGAAACCUGUAUUCCACAAUACUGCAGGUAUCACACUGAGUGGCCUAAGGAAGCAUUUCUUCCAGCGCAAUUCCAGGGCGUUCAAAAGGGGCACGUGGACGCGUCGCAAGAUACAGUCGGAGUGCGGCAUGCACGCGAUGUGGCACAAGACCGGCAAUACCUUGCCGGUGAUGGUCAACGGCCGGCAAGACGGGCAGCAAAAAAGGUUCUGGUGCUGCACACCAACAAGAACUUCGACCAGCAGAGGACCAACUGGCUAAUGCACCAGUAUCACCUCGGGACCUAGAGCAAGAGAAGGAGCGGGAGCUGGUCCUCUGCAAGAUUUUCUACCAGACGAACACUAGGGCCAGGAGUAAAAAGAUUAUAAGUUAGUUUGGUAUUGGUAGUUGUACUACCUUGUCGUCCGCAAGUUGGUAUUGUUGUUAACGAUCUUUUGGUAUGAACUUGCAUUUGCUUCCAACCAUCAUGCCGAGGGUCGACGUCGAUAUAAAGCUGAAUCGUUUGUUUCGAAAUGAAUUUUCAGGCACCUGAUUUUUAUUUGAUGGGUAGCAUAAGCACCCGCCGUUCGAAUUCCCAGUUCUCAAAUUUUUCCGAAACAAGUGCAUGCACUUAUUAUCACGAUAAAAAAAAUAUCCGUGCUGCAUCCCAGUUAUCAGUCUGUACUUGCAGAAUUCUCUCGUUUAUUGAGCACGUAUAUUGUUUUUUCAGGUCGAGCAAGUUUCAACUGGGUUGUAGACUGCCCAGGGUUGGUUUUGUUUUUAACAGGCCCAGCCCAUGACGACAACGGGGCACAAAGAUCCAGCAGGUAUCUACUGGCCUCUGGCCCGCCAGCGUUAGUUAUAUUUUGUCUUACAACAUCCGCAGGCAGUUUUUUUUACUGAAUCAAACACAUAGCCCAGUUCUAUUUUCCUCUUGAAACGCAUGUCCUACAUCCGUUUUCUGAUCUCUGCCUAUAGUUUUACUAGUUCAUAUACACGUAUCAUUAUAUUGAAAACACAUAAAAUUCCCUUUUCAUAUUUACAUCCUUAUUUUUGUUGUUUUUUCCCACCCAGCGCUGAUUUUUUUACCACUGGUUUCCCCUUAAACCAACUCAAUUGUCCCACGUCUUAUUUGCUUACAAAAACAAAACGAUUUUUUUGGCAAAUCAAUAAGUUCUUAAAAAAAAUGUUUAUCAUUUCGGGAUUACAACAGUUCGGACUCCACCGAAAUAUGCAAAAUAAGGUUGAACUUUUUGACCGUGGUCCUGGGCAGAAAAUGGGCUGUAAUAAAUUACUUAAGAAUUAGCAAAUGGGCUACAAAUUAUAAAAAAUAGAAAAUGGGCUUUAUGUUGUCUGCCAUAGAUUUGGAGGCUGACUUGUGGGCCUACUAAGUGCAUGCGUACACAAGGUUUCUCAAAAAAGAAACUUAGUCAACAAUCGACUCUACCAGCGUCAGACCGUUAGAUGUCAAUCUAACGGCAAUCGUGCUUCUUCAGUCUCUGAUCUUCCUGUCCCAGCCGCCCAAACCAGCGCCGUCGGAACCCCUGCUCCCGCCUCCCGUGGCCGGCAGUGCUGCCGGGCAGGCCUCACGGCCCCAUCAUACUCGCAUCCCUGGCCUAUCUAUCCCUCUACUCACCCACACCUCCUGUUAUUUUCCGGCGACGACAGCCGAACCAGUCAACCCUCGUACUCUCCACCGCGUGGGCAGCCAUUGCCGUGUCUUCCCCGGCUCCGUGUCGUUCCCUUCGUAGGCCUCGCCAUCGUCCACCGCCCUGGUGCUCUCGGCGCAGCGUGGUCAACGAUGUCCAUCCAACGGCCGUAGUGCUUCUUCAACCUCUGGUCUUCUUGCCCCAGCUGCCCAAAGCAGUGCCGGUCGUGCCGCAUGCUCCUGCCUCCCGUGGCCCGGUGUGCUGCCGCGGAGGCCUCACCGUCCCCAUACUACUCCCACCGCUGGACAGGCCAUCCCUCCACUCACCCACUCCCCCUGUUAUUCUGCGGCGACGGCAGCCUCACACCGCAGCCGAACCAGUGAACCCUCGUACUCCUCUCUGCGUGGGCAUCCACUGCCGCGUCUUCCCCGGCUCCGCGUCGUCCCCUUCCUAGGCCUCGCCGUCGUCCACCGUCGUGGUGCUCUCGGCGCGGCGUGGUCAAUGUGAUCAACGACGACUUCCAUCGGAAGAGUACUGUACGUGGAGAGGCUGACAGCUGGGUCCACGGCAGCCGCAAGGAAGUGCCUCCUUAUUACGCACAAAAUAAUUAUUCCUCCACCUAACAGCAGGGACCCACCGGACGGGCCACCAGUAUUUCGCGGAAAAAACGUUUCCCACCUGACUGCUGGGCCCCACCGGACGGGCCACCGUAUUUUCCGAAAAAAACGUUUGCCCCUGACUGCUGGGACCCACCGGAUGGACCACCGUAUUUCGCGAAAAAAAACGUUCCCCCUGCUGUCAGCUUGGACCCACCGGAAGUGCCUCCUUAUUACGCAUAGAAAAAUGAAUACUCCCCCUGCUAGCUGGGACCCACCAUGGUGGGAGGCUGACUUGUGGGCCUACUAAGUUGACGGGGACGGAGGGCUUUGUCAACUUAGUCAAUAUGAACGAUUCUAGCUCCAGUCACCGUACGAUGUCCAUCCAACGGCCGUAGUGCUUCAUCAACCUCUGGUCUUCUUACUCCAGCCGCCCAAAGCAGCGCCGGUCGUGCCGCAUGCUCCUGCCUCCCGUGGCCGGCUGUGCUGCCACGGAGGCCUCACCGCCCCCUACUAUUCCCACCGCUGGCCAGGCCCUGCGGCGACGGCAGCCUCACACCGCAGCCGAACCAGUGAACCCUCGUACUCCUCUCCGCGCGGGCUUCCACUGCCGCGUCUUCCCCGGCUCCGCGUUGUCCCCUUCCUAGGCCUCGCUGUCGUCCACCGCCGUGGUGCUCUCCGCGCGGCGUGGUCAACGUGGUCAAGGAACGACUUCCAUCGGAAGAGUACUGUACGUGGAGAGGCUGACAGCUGGGUCCACGGCCACAGCCCAGUUUUUUUGUGAUUUGCCAAGUAAGUCGCUUUGUCAGGCCUGUUGGGCUGCAAAUCUUUCAAGACGAGGAGAGCUUUCAUUCGGCUGGCCGAGAAAAUGGCCCAUCAGUAAUGAGAAAUGGGCUGUACAUUUUUAAAACACAUCAAACCGGCAAUUAGUUUCAAAUAUCUUUUUUUUCAUUUUGAGAUUUUAAAUUACAUUAAUUUUUAUGCGUGGAGAAUUUGUUAGAUUUUAUAUUGAUAUACAUUUAUUUUUAAAAUCAGUUUGAAUGUGAGUCGAAAUUUCGGGAUUAAAAACAGUUCGGACCGCACCGAAAUAUGCAAAAUUUUGUAUAAUUUUUUAACCGUGGCCACAAUAUGGGCUAUAAUGCUAACAAAAAGAAUAUGGGUUCCAAAAAAAACCUUAAUAAUUAGCAAAUGGGCUGUAAAUUAUUAGAAAUAAUGGCAGAUGGGUUGUAUGCUGUUUUCCACAGAUUUGAGGCUUUCCUAAAAAAAGGUUGACGCACAAGCAGUGACUAUUGGAUGGCCAUCCAACAGCCGUCGUGCUUCUUCAAUCUCUGCUCUUCCUGCUCCAGCCGCUCAAACAAGCGCCGGCGGGACUGCCUGCUCCCUCCUCCCUGCGACUGGCUCUGCUGCUGCGCAGGCCUCACCGCCCCACCGUACUCCCAUCGCUGGCCUAGCCAUCCCUCAACUCACCCACACCUGCUGUUAUUCUUCGGCGACGGCAGACGAACCAGUAAACCCUCGUACAGUCGUACUCCCCUCCGCGUGGGAAACAACUGCCAAGUCUUCCCUGCCUCCGUGUCAUUCCCUUCCUAGGCCUCGCCGUCGUCCACCGCCCUGGUGCUCUCGGCGCGGCCUGGUCAACAUGGUCAAUGACCGACAUGCAUCUGAAGUGGACUGUACGUGGAGAGGCCGACAGCUGGGUCCACGGCCGCACGCAAGGAAAUGCCUCCUUAAUACGCGCAAAAUAAUGAUUCCUCCACCUGACAUCAGGGACCCACCGAAAAGGGCCUCUGUAUUUCGCGAAAAAACGUUACCGCCGCUGACAGCUCGGACCCACCAGCUAUAUCUUUGCACGCAAGGAAGUGCCUCCUUAUUAUGCACACAAAAAAUGAAUACUCCCCCUAUUAGCUAGGACCCAGUAUAGUGGCAGGCUGACUUGUGGGCCUACUAAGUUGACGGGGACGGAGGGCUUUGUCAACUUAGUCAAUAUGCACGAUUCUAGCUCCAGUGACCGUACGAUGUCCAUCCAACGGCCGUAGUGCUUCUUCAACCUCCGGUCUUCUUGCUCCAGCCGCCCAAACUAGCGUCGGUCGUGCCUCGUGCUCCUGCCUCCCGUGGCCGGCUGCGAUGCGGCGGAGGCCUCAAUGCCCCUACUACUCCCACCGCUGGCCAGGCCAUCUCUCUACUCACCCACACCCCCUGUUAUUCUGCGGCGACGGCAGCCUCACACCGCAGCGAACCAGUGAACCCUCGUACUCCUCUACGCGUGGGCAUCCACAGCCGCGUCUUCCCCGGCUCCGCGUCAUCCCCUUCCUAGGCCUCGCCGUCGUCCACCGCCCUGGUGCUCUCGGCGCGGCGUGGUCAACGUGGUCAAGGAACGGCUUCCAUCGGACGUGGACUGUACGUGGAGAGGUUGACAGCUGGGUCCACGGCCGCAGCAAGGAAGUGCCUCCUUAUUACGUGCAAAAUAAUUAUUCCUCCACCUGACAGCGGGGACCCACCAGAUGGGCCACCGUAUUUCACGAAAAAAAACGUUUCCUCCUGACUGCUGGGACCCACCAACUACACCUUCGCACGCAAGGAAGUGCGUCCGGGCAAAAAAACAAAACGAUUCGCCCCCCUGACUGUUGGGACCCACCAGCUACAUCUUCGCACGGAAGGAAGUGCCUGACAGUCGGGACCCACCUGGUCGAAGCGUACGUAGCAUUGUCAUUCUGGUCGCGAACGUGUACGUACAUAUAUACUGAUGGAUGUAGAGGCGUGUACGUGUCGUAGUAGAGGCGCGCACGUAGCAUGUACACGUACAUACAGCGGCUAGGGUGCAAGAAAGAAAAUACGGCCACGUAUGUGUACAUACGGGCGGGGUCUCGAACGCCUACUCGCGCAUACGUACGGCCAGGGCUCGUGUACAUGGCUGGGUCGGAACGGAGAAACAGCGUCGUCGUCAUGUUCAUGGGAAGGCUACGGAAUGCGUCGUGUUCAUCAGGAGGCAACGGAACGCGUGGGAGCCAACCGGCUGGGUCGGAACGGAAUGCGUGGUCGUGUUCAUCGGGAGGGCUUGGACGGAACAGGCGAUGGAAACUAGGCCUGGCGUACCGCAGAACGGAGGAAACGGACCUCCUACGGUCGAAACGGGGGUCCUGUUGAUCGGGAGGGGUGUGGCGUACCGCAAAACGGAGGAAACAGACCUCCUACGAUCGAAACGGGGGUCCUGUUGAUCGGGAGGGGUGUGGCGUACCGCAAAACGGACGAAACAGACCUCCUACGGUCGAAACGGGGGUCCUGUUCAUCGGGAGGGGUGUGGCGUACCGCAAAACGGGACUCCACGAGAUACUGUUCAUCUCCACCGUCGACCUCCUCCAGCCUCCACGGGCUACCGUCGACCUCCUCCAGCCUCCACGGGCUCCUGUUCAUCCAGCCUCCACCNNNNNNNNNNNNNNNNNNNNNNNNNNNNNNNNNNNNNNNNNNNNNNNNNNNNNNNNNNNNNNNNNNNNNNNNNNNNNNNNNNNNNNNNNNNNNNNNNNNNNNNNNNNNNNNNNNNNNNNNNNNNNNNNNNNNNNNNNNNNNNNNNNNNNNNNNNNNNNNNNNNNNNNNNNNNNNNNNNNNNNNNNNNNNNNNNNNNNNNNNNNNNNNNNNNNNNNNNNNNNNNNNNNNNNNNNNNNNNNNNNNNNNNNNNNNNNNNNNNNNNNNNNNNNNNNNNNNNNNNNNNNNNNNNNNNNNNNNNNNNNNNNNNNNNNNNNNNNNNNNNNNNNNNNNNNNNNNNNNNNNNNNNNNNNNNNNNNNNNNNNNNNNNNNNNNNNNNNNNNNNNNNNNNNNNNNNNNNNNNNNNNNNNNNNNNNNNNNNNNNNNNNNNNNNNNNNNNNNNNGUUCAGUAACGCGUAGCCUGCAGUGCAAUCGCUCGGGUUCAGUUAGAGCCCAACGCCUCGCUCGGGUUCAGUUAGAGCCAACGCCUCGCACACACGCGCGUACGUGUACGAGAGAAACGCGCAUCGCUCGGCCCCCGACCUCCCACCGUAACCGGGAACUCCCCGAAAUUUUCCUCGCCCUCGCUUCUACCAUGGUUUUUUCCGUCAUGGACGGCCCAAAGAAUGUCAUGCAGCUGUGUCUUCGGCCCGCCCUGGACGAAAAGCCCAUUUUCUGUCAUGAUUUUUUGUCAUAGAAGUAGGAGCCCACCACAUCUAUGAUGAUACCGGGUUUUGUCACAAUUAUCGUCAUAGAAGUGUCAUAUGUAUGACAAAAAAAAAUUCAUUCGGCCCAAAAUGUCACAGAUGUGUCUUUUUUUGUAGUGUAGGCCCGGUGCCUGGCAACAGUUCUAUCAAAAACUCGAUGUCUCGAUCUGGCGGCAUUCCUGGUAAUUCCUCUGGAAAUACAUACGGGUAAUCCUUUACGACAGGCACUUCCUCCUGAACAACUCCUGAGAGGGAAUUCACUUGGCUCCUCCUAGGCGCGUGCCUAGAUACAUACUUGAUCCUUUUUCCCUCCGGGGUGGUGAGAUAAAUCGACUUACUAGCACAGUCAAUGCUUCCUCCAUACUUUGACAUCCAGUCCAUGCCUAAUAUCACAUCCAAUCCUUGUGACUCCAAAAUUAUUAGGUCGGACGGAAAAACAUGGCUACCAAUGGUUAAGGGUAUCCGGUCGCACCAUCGGCUAGCCAUAUACUCUGCUCCAGGUGAACUUACUAACAGAGGGGUCCUAAGGGCUUGGGUUGGUAGUUUAAACUUAUCCACGAAUCCCCUUGAUAUGUAUGAAUGUGAUGCACCAGUAUCAAAAAGAACAAGGGCGGUAAAAGACUUAACCAAAAACGUACCGAUAACCGCGUCUGGCUGCUCUUCAACCUCCUCCAUGUUAACGUGGAUCACUUGUCCUUUGUUGAAUGGAUUGGGCUUCUUCCCAGCGCUCCCAUUACCGUUUCCAUUCUUCGCUUCAGGGCACUCCGUGGCAUAGUGUCCAGUCUUCCCACACUUGAAGCAAGUAAUGUGACUUAGGUCUCUCUUGGCGGGUGUGGCUGGAUUGGAGCGAUUCUGAUUGUUGCUUGUUUCGUUCCCAGUCCCAUUCUUAGAACCAUUAUGGUUAUGCCAACUUCCUCCGGUGUGGUUAUGACCUCCAUGGUUAUGAACAAGUCCUCCCGAGUUCGGGGUUAGACGGGGCUUAUGCUGAGCUCCAGAAUUGUAUCUUCCUUGCCCAUACUUCCUCUUACGGCUCUCAAUCUGCUGCUGCUUCCCUUCAAUCAUAAGAGCCUUAUCUACCAACUCCUGGUAGUUGUUGAAUGUUGCCACCAUCAACUGCAUGCUCAUCUCGUCAUUCAGCCCUUCCAUAAAUUUCUCCUGCUUCGCAGCAUCUGUGGCCACAUCAUCAGGGGCAUAGCGAGAUAACUUGCUAAACUCAUCCACGUACUGAGCUACAGUACGGUUUCCCUGCCGUAAGUUGCGAAACUCACGCUUCUUCAUGUUCAUAGCUCCAGUUGAGACAUGGGUUGUGCGGAAAGCUUGCUGAAACUGAUCCCAAGUGACGUUGGCUAUGGGGAAAGUGGCCAUAUAAUUCUCCCACCAUGAGGCUGCUGGUCCAUCCAAUUGAUGUGCGGCAAAGCGCACCUUCUCAGCAUCUGUGCAACCUACGGUGAUCAAUUCCCUUCCAAUACGGUGUAGCCAAUCAUCAGCAACUAUAGGAUCGGUGCUACUGGAAAACACCGACGGCUGCAACCUCAGAAAGCGAGCUAAGUUGUGAACUGGAGGCGGGUUGUUGUUGUUGUUGUUGUUGUUGCCUUGGUUCCGGACUAACAAUUGCAUCAAGGCAUUCUGCUGCUGGAUCAACUGAGUGAGCUCUGGCGGGAAGGCAAAUCCGGUGUCACGUCUCGGAGGCAUCUGAUGGGUUUAGAGGGGAGAUAUUAGAAUAGAAUAGGGGUCUAGUGAGAGAACACUACCCAUAUGCACAUGGGAAAAACACAAUCAUAUCACUCAAUCAAUCAAACAAGGGCAUACAAACGGUCUAGAACUAUCGUUGAAAGUGCUCAAUUACUACUAUAUACAUGGGGGAACACUACUAAUCAUUUGGUGGUCAUCUAGAAAUUUUGAUCGGUAGAAGACUCCAUGAUGUCUGCUCCAGCUUCGUCUUCAAAGUCAUCUUCACUGGGGUCGGAGUCGGUGUCGUCGAUGAUGAUGUAGCUCUCCGGGCAAGUGGAAUCGCCAUCCUCUCCUCCUGGUGCGGGGUCUCCCAUGAAUACUCCGAUCUUCUUUAUCAGGUCGUCAUUCUUCUCCAAUAGUGUUGCAAUUUCCUCCUCGUAUCCAUCGCGUGUAGACUUGAGUUCUUCUUCCAGCUCGAUGAUCCUUGUCUUCGCCUUCUUCAAAUCUAUCACGUCUGCGCACAUCUGAUUCUCCUAGCGUCGAAUGUGUUGGUUUAACUCUGGAUGAAAGCUGCAAUGGAUCUAUCCUUCUUGGUGCUGAUCAUCUCCCAUUGCUCAUCUUAGCGACCACAUAUCUGGUAGAUAGUGUCCUUGAGCUCCUUGUUGUAGACUUCUCCAAUACGUCCCAUGGCAAUGUGGGCUGCCAUGCUCUUGCCCAGACUCCAGGUUGGUGCAUCAAAGGAAAACUCUAUGGGCUCAGUGAUUGGCGUGAACGUCCUUCCUGGAACUUGAACUCGAAUCAUCCAGCGCUCCUCUUCUGGUAAAGUGCCGUUGUAGGUCCCAGUGAAGCUUGGUAUUCCGAUGUUCAGGUACCUAGUGACUUCCUUCAAGUGGCGUCCAAAGGGUGCAUCUUCAUCCGGUUGUCCAAACUUGUUCCUCGAAUCCGCCAUCCUAAAGAGUAGAAAAUGGAGAGGAGUCAGAAAUGAGUAGAGAAGAGUGACCUAUGGUUUAUCUUAGUGGUCGUGUCCUACACUCAGUGUGUGCUCUGAUAGCAUCUUGUACCGACCCGACCUCAGACGGUCAAGUCUCUGUGCUUCCGUGUCAUCCCUGGAUCGGUAAUGCUGACACACACAGUACUCGAAGGAUUUAUAACAGAGUAGCAAUCACACACUUAUUACAUCGAAUGUCUCAAAAGAGAACUUAUUACAAUAAACAUGGCAUAAGGCCAUCUAAUACGAUAACAGCGGAAGGCUUGGAAGAUAAAGUGAGUCCAUCAACUCCAACGGCAUAGCUGAACUGCACGGCAACGACCUAACAAACCUUACUCCUCGUCUGAAAAGUCUGCAACAUAAUACGUUGCAGCCCAAAAACUGGUCAGCACAUGGAAUAUGCUGGCAAUAUAACACAGCAGAGCAAGAACAGAACAAAAGCUAUCACUACAUGCAUAUUUGGCUGGUGGAAAGCUCUAUGGUUAUAGUUUUGCGAAAAGCCAAUUUUUCCCUACAACAAAUCAAUGGAUUUUAUUUAACUAUCAUGGUAGUUGAAACAUCAUUUUUUUGAACCUUUUAACAGUAUGAGAACCUCCUACUGUUUUUGUAUUAAUAUGAUGGGGGUGACAAUUUACAUGAGGGCAUUACAUGAUGUCUUUACAACUCACCCUCCCUUUGGGAGGUGAGGGAGAACUCAAGAUAUAGAGGAGAGGAUGAGUGGAAUGAGAUGUUUAUGCUUUUCCUUAACCCCAUAGGUAAGGAGAGAAAAAUCAGUCUUAAGCCUAUCUAACCAUGAAGUCUUCGAGGGCAUCAUCCCCCUGAAGUGUUUGUUGUUACGUUCUUUCCAGAUACUCCAGGCGGCAGUCAGAAAUAGCUCCAUGAAGAGAGGCCUGUUCCAGUUGUUUUUGGCAAACACAACAUUUUGCAGGCGAGGUUGUCCCUGAUUCCACAGAAUUCCAAGGCCGGACUAGCAUUCAGUACUAAAUUGACACUCAAAGAAGAGGUGCUCCAGUGUUUCCUCGAUGUGUAGUCCACAUAAGAUGCAAUCAUAGUCAUUUCCUAUAUUGUAGUGCCUCCUUUUGAGCAUAUUCCGCGUGUUUAGUCGAUCAGAAAGGAGCAACCAUCCAAAGACUUUAAUUUUCAUGGUGGCUUUUGAUUUCCAGAUCCAGCCAAACGCCUCAUGAGCCCUAACUUCUCCGAAGUAGAAAGUGUAGUAUCUAUGAGCUGUGUAGCUUUCCGUGCCCCAAAUAUAUGUCCAAACAUCUGGCUCAUUGGAGAUAGCCGUUUCCCUCGUGUCCUCUUGCAGUUGACGCACCUCUGCAUGGGCCUGUGCCGAGAGAGGUAAAUGAAACGCCUUGCUCAGUGACGUGAUGGACAAGAAAUCCUUCACAGAGAUAUCUUCAUUGAUGGCGUAAGAGAGUGCACGCGGGUACUUCUCAUCAAAUGUGGUAUCAGUCCAUAAAUCUUUCCAGAAGAGCACAUUAGAUCCAUUAAUCACAUGAACGUUUGAGAUACCCCUAUAGGUUGGCAUUAGUUUGGCAACGUCUCGCCACCAGAAUGAUCCACAAGGGUCUGAAGCAUGCGGAAUUUGAUUCGUGUAGUAUGUUUCCCAGAUGAGUUCAACCCAAGGCACGUUCCAUCUAUUGUAGAAUUUAUGUAAAUACUUUAAUAAGAGUGCAUCACCUUGGAUCCUGAGAUCAAUCACUCCCAAUCCACCACUUUCCUUGGGAUGACAAACCAUUUCCCAAGAAGCAAGAGAAUUGCAUUUGUCCCCUUGCUCUGUUUUCUUUGUCCAUAGGCAUUUCCUUCUAAUUUUGUCUAGGAGCUCAAUAAUUUUGGUAGGCAAUCGAAGCGUGCAUAGCGCAAAGAUAAUGAGCGAAGUGAUCACCGAAUUAAGCAGGUUUAGCUUUCCACCAUAUGAAAUCAUGUUGAGAGUAGCCGUUAGUCUUCUCUCCAUGGAAUAGACCAGAGGCAUGAGAUCGAGGACAGUUGGUCGAGUAGUACCAAGUGGGAGCCCUAGGUAUGUGAAGGGCAUCUUGCCAACGACGCAUCCGAAGAUAUUAGCAAUCUCUUCGGAUUUAACAUUAUCACAAUUGAUUGGAAUGAGAGUAGAUUUGUGGAAGUUUCAAACCAAUGGACGUAGCAUAGUCUGUCAAAAUGUCCUUGAUAACGGUCGCAUGUUGUGUGCAUGUUGGUAACACUAGAAUGGUAUCAUCGGCGUACUGGAUGACUGGGUACUCUUUUUGAUGCGGAGAAGGGAAGGGCAGGUGUAUUUGAUGGCGUGCAAAGGCAUCGUUGAUGGCUGCUUGAAGGAGAUCCGCUGCUAGCAUGAAAAUGAGGGGUGAAAGAGGAUCCCCCUGCCUGACCCCACACUUGCAAAGAAAUUGGCGCCCAGGAGUACCAUUUAGGAGGACAGAGGAUUUUGCUGAAGAAAAGAUGCAGCGAAUCCAGGUGAGCCAUUUGUCAUUGAAUCCCAUGUUUUUCAUAAUCUCAAUCAUCACUUCAUGUUCAAUUGUGUCGAAGGCUUUGGCAAAGUCAAGCUUGAGAAGCAUGAUUUCUUUUUUAGAACUUUGGCAUUGAUAAAUAUACUCGUAUGCCCAUGCGAGGCAGUCCUGGAUAGUCCUCCCCUUUAGGAACCCAUAUUGGUUAUAGUUGAAACAUCAUUGAGAAGGUUCCUCCAACUCAAUCCCAAUUAAAAGUAAUUAUCAACCCAACAAUAUUAAAUUAAAGUGAUGAGAUACUUAGGAUAAUCCAAGUACUAGAUACUCAAGAUGUCCAUAACCGGGGACACGGCUAAUCAUGAUUAGAUUGUACACUCUGCAGAGGUUUGCGCACUUUUCCCCACAAGACUCGAUCUCCUCCGUUGGAUUUCUCGCACUACAUGGUGUUUGAGAAACGGAUGACCGAGACACAGUCUUUCAGAAGCAUUAACUCUAACCCCGGGUAGACAGUACCAACCUACAUCCCUCUACAUCUGCUAGCCUACCACUUGAAGAGGUCAUGACACUUACUCAACUAUGCUAGAGCCCAUAAUGGCUUGUGGCUGCACACGGAAGUUUCUAGAAUGAAAUAUCUCAGUUCCCUUUGAGCCUGGGUGGCGGACCUUAGGAUGAUCACACGGGUCCUCCGGGAUAUCCUAGGACAACACUGGAUUCUCCAGGUGCCCGACAAGCAAUCCACCCAGAUGUGUAUUAAAGUUGCCACCUUAAGUUGAACCAUUAAUUAACAAACUCACAUCUGUCAUGGAUUCACUCACCCAAACCACGUCUACGAGCAUAGCAUAGCAAUAUAAGCAUUACGUAGAAGUAACUCCCAAGGGGAUUUAUAAUAACAGGGCAAUAGGUUCUACCUCAUCAACUACUUCCCAAUACCCACAAGUUAAUCACAUCCUAUUCAUGCAGUGUUUGAGGAUUGGAGCUAAUGCAUAAAAACUGGGUAUGAAAAGAGUAUGAUCAAUGUGUUACUUGCCUUGCUGACGAUCCGCAAAACCUAGGGACUCGUAGUAGCACGCUUCGCACUCCGGGAAUUCUAUCGCAAACAAACAAUAGCAUACAUAAGAAAUCAAUCAUAGAUGCACGGGCAAAACUCAAAUAAGAAGAAUUGACCAAAAAGUUCAACUUAAGAACUCCGGUUUGCAAAAAGAAUCAAAUCAAACGGAGCAACGAAACUCAAACUUCGAAAGAAACAAGAUCCGAUUACUAAUCUGGACUAAAGUCAAAUUUUAUAGUACCAUAAUCUUGUUCAAGUUGGUUAAGCAGAAAGAGGGUUUCGAGACGAAGAUCUAGGCGCUUGAAUCCCCUGAUUCCGAUAAACGAGCGAAAAGAUAAACUAAAACGAAAAUCAGAUCAGAAAUCGCGAUCGAAAAUAAUCGCGAAAAACCCGAGAAAAGGAAAAACUGACGAACAGGCUAAUGAACGAACGUUCAUUGUCUGUGACUAAUGGGCAAAAACCAUUCGUUAAAACGAACGUACGGACGAACGUCCGCAAAAUAAACUAAACCGAGAAAACCGGCGAACCGAUCUAAAAAAACGAACUAGGUUUUUAAAAAAACCGACAGUUUUUACCUAAACCGAAAAAAACCGAGCGGCUCCGGAUCGGAUCGGCGGCGGCGGCUCCAGCGGCGCGAGGUGGGGCUGCGGGGUGGCGGCGACGAUGGGGUGGUGCGGCGCGGCGGCGGCGGCACAAGGCGAGGCGAGGCGCAGCAAGCGGCGGCGGGCGGCGGCUGCUGCUGCUGCUUGUGGAGGCGGUGGUCGCGAUUUGGGGCGGCGGCGGCGGGGUAUUUAAGAGGGGGAGGGGCGGGGUCAGCUUGGGGAAGGGAGCGGGAGGAGUCCCGGGCGGCGACGGCGGCGGCUGCCAAGUCCUGGCCGGACUCGGGCACGGGGAGGCGGUGGCGCGGGGUUGGGCCGGCCUGGCUCGGCUGGGCUUCGGCCCAGUCGGGCGCAUAAAAAUUUUUUAAACAGAUUCUGCUGAAAAUAAAUCAUAGAAAAAUAAAUAAAUAACUGAAAAUGAAAAAACAAAUUUUCACCGUCUAAAUAAAAUAGUUAGAACAAGAUGAACACUUUCUUGGCCCUAAAAUGCAAUUUUUCUAAUGCAAAUAAAAUAGCAAUAAAAUCCGAAUAAGAUCAAAUAUUUGGUUUUAAUAUUUUUCCUCCAAUAUUUCAUUUAUUUUGAAGAAGUCAUAUUAUCUCCUCUCAUAUAUUUUAAUAUGAAAUAUUUUUCGGAGAGAAAAAUAAUUAAAACAAAUAAUCCUUGUUUCAAUAUUUGAUAAAAAUCAAAUAUGAAAACAGUGAAAUCCCUAACUCUCUCCGAGGGUCCUUGAGUUGCUUAGAAUUUCGAGGAUCGCGAAACGAAAUGCAACAAAAAUAUGAUAUGCAUGAAUGAUCUAUGUAUAACAUUCCAAAUUGAAAAUUUGGGAUGUUACAUCUUUCUAUGUGUCCGGUUGAAACGUUUUGCUCAUGUGUAUGUGGUGAGUGUUAGCAGUCAUAGAAGACUAUAUGAUGGUUGAGUAUGUGGAGCUCUUACUUAGACUCUGUUGAAUAAGUUGAAUUGCAAUUGCUUGGUGACUAAGAACAUAGGUUGUUGAGUAUCAAGAGAGUUCAUUGUUUGGACCUUAACAUGUGAAUUCGUUGCUACUAUAACAUGAGAAGUUUUAUAAGAAAGAAUUGAUGUUAUGAUGCUAGGAAAAGUGAUUAAAUUUAUCAUUGAUCAAACUUAUGUACUUUGCUAGCAUUCACACUUCAUAAAUUAUUUCUUUUAUCAUUUACCUACUCGAGGACAAGUAGGAAUUAAGCUUGGGGAUGCUGAUACGUCUCCAACGUAUCUAUAAUUUAUGAAUUAUUCAUGUUGUUAUUUUAUCAUCCUUGGAUCUUUUACAAUCAUUUUAUAGCAACUUUAUAUCAUUUUUUGGGACUAACCUAUUGACCCAGUGCCCAGUGCCAGUUUGUUGUCUUUGCUUGUUUAUUACAUCGCAGGAAAUCAAUACCAAAUGGAGUCCAAACGCAACGAAACUCCACGGAGAUUUUUUAUGGACCAGAAGGAAUCCAAUGGGCCAGAGUUGCACCUGGGGGUGCCCCGAGGGGGGCACAACCCACCAGGGCGCGCCAGGGCCCCCUAGCGCGCCCAGGUGGGUUGUUCCCACCUCGGUGGCCUCCCGCACCCCCUCUUUACCCUAUAAAUUCCCAAAAAUUCCAAAAACCCUCGGGGUUAACCUAGAUCAGAAGUCCCGCCGCCGCAGGGCUCCGUAGCCACUGAAAACCAAUCUAGACCCGUUCUGGCAUCCUGCCGGAGGGGAAUCAUCUCUGGUGGCCAUCUUCAUCAUCCCGGCGGCCACCAUGAUGAGGAGGGAGUAGUACACCCUCGGGGCUGAGGGUUUGUACCAGUAGCUAUGUGUUUAAUCUCUCUCUCUCGUGUUCUUGAGAUGUCAUGAUCUUGAUGUAUCGUGGGCUUUGUUAAUAUAGUCGGAUCAUAUGGUGUUUUCCCCUCUCUAUCUUGUUGUGAUGAAUUGAGUAUUUCCCUUUGAGAUUUCGUUGUUAUCGGAUUGAAUACUUUUAUGGAUUUGAGAACACUUGAUAUAUGUCUUGCAAUUGAAUACUCGUGGUGACAAUGGGGUAACGUAUUGAUUCACAUGAUAUAUGUUCUGGCACUCAACUCGCAGAUUCCCGAGGUGACAUUGGGAUAAUCUAUGCAUAGGGGUUGAUGCACGUUCUUGUCUUUGUUUCUCCGGUAGAAAUCUUGGGGCACUCUUUGAAGUUCUUUGUGUUGGAUUGAGUAUUAUGAAUGUGGAUUUGCUUUGAUGUUAUUUUAGUACGAACUCUAGGAUAGAUUGAACGGAAAGAAUAGCUUUGUGUUAUUUUAGUACGAACUCUUGAAUAGAUCGAACGGAAAGAAUAGCUUUGAGGUGGUUUCGUACCCUACAAACAAUUUAUUCUUAUGUUCUCUGCUAGAUAGGAACUUUGGAGUGAUUCUCCGUCGCACUUUGAGGGGUGUUUAUAUGAUCCAAUUAUAUUAGCAUUGUUGAGAAAUUGCACUAGCGAAAGUACGGACCCUAGGCCUCAUUUUCAAGCAUUGCAAUACCGUUUUUGUGCCUGUUUACUAUUUGCUACCUUGCUGUUUUCAUUUAUUCAGAUUAUAGAAAUAUAUUUCUACCAUCCAUAUUACACUUUUAUCACCAUCUCUGCGCCGAACUAGUGCACCUAUACAAUUUGCCAUUGUAUUGGGUGUGUUGGGGACACAAGAGAUUUCUUGUAUUUGGUUGCAGGAUCAUUUGAGAGAGACUAUCUUCAUCCUACACCUCUCAGGGAUUGAUAAACCUUAGGUCAUCCACUUGACGGAAAAUUGCUACUGUCCUACAAAACUCUACGCUUGGAGGCCCAACACGUGUCUACAAGAAUAAAGUUGCGUAGUAGACAUCAACUUACUAGCCGAAGCCUUUGCAGCUGAAGAACUAACCACCCUACGAUCCACAGUGGACAAGGAUGAUGUGAUUCUCGACAAGAGAUCUAAAUGCACCUCUUUCAAGCUAGCAGAUGAAAUAGUUAAAUUCCAAGUGCACCCGGCGGAUCCUAAUAAAGCAGCGUCCAUCGGAGCAUAGCUGGAUCCGACGGUAGACGCCGCCUUAUGCGUGUUCCUACGUGAAAAUCGGGAUAUCUUUGCCUGGCACCCCUUAGACAUGCCCGGGAUCCCACAUAGGCUAGCCGAACACAGCCUCAACAUAAUCAAAGGGUUCAAACCAGUCAAGCAAACGCUGCGGCGAUUUUCCAAACCCAAACGAUAAGCUAUGGUGGAGGAGCUAGCCAAACUGCUCGAGGCCAGGUUCAUCAGAGAAAUCAAACACCCGGAUUGGUUAGCCAACUUGGUCAUGGUGCCGAAGAAGGAUCAAUCUUGGCGCCUUUGUGUCGAUUUCAAAGACCUCAAUAAGGCUUGCCCUAAAGCCCCUUUCCCAUUACCCCGUAUUGACCAGAUCAUUGAUGCGACCGUGGGACAUGACUCAUUGUGUUUCCUCGACGCUUACUCCGGAUACCAUCAGAUUAAAAUGAAGGAGUCUGAUCAGGCCGCAACAGCGUUCAUCACCCCGUAUGGGCCUUUCUGUUUCAACACUAUGCAUUUUGGGCUUAAAAACACUGGUGCCACUUACCAACAAAUGAUUCAAACAUGCUUGGAAAAACAAAUCGGCAACACAGUUGAAGAAUAUGUGGAUGACGUGGUCAUCGAGAAUAAACACGUCAAAUCACUGGUGGACGAUCUCUGCCUCACAUUUGACAACCUCCAAACAUAGGAAUCAAUCCGGAAAAAUGCAUGUUUGGCGUUCUAGCCGGAAAGCUAUUAGGGUUCAUUGUCUCCCAUAGAGGAAUUGAAGCAAACCGAGCUAAAAUCCGAGACUUGCCGCAAUUGGCCACACCAAUAGACUUAAAGCAGGUCCAAAAGCUAGCAGGGUGCGUGGCGGCUUUGAGCCGCUUUAGCUCCAGAUUAGGAGAAAAAGCAUUACCACUUUAUAGACUGCUUAGACGCACCGACAACUUUGAAUGGACGGAUGCGGCCACAGCCGGAUUGGAAGAAAUAAAAACCUUAUUAGCAGGCAACCCAAUCCUAACCUCCCCAAGUGUUGGCGAGCCUAUGUUGCUUUAUAUCUCCACAACUCAACAGGUAGUGAGCGAUGUACUCAUCGUCGAGCGAGGGGAAGAGGGACAUAAAUUCCCCAUCCAAAAGCCAGUGUAUUACGUAUUAGAGGUCCUUACACCAUGCAAAUCCUGAUACCCUCACUACCAGAAGAUAGCUUACGUGGUCUUUAUGGCAUCUUGAAAACUCCGACACUAUUUUCAAGAGUGUUCGAUCACGGUGGCAUCCGAAGUACCACUUAACAACAUUAUAAACAAUAGGGACACCACCGUUUGAAAUAACGUACAAGCCACGCCGAGCUAUUAAAUCACAGGUGCUGGCCGACUUCGUUGCCGAGUGGACGGAAGCCGAGCUCCCUAAAGAGUAUAGUUCAUACUCCAACUGCAUGUACUUCGACGACUCUAAAAUGCUAGCCGGACUGGGGGCUGGUGUCAUCUUGACAUCCCGGGGACACGGUCCGCUACGUGUUGCAAAUCAUGUAUACGGACUCCAAUAAUGCAGCUGAAUACGAGGCACUUCUACAUGGUCUCCGCAUGGCUGUCUCCAUGGGCAUACAACGCCUCGAGGUGCGCGGAGACUCAAUCCUUGCAAUAUCUCAGAUAAAUGGAGAGUUCGAUGCAAAAGAUCCAAAAAUGGUGGCACACUGAAACGCCGUAUUAAAAAUAUCGGCUCGGUUCGAGGGACUUGAAUUUCAUCACUUCGCUCGAGACAGUAACCAGGCAGCGGACAUACUCACUUGCACGGGCGCCAAGUGCGACCCCGUCCCGCCUAAUACCUUUGUGGAAAGGCUCUUCAGGCCAUCCGUGGUAUGGCAGGACGAGAGCGGAGAUGCUAGUACGGACCUGAUCAUGCCCCCGGCAGCCGAACAUAAUACAGAUAUCAUCGGGGGUCCGGUUACCGAAAUAACGCCUUCUGAUCAUGAGAUUCGGCCGUUAUUGCUCCUUGGACCGAACCCUUCCUGGCCUACCUUAAUAGGCAGGAGCUUCCCGAUGAUCAAAAUGAGGCCCGUCGCAUAGUUCGGCGUUCUAAAGCAUACAAAGUUCAUGAAGGUGAACUGUACAAGAAAAGCACUACCGGAGUUCUCCAAAUGUGCAUCUCCGAAGAGGAGGGACGACAACUCCUGGCUGAAAUACAUGCUGAUCUGGGCGGCCAUCACGCCGCAGCUCGGGCCCUCGUAAGCAAAGCCUUCCGGACAGGUUUUUUCUGGCCAAUGGCCCAAGCAGACGCACAGGCCCUUGUCCAACGUUGUGUGGGAUGUCAGCUUUUCGCCAAUCAAAGUCAUAUGCCUCCCACUGCCUUAAGAACAAUCCCCAUCACUUGGCCCUUCACGGUCUGGGGGCUGGAUAUGGUCGGACCCCUUAAAGGGGGAAGCCACAAAAAGAAAUAUUUACUGGUUAUGGUGGAUAAAUUCACUAAGUGGAUAGAGGCCAAACCAAUAAAAACGGCCGAAGCAGGAUCAGUGGUUGACUUUAUAUCCGGCGUGGCACACCGCUAUGGUGUCCUGCCCAGCAUCAUCACUGAUAAUGGCUCCAAUUUUACAGCUGAUGAGGUGAAAAACUGGUGUGCUAACUUGGGCAUUAAACUCGACUAUGCAUCCGUCUACCACCCUCAAACAAACGGUCAGGUUGAACGGGCCAAUGGCCAGAUAAUGAGCGGCAUUAAGCCCCGACUAGUGCGCUCCCUACGAGAGUCGGAUAAGCAAUGGGUUGAGGAACUCGAUUCCGUGCUCUGGGGGCUACGGACUACACCUAACCGAACAACCAGAUAUACACCUUUCUUCAUGGUGUACGGCGCGGACGCUGUCCUACCCUGCGACAUUAUUCAUGACUCACCUCGAGUGCGCAUGUACGAAGAGCGAGAAGCCGAGCUCGAUCGACAGGACGACCUAGACGGCCUCGAAGAGGAGCACGAUAUUGCACAAGCCCGUUCUGCAUUUUAUCAACAACAGGCCAGGUGAUACCAAAGCAGAGAAGUGCGGGCCAAGACAUAUAACAUUGGCGUCCUCAUCUUGCGUCUCCCAGAGAAGAAGAAGGAUAAGCUCAAACCAAGAUGGGAGGGCCACUUCAUCAUAGAUGAAGUUCUCACGGGAGGAUCCUAUCGCCUUCGUAAUGCAUCGGAUAAUCACCUUGAGCCGAAUCCAUGGAACGCUGCUCGGCUCCGACGAUUCUACGGAUAGUUCGGUAGCACCUUUUUUACUUUGACUAGGUUCCUUUUUCUCCUCUCCUUUUUUAUUUUUUCCUUUUUAUAUCCCAGGGUAUGUUCGGAUCUACCAAACUAUUAGGGGUACACAUCUUUAAAUGUAUACACCCCACUAUAACUGGGGCCUUCUUUGAUGAAGCUUAUUAUUAAAAGCUUGUGGCUUACAUUGUUUACGUCAUUUGUUCUAUACACUUUUUUGCCAUUAUAUGCACCUCUAUGACUUAAGUUUUUGCCAAGCUGGGUUGCCUUGCUCCUGUGUUUAUACCCUACGUUCCCUAUUGUUCGGCUAGAGUGUAAAGGGAGCACCUCUGCGAUUGUUACAACCGGGUAAUCUGGAUCUGUACCUCAGACGGGUGAAGCCAAAAGCUAGCGCUCUUAAGGGAAUAAUUGGUCGGCAAGCAACGAAAGAUUAUUUAUGUUUAUGUAAUUCUUCUAACAAAUAAGGGAUAGGCUACCCGUAAUUCUAUCUUUUGGAUCAAAGCCUAGGCAUGCAUAAUUAGGCAUGCCGACCCAAGGAAACGAACCCUUAAUGGAACUAUUUUCCCUCGAAGAUGUUUCUUACGUUAAAUAGUAAUAUAACAUAACUCCCCGAAGAAAUUUUGUCUGUUUGAGCAAUAUGACCGGAUUGCCUGUUUUCCGGACAUAAUGAAUGUUUAUUACAUUCCAACAUGGUCUCCGGAAACACUCCAACUUCUUGGUUCGGAGGUUAAAGCCGAAGGCCUGCAAUGACAAAUUUUGACAAGUUCGGUUGGAGAUAAGUUUGAUGAUAAAGUACAUUGAUACAUUGAAUCGAACGCCUACUCUUUAUCUAUGUCAUCUAUAAGACUGUUUAAGCUACAGUCUUCUUGCAAAUAUUUCGCAGCUAUCAUCACUUGGUCAUAUACCAAGUUCACGGGAAUCUUUUUUCCGUCCGGUCCCUGAGGUCCAACUUGGGCCAUACGAUUCGGAUCGAGCCCGGUGUAGCGCGUUUUCAUCAUCGCCCAUGCCUCUCGUGCACCUUCCCGGCAUGCUGACGCCUUCCAUAGCUCCAAACGGCGCCGGGCACCUUUCAACAGGUUCGCCAACCCCUCCAUGCUUUCUGGAGGGACAUCGGAUGGCCAUAAGGCUUUGGCCAUACUUCUCAUGGCUUUCCGGGCCCGCUCAUGCACUACGGACAGCUCUUUUAGAACGUCGCCUCGGAAUCGGGAUACUUCUUCUUCAUGAUGCCCGGUUAACAGACCUGCAAGAACAGCAUUAUAACACUCUGAAUUACAGGAUAAUAUUAGUCCCUUGGAUGGUUCAAAUGUCAUACCGAAUAUGCCGCCUUUCAACUUUUUAUUCUCUAUUUGUGCAUCUGAUAAUUGAGCCUUUAAGCUCUUUAUCUCUUCGGCUUGCUUAUCCUUUUCCUCCUCCAGUUUGUUCUUUUGAUCAAUGGUCAUCGUGACCUUCUUCAUUUCCUCUAGCUCUGUGGUGGCGGCAUUUAGCUUUGUCCAGCUCGUUUCAAGCUCCUGGGACAGUGUGUUGUUCUUCUCUUUGAGAACCUGCGGUCAUAACGAUCCUUAAAUCGGUUGGUCUAAACCGCUUCAAGUCUCGGGGGCUACUGGCAUAUAUCUAUUAAAUUUACACAAAACAUUACAUGCAUAUGUUUUGAAAACAGGUGAGCAACUCCAGCAAGUCUGUCCCGGGCAGCUCGGAUAUAUGCAUCCACGGUGCUAAGGGCAGUAAAUUCCUGCUCGGUAAAAACUGGAGCACGCAUGGUCUCUUUCACUCGUGGGUGGUUCAUCACGCUCUCCACUUCGGAAUUUGUGACGGAUAUGUCAUCCGAGUCCUCAUGAGGUGGAUGAGUUGGUGCUGCAUCCGUAUUGGCUCUUGUCUUGGUUGAUGAGCCCGGUGCCAGAUUAGCUGAUGAUCGGCUAGCUGGGACUUUAGACACGGUUCACCGUGUGCUCCUUCGGAAAUAAGAUGGGAAGAGAAGUAUGACAAUCUGGUCUUAUGCCUAGGCACAUGUUAAAAUUUAUAGCUCUUUGAUGAAGGAUGGGGCUCGACAGCGCUCCCGGUUUCCUUCCGUUUUCAAGGCUCACCCUGCAUAGAUGCUACCUUCCUAGAGGCCGCCCUCGAUGGAGUGUAGCUCGCUGAGCACCGAUCCUAUGAAGCACGAUUCAUUGUCAUGGGUGAGACACAAGUGGGUGGCUCCUUUUUUGUGGCUCCUUUUUUGAGGAUGAUUUCCGAGUACUUACCUUGGAGAAAGGGAAAAGGCCAGGGUAGUCGGCCGUAAUAGCCACUUCCGAGCCAUCAAGCCUUGCUUGAUAAAAGACUCCAUCAUCAAACUCUAUAAAUAUAUCCGGAUCCUCGCGAAAUCCGGGGUCCUCGUUGCGAGCAUAGUCCUCUGGCUGUGGGGAGGGGCAAUGAAUAUUUUCGACCACCUUCCACCAUGUCUGUUUCAAGACGACAAGAAAAAUUUGAUUAGCACACCUCAAUAAUGAGGUAGGACAAUGCUGAUAAACAAAAACUUACCCAUUCAAUGGGGUUAUACAUGGAGAAACCUUCCCGACAAUUUAAACGGAUGAAUUCUUCGUUCUCCCCCUUAUAAAGAUCUGCAAGAAUGGCCGCCAGAGCGGCUGGGGUAUCCGGGCCCUCAUGCUUAUAACGAGAUGCGUCGUCCUUUCCAUUGUAACACCAUAAAGGGGUCACUCUAGACUGAAGGGGCUGGAUGCAUCGCUUUAUCGCUAUGGCCAUGACUACGAUUAUCAAGAGUUUGGAAUGGGAGAGUAACCUGACCUUGCUAACUAAACUAUUUACUUCCACACUGUCUUCUUGCUUGGGGCUCCGGGGGCGCCAAUUGAAGUGUUUCUUCAAAGGAGAACUGAAGAAUUCGGGAAGUCCACGUCGAACUGGGUCCGGAAGGGGAACGUCCUCAACAUAAAACCAUUCCGAAGUCCAUUCUUCUGAUCCCUUCUUGGGAGUUCCGACGAGGUAACCUGAUCCGGCUAUGCACCAUACUUUGGCGCCGCCCACUUCAAAUAUAGAACCCCCUUGAUGACAAGGGAUGAGGCAAAAGAACUUUCUCCACAAUUUAAAAGGAGCCUCCCAGCCUAAAACUGUUCGCAGAGAGCACAAAACCUGAUACGUGCAGAAUAGAACCUGGUGUGAGGUUGUGUAGUUGGAUCCCGUAGAAUUCCAAUAGACCUCUGAGGAAUGGGUGGAUCGUGAAUCCUAAGACCCUCAGAAUAAACGAGACGAAGCACACCCUCUCCUCCUUGUUGGGGUUGGGGAAAUUCUAUGCUAGCACAUCAUUGCCAAUCGAGGCCAAUCCUGCCUGCAUGGAGAGUAGAUCUGUGGGAGGGAGAUAUCCUUGCGUUUGAAGUCGAUUUAGUUGGAGGGGAGACACUGAGCAGCUUCGCCAAUCACCCGCUUGAGGGCCAUGAGGGCGCGAGGAAGAGCUAGGAGCGCUCGCCAUGUUUUGAAGUUUUUUCCUGGUUUGCUCUGAUGCUCCUUGCGCAAUAUGGGAUGGCAUUUGGGGAUCUAACCCCCUUAUAUAGAUGCCGCCCUUGCAUGGUAAGGGGCUUAUUUGUAAAAAAUUAUGGACUGUUCGCAUUUGCCCGGCGCGUGGAAAUCGAGGCGACGACAGGAAGGAAUGUAAAGGCAGAACAUGAAGUUCAAAGCCGGACUGUCGUCAAUCCGGAGUAUGGUGAGGAACCUGCCUUGCAAAGCUGGAUACUACCUCGCCAUUGAAGGCAAGUUCGGGGGCUACUGAGGGAGUCCUGGAUUCGGGGGUCCUCAGGUGUCCGGCCUAUUCGAUAUGGGCCGGGCUGAUGGGUCGUGAAGACAAAGCAGAAGACCGCCUCCCAUGUCCGGGUAGGACUCCUAUGUGCGUAGAACGGCAAGUUUGGUGUCUGGGUGUAAUUCUCUUUGCCUCUGAAGUGACUUUGUAUAACCCUAGGUCUCUCUGGUGUGUAUAUAAACCGGAGGGGUUAGUCCACAGAGGGCAUCAGAAUAAUCAUAGGCUAGACAGCUAGGGUUUGGCCAUUACGAUCUCGAGGUAGAUCAACUCUUGUAACCCCUAUACUCAUCGAAUACAAUCAAGAAGGACGUAGGGUUUUACCUCCUUCGAGGGGGCCCGAACCUGGGUGAACACCGUGUCCCCUUGUCCCUUGUUACCAUUGAUCCUUAGACUCACAGCUUGGGCCCCCCUACCCGAGAUCUGCCGGUUUUGACACUGACAAGUAUCCCUAGCCCACCAGGGUUCAAGUCAUGAUACUCGCAUUUGUCAUGGAUUUAUUUCAGGAUUCCCGGUGAUCUACGGGUCAUUCCGUGCUCGACCCUGCACAGACCGCACAUGCUCGUCAGACAGUACAACACCAUAGGAUCCACAUCGUGGUUUCCCAGCAUUCCAAUUCUACGGUCUCGUCGAUUUUUUCUACUUUAUGUGGGAUCAAGAAAUAGCAUGUACAGGGGCCUUCGCACCCAACACACACAGUAGUAUAGCAUGUUCUUUCACAUGUUUUACCAUUAGUCGUUUGGUUCGAUCGAUCACAAGCCCCUGCUGCUGAACAGCAAAGCGACUAAACAUGCAACAAAUCACCAAACUCCAAUUUAUUAUUAUACACCAAAGGCGCACACAAGUUCAACCGAAGAACGAUACUAAAAACUCAGUCGGCUGAUAGGUGGAUCAUCAAAGGAGAAUCAAUGCAUCCAGAAGUAAGGCCAACAUAGGAGAGGUGCACCACGCGAGAGACAUAGCCAGUCGAGGAAAUUCAGCCAGUGAUCCUCAGAAGAACCCCCGGACAACGCCACCCCCACGCUGCAUGGUAGGCUUCACAUGCCACCUAGUCCAUGACUUUUGCUCCUAGCGGACACACCCUUUGAUUUCCCUCCUUUUAUCUGCAAAAUUGCCCAAUUUGUUAGCCACUCACAUAUCAACCUGAUAAGCAUAAUUAGAACAUUUAUUAGCUUUUUUUUCAAAAACAACAACUGUUUCUGCAUCUCCAAAUUGUCCAAAAGUUAGCAGCCACACCAACUAACACCCUUUUUUGGUUACAUCAUGUUGAUUUUUUUAAUAGAGACACUAAAGCACAGAAUCAGAUUAGUAGGAUUGAUCUCAAAUUUAAAGUAUAUUUAAGAAAACCCCACACUAGUCUAUUGCUCUCAUCUUGACCACAAAACACACAAUUUUUGGGAUCUAUCCAGCCACUCUUCAAUAAAUGGUCUCUAGGUAAUACGCUAUUUUUGACCAUCAACCAAAGAAAGACUUUGAUUUUUGGUGGAAUUUUAUUUUUUUCUUAAAACAAUUGUGACAAACCACAAUAUUGAACAACAAGGUGUCUAUAAAGUGUUUUGACUGUAAAAAGACCAUAUGCAGUUAACAUACACUUAAUAGAAUCCUUGUUGUGAGACAUCACAUUCCAUCACAUCUCAUUUUGAGGCUAUCCCAAAGAGCUAGAGUAUCACCUCACAAAGUUCUUCUAAAUCUAAAACCCUCCCAACCUCUCUACAAGGCAUCAGUUGUAGUAAUAUUCUAAUCAGAACUCAAAUUAUACAGUAUAGCAUCAGAGAUUUUAAGGGGUUUAUAAUCCACCAACAGUAUUCCCAAAAAUCCAGCAUUCUUGCCAUUACCACUUUUUUACAAUAUUGGUAGAAUGUGUAUUUAAUUUUCAUGAUACUGGACCAGAAAUGGGAGUCCCCAGUCUUAGGUUUAGUUCCAAAAAGGCAACCAUUCCGAAGAUGCUUGUUCAGGAGAAUCAUGUGCCAAAUACCAUUUUUAUUUUCUACCAUAACUAUUUAGCAGACAAGUUUUGUUCAUGAGUUCAAGAUUUAAAAUCCCUAAACCCCCUUAAUCUUUAGGUCUAAAUCAAGUGUUCCACUUUACUAAGUGUUAUUUUUUUUCUUAUUGUCAUCUGCCUACCAAACAAAUCUAGCCAUGAAAAAAUUGGCUCUUUUCUUCACAUCAACUGGGAUGGGGUAGAAAAACAUCAUACAUAAGUUGAAUAUCCCCCUCUAUUGUUAAAUCUUCUCUCAUAGUGAUAGUUAUCAAAUCUCUCCCCUUUUGUUGAAACUACCUUGCACGCCUGCACCACCAUAAGACCUAGCCAUCCCUUCUUGCUCACCAGAUGGCGGCGUAGCAGUCAAGCCUUACCACACAUCGAUUGCUUGCCCACCAAAUUCUCUUAGGGGGCGGACCAAAGCAUCUAAAUACCCAAAGGUAGCACAAGGCGCAUUCUCCUUAAGUGCUUUCCUAUUCCACUAACCUGGACCUCCUAUACCAAAAACAUCUAGUCCAACCGCCCAGGGCCAACUACAGAAGGUUCUAUGGGUAAAGGCCAAAACCCUAAAACUCACCCCCUCCUUGCUCAAUAUUUAUCAUCACAACAUCAAUGUAAUCUAAGAAAUCCACCCCAAAAACAAGCAUAUCCUUUGUAAAAUUGGCAAGGGUAGCUGGAAAAUUACCAAUUCUCAUAGCCUUUUUGACUAGAUUUCCACCAACAUCGAAAUUCCAUUUAAAAACUAUAUCAUCACAAAUUUUGAUAUUGUGGGUAUCAACAUCAGAAAGAUCCAAGGACAAACCAUCCUCAUAACAGUAUUACGAUCAAAAUCAAUGACAUGAUCAACUUCCAUCGGAAAAUCCACCGAAGACUUUUCGAGCAUGCAACUAAGAUAUCCUAACACUAUUUCUCGCAACUACAAUCCUCCCAACUGUUAGUUUGUACAUGAGGAUGUAAAUAUUUGUAGAGAUCAGCAAUCUUACUUGAAAAUGAAGCAGCAAAACGAUUGUAGGAGUCGUCGACUCCUCCCCGGCAGCAGCCAUAAUUGACUGCCUGCCAGGAAGACGCCUACUCGUCGGCGGCGCGCUGUGCAAGCGCCUGGAUCCGCGCAGAACGCCGGGGGAACCGAGGGGAGCGACGAGGCAGCUGUGAAAUCACCCGCGCCACAUUUUGCCUCGGCACCACCCGCACAUCGUCGUCGGUCAUGACAGGCAUCACCGGACAGUGUGGCGGUGACCUUGUCGCCGUGGUCACCACCCGCACACCAUCCCAGAUCAGAUUGGACGAAACCCAAUCAUACGACGCGUAGCGGUACCACCGCGCGCGCUGCACCGGAUCGUUGGAUUCCGCCUCCAUCAUUGCCCAAUAGAGAAUCUCGAGCGGGGACUUCCCUGAGAUCCAACUUUGUUCCUCCUCUGAGGCCUCUUCAAACACCCGACGUGAUUCCUGAUGCAUCUCCUCCGCAUCCCUGUACUGCCCACAGAUCUCGCGAAGCCUCGCCAUCUUCGUCUCGUCGCUACCGCGAUUGCCGCCGCCAUGAUCUCCCCCCACGCCAAAGGCCCUUCCAUCACCGAGAUCUGAGACGAAGGUUGGAGGGGAAGAAGAAGGGGAUCGUCGACACCCUCGUGCCUCGCGUGUAGAUUUAAUGCUUGCCAAAGUCAUAGGUAUUCAUUGCCCACAUCACGGGUUCCUCGAGAUUAGUGUGGGAUCAACACCGUUGAUUUUUUGGAAAUUAUUAUGUCCUGGAUGUUGCGAAAUCAUCUAUUAGGGGCCAUCCUAUCACGAUCCCGAUGCCAAGUUGUACUCCACUAAAACUAGAAUUGGCAUCCGUCCAUCCACGGAACGAGCACAAGCCAACAAGAUUACACCAAACGUGACGCUGCACCAGUUUCAGUUUCACAGGUACGCUGCCGUGGGAAAGCGAAGAAAUUGUUGGUAAAGUGAGAGAAGGACAGCAUGGUAAACGAUGUCUGGUCCAGGUCCCGUCUGCCGCCCGCCACACCGCAAACGCACCAUCCAGCUCACUUUUGCCUGGAUUGUGUCGAUGCGAUGCAAUGCAAUUCCCUGGAUGCCAAUUGUUUGGUGGAACCACAAUUUCAGUCUUGACAUACGUACAUGACCCAUGACGCAUUGUCCGGCCAAACUUCUAAAUGCAAUACACGUAGGCUAGAAAUUCCCCAUUCGGAAAAACAAGAGGAAGAAGUUGACCUCCGCAUCCUGGUGCCGGAGAACAAAACGGCCGACAGAUGCAGCAUCGUUAAUGUGGAAAAUUGAUCUCUCUCAGAAAAAGAAAAAAAAUGGAAAGCCGAUCCUGGCACGCACAAGUCUCUCUCGGUGACAAACGCGUGCACUGUUGUAUGUAUUUAGGUGACGAUGGAAGCCGCGCUAGGAUAGGAAGUUAAGUGAUCACGCAUCGAUCAUUCGACAUGCACCAAAACUAGAGUUUUCACACCUGACAGUCACGCCCACCUAAAAUGGCACCCUUUGUCAGUGAUUUUUUUGCGAGGCACCCUUUGUCAGUGUUACACCCUUCUCACGCAUUCUUGAUCGUGAAGCUUCUCGUAUGAACAAACAAGUAAAUGGCCAACGGAACGAGGGCACACGAAAAAAAGCCGCCGCCUCCUCCUCCAGAAAAAAAAAAGCUAAGGUUUCUACCUCCCGCCGGCAACGCCGCAAGUCCGCCUCCUCUCCGAUGGCUAUAGGGCCAUGGGGUGCGGUGGAUCUCGGCAAGUGCCGGCGGGAGGGCUCCGUUUUUAGUCGUUUCUUUCAGUUUUGCUAGGGUAUGUGUCCUGCUUAGGAAGACGAGAAGGCGGCGGCUCCCUGAAGAUGGAAUAAAGGUCUCCCCGCCUCGCCCCUGUUCCGGCGGUGCGUCUAGCACCAUUGGUGGACGUGUGGAGGUGUGUCUUCGACGGAUCUAUCUUUGAUGGAUUUGCUCGGAUCUCGUCGUUGUUUGUCUACGUUUGUGUGUCUUCGAGUUGGAUCCUUCUGAUCUACGUUAUUCUUCAUCUGGGGCGGUUGCUGUUCUGGUGUGCUGAUCCUACGGGGCCUUAGCACGACAACUUUCCGACUGUCUAGUACAACAAGUUGUGCCCGACUCCGGCGAUGGAGGGGCGAUGACAGCGGCGCGCCUCCGGCUCGCUUCAGUGCUUAUAGUCGUUGGUAGGUGGUCUACGGAUCUGGAUGUAAUCUUUAUUAUUUCUAAUAUUCAUUGUACUGGCAUGAUUGAUGAUGAAUAGAUCACAAAUUUUCCUGAAAAAUAAGUAAAUGGAUAGAGAAAGUUUGUUGUCUGUCGAGUACCUCGGCAGUCAGCUAGGAGUACUUAAGCAGGAGUGGCCGUUUGAAUCAAUCAGGCGGCGGGAGAUACGUACUCCCAUUCCGGAGAAAAAGUAGGCUAGUGAGCGGACCUAGAAGGACGCACUAAAUCUCACGCGGACGUCGCGGAUGUGCACGUACGGGCUCGAGUGCGCGGCAGCGGCCGCGUGUAUGCGAUGAGGCCGGAUUCUACACGAGUGAAUCAGCAGUCGGAGAGAGUCCAUUCCAGGUUAAGACCAAAUCCUCUUGCCUCGACAAGACUUCCUGCCGAGACAGACGCGUCCGUACUUACGUGAGCCAGCAGCAGUCGGCACACACGUUUUUUUUGGAAACAGAGGCAUGAGAUUUGCGUCAUCUAUUAAAUAAGGAAUCUAUUAAAUAAGGAGAGAAUAGAGUUUAGAGAAUUACAACACACCCACACAUUCGGCAUGACAAUUACUCGCCCAGAAAAAUAUUCCUAAUUUCUUUGCGCCUGCGGCCAUCCAAAGCUUGGCCUCGUCGACGAUGGCGGUGAGCAGGAUGGUCGGUGGUGCACUUUUGUGGCAGAACACCCGUGCAUUUCUUUCAUUUCAAAUGGUCCACGAGACGAGCAUGGUGAGGGAGGCCAUAGCUUGCCGGUUAGGGUUGCGGUUGUCGGUUCUCUUGUCCCACCACUGGUAGACGGAGUCGUCCAUGAGCCACUCGGAUGUAUCCAUGUGCGCAAGACCUAGCUUCUCAAUGAGAGACUUCCAUAGCCGGAUCGUGUAGAGGCACUUGAAGAAAAGGUGGGCUCCCGAUUCUUGCUCCCUAUUGCAAAGCUUGCAAAGGCCACAAUUUGGCCAACCUCGACGCUCCAAGCGACCGGCGGUCCAAAUCCUAUCUUGUAACGCCAACCAAGCAAAAAACUUAACCUUUGGGAGUGCCCAUGCCUUCCAAACCAUGCGAUCCAAGGGGGAGAGAGUCAUGCCUAGGAAUUGAGCCUUGUACGCGCUGGCCGCCGUGUAGAUCCCAUCGUUCGCAUGCUUCCAAACGAUGGCGUCUUCGGUUUGCUCAUGAAGGUGGACGUCAUUAAGGAGCAUCCAAAGAGUGAAGAACUCCCUAAUGUGGGCAAUGGAGACAACCGUGUCCGUGUCAUGAUUGAUCUCGAAGAUCCAAGCGUUCCCCCUGAGGGCCUCACGGACCUUCCAAUUCUUUCUUCUCGAGGCCGCAAACAAGAGUGGCGCGAUAUCCUUGGGUUUGCGACCAAGAAGCCACGGGGAGGCCCAAAAAGGCGUUUUGAAGCCAUCCCUUACAGUGAUAGUCGUAGAGGCAUAGAAAAACUCGAGGUCCUCCUCCGUGCACGGGUUUCCAAGGCCAACCCAUAAUCUGCGGGGCUCAGUCCAUUCAUACCAUAGCAUUCGGAGCCGCAAAGCACGUGCAAACUUGUCGGUGUCGAGCACCCCAAGGCCACCAUAUUCUUUUGGUCUACAAACCACCUUCCAGUUGACCUUGCAUUUGGCUCCCGUUGUCUUGUCCGAGCCGGACCAAAGGAAAGCUAUCUCAAUUUUUUUAAGACUAUGGAGAGAGCUCUGAGGCACGACGAGGGGCGUGAUGGAGAAUACUGCUUGGGAGGUAAUGACCGACCUAACAAGUGUCGUACGACCUAUGGUAGUGAUGUUUUGGCCCUCCCAAGUUACCAAUUUGCCGGCCGCUUUGUCCUCAAGGUAUCGGAAAUCCACCUUCUUGAGUUGCCAAACAGAGAGUAGUAGUCCUAGGUAUUUGACCGGAAAAGAGGCACGUGCUGCCGGCAUGCUCUGAAGAAUUUGCUCAAGGUCAAGGUGAUUGCAACGAAUAGGCACAACCGAGCUUUUUUGGAAGUUGGAACAAAGGCCUGUGACGUCCCCAAAGCCUCUCAGGAUAGAGGCAAGAUUGUCGAUGUCCCGCUUGAUGGGGGCCACAAAGACCGCCGCAUCAUCCGCAUAGAGGGAGGUGCGCACCAUGGCACCCCGACCACAGAUCUUAUGUAAGAGCCCUUUUCCCGUCGCCAAGUCUAGGAUCUUAUGCAAGGGGUCAAUUGCCAGGACAAAGAGGAGUGGAGAGAUGGGGUCCCCCUACCUGAAUCCACGGCCAUGCUUGACAGGAGGGCCGGGUAGCCCGUUUAGCAUUAUCCGAGAUGAAGAAGAGGAUAGAAGCGCAACAAUCCAAGCUCGAAAUUUUGGAGGGAAGCCCAACCGUUGGAGCAGCUCAAGAAUGUAUCCCCACUUGACUGAGUCGAAAGCCUUUUUUAUAUCAAGAUUGAAAAGGAGUGCGGGGGUCUUGCAUUUGUGUAGACGCCGGGCGAAAUUCCAAACAUACAUGAAGUUGUCGUGGAUACUUCUCCUUUUAAUGAAAGCACUCUGGGCAUUGGAAACGAGGUCAUCCAUGUGGGGCGCAAGGCGUAGCGAAAGAACCAUGGCAAUGAUUUUAGCGAUGGCAUGUAUGAGGCUAAUGGGCCCAUAAUCAGAGAUGCCUUCCGCGCCAUCCUUCUUAGGCAGCAGAACAACAUUGGCAGAGUUUAGCCACUGCAGGUUGGAGGUGUGUAAGCAAUCGAAGCAUUGAAUGACCCCCAUGAUCGUAUGUUUGAUGAUUCCCCAACACUUCUUGAAGAAGAUCCCCGUGAAACCAUCCGGUCCCGGCGCCUUGUUACUAGGCAUCUCUUUUAUAGCCUCCCAAACCUCCUCCUCGGUGAUGGCGGCGUCGAGGUCUUGCAAGGCAUGGGCCUCAAUGCCCAGUUACUCCCAAUUGAAAUCCUUAUUGCUCGUACUUCCCCGGCCCAUGACCUCGGAGAAGUGAUCAUGGAUGAUCUUCUCUUUUUCCUUGUGGUCGGUCACCCAACCAUGAGCAUGCUUUAGCCGGUGAAUAUGGUUUUUUCAACUACGGGCAUUGAUGCGACGGUGGAAGAAUUUGGUGUUGGCAUCACCCUCCCUUAGAUUUGCCAAUCUAGCACAUUGGCUCUUCCUAGCCCGCUCAAGAACCGCCAAACUAACCACUCUUCGCUUAAGUCUAGCACUGAAGGAAAUAUGCCCUAGAGGCAAUAAUAAAGUAUUAUUUAUUUCCUUGUAUCAUGAUAAAUGUUUAUUAUUCAUGCUAGAAUUGUAUUAACCAGAAACAUAAUACAUGUGUGAAUAUAUAGACAAACAGAGUGUCACUAGUAUGCCUCUACUUGACUAGCUCGUUAAUCAAAGAUGGUUAUGUUUCCUAGCCAUAGACAUAAGUUGUCAUUUGAUUAACGAGAUCACCUCAUUAGGAGAAUGACGUGAUUGACUUGACCCAUUCCGUUAGCUUAGCACUCGAUCGUUUAGUAUGUUGCUAUUGCUUUCUUCAUGACUUAUACAUGUUCCUAUGACUAUGAGAUUAUGCAACUCCCGUUUACCGGAGGAACACUUUGUGUGCUACCAAACGUCACAACGUAAAUGGGUGAUUAUAAAGGUGCUCUACAGGUGUCUCCAAAGGUACUUGUUGGGUUGGCGUAUUUCGAGAUUAGGAUUUGUCACUUCAAUUGUCGGAGAGGUAUCUCUGGGCCCACUCGGUAAUGCACAUCACUAUAAGCCUUGCAAGCAUUGUGACUAAUGAGUUAGUUGCGGGAUGAUGCAUUACGGAACGAGUAAAGAGACUUGCCGGUAACGAGAUUGAACUAGGUAUCGAGAUACCGACGAUCAAAUCUCGGGCAAGUAACAUACCGGUGACAAAGGGAACAACGUAUGUUGUUAUGCGGUCUGACCGAUAAAGAUCUUCGUAGAAUAUGUGGGAGCCAAUAUGGGCAUCCAGGUCCCGCUAUUGGUUAUUGACCGGAGACGUGUCUCGGUCAUGUCUACAUAGUUCUCGAACCCGUAGGAUCCGCACGCUUAACGUACGAUGACAGUUUUAUUGAGUUUUGAUGUACCGAAGGAGUUCGGAGUCCCGGAUGAGAUCGGGGAUAUGACGAGGAGUCUCUAAAUGGUCGAGACGUAAAAAUCGAUAUAUUGGACGACUAUAUUCGGACUUCGGAAAGGUUCCGAGUGAUUCGGGUAUUUUUCGGAGUACCGGAGAGUUACGGGAAUUCGUAUUGGGCCUUAAUGGGCCAUACGGGAAAGGAGAGAAAGGCCUCAAAAGGUGGCCGCACCCCUCCCCAUGGUCUGGUCCGAAUUGGACUAGGGAAGGGGGGCGCACCCUUCCUUCUUUUUCCUUCCCCCUUCCCUUCUCCUACUCCCACAAGGAAAGGAGGAGUCCUACUCCCGGUGGGAGUAGGACUCCCCCCUAUGGCGCGCCUCUCCCCUUGGCCUGCUGCCUCCCCCUUGCUCCUUUAUAUACGGGGGCAGGGGGCACCCAGAGACACAACAAUUGAUCCUUGAGAUCUCUUAGCCGUGUGCGGUGCCCCCCUCCACCAUAUUACACCUCGAUAAUACCGUUGCGGAGCUUAGGCGAAGCCCUGCGUCGGUGGAACAUCAUCAUCGUCACCACGCCGUCGUGCUGACGAAACUCUCCCUCAACACUUGGCUGGAUCGGAGUUCGAGGGACAUCAUCGAGCUGAACGUGUGUAGAACUCAGAGGUGCCGUACGUUCGGUACUUGAUCGGUCGGAUCGUGAAGACAUACGACUACAUCAACCGCGUUGUGAUAACGCUUCCGCUGUCGGUCUACGAGGGUACGUGGACAACACUCUCCCCUCUCGUUGCUAUGCAUCACCAUGAUCUUGCGUGUGCGUAGGAAUUUUUUUGAAAUUACUGCGUUCCCCAACAAGCACGCAGGUCCCUCUCCUCAGGUGAGAGGGCUCGUUCCUCUUGCGCCAACUCCAACUGAAGGAUCACCGAGAGGGCCGCAUGGAGUUGGAUCUUGGCCUUGGAGAAAAACUUCUUGCUCCAUUCAGUGAGCCGGGUCGCGGUUUUCUUGAGCCUAUGAUGAAGAAUUUGGAAAGGCUCUGUGUGGUUUACAUGCUCAUUCCACGCCUUUAGGACGACGUCAUAGAAUCCAGGCAAAGAUACCCAAUUUUUUUCAAAUUUGAAGGACCGUGGACGUUUAGGUCCCUUGUCAUCGGCAAGCAGGAGGGGGCAAUGGUCGGAGAGGGAAGAUGAAAGGGCAUGUAACACAUGUGUGUUGAAAGUAGUGUCCCACUCGGCGUUGCAAAAGAAAGAGUCAAGCUUGCAAAGGGUGGGGUUUUCCCGCUCAUUGCUCCAAGUGAAGCGUCUAUGUUGGAGAUGAAUUUCUUUGAGCUCACAAGAUUGAAGGGUUGCGCGGAAACGGUUUAUCCUACUCCAGUUUACAUUUCUCUUGUUCUUGUCUCGUGCUCGGUAGAUUUGAUUAAAAUCCCCAAGGGCCAACCAAGCAACACCUGACAAAGGCUUGUGGGCGACAAUCUCGGUAAAGAAAGAAUCUUUACUAGCGUGGUUAGUGGGACUGUAGGCAGAUGUUAUCUUGAAGUAUACAUAUGUCGCUCGAAUGCGAACCUUGCCGGAGAGGCAAAAGGCCGACGAAGAAAUGUCGGAGACCUCGACGACGUUGUCAUCCCAUAGUAAUAAGAUCCCACCACUAGUUCCCGUCGCCGGUCGCUGCGCAAAACUUUUCAGCCGGUUGCCACCAAGGAAGGCAGCCACAUAUUUGUCCACGCUAACUAGCUUCGUCUCUUGUAAACACACAAUUUGGCACGAGGAGUCUGCAAUCGUAGCGCUGACGGUUGCCCUCCGGGCUGGGCAGUUUAGACCACGUAUGUUCCAACUCAGGGUGUUUAUAGGUUGUGGAGUCAUGGGGCACACGAACAUUCACUUUGAACAGUCCAGGAGGGAGGACAGCAACGAACGGACAGCAGAAUAACAACAGUAUUGAACUGAGCUACAAACCCCAUUGGAGCACAUGAGUACUGGACGUAGCUUAACAUAUGGACGUAGCCUAACACAUAUGGCCGAGCCAAGUGGCACUAGACUUACACAUAGAUGGAACUAAGGCAGCCAACAGGCUGACACACAUUACAGUGCAGAGGAGAGCUAACAUAAUCAACUAAAACAGCCCUGAACGACGAACUGGACGAGCAAGUCGCCGCCUACUGUGCUCACAGGCUCGGCUGAGCCGCACUAGCAUCCUGGGACAUCUCCAAAGCUCCCUCACCACCGUGAUCAAUCAGUGCAUCCUCGACAUCGUUGACAGCCUUGUCGUCAAGGUGAAAAAAAAUCCCUCAUGGCCAUAAUCAGCUCAGGAGCAAGUUGCUCUUUGAACUUGGCAGUGAAAUCAGCAAGUGUAGCCUCUGCUACGUCUUCUCCAUCUCUGACUAUCCCAAAGGACCGGCAAACUAGCUUCUUCGCCGCCUUGGCUGUUGGGAGCACCAUAUGGGUGCGUUUGAUUUUCUGCAGGGAGAGCCCCCCCUUGUUGGAGAUCUUGACGCCGGCAAGGGUCUUCCGGCGAGCCGUGGGAGGCCUGGGAGGGGGGGACUCGGGCGGAGCAAGGAUGCCCAUCUGGCGCUCCUCAAAAAUAGGCGCCAGAACAUCUUCAAGGCAAGGUAAAGCACGGCUUCGCACGGGGGAGGGCGUGCGCUGCAGAGGGCCGUCGCAGAUCAGGGGCGGUGUAGGCGAUGUCUGGAAACCCGGCGGCCUGGAGGGCGACCGCAGGGGCAGCAUGAGAGACGCGGGCGCACAAAGCUCCAGCAAGGCUUGACUGGGCGCGGGGCUCGCCAGGGGGGAAGUCGAGGCCACAGCGCGCUUGGAGAUCAGGCUUGGCGGCAGCACGGUUGUCGAAGACAGCGGAGGGGACACCGGGGGGGUCCGCUCCUUGAGAGCGGCGCCUGGAGGAGCGUGGAGAGGUCUGACGCGUCGGGCUGCGCCCCCGAGCGUCAACGCCGGCAGGGUCGGGGACGACCGACAGCUCAAGGGCGCGAACAGGCUCAGCACUGCCUGAGCCAGAGCCCCUAAGCACCAAGCCAGGACACACAGGGGGGGGGCGGCCGCAACAGCCUGGCCGCACACACGUUUGGAGCUACGAUACGAUGAACAACCCGUGCCUGGUCGAUCAGCCUGAUAUGCACAGACACAGUAACAAAAGUACCUCCAUGUCCUGCGGUAGAUGUCUCGAUCACGCAACGAGCAAAGAUUAGAGCUUGUCGAUCAUCACUCGACGUGGGCAGGGUAGUACGAUGUCCACACUCCACUCCACGGUGGCAUGAAGAAAUCUCUGCUAAUUCCAGUUUGCCUUGCCGGUGUGACCAACCGUUGCUCCCGAUCGACCGGUCUAAUAACGCUGAGUGCUACUACUAUGUUCGCACUCCACAGUCCAGUCGCAUUUUGAAGUUUCUCCUUUUAGCGUGUUGGUGUGACCGUCCGUUGCACACCAUCGACGCAUGCGUCUCAUAUUCAGUACGCAUACACAAGGCGUAACUAAUUGUGCGCGCACGGGCGGGCGUAUCCUUACUCGCAAAGUUUCCUUCCCUUGGUUACGCGCGCGUAUGCAGGACGACGGAAGCUUCUGGAUCGGCAGGAAACGAGCCAAACCGAAGACCAAGACAAAACUGACCGCGUUCAAUUGUGAGGUGCGACACGCGGUUGAGUACACGACGUGCACAUUCCAAGAGAGGAAUGAAUGAUGUUGGCACGAGACCGCACAUACGCACCGGGCCAUGCUGUUCGUGGUCGGCAUGGGCACGUCCAGGUCAAACCCAACUCCGGCCAUCUGCACACAGACAGAGCUACGAACGCGACCCUUGAUUGCUUCCUGCCGCGUCAGCACCCACUAGUACUCAUCGUCGACCUACCGACCGACCGUAGCAGCACCACAGCACGCGCUCGUAGCCCUGUCUGGCGGUUCAUUCGUCGUGUUUAGAGACAGAAGUAAAGAACAAGGACAAGAAUGAAUCGCUGUUCUCUUCAUUGAUUGAAAACUGCUCUUUAUACAAAGGGAAGAGACGCUUGUAGAAAGACGUCUGUUCGGAGGAGAUGCCUGUCCGGCAGUGAACCGACGCGGAGGAUAAGCAGGGAUUAUCCCUUCAUUAACACUCGUUAAUUAAUCCUAACACGUCCGUGCUGUGCUCUGUCCAGGGUCUGCACCCACCACACGCACGUGCUCGUCACAGAGUACAGUAUCACAGGAUCCCCAUCGCGGUUUCCAUUCCCAGUAUUCCAUUCUACCGUCUCGUCGAAUAUUUCCGAGCUAUACGGGCUCAAGAAAUAGCAGCACGUACAGGUACAGGGGCAUCCGCACCACACACAGUAGUAUGCCAUGUUCUUCCACAUCUUUUACCAUUAUAAAAGAAAUCAUUUGAUUCGAUCGAUCACGAGCCCCUCAUGCUGAAUAGCAAAGCGACUAAACAGGCAACGAAUCAACAAACUCCAACUUAUUACACAUCAAAGUCGCACAACAGUUUAACCGCAGAACGGUGAUAAAACUCAGUCUGAUAGAUGGAUCAUCAAAGAAGAAUCAACGCAUCCAGAAGCAAGGCCGGCAUAGGAGCUGUGCACCAUGCUAGGGACGUAGCCAGUCGAGGAAGUUCAGCCGGUGAUCCUCGCAACCCCCGGACGAGGACGCCACUCCUGCGAUGCACUGUAUGCUUCACCCGCCACCUGCUCCAUGACUUUUGCUCCCAGUGUCAACACCCUUUGAUUUCCCUCCUUUAUCUGCAAAAUUGCCCAAUUUGUUAUCCACCGAAAUAUCAACCCGAUAAGAGUAAUAGGGUCAUUUAUCAGCUUUCUUUCAAAAAUAAUAUCAUUUCUGCUUCUCCAAAUUGUCCCAAAGAUAGCAGUAACACCAACUAACAUCUGUUUUUCAGUUUCAUGCUGUAAACUUUUAAUCUAGCUACUAAAGUACAAACUCAGAUUAUAAGGAAUAUAUCUCAAAUGAAAAGCACAUUUAAACAAACCCCACUCUAGUUUAGCCACCAAACUCCUGAAGAAUAACUACUCAGAGCUCUCAUCAUUUUUUGGGGACCGAUCUAGCCUCUUUUCAGCAAAUUGUCUCUAGUUAAUUUGCUAUUUUGACCAUCGACCAAAGAAAGACUUUCAUUUUUGGCGGAAUUAUGUUUCCACAAAAAGGUCAAAACCCAUAAUAUUGAAUAGCUUAUAGUUUUGAUAAUAAAAAGACUGUCUACAGUUAACAUACACUUAAUAGAAUCCUUGUUGUUAGGCACAACAAUUUCCUCACAUCCUUUUUUGAUGCUAUCCACAAGAGCUAGAGUAUUACCCCACGUAGUUCUCAUAAAUCUAAAAUCCUCUCGGCCUUUCUGCAAGGUAUCAACUACAAUAAUAUUGUGGUCAAAACUAAAAUUGUGCAGUCUAGCACAAGAGAUUUUAAGAGGUUUAUCAUCCACCUACUUGUCUUCCCAAAAUCAAGUAUUUUUGCCAUUACCACUUUUUUUGGCAAGGCUGGUAGAACAUGUCUUUUAUUUUCAUGAGACUCAACUAAAAAUGGGAGUCCCCUGUCUUAGGUUUAGUUGCAGAAAAGCAACCAUUCCGAACAUGUUUGUUCGGGAGAAUUGUUUGCUAGAGACCAUUUAAAGUCUCUAACUUCCAUAACCAUUUAGCCAGGAUAGCAUUGUUCAUGAGGUCAAGAUAUCUGAUCCCUAGCCCCCCUUGGUCUUUAGGUCUAAAGCCACUGGCCCAGUUUACUAUGAGAUAUUUUUUUUCUUGUUGUCGUCUCAUGCUAAACAAACCUAGCCAUGAAGAAAUUGGCUCUUUUCUUCACACUAAUCGGGAUGGGGUAGAAAGACAUUAUAUAAGUUGAAUCCUCCCCUUAUGUUGUUAAAGAACCAAGGACAAAUCAUCCCAGCAACAAUAUUAUAAUCAAAAUCAGUGGCAUGAUUGACUUUCGUUGAAAAAUCCAGCGAAACUAUUUGAAGCAUGGAACUCACAUCUUUGAACCCUAUUUCUCGCAGCUACAAAUCCCCACAUCAUUACUUUGUACAGGAGAAUGUAAAAAUUUGUAGAGACCAACAAUCUUACUGGAAAAUGAAGUAGCAAAACGGUCGCACGAGUCCUCAUUGUCGGACUCCUCCCUGGCCAACAGCCAGAAUCGACUGCCAGCCAGGAAGACGCCUACUCAUCGGCGGCGGCGCUCUAUGUAAGUGCCUGGAUCCGUGCAGAACGCCGGGGAAACCGAGGGAAGCGACGAGGCAGCUGUGAAACCACCUGGGCAACAUUUUUCCUUGGCAACACCUGCACGUCGUUGUCAGUCAUGACGGGCAUCGCCGGACUGCGUGGCGGUGACCUCCCCGUCAUGGUCACCACCCGAACAUUAUCCCAGAUUGAAUGGGACGAAACCCAAUCGUACGGCAAGUAGCGGUACCACCGCUCGCGCCGCAUCGGAUCGCCGGACUCCGCCUCCAUCACCGCCCAAUAGAGGAUCUUGAGUGGGGUCUUCCCUGAGAUCCGACUCUGCUCCUCCUCCUAGGCCGGUUCAACCACCCGACGUGAUACUUGACACAUCUCCUCUGCAUCCAUGUAUCGCCAGUAGAUCUCGCGGAGCCUCGCCAUCUUCGCCUCAUCGCCGCCCGCGAUCGCCGCCGCAAUGGGACCCCCCCGCACCCAAGGCCCUUCCAACCCCAUCGCCGCCAUGUUCUCUUCCCACGCCCAAGGCCCUUCCAGCUCUCAGAUCUGACAUGGAAGUCAGAGGGGGAGAAGGAGGGAUUGCCAAGACCCUUGUGCUUUCGCGCGUGGAUUUAAUGUCUGCCAAACUCGUAGGUAUUCAUUGCCCGCCAUUGAUUUUUUUGGAAAGUAAUAUGUCAUAUAUCUCGAGAAAUCAUUUAUUAGGUGCCAUCCUAUCAAGAUCCCACUGCCCAAGUUGUACUUCACUAAAACCAAAAUUGGCAUCUGUCCAUCCGCGGAACGAGCACAAACCAACAAGAUUACACCAAACGUGUUGCACCAGUUUCAGUAUCCAGAGACGCUACCGUGGGAAAGCGAAGAAACUGUUGGUAAAAUGAGGCACAAACAGUGUGGUAAACAGUGUCCGGUCGAGUCUGACACACGCCGCACCACAAACGCACCAUCCAGCACCCGACAUGCGCCUCAACCGCCGAACGGGUCAGACGAACAGUCAUCUUACAAGCCGACCCCACUCGCAGCGACACCCGACACCCCCUUAUUAACCGCACACACAGCCAGACCAAUCCAAUCAUCGUCAACCUCGCCGCGUACCUCCCUCCGCUACGCGUCAUAAAAUGUUAAAACCCCAUCCCUCCUAGACAUUUCCCCGGUCCAUCCACCGGUGCCGCGACGCUGAGCCCCGACCAAGCAUGGAGUUGUUUGCGCACGCCGAGGGAAUUCUCCUUCCAGCUUGUGCCAAUAUGACAGCGACUAACCUCUUUUCGUCGAGCUUUUCACUGCCCAAGUUUUCUAUUUAUAACCUGAAUGGUGAGUAGGCUUUCCGCCACCAUGACUAUAACCAUGCUUAUAUGAACCGCAAUUUUAUUUUUUUAGAAAAAGGAGGAUUACCCCAGCCUCUGCAUCAGAGUGAUACAUGCAGCCCCGACUAUAUGAACCGCAAUGGCGAAUGUAGACAAGUAUGGAUGGAUCAAUGGAUGGAUGCUCAGGUGUUUAAUAUUUCUUCUGAGCAAUUUACUGUGUUGUGUGAUAUCGUGUUUCAGCCAUGGCAUGUUUUUUUCCUGAACAUGCUUUUCGCGUUGAGGUGUUGCCAUCAUUCAUGUCGCUUGUGGGUUUGGACUUGGAUGCUCCUGUAAAACGGUGGCGGUUUGCCUAGCCACGUUAUGCUUUCCUUCCCUUUUGUGUGAAAAGUUUCAUGUAUUUCCUUACGUAUAGAAAGAUUCCCUCAUUCGUGUAUAUACUUUUCUGCUUGGUCUGCGCGCACACUUGAGCAAGUUCCAGCUAUGGAAAGGAUAGCAAUGAUUGAUGAGGAGAUGAGGUAGUUGUACUUGUACAUGGAUAUAGUUUGCCAACACUGUUUUAAUCUGAAUUUGGCCCUCUUCAUGGGGUUGGUGGCAUUCGACGCGGAUGUUUUGUCCAUGAUUGGACUGGACAUGUUGUGUGCUACUAACCGUCCUUAGCAUUGAGCCCCAUAUAUACUCCUGAUGAUAAUGAAAGACAAGUUGCCAAUAGUUAGCUAGUACUUAUGAUUUAAGUGUGUUGUGACGUUAAUUAUAGAGGCAGGACUUUUUCCUGGAAUGUGCGAUGCAGUGCAAUUCCUUGGAUUCCAAUUGUUUGGUGGAACCACGAUUUCAGUCUUGACGUGUCCCUCCUCCCGUCCCUCCCGUCCCUCCCCCGUGCGGCGGCGCCGCCCCGCACCGGGGAGCCUCCGCCCUCCUCCUAUAGCCUCGCCCCUCCUCCGCUCCCCUCCGCCGCCGUCGCUAGGGGCGUCACAGGGCAAAGCCCUUGUGGUGUGGCGGCAGCGGCGGUUUCUUCUCGGAUCUCGAUCUGGUUGGGAGGCGGCGCUCCUCUCUGGCCAGAUCGGCGGCGGUGGCGCAGAUUGGCGGCGACAUGGAAGUGGUGCGGCAGCGGCGGGGGAGGACGGCACCAGCAACGACGGAUCUGGCCUUGACUCAUGUCGGGCUAAUUCGUUGUGCUACCGAUCUCAAUCGCCGUCGGCGGGGCACUGUUCCUGGACUUGAUCUGCAACACGAGGAUGUCUGGGCGCCGGCCCUAGGCUUGGUGGUGGUGGCCUUCUUCUUCGUCGGAGUUGGUCGGCCGGCUGGCUGUGCUCGCAUGGUCAUGCAGUGACCGGCGGCUUGGCCGGUCGGCGGCGGCGGAACUUGGCCGGUGGCAGCGGCAAAGUUCUGUCUGGAUCCCGGGGCGGCGGCCCUAGAGGGUGGAGGCCGGUGAAGCUCGGGCUUCCCGCGGCGGCAUGGCGUGGUGCAGUCCCUGUCCAAGGCGGAUCUGCGACGGCGAUCUGCUAUGGAUUGGUUCGGAUCAGAGACGGCGACGAGCGCGCGGGAUCUUUCUCGGCGGCUUUCGCGGCUUGGCGAGGCGGGGUGGGAGCCCUCCUCCUAGGCUCCAGUGGUGGCACACUCAGGCAGUGGCCGGUGCGCCAGGGGUCCCACGGUGGCACUAUUGCUGCGGUUGGUCGCCAGAUCUAGGCGGCUGGAUCUGGGGCUUUGAAAGCGGUCGAGACGGUGCACAUGUUAUUGGGUGGAUUUCGUGGGACGGAUCCUGGUGAAAACCUGAUCUUCGGUCGAUGACCGGAGACGGUGAUGACGAUGCCCUUAUCAUCGUUUCCUUCAUGAAGGCAUCAUUGAGGUGAAGCUCCCAACUCCACUCAAUACCUCCGGGGGAAACCCUAGAUCAGCUAAUCGGAUGUUGGCGGCAAUCAUGUGUUGUAACCCCCUUGGGGGCGGCAUUCUUGGAGGUGCACUCGGCUUCGUGGGACUAGCGGACGGCUUCUUUGGUGGAGCGGUGCUUCAUCCAUACAUUGAUGGCGACGGAUCUGGACGCCGUGGUGCAGUGCAGAUGCGGAGUUCGAUGUGGGAGGAUGGACUCGCGCAGGAGGAUGACGCUGUCUGGCGUCGUGGUGGCGUCGAUGGCAGAGAGACCUGGCACGGUAGAUACAACAGUACAGCUCUGAAGAUGGACUCGUGGCAGGUGGCUGCGGCGGCCCCAUACCCGGCAGGCGUCCUGGUUGAGGAGUGCGCCGGACUGGUAGGUGCCCCAUAUCAGGCAGGCGUCCUGGUUGGGACCUCAGGUCUUAGAUGUUUAGGUUUGGCUGCGAUGUCUGUUUGGUAUUAGACCCAGACUAUCAGCGUCCCUUCAUCAACUGGAUAGGUGUAGCGACAGUUGUUGCUUAGACGGUGGCUUCAGUCUUACUGUUGUAUGACUUUGUAAGAUCUUAUGAGAAUAAUUAAUAAAGUGACCGCAUGCAUCGUCCAGAUGCAGAAGCCGGGGAUCGUCCUCCUUCUCUAAAAAAAGAGGUAUUGACAGGUCUUGACGUACGUAUAUGGCUAGUGACGCAUUGCCCGGCCAAACUCUCAAUGUAAUACACGUAGGCUAGAAACUCCCCAUUCCGAAAAGGAAGAGGAAGAAGUUUGAUUUCAGGGCCCACAGAUGCAACAUCGUUCAUGUGGAAAAUUGAUCUUUCUCAACAACAACACAAACAAAAAAUGGAAAGGUUAUCCUGGCACGCACGGGUCUCUCUCGGUGACAAGCGCGUGCACCUGCUCUAUUUAGGCGACGGUGAAAGCCGCCCCAGCAAAGCAAAGGAAGUUAAGUGAUCGUGCAUCCAUCAUUCGACAUGCACCAUAACUGGCGUUUUCACACCUAAAAUAGCAUCCUUUGUCAGUGUUGCAUUCCUCUCAUGCAUUCUUAACCGUGAAACUUAUUGUAGGAACAAAUAAUUAAACAAACAAGUAAAUGGAUAGUGAAAGUUUGUUGUCUUUCAAGUACCUCGGCAGUCAGCUAACAGCAGGAGUGACCACUUGUAUCAAUCAGGUGGCGGAAGAUACGUACUCCCCUCCCGGAGAAAGACCGGGAUAGCUAGGCUAGCGAGCCGACCUAGAACGACGCACUGAAUCUCACGCGAACGCCAAGCUUUCUAGAAAUGGGCAAUGAAAAAAUCUGACACGGAUCCUGCAUGCAUGCGACGAAGCCGGCCGGAUUCGGCACGAGUGAGUGGACCGAUCGAUCGGAGAGUGUCCAGGUCAGACCGAACCUCUCGACAAGACGCGGGGGCGAAGCCGAAUGCCCUUGACAGACGCGUCCGUACGUGAGCCAGCAGCGGCAGUCGGCACAUACUACGUUUGGAGCUACGAUACGAUGAACAACCCGCGCCUGGUCGAUCAGCCUGGUCUGCACUGCACAGACAGUGACCGUGUGCUUGCACCACCAUGUCCUGUGGUAGGUGUCUCGAUCAUGCAACGAGCAACGGUUAGCGCUUGUCGAUCAUCACUCGACCUGAGCAGGAGUAGGAUGUUCACACUCCAAUCCACGGUCGCCUGAAGAAAUCUAUGCUAAUUCCAGUUUGCCUUGCCUUGUCGGUGUGACCAACCGUUGCUCUCCAUCAACCGCUCUACGCUGAGUACUAGUACUACGUUCACACUCCACAGUCCAGUCGAAUUUCGUAGUUUCUCCUUUUAGCGUGUUGGUACGUGUGACCGACCGUUGCACACCAUGGACGGACGCGUCUCAUAUGUACUCCCUUCGUUCGGAAUUACUCGUCCAAGAAAUAAAUGUAUCUAGAUGUAUUGUAGUUGUAUAUACAUUCAUUUUUAUGACAAGUAAUUCCGAACGAAGGAAGUACGUGUAUACAAGGCGUAAUUAAUUAUAAGAAAACGUUUGGGGCCGGGGCACCGGCGAAACGAUUCGGCCGGUCUCCCUCUUCCUCGCGCAGCGCACGUACAGAAGGGCACCAGAGCCGGCAGGCACCACGCGCGGGCCAGGCGACCAGCGGGCUCCUUCGAUCGCUGUCGCCAGAGAAGAGCGCCUUGUCGUCCGCGUGCGGCCGCCCCUCACCGGAUGUCGUUCGCGUGCGGCCGCCCCUCGCCGAAUCUCGUUCGCAUGCGGCCGCCCCUCGCCGGAUCUCGUCCGCCUGCGGCCGCCCCUCGCCGGACUACUACCCCUCUGCCUCUUCCUAGAAUCCGCCCCUCUCCCUGGAAUCCGCCCCGGCCGCCCCUCGCCAGACCUUGCAGCGCUCGAGCCUCCCCAGCCAUGGCAAACUACACCCCACGGUGAUUUUUUGUUAGAACCGGUUGUAGCAAAUUCAAUCGCCGGUGGUAGCAAAAAUCUACUACUGUUGCAGCAAAACGGCGUCAUCGUCAUCGCGAGCAAACACUAGACAUCGCGCUUUUUUGUUACAUGCUACAGCCUGUAUCACAUUUUGCUACAACCGGCACACCACUCAGCUACAACCGGCGCCGAGUUUUGCUACAUCGGAUAUACAGAAAGUUGCAAGCGUUCAGUGCCAUCGAGGAAAGCUACAACUGUCUACAGAAAAUGCUACAACCUUCGAUGAAAAAAGCUUCAACCAAACGAGAGAUGAAUUUUUCACCCGGACGCUGCUCAAAACGAAAAAAGUUUCAAUCGUUUACAGAAAAGCUUCCACCGUAGAGGAGAAAAGCUACAAUCGUGUCAAUUUUUUGCUACUACCGUCUGUGUGUUUUGCUACAUCCAUUCAUGCGGCCAUGGUACUUUUUUGUGACUGAGGUGUGACCGGCGACGACGAGGACGAACAUUUUUUGUUGCAACAACCUCGUUUUUUGCUACCAUUGGCGAUGUGUUUUGCUACAUCUGAUUAACAUGUUUGCUACAAUGGCGACGCUGAUGGAUUUUUUUUGUUGCAACCGUUGUCUUCAUUUGCUACGACUGACACGGGAAAAUGCUACCACGGGGCAUCUCUGUUUUUUGCUGGAACCAAUCAUCGGUGAGGCGGAGCUGCAUCCAUGGCACUCCGACGAGCAGCGGGGGCAGCGAGCGGUCGGGGCCAACCGAGUCCCGGAGCGCGGGGCGGCCCCGACGGGUGGCCGGGGCGGCGAGCGGACUUGGACGAGUUGAGUCGCGGAGCUGCAUCCAUGGCGCUCCGAUGGGCGGUCGAGGCGGUGAGCGGUCAGCUCCAACCGGCGGCCGGGGCGGCGAGCGGGCGGGGCGAGCUGAGUGCCGGAGUGUGGGGCGGCCGGCGAAGACGGACGGCGAGACGGGGUUCCUUUCCCGUCCGCGCUCGCGAGAGGAAGACGACGCCCUGGUUGGAUAAGGAUCCAACGGAUCGGAAUGGGCCGAUCUGACGGCUAGGGCUGGACCGGCCGAAGCGUCCGGCCGGUCCGCCGGCGCCUAGCAUCGCCCUUAAUUAUAUGCGCACGGGCGGGCGUAUCCUUCCUCGCAAAGUUUUCUUCCCUUGGUUACGCGCGCGUAUGCGUACACAGGAGACGGAAUAGCUUCUGGAUCGGGCAGGAAACGAGCCAAACCGGAGACCAAUACGAAACUGACGUUCCAUUGUAGGGUGCGAGUGUGCGACACACGGUAGAGUGCACAACGUGCGCUCACUGCGCGGCAGCCGAAUUCCAAGAGACGAAUGAAUGAUGUUGGUACGUAUGAGCCAUGUUUGUUCGUGCUCGGCAUGCGUCCACGUCCAGGUCAACCCCAACUCGAUCUGUACACUGACAGAGCUACGAACGAGACCCCUGAUUGUUGCAGUAGUACUCAUCGUUACAAUCGAAGGGCAAAAGAUCCUCAGUAUAAAGGGAUCUUGGUUGAGCCACACCCACACCCCCUGACAGAUUGCCUACUACUAUAAUUUGCCAAAUGAUCAGCCACACUAUUUGGUUCACGAAUAUUCUGAGGAAUAAACUCCCUCUCGGAACACAAAGCCUUUAUCUCCAAGCCAAGAUACGAGUCAAUUGCACAAAACUACCACAUUUGCGGCUAGGUUUGCAGAAAACCACCAAGUCGCUAAUCCGUUGCAAAAAUCACUGCUUUUUCACUAAACCUCUUGCAAAAACACUGAUCAUCCACUUUGGCUCAUCUAAGCGAGUUUAUGACAGAUGGGACCAGAUCGUCAGUGCUGGCUUGGCAAAAGAAAAGAUUCUUCCCCAAUCUCUUUACAUAGAGACCCCUCUAUGAAAAAAGAAAAACGCAAUCAAAUCCCGCCGUCUCUCCCUCUCUCUGGAUGGAAUGCACGGGGAGCCGGAGGCGGCCGCCGGGAGCUCGUCCUUGAAGCCACGACGGCGCCCUUUGCCUGUCGUCCGUCGGGAUGUUGUGGCCGCUCGGCGCCGUGGAUGGGGCCUAACCUCCAUGCGCUUCGGCUCCUGGCGCCGGCGGCUCCGCCCGUCUCCGGUGCCUCUUCCAGGCCCGCAGGAGAGCCCCGCCGCCCUCUGCGCACGCGCCAUCUAGCCUCGCGCCACUCCACUCGGGCUUCCCCGCAGCUAGCUGCCGCCAGUUCGCCGGUGCACCGGGCACCACCGCCGCCCCCUCUCCCUCUCCAACUUCGUUGUCUCUCUCCCUUCUCCAACACCGCUGCCUGCCACCGCGCCAGGGCCAGGCCGGCCGGCGACGGGACCUUCCCGUCCGUGCCCGUGCUGGGCGAGACGCCGCCCACCCUAGGGGACACCCUCCCUGCGAGUAGAGCCGACUAGUGGACGGUGCCAGAGGAAGAGCUCCACAAAUCAACGGCGGCCGGAGCUGGGCCACCAUGGCGUCAUCCUCGCCAGAGGAGGAGCCGUGGCUGCAGGCUGCAGCACCUCCCCUCGACGGAUCCCGUCGCAACUGAGCUCAACAGCGACAGAUCUGAGCGGAUGGAUGAGGCCAACAUCAGGAGGAGCAGACUGCGUUUGUUUUCAGAUUCCAGGGGUGUGUGUGUCAAUUUUUUGCCAAGUCAGCUCUGACGAUCUGGUCCCAUCUGUCAUAAACACGCUUAGACGAGCCAAAGUGGAUGAUCAGUGCUUUUUGCAAAAGGUUUAGUGAAAAAGCAGUGAUUUUUGCAACAGAUUAGCGACUUGGUGGUUUUCUGCAAACCUAGCCGCAAAUGUGGUGGUUUUGUGCAAUUGACUCCCAAGAUACCUAUAAGCAGAGCGAGAGAGAGCUUCAGUGGAGAACACUGCUAACGCCUCCGAGGAAUUGAGCUGUACAAUGACUGGAAAGUCCGUAUGUUGAAUAGCCUUACAUGAUCUCAUGUAACUUGACCUCCAGCGCCUCGUUGCAAUUAAAGAUAUAGCGAUAGGCUAAAGAUAGGACCGAACCAUCUUCUCUUCUCAGUAUCAUGCCUGCCGCAGCUGUGCCAUCUGCUGUAAAGAAGGAACCAUCAACCGACAGCGCGAUGUAGCCAGCGGGCGGCUAAGGCCAAUGUAGGCGUUGUGGAGGCGCAACACUCUCUUGGACGUGAACCAACUCACAUGCACGCAUCUUGCCUUUAACAUUUUCCUCCAAUCUAUACUUGUGAGAGUAAAUAAGAGACUUCAAAUAGCUAUCAAGGAAUUCUACUGUAGCCACCACUCGAGGCGUCUCUGGAGCUGCCAAAUGCACCAAAUCAACAUAAUCACCAUGUCCCGCAUGGUUGCUGUGCAAUUCAUUAGAACAUUCAGCAGCCAAUUAGUCCCACUGUCUACUAACAUGACAUCACGGGGCAAGGGCCAUAUAGCACGCAUGUGCUCCCAAAUAUUCCGAGCAUGGCCGCAGGAAACCAAUGCAUGGAAUGAACUUUAAUCUUUGAUACCGCACAUGUAUAUGUUUGAUAACCUAUAAAUAUAGGGGAUUAAUUGUGUACUUUUUCGAUAAGUAAAAGUGUCGAACCCAACGAGGAGCUAAAGAUAGAAUUAAUAUUCUCUCAAGUUCUAUCGAUCACCAAUACAACUCUACGCACACUUAAUGUUUGCUUUACCUAAAAUAAGAAUAAAACUACUUUGUAGGUGUAAUAGGAUAAGUUUGCAAGAAUAAAACUAGAAGUUCUUAGCGGGAUAAUAAAAGUUAGUCUGUUUUAGUAGAGAGUAUUUUGUAACACAAAGAUAAAGAUUGUCCAUAGGCAAUUGAAUAUAACACAAUAUAUACUUAUCGUAUGGAAUGAGGGAGAGACAUGAGCUAACAUACUUUCUCUACUUGGAUCACAUGUUCUUAUGAUUGUAACUCUAGCAUCCGCAACUACUAAAGAACAUUAAGGUAAAAGUCAACCAUAGCAUUAAGUAACAAGUCCUCUUUACUCUCAUUCCCCCUACUCAUGUUUAAGCUUCUGUCACUCGCGCAACCCACUAUAAGCGAAUUAUGAACGUAUUACAACGCCCUACAACGGUAAUCCCACACGCUUGCGCGACACGGAGGGCAUCAUAGGACAGCACCAUAUUAACAUACAACUCACAUCAAUCACACCAUACCACAAUUAACCCGUAGAACAAAACAAAUCUACUCAAACAUUAUAUGAUGCCACACGUCAUUGGACAAUGAUAACCCACAAGUAUAGGGGAUCACAACAGUUUUCGAGGGCAGAGUAUUUUGCUGGGGAACGUAGUAAUUUCAAAAAAAUUCCUACGCACCCGCAGGAUCAUGGUGAUGCAUAGCAACGAGAGGGGAGAGUGUGUCCACGUACCCUCGUAGACCGAAAGCGGAAGCGUUAGCACAACGUGGUUGAUGUAGUCGUACGUCUUCACGAUCCGACCGAUCCAAGUACUGAACGCACGGCACCUCCGAGUUCAGCACAUGUUCAACUCGAUGAUGUCCAGCGAGCUCCGAUCCAGCAGAGCUUCGCCGGAGAGUUUCGUCAGCACGACGGCGUGGUGACGGUGAUGAUGAUGCUACCGACGCAGGGCUUCGCCUAAGCACCGCUACGAUAUGAUCGAGGUGGAUUAUGGUGGAGGGGGGCACCGCACACGGCUUGGAACAAUCAACUUGUGUGUCUUUGGGUGCCCCCUGCCCCCGUAUAUAAAGGAGCAAGGGGGAGGCCGGCCAGCCUUGGUGCGCCCCAAGGAGAGGAGGAAUCCUCUUGCUACUAGAAAGAGGAUUCAUCCUUUCCUAGUCCAACUAGGAAGAGGGAAGGGGGAAGGAAAGAGAGGGAGAGGGAGAGGGAAAGAGGGGCCGCGCCCCCCUCCCCUAGUCCAAUUCGGACUCCUCAUGGGAGGGGGCGUGCAACCUCCUGGGCUGCUGCCCUCUCUCUCCCCUCAGGCCCACUAAGGCCCAAUACUUCCCCGGGGGGUUCCGAUAACCCCUUCGGCGCUCCGGUUUUCUCCGAAAUCACCCGGAACACUUCCGGUGUCCGAAUAUAGUCCCAAUAUAUCGAUCUUUACGUCUCGACCAUUUUGAGACUCCUCGUCAUGUCCGUGAUCAUAUCCGGGACUCCGAACUACCUUAGGUACAUCAAAACACAAAAACUCAUAAUACCGAUCGUCACCGAACUUUAAGCGUGCGGACCCUACGGGUUCGAGAACUAUGUAGACAUGACCGAGACACGUCUCCGGUCAAUAACCAAUAGCGGAACCUGGAUGCUCAUAUUGGCUUCACUAGUGGCUUCUCUCAAGAUAGCAUAAGUAUUACGGUGGGUGAACAAAUUACUGUCGAGCAAUUGAUAGAAUUGAGCAUAGUUAUGAGAAUAUCUAGGUAUGAUCAUGUAUAUAGGCAUCACGUCCGCGACAAGUAGACCGAAAUGAUUCUGCAUCUACUACUAUUACUCCACACACCGACCGCUAUCCAACAUGCAUCUAGAGUAUUAAGUUCAUAAGAACAUAGUAACGCUUUAAGCAAUAUGACAUGAUGUAGAGGGAUAAACUCAUGCAAUAUGAUAUAAACCCCAUCUUUUUAUCCUCGAUGGCAACAAUACAAUACGUGCCUUGCUGCCCCUACUGUCACUGGGAAAGGACACCGCAAGAUUGAACCCAAAGCUAAGCACUUCUCCCAUUGCAAGAAAGAUCAAUCUAGUAGGCCAAGCCAAACUGAUAAUUCGAAGAGACUUGCAAAGAUAACCAAUCAUACAUAAAAGAAUUCAGAGGAGAUUCAAAUAUUGUUCAUAGAUAAUCUUGAUCAUAAACCAUCGGUCUCGACAAACACACCGCAAAAAUAAGAUUACUUUUCUUGUUGUAGUAGUAAUAAUUAAAAAGAAAACCCAAAAAGAUUUCCCGUUCUUCUUUUGCUUGUUGGGAGCUUUCCCGUGUAAAUAGUUUUUAUUUCUGUCCUUUUCUUUGGGGGUCGAUAGGAGAAGACCAUAAUUAAAUUGUUGAAGUGGCUCUUAUAUGCAUUAUUGUUGAUUUAACCAAGAGCCCAUAUUGCCUUGUCUUCUCCUGUUUAUUGAAUGCUCGCAGAUUCCAGCUUAGUCCGAUGCACGUGCACUCUUAUUAUUUUCACAUCGUUCGGUCGUGCAAGUGAAAGGCAAUUAUGACGAUAUAUGAUGGACUGAUUGAGAUGAGAGAAGCUGGUAUGAACUCGACCUCUCUUGUUUUUGUAAAUAUGAUUAGUUCAUCGUUCCUAUUCAGCCUAUUAUGAAUAAAUAUGUUUGCAAUGACAAUUAGAGAUUAUAGUUGCUUGUGCCAUGCUUAAGUAGCUAUGAGUUAUAAUGGUUUACCUUGCGUGCCAACAUGCUAUUAAAAUGGUUGUGAUGUGGUAUAGUGGGGUGGUAUCCUCCUUCGAAUGAUUUAAGUGACUCGACUUGGCACAUGUUCACACAUGUAGUUGAAACAAAUCAACAUGGCCUUCAUGAUAUUUAUGUUCAUGGUGGAUUAUAUCCUACUCAUGCUUGUACUCCAUGUUUAUUAAUUUUAAUGCAUGUUCAUGACUUUUGUCGCUCUCUAGUUGGUCGCUUCCCAGUCUUUUGCUAGCCUUCACUUGUACUAAGCGGGAAUACUGCUUGUGCAUCCAAUUCCUUAAACCCCAAAGUUAUGCCAUAUGAGUCCACUAUACCUUCCUAUAUGCGGUAUCUACCUGUCGUUCCAAGUAAAUUUGUAUGUGCCAAACUCUAAACCUUCAAAUGAAAUUCUGUUUUGUAUGCUCGAAUAGCUCAUGUAUCAACUAGGUUUGUCCGUAUCUUCCAUGCUAGGCGGGUUAUUCUCAAGAGGAGUGGACUCCGCUCCUCACUCACGAGAAAAUGGCUAGUCACCGGGAUGCCCAGUCCCAUGCUUUAUGCAAAUCAAAUCAAAAUAAUUGUAAACAAAACUCCCCCGGGACUGUUGUUAGUUGGAGGCACUCGUUGUUUCGAGCAAGCCAUGGAUUGAUGCUUGUUGGUGGAGGGGGAGUAUAAACUUUACCAUUCUGUUUGGGAACCGCCUAUAGGCGUUGUUUGGAUAGGGCCGGAUACAUGGUAAACGAGUUUGUUGCCGGAUUUUAGCAAAAUCGGUUUUGCUAAUGAAUUUUUGGAUAACUAAUUUACACAGAAACACGUUUGGGUUUGGAAAGGAUAAAACUAGCUUGUACAUUUCCUUGUUUGGGUAGGAGGAUACCGAUUCACUUCCUCCCCUUGCCUUCUCUCCCUUACUUUCCCCAAGUUUGGCCAUUGACGACGACUUCCCAAAGCUUCGACUCCAGCCGCUCCAGCCUGUGAUUCCUCUUCCGUCGUUCGUCCUCACCGCCAGACACCGGUGCCCUCCUCCCGUCGGGACGGCCUCGACGACUCCGCGUGCGGAGGCUUUCCCUGGUCGCCUAUGAAGGGGAACGCGACAGAAAACAAAAAUUUUCCGACCUACGCACCAGCCCAGGACCACUAUGGAGACUGCAUACAUGGUUUGAUCUUUUUCGUUACCGACUCGUAGCGCAGCGGGAAGUAGAGUCGAUGACGAUCGGCAGUGCAGAUCCCCGCAGCUAGGAUUUACAACCUCCCAACUGCGAGGAUGUAUACCCUCAUCUGCUCCUCAGACAGCCCUCCGGGAGGCGGUCGAACAGCCCCCCGGACGGUGUCGCGGACAGCCCUUCGGGAGGACCUUCGAAACUCGAACGAUCACUCGGACAGCCCUUCGGGAGGACCUUCGAAACUCGGACGGUCACACGGACAGCCCUUCGGGAGGCACUCACGAACUAAGACCGAAACUACGAUCUCUCUACAGAGUUGCACACAUACGGUGUCAUCUAUCCGGCAGGGCUUCGCCGUCCAGAACUAGUUCCUGCCGGAACCCAGACAGCCUUACGGCUCUACGAAACUCUUUUCGUGGGAGGGAGAGAAGAAGCCAGAUAAUGCAUGGCAUGUGUAUGAGAGCAAGGGAUGAGUGUGGAGGGCUGCCCCUCCACCUCUAUUUAUAGGAAAUCCCAAGGGGGUAGGGUAGUUUCACAAAAAACCCAAAAUGCACAUGAAUGAAGUCCUUCCAUAAGGACCUAGGAGUGAAACCAAGGAACAAGAGGGUCCCCAAGGGGGGAUACCCCAUGUGGCCGGCCACACCCCCAUGAGGGGCCCAAAAAAUGGCUCCUAUCCAUCCAUGUCAUCCCCAAGAUCUUUUGGAGCAAAGCCCCAAAAGGUGGCUUUCCAUAAAGUAACCAUAAAGCUGAUUUUCACUAUUCACGACGACAUUUUUCAGCGUCUGAUCGAACUGAAAAUAUUUAUGUGGGCUAAGAACAUUUCCAGUACCCACUAAAAUGAUUUUCAACGCGUUCCGAAACAAUUCCGGUUUUAGUGAUUUUCAUCUGCGAAACGCAUCUGAAGUGGCUCCGGCAGCUCCGGAACAUUUCCGGUUUUUAUCUUAGAAAAUUCCAAAAAGCUUCCAGAAUGAUUCUGGCAUCCUCCAAGAAUUAUCAGGCAUGUGCCGAAACCAAUUUGACUUAAUGGUGUAUCCCGAAACAACUUUUCGGUAUCAUCAAAACUUAUCCGAUGACCUCUCUCUACGGUACGAUUCCGCUGUCCGAAACUUUUCGGUGUCCGAAACUUUUUCGGUGAUUUUCUCUCAGACUCCCUGUCUAGUAUUCAGCAGAUAGAUGACCCUUAAGCGUGUGACCCUAUAGGUUCGGUGAAGUAUAGACAUGACCCGGAACCCCUUCCGAUCAAUGAUCAACAUCGGAGCCGUGGACACCCAUAUUGACCCCUAUACCCACACGAAUAAAUAUUCGAGUGAACCUCCAGUUGCCGUGUGCUAUUCCUGUUGCUUCGCGAUAUGUUACAAAUACCCGAGGUGAGGCAUGUUGGCAUUCCCGUGGAUCAACAACUUGUCCACUAUGCUAGUUACCUCGUUACCGGUUUUGUUCUCUUUUCUCGUUUCGUGUUCCGGCAUCCCCGUGAUCAAAUCACAAAGUGUCUGGCCAGACGAUGAUGGACACCGUAACACCGAGAGGGCCCGAGUAUAUCUCUCCAUCGUCGGAGGAGCAAAUCCCAAUCUCGAGCUAUCAAGUCACUUAACAUACUUUCCCAUGAACCCGUAAGCCGCCGUAAUAGCCAUCCAGUUACGGAUGACGUUUAACAAACCCCAAAGUUCAUGAAGCAAGCAUGAAGAAACUCGAUACUCUCAUGGUCUAAGGAAUUAUGCAAACAUUAACCAUCUCUGUGUUAUAAACCAAUAACUUGUGAUGAAUGUAUCUCAUAGCAUAACAUCAAUUCGGGUCGAUUCAACACAAAUGUCCUUCCUGACAUUGUGCCCUCAAAAUUGCUUGGCAUAGACAUGCCCAUGAUUGGGAAAACAUAAUCAUCAUGCAACACUUGAGCUAGUCUUAGAGGCACGACUAGGAAUACAUUUUACCGUUUAUUAUUCCACACGUGCAUAUGGGUUCUCCCCAGAGCCUUUAUGGAUAUACGGGCUCGGGAACCACAGCAGUUAUAGCAUGGAACAUAAACAUAAUUAUGAACAGGGAGAUAAUCAAUAACAUUUAUUAUUGCCUCUAGGGCAUAUCUCCUACAGCCUAGGCCGACUCUGGUCAUCCCCGUACUGGCUCUGCUCGGCGAGAUCUGCUCCUCGAGCUCAUCCCGUAGGUCCGCCGCCCCUGGGCGACCUCCCACAUCGGCCCUGCACAGGCUUUGCUCGGGGAGAGGUUCUUCUCGAGCUCAUCCUAGAUGUACGCCACCCCUUGAUGCUGGCCGUCCAGCAGUGUCCGUACAUGGAAGUUCAGAUCUCAAAAGAGUGCUCGACGCCGCCCACCCUGAUAGCGGCCAUGUCGGGGCUGGAGGUCAAGCGUGAGGACGAUGAUUCGGCGGAGCAGGUAAACAUUUCAUCUUUGUUUGCAUUUCAAGGUCGAAUUAUUUGAGCUGGGAGCUUGAACAAUUCAUAUGAUGAUUCUACUUGUGUUAAUAAGAAAUGCCAUUCUACUUGCCAAGAGGAAAAAAACUUCAUAGUUUACAGGGCUUAACAAUUAGCUACAUGGUAAAGUCGUUGAUUUAAUUCUUUCCCAUAAUAGGGACGAAGUGAUAAUUUGGAGAGUGGUUUGACACAGCCUUUGCUCAUAGAGACAAAGGAGUGGCAAGUUGACAAUGCAGAGGAUAAUGAUGGUUGCUGGUCCAUACAGAUUCCUCAUGCCACAUGUGAAGGUUUUCUCGUAAUCUCUUGAAUGUGCUUAUUUUUUGUUGCUGAAUGCAUAACCUUCAUCUGCAUUGGCUAUUUUCACAAAUAUAUCAGUUUCAGUUCUUCAACUUCAUUCUCUAGUCUGCAAUGGCCAUUUUUCUUAUCGAAUGACAAAUUUAUUGCACACAGUUGUACAUAAAAUAAUUUAGCAUUACUAUCAUCUUGUAAUACAGAACGGGAAAUUUUGGAACCUAUAAAUUGAUGAAAAAUUGUAACAAUUAUUACUGUAAUGAAUCUAUAAAUAAAAUUUAAAAAAUAAUAUUGUAAUGCUCAAUCAUCUUCUGGUUGUUGAGCGGAACGCUGUUGAUGUUUACUCCACAACUGUCGAGCAAUGCCUGCACGAACUCUCUCACCAGCAGCUCGUUCAUCUUCUCUUGCUUGCCCUCUAACUUGCUGAUCACCAUGGUCAACAUGUUGUUGUGCUUCCCCAUGCUCAUAAAGCUCGAACAACUCAUCAUGAUGAUUAACCUUCCGGAUGAAGUUGUGGAUAAUACAGCAAGCCAUAACAAUUUUGACUUGUGUUUUAUAUGGAUAAGGAAUUCCUCCUUUCCUACUUAAAAUUGGAAAGCGAGCUUUUAGAACACCAAAAGUUCGCUCAACAACAUUUCGUAGUUGUGCGUGCAGAUGAUUGAACAUAUCUUUCUCACUAGUAUAUCGUCGAUUACUUCCACGAAAAGAAGCAAUAUGAUAAUGAUCUCCACGGUACGGGGCAAUAAAUUUUGGAGUAUUUUCAUAUCCAGAAUCAACAAGAUAAAAUUUACCUGCACUUAAGGUUUGAUAGCACGGUCAGAAUCUUUAUGUAAUAAGAUUAAUCAAUAUAUAGUUCAUAUGUUUGAACUUUUACCUUCAGGAACAACAAACCCCCCACUAGUAACAGCCCAUCUUAGAACUGCUUGAUCUGACGCAGAACCUUCCCAUCCAGCAGCGACAUAUGAGAAUGUCAUGUCAAAUGACACUACUGCCAUUACAUUUUGAGAGGGGUAACCAUGCCUAUUUCUAUAAGGAGUUUGCUUAUCUAGCUUGAUUUUUGCCGCAAUGUGUGUCCCAUCAAUUGCUCCUAGGCAGUUCUGUUGGGAUUUUUGUUAGUCAAACAAUGAAGUUUAAAUUUUCCAUGACAUAGUAUUUAAUCAUAUUUAAAAGUAACAUGUGUUUGCGAUAGGAAAAUACCUUGAAAUAUGGGUAGAACCUUGCAUCACCCAAUAUUUUUGCUGGGAUUUCAUUCCUUGGAUCUGUUAUGCAAACAUCACGCAACCCAUUUAUGGCAUCUAAAACAAUGUUGAAGUGUCGGCUGAUUGGUUCACCAGAAUGCUGAUAUCUAUCUUGGAUGACACGGUUCCUAACAUUGUGACCAAUGAUAUGGCUAAUUUUUUUUAAAUAAUACUUUUUUUUAAAUUACAGAAAUAAUACGCAAAAAAAGAAUUUUCAAAAAUAAUACACCGUCGGCCUACUGCAGGCCGACUGAGCCCAGUCGGCCCACAGCAGGCCGACUGGUGGCCCAUCAGUUUGCUGCUGGCCGAUUGGGCCGUCGGCCACCAGAUCAAGCCCAGUCGGCCUGCAGUUGGCCGACAGGGUCCAGUCGGCCUGCAGUACACCGAUAGGCCUGCAGUGGGCCGACUAUGCUCAGUUGGCCUGCUGUGGGCCGACUGGUGCAUGCCUAUUUUUAAUAAUACAUGAUGAUAUUUUUUAAAAGUAUAUAUUUUAACACGUUAUGAAUACAUGGUAACAUUUCUUCAAAUACAUUUUUAAUGGAAAUACCAUUUUUUUAAACCACACAACAUUUUUUAAAAUGCUUUUCUGAAAUUUUCACAAACUUUUUUUAGAAACACGCGAAUAUUUUCUUACAAUGUCAUGAUCCAUCUAAACAUUUGUUAACCCACGUGAUAUGUGAGUAUAUUGAUUGUAAUAUCAUCUUAUAUUAUGGGAUGAAGGGAGUACCAUUUUUUACAAUGUCAUGGAUAUUUUUUGGAAACACGAGAAUAUUUCCAGCAAAGGUGACGUACAUUCAUUUAGUGGCACGAACCAUUUCUUUUCAUAUUUUCCAAAAAAANNNNNNNNNNNNNNNNNNNNNNNNNNNNNNNNNNNNNNNNNNNNNNNNNNNNNNNNNNNNNNNNNNNNNNNNNNNNNNNNNNNNNNNNNNNNNNNNNNNNNNNNNNNNNNNNNNNNNNNNNNNNNNNNNNNNNNNNNNNNNNNNNNNNNNNNNNNNNNNNNNNNNNNNNNNNNNNNNNNNNNNNNNNNNNNNNNNNNNNNNNNNNNNNNNNNNNNNNNNNNNNNNNNNNNNNNNNNNNNNNNNNNNNNNNNNNNNNNNNNNNNNNNNNNNNNNNNNNNNNNNNNNNNNNNNNNNNNNNNNNNNNNNNNNNNNNNNNNNNNNNNNNNNNNNNNNNNNNNNNNNNNNNNNNNNNNNNNNNNNNNNNNNNNNNNNNNNNNNNNNNNNNNNNNNNNNNNNNNNNNNNNNNNNNNNNNNNNNNNNNNNNNNNNACCCGUUUCCCGCCACCCGUUUCCCUCCUCCCAUUUCCCGCCAACCUUUCCCGCCAUACCGCAGUCGUUCUUUCCCGCCAUUUUCUCGUCUCUACCUAUAAAACCCCCUUCAGACGGAGCUGGAUAAGCAUUGCAGUGUAGUGUAGUUGAGGUGUCCCAUUAUCCUUUCGAUCGUAGUUUUCACCCUGGGAUGAGCAGGACUCUUCUGAGGCUAGCUACCGAUUUCAGGAUGGAUAAUAGGAUAGUUCCAUGGGACGAACUCACCGGUAGUGACACCAUAAUGAAUGAGUUGGCUCACCAAUUACGUAGGUCUGGGUGGCCUGAAAGGACCUAUGAGGAGGUACGUAAAGAACUUCUUAGGUUGCAUGACAGGUGGAAGAAGGUAGUGGUGCCGAAGAGUGAAACUUUCAGAAGGAUUGCAGCAAAUAAUCCAUGUUUAUGGACUGAGGAGAGCGAGGACGAAGAUGAUAUCUUCAUGCCGCCGCUUCCGGGUUCUGCAUCGUCGAAGGGCAAGAGUUCUUCAUCAUCGAAGGGCAAGGUUUCUGCAUCGUCGAAGGGCAAGAGUUCUUCAUCAUCGAAGGGCAAGGUUUCUGCAUCGUCGAAGGGCAAGAGUUCUUCAUCGUCGAAGGGCAAGAGUUCUGCAUCGAUCGAGGAUGACGAUGAUGACUUCAUGUAGUUUUUAUGCUGUAUGUUGUGAGUUCAGUUACGUGCCAUUUAAUUUAGAUGUAGUUCUAUCUAGUUGUUUGUAAUGUCUUGUUGUAUGAAUAUUGUGUUCUAUCUAAAUAUGAUCUUGUAGAGUAGGCAUAUGUCUCGUACAUAAGUACAUAGUCAUUUGUCUCAUACAUAGAAUAGACAUAAGUCUCACACAUAAAUAGAUGGUAAUGUCUCUACUGAUACAUAGGAGCUGCAAUGACGACGUCUGGCCUGCCGGGGAGGUGGAUCUCGAAUAACAAAUUCAUCACAUAUAACUCGGUUUCCUGUAGCAAUGCAACUGAACAACCCUUUUCCAUUCCCAUUCGCUCAGCAUUUCUUGAAUCUUGCCAUCAUCAGUUAUGUCAAUCAAUUUUCUUUCCCCAGGGCCAUCUGAAUGCUUCCUGCUGACGUAGUACACAAAAUCGUCUUCCUUCAACCCUUGCUUCAACAUGAAUUUAGUCUUCAACCAAUCAAAAGUGAGGUCCACUUCACUAACUUGCACAACACUUGGAGACAAGCCUUGGACAUGAACAAUAGGGCUAAGCACCCACUGAGUACCCUCAGCCAUCUGCAACACACAAAUCGCAUUGAGUACCUACCCUACCCCUUAAUAUCCCCACUAACAAAUAUUAGACAUGUCUAUAUAUUACGAAGCCAUAUAUUACAGAAUAUUAACGGAGCAACUAAUACAAUUCACCCACCUACAAUUAUAUUACGAAUAUUUGCCGUAACAACUACAAAUAUUGACAGAUUAAUAUAUUUGACUGGACUGCCUAUAUUACGGACCUUUUUUCUGGACUCCUACAUAUACUGACACUCCUAAAUACUUGACAUCCACAUAUAGGACGGAUUAUUACCGGAGCAACUACACAUUUUUACACAACUAAUUAGUUGACAUCUAAAUAUAUUAACAAAUACUACCGGGGCACCUACGAAAAAUAAAAUGUGGGCUAAAAUAUACCCUUGAAGCGUGCGUGCGAAGGAUGAACGAUGAACGGCGGCCACCAAACUGCCGGUGCUCCGGCUCCAACGAAGAACGACGAACAACAGCUUCACCUCCACCACAGUGCCCCAACUUCACCACCCGCACACUGCAAUGCUUAUCCAGCUCCGUCUGAAGGGGGUUUUAUAGGUAGAGAGGAGAAAAUGGCGGGAAAGAACGACUGCGGUAUGGCGAGAAAGGGUUGGCGGGAAAUGGGAGGAGGGAAACGGGUCGCGGGAAACGGGUGGCGGGAAACGGGGCGGGAAAUGGGAGGAGGGAAACGGGUGGCGGGAAAAAGUUGGCGCGAACAUAUGGCGGGAAAAAGUUGGCGCGAACAUAUGACGAUGAUGACUUCAUGUAGUUUUUAUGCUGUAUGUUGUGAGUUCAGUUACGUACCAUUUAAUUUAGAUGUAGUUCUAUCUAAUUGUUUGCAAUGUCUCGUUGUAUGAAUAUUAUGUUCUAUCUAUAUAUGAUCUUGUAGUUCCGAUAACAGAGUACUAAAAUAGAGUAGGCAUAUGUCUCGUACAUAAGUACAUAGUCAUUUGUCUCAUACAUAGAAUAGACAUAAGUCUUACACAGAAAUAGAUGGUAAUGUCUCUACUGAUACAUAGAAGCGUCAGUGACGACGUCUGGCCUGGCGGGGAGGCGGAUCUGGAAUCGGGGACCAUCCCAACCUGUCGGGUGCCCUAAUGUGACGAGGAGGAAUCUCAGACUCUCCCUGGUCAUGCUGUGUAUCCUGUGUGGGGCCUGGUGGAGGAGUCGAAAACAUGUUCAUCCACUGGGUGUGCUGCGACAUCUGAGCCUGUAUGUUGUCCUCGGGAUGUUGAUCACUCCCCCACGUAUCAUGUGAUGCCGACAUAGACGCCUGAUAUCCAUAGGCCCCUACGCGAUGGAACGUUUCAUCAUGAAGAAUGAGGUCGCGUCAAUUAAUAUUGAAAACAAUAAAUAUGAAGACACAUACCUGCUGGGUGUGACGUCUGCUCUGGCUGAAACACGAAACUAGACGAGGGACCGUGCUGCUGUGGCUGUGGAGAAAACACGAAGCUCGACGAGGGACCGUGUUGCUGUGGCUGUGGAGAAAACACGAAGCUCGACGUGGGACCAUAGUGCUGCGGGUGCCACGUAGAACUGCCAGGUUGGUCAGGACGGGGUGGCCUGGUUGUCGGCUGCUGUGCUAGGCGUGGACGUGGUUGAUGUCGGUGCAUGGAGUGACGCGGCUGCUCCUGCUCGUGCUGAACAACAUCGGUUCUCCGGGUGCACGUGAUAGCCUCGUACACAGUCCGUAUCUUAUUCUGAAUUCUUUUUAAGAAGGGCUAUACCACUGGACGAUGAUGAAGAAGAGGUCCAGACGAUAGUGAUCGUCCAAAGGUGGUCACGUCGUCGUACAGUUCGCGUGUCAAGGUAGCCUGCAAAUUUCCAUGACGAUUAAUAAUGUCUGUCUCUUGCACGUCAAAGUAUGUGACAACAUUACGUAAAGAAAAAAUAUCUUACCGCGUACUGCCUAGAGCCCGAAGUAUCAUAGCUCGGGUACAUAUCCGACGGAGUAGGAUCCGGUAACUCCUCUGGGUGGGAGUACUCAACAAUGUGUAACCGUGUUCCGGUCAUGUAGCGCCGCCAAUAGAGAUUGAAUUCAUCGAGAUCGAAAUUGUGAUUCUCGUGCCAUAGAUUUGUGUUUGCUGUCUCCCAUUCUAUAACAUACGGCUCUAGUCUAACUAGCCAGUCAGCAGUUGUCCUGUUCAUGCCCUUCCUUGUCGACCUACAAUUGUGGUGUGUGUUCAACAAUUACCUAAAGCUUCGAAUGGAGUACUAUGAAAGAAAAUGCAACAUUGAAAAACUGGUUAAUAUCUGUGGAUGUGUGCUGGCACCGGGUUCUCUAUAGGGGGAGGUAGCUCCAACUGCAGAAGACCAAAUUGCCUCAUAACCCUCUGUUGUGCCAUCUCCUCAACGAAGACAUCGAAGAUGAUCUUCGAUUUUGUCAUCCAGUAAUCUCGGUCCCUUGUGCAUAGCACAGACAUACCAGCAGGGUAUCUCGCUUGUAUGGCUGCUUCCGUGUAGGGCUGCCAGAUGACCCCGGUGUACGCAUCGAACUGCUCGUUCGAUGCUAUGUAUGCCUUCCUGGUCUGAUCACUAGCAAAGCGUCUCUGCAGAGAAUAAAAGUUAGUAGCCGCUAGCAUCGAUUGAUCUCUUGUGCAGAAAAAGUUGCAUUAAACUACAACACGGUGCAUACCUUGCGACGAGUCCAACACAGACCGAAAGUAGGCAUGUCGAUGCCGUCAACAUCAAACAUGGCGUCUAUAGGCUCAUGAACACGUACAUCUGGUCGCCCUAUAGAGAACCUCUCCCACGACCACAGCUGUAGGAAUAGAGGGCAUCCAAGAAGGGCUGGCUUUCUCGAUGUAAGCUGGCAACCGUUGCACAUACCUCGGUAUGUAGCCGCUAACACCGCUGAACCCCAACUCCUCUGUCUGAUCUGAUCCGCCGUCUGAGCGCUCGCUAUCUCGAGUGCCAUAGGGAUGUAGAGGGCGCUAAUAGUGGUGACAUGGUUCUCCGUGAACAUCACCUUGCCGAAAAGCCACAGUAAGUAGGCCUCGAGGCUCCGAGUGAUCUGUUCCGCAGUCAACGGCGCCCGGAAGUUCUGGAUCUGCAUUAAGCGAAGAGAAAGUUUUAGUAAGCCGCAAUUAUUUUUUGUAAAACUUUAUGCGCGAUAACUUGAAGAGAAUAGGUAGGGGAAAUUACCCGGAAAUUUAGCAACCACUCAUACUUAGGUCCGUGAUGCUCCCAUACCGGAUCGGGAGCAUCCGGAAAAACACCGUGAAAACGUUCUGUAAGAGCUCGCUCCCAACCAGCCGGUGCGUCCAACGGUCCUACGGCAUGACCUACCAACGGUAGUCCGAGCAAAAGUGACACAUCCUCCAGAGUAGGAGCCAUCUCUCCCCAUCUGAAGUGAAACGUGUGGGUCUCUGGCCUCCAACGGUCCACUAAGCAGCUCAGCAAAGACCCAUCGAUGGCGACGCGUUUCUCACCCGGGAUAGACUCAACCAGACGCGCGAAAGGUAAAAGGCCGGCCCAUUUCAACCUUCAUCAGAGAACUUUUCAGUUAGUGUCUCCCAUUUCAACCAUUAAUAUGCAUGUCAGUGUGCAAAUUAAUAAAGCACGUACCGCUGAAGCUAUCCUGAGUGUAUCUUCCAGUUUUCCUUAGGAGUGCGAGUGACCAGAGGCUCAAGCUUGCGCUCAUACCAUAUCGCAGCACGAUGACCCCUAUCAAUGUCCCCAUUCAGCAACCACAAUCCCGACAUUCCUGCACAUACAAAAUUCAGAAUAUAGUGUCACACUUAAUAAAAAUUCAGAACAAAGUGCCACACUUAAUAAAAAUUCAUAACAUAGUGCCACACUUAAUAAAAAUUCAGAACAUACUGUCACACUUUUACAAAUUCAGAACAUAGUGCCACACUUAAUAAAAAUUUAGAACAUAGUGCCACACUUAAUAAAAAUUCAGAACAUAGUGCCACACUUAAUACAAAUUCAGAACAUAGUGCCACACUUAAUACAAAUUCAGAACAUAGUGCCACAGCACACUUAAUAUAAAUUCAGAACAAACUAGUGCUAGCUUAGCUUCUUCCUCUCGCCCUUACUCCUCUACUACCUCUACCUCCUCUUCUUCCCCGGUUGCCUCGUCCACGCCCAGUGAUGAAAGUGGGACAAUUAGUGUCCCUAUGGCCAAAUUCAUUGCAUAGAAUGCAUUGCCUAGUCGGACCUCCUGCUUCAGAUUCAUCCAUAUCAUUUCGGAUGCGCUGACACUGCCGUCUGCCUCUACUUGUACGCAUAUGCUCUGGGUUUGGAAUGUAACGCCUUUCGGCGGGGUUGACGCUGUUGAAAUUACCCAUUGAUCGAAAACCCAUCAGCUCACCUGUCCAGGUAUUGAGGACAGCCUCUUUCAGAAAAUAUGGAGACACAAAUGAUAUUGCGUCCAUUCCAAGCUGCCCGCAAGCAGCAAGUACAUGUGAGCAAGGUAGGUGAAGCAAUUUCGGUUUAUUGCAUGUGCACUCACACGUUGGCCAGGCUUCAUUGCCAAUUUUCACCUCAUGCGUCCUCAACUCAUUUGCACAUCCGAAUUUGUUGUUGGCUAAGCGGACCUCAAACCUUCUUUCUUGAUUACCGAUGGCGACUACAGUGUGUGACCUAGCUUUUUGCAUCUUGUUGUCCAUGUACUUCGUGGCUCUUUCACAGUACCGUGUGUUUGGGUUGUUCAAGAUAUGCUGCUCUGCUAUUUGACGUCUGUCUCUGAAAUACUUGACGGUGCCAUAGAAAAUACCCUCAACGAUGGCUGUAAGUGGCAAUGCCCGGUUUCCUCUGAGGACAAAGUUGUAUGUUUCCGCGAGGUUCGUUGUCAUGACACGUACCUUGCUCCAUGUGUGUCAUGUAGCAAAGACCACCUCUGCAGAGGCUCAUGCUCUAUCCACUGCUCGAAGGUUUUAAUCGACCUCCCGAGCCUUCUCCUAGUACCAGGUGGGUCAAAGCCUGGCAGGUCACAUAGCUCAACAGCCUCCUCCUCCACGGCCGCUGUUCCUGUUGCCAACCGUGCAGCUACUGCUUCAACAUGUGCCCUCACCGCUGCAUCUCUUGCAGCUUUCCUAUCCCUCACGUGUCUCUGCGUGCACACAUUAAGUCCGUCGCGUAUCAAAUUGUACUUCCAUAACUGGUUCUGCUUGCAGAGUUUUUUGAACAGAUUCAUCAGGUUCUUAUUUCUAAACUGCGAGAAGAAAUUAGCCCCGAGAUGGCGCAUGCACCAACGGCUCUGCAAGUACUGCCAUGGAACUUGUUCCUCAGGGCCUGGGUUUGUCAGUGUCCUUAUCGCACUGAGUAUACCUGCAUGCCUGUCAUGAAGGAUGCACACAUUGGGCUUCUCCUUAACAACUGAUAUUUUCAACUGCCUGAAGAACCAUGUCCAACUUUCAAUGUUCUCACUCUCCACAAAAGCAAAUGCCAGUGGGACGACUUGAUUUUGGCCAUCUUGACCUAUGGCUGUCAGGAUCUGACCCUUGUACUUGCCUAUGAGAAAAGUACCGUCAACACAUAUCACCGGUCGGCAAUGCCUGAAAGCUUCGAUGCAUACACCGAAAGAGAAGAAGAGACGAUGCAAAACCCUCACAGUUGGGAACUCUGGCAUGAACAUGUCUUGGAUAUCGAUAUAGGUGCCUGGAUUCCGCUGCUGCAGGGUGUGGAGGAGGUGGACAACAGAGUCAUAUGCAUGAAAAUAAGAACCAAAUCUCCUCUCAAGCGCUGCAUGCUUAGCCCUCCAAGCCUUGCCAUAAGAAAUUCUGUACUUCAACCUGGCGAACACUUUUGUCUGCACUGCCUUCACUUCCAUAGCUUUGCCUUGCACUAUCUCAUCGUAAAACAGUCGAGCAAUAAGCGUGGAUGAAAGGUUGGCAUGAUCUUGAGGGAUGCAGGGAAUAAGACAAGUGUGAUUAACUAAGUCACUUAUCACCCAACUUGUGCCAUACUUAGGGAGAAAGCCGUGCACCCUUGCGGGACAAUCUGCGUUCUUGCAUACCAUUGUGAGGAAUUUCUGACUGGACACCUCAGCUUUGAAAACCCUUUGCGUGGACAUUGCCCAAUUAAUUUUUGCAUCCUUCAGGGCUUGCUUGUUCGGAUACAUAGCACCCAUCGCAAUAUUGUUCUGGUGAUAUUGCUAGGCUGAAUCAUGUCCAUCAUUCACGGUCAUUGCAGAUGAUAAGUCAUGAUUCCACCAUGCAAGAUUCAGGACCUCCUCUGCAUUUUCUUCUUCAUCUGACUCGUCAGAAUCAUCGGCAUGACCCCUUUCAACAUCGGUGUCUUCUUCUUCCAUCUGGUUCUGCAUGUGCCCAUCUACCUCGUCAGCGUCCACCUCACCAUUGUAAUCACCAUCGGCAUUUCCUCCUUCUACCUGACUACUCUGCCCUGGUUCAUAACCAUAAGCAUUUCCUCCUUCUACCUGACUGCUCUGUCCUUGUCGUAACCAUAAGCAUUUCCUCCUUCUACAUGACUGCUCUGUCCUUCGUAGCCACCCUCCCCUUCAUGUGCAGUGACCUCCUUCACGACGGGAAGCACUAAAGCAACAUGAUUGCAUCCCCUUCGUUCACAACCUUGUAACCACCGCACCCAAUCGGAGUCUCCCUCUAUUGGCCUCAAAUAAAAGUAAAUUUUUGAACUUGACCGUGUCCACAAUGCAUGAACACCGACGGUGUGUGUUUCAGUAUCAAGACCUAAACUUGCCGCAAUCCAUUCUUUCAACUGACUAACAGACCAUGUUUGUGGUGCGUUGAUUGCCACCUCUAUGUGAGUAAAUUCACUCAGAUCUGCUCCCAACUCAUUUGUUUGGACAGUACCAGGACCAUAGUAAAAUCUCAACUUCACUACAUCGGACAUCUCGACUCACCUAUUUUUUUCAACAUAGAAAUACAAGUAUUAGACAUGUCUAUAUAUAUAUUACCAGGACCAUAGUAAAUUUCACGAUCAAUAUAAUUUAAUCUAUGUGGACGAUUAUGAUGAGUUGCUUCACUCUUCUUUUAAUAAUAAUAUAAUAAAUAGGCCCAUGUUUACUAAUAAUAAAUAGGCCUCAAAUAAUAAUAAUAAUAUAACCGUCAAAUAUGAUAAUUUAGUUUAUUUGAAUUAUAUGGCCCAUGUUGAUGUAUUUUUUAUUUUAAUCUAUGUUAAGAAUAAUUUAGAAAAAGGCAUGCGUCUUAUUUCUACGAUCAUGUAAAAUUCUUCCUUGCAAAGAAGUUUUUAUCCGAAGUUUUUUUUUUAAACUACAGCGUGUCCGUUUAAAAAAUAACAGUGUGGGUUAGCGGGUAAUCCGCUUCAUAUUGGCAUCGGGUACGGACUGAAACGUUUUUUAACAUGUAGUUCUACUUUUCCCAUUUUUUGUUUGCUUGUUAAAUUUCCAUCACACUGACAUGCUAUGCACAUGCCGACCCUAACUCUUUAAAAAAAACUUGUCUCUUCUUUCCAACUUUUUAUUCAUGUUUCCAACUUCUUAUCCCGCACCUGUGUACGUGUCAAGUAUUAAGCAACAACUUAUUAUCCCCACUAACAACUAAUACAAUUCACACACCUACAACUAUAUUACGAAUAUUUGCCGUAGCAACUACAAAUAUUUACGUAUACUACCGGGGCAAAUAACAAUAAUCGCACACAAAUUUAAUUUCACAUUGAACGAAGCGUGCGUGCGAACGAAUAAUAUUUACGUAUACUACCGGGGCAAAUAACAAUAUUUCUGUAUACUACCGGGCCAAAUAACAAUAAUCGCACACAAAUAUUUACGUAUACUACCGCGGCAAAUAACAAUAUUUACGUAUACUACCGGAGCACCUAUGAAAAAUAAAAUGUGGGCUGAAAUAUACCCUUGAAGCGUGCGUGAGAACGAAGAACGAAGAACGACGAACGACGAACGACGAACGACGACGAACGAAAAACUGCCGCUGCUCCGGCUCCAACGAAGAACGACGAACAACAGCUUCACCUCCACCUCACUGCCCCAACUUCACCACCACCACACUGCCCCAACUUCACCACCACCACACUGCCCCAACUUCACCACCACCACCUCCACCAAAAUGCUCACCACGACCACCACGAGCUACCCCGUCAGUAGAUCGACACCUCUUUUGGCUGCCCUAAAUGAGUUGAACCCAUUCACGGUGCCAAAAUGGCAAAAAUGUAGCUCAUUUAGGUGUACAAAUGUGUGCCAUUUUUCUGUAGAGAGAGGAGGAGGAAGAACACAGAAGAAAUGAGCCACCAGGUGGAUAGGAGAGGAAUGAGAGGAUAAGGGCGGGCACGGGAGAAGAAUAAUGGAGGAAGGAGAGGAAGGAGAGGAUAAGGGCGGGCCGGCCAGCGCGCGUCAGGUCGGCAGCACCCUGUCGGCCACCAGGUGGCCGAUCGGCGGGCGGCAGGCCGACAGGGGCGCACCACGCCGACAGGCCACUGCCUCCCCCUCGCGACGUGGCCUGACCAACCACAGGCCGCCGCGUGCCAGCCCGGCAUGCAGUCGGCCUCCUGCUAGCCGAUCGGCCUGCUGUGGGCCGACUGGGCUCAGUCGGCCUGCAGUGGGCCGACGGUGUAAUAUUUUUGUAAAUACUUUUUUCUGCGUAUUAUUUCUGUAAUUUAAAAAAAAUGUAUUAUUUAAAAAAAAUAGAAACAUGAGUAGUUGUUCGUCCACUGUCAUUCGCUUUGUAUCCUUCAGUAAGCCUCUCUCACACAAAGCAUCUCGCAGCAAGUAGAAUAUGUGCUUCUCAAGAUGAAUUUGUUCGUAAAAUUUAACUGGAUGUCCCUCUAGCAACUCUUUUGUUUUCUGGGCACCAGUUAAUAUGGAGGUGUUACGAGGUGUUUUGAAUAACCUUGUGAACAACACAUCACGAAACACGGACACUGCAGAAAUGUUAUUAAUAAGAACUUGCUCGGAAUCAGAAAAUUCAUCAUCUGGCACAUAUAAACUGUUCAUGGUUCCCUGCACAGUGUACACUAUUGAUUGUAUCAUCUCAGAAUAAUAUUUUAUAAGAUAUAUAAAAUAGUUGGAAAUGAACUUUCUCAAAAUGAAAGUACAGUUGAUCGUUGCAACACAAACUGACAGAAAAAGCAAUGGAAAUUGUUCUCUAAAUACAUAAAACGACAAUUACUGAAAUCAAAUAAUGGUGUAUUACAAAAUAACUAAGGAUCAAGAAUCCAAAGCUUUCGAGUUUCUUCAUCCAUCUCAAUGAAAAUGGUGCGUUUGUCACCAUCUGUAAAUGCUUUUACUGCUUUCAGUUUUGUGCUGGCAUCGAGGCUACCCAUACUAUUUAAUACUGACACGCAUGAUUUAACCGAGUAAGUGUCAUUUUGUUCUGCUGUUUUUUUCUUUGCUUCAGCAAUGCUGAGUGAUGCAUCUGCAAGACGAUCAAUUGCUGUUAUGGCAUCAUCAGCUAUACGUUUUUGUCCUCUUGUAGUUUCUUUUAAUCCACUUCCAGGGAAUUUCCUUUUUUCUGGCUCAAUGGCUGUCGACUUCUUAGUGAACACAACAGGGGAGCCAUUGUUUUCAUCAGACUCGAUUUCAUGUACUUCAACAUCCUUAUUGAGAUCAAUUUGAGAUGAUUUAGUUGUGCAUGAACCAUCUUUCCCUUUGCUAGAUAUAGCACCAACUCCAGAUGCCGUUGAACUAGCACAUAUUUGUUGAAGAUCUUCCCAACUAGGCCACACCUUUUCUCGAUAUUCUUGGAGUGACUUAUCCUUCUGCAAGUUGUUAAUUUUUAUUAAUAAAUACAAUAUACCAAUUUUAUAUGAAUCCUACUCGCACAAACUUACCUCAAUUAGUUCCUCCCAAGUUUCUUCUGAAGCUUUUAUCAUUUUGUCAUCAUCAUCCCAACCAAAUCCCGUCAGUUUAAGAAGUCUAUCCAUGGCAGCAUAGCAACUCCUAUAGUACUUAUGGCGAUUUUUCAAUUGUUGUAAUUCAAGUUUGUCUACUCUUGAAUCAUUGAAUUGUUCUAAGAUAUCACGCCAUGCUUUCUUUGUGUAACAUGUUCCUUCUUUCCCUCCGUGUAAAGUUUGAUCUUUCAGUAUAGUGAGAAGUAUUUUGUCCUCCGAAGAUUUCCAUACAUGCCUCUUUUUAUCUGGGUUUUCUUUCCUUUUUUUUUGGUCCCUCUGAUCAUCCAUAUUUAUCUACAAGAAAAUAAAAAAUUUAAAUGAGUAUGUGAUUGACAAACUUAAUUUCUCUUGACAUUUCAAAGCCUCCAAUUUAAAGUUGUACUUACAACAAGCCAUAUUGCAAAGUGAGUUAUUUGGUUGAGAAGAGCACUGUUAAGUGGAAGAAAUGAACAUGAUAAUAAUAUUUCAACUGCAUUCGUGUGAUCUCUUGGCGUGUAUUCUUCUGAUUGCAGUAGACAAAUGGGGGUCUAGGACUGAGCUAAUCUUUAAUGUUUUACCUAUGACAACACUUACUACUAAUUGUUUGAUUUCUACGUGUAUUCCUAUGUUCUUUUCACAAUGCAGGUCGACAAAGGAACUGAUGGCUUGUAUUUCAGUGAUCUACUGUUGGCUUACCAUUUGUUUUUAUAGAGGUAAAGCUGCAUGUGCGUGUUGAAUUUAAAUUUGAGGGCCCCUUAUAUCCAGGAGUACAUGAUUGGCCUACAUACUAGACUAUGAUACUUGUGUAUACAAUUUAGACUACAGCACAAACAUACAUACUUAUAUCGCACAGUUCAGAUUGGCCUAGUGCCUAUUAAUACCAUAUAAAUAUAUAAUUAGAGUUAGCGUGCCAUUUACUCUUCUUUCAUAUCUGGCAUUUACCUGGUUUCCAUGUACAACAGCAAGUAACUAGUGUAGUGGGUUUCUUUUAUAAUCAAACAGAGGUGUGUUUCCAAUUAGAGAGAGGAAGGGACAAAUUGCCAAGUUGGUGGUUCUAGUUUCAUCUACGAAUUGGCUAUCUCAGAUUACCGGAGUUUUUUCUUUCUGCAAAAUGAGCUUCAUUACCAAAAAAAUGAAUCGAUGAACAAUACCAUGAAUUUGUAGAUCUACGGACGAAUUUGUUGAUCAGGAUGAUUGAUCGAUGAACAAUACCAUGAAAUCUGUACAUCUAAACUCAUAUGGACCAAUUUGUUGAUCAAGAUGAUUGAUCGAUGAACAAAACCAUGAAAUUUGUACAUCUACAACUUAUAUGGACUAAUUUGUUGAUCUGGAUGAUUGAUCAAUGGACAAUAUCAUGAAAUAUGGACAUCGACUACAACUUAUAUUGACAGGAUGAUUGAUCUUACCAGGGUCGUGCAACUUGAUUGAAGAUGGGAAGAUGAUGAGAACCGCCUGAUGAAGAAGCUGCUGAGAACCAGCGCCAGCGUCUCCCAGCCAGCGCCUGUGAAUGGAAUUGACGGCCAGCCAGUUCUAUUAGCGAUGGGGCCUGUAUAUAAGCAAUGAAAAAGGCGCGAGGGCGAGCAGCAAAACGCAGAACUGGCACCAGAAAAGUUGUUGAGAAGCGAGCGGGCGGGAAAAAGUUGUGGCGAUCACGCAUAUAGCAAUCGCGUUUGUGGAAAAACGGAUAAAGCUCAUUUUUCUAUAAGCCCGAAAUCUUGGGUUGUACAGUUCCAAGUUUCCUAUAAACGUGGAUUGGUUAUAGUAGCCAAACGAGGUUUUGUUCGGUUGAACCGUUUCCCUGGUUUAUAGAGUACGGAUUCUAUAUAUAUCUUCUAUCCAAACAACGCCAUAAUGUGUGUAGCAUGGAAGAUAUCGCCAUCUCUUGGUUGUUAUGUUGACAAUGAAAGUAUGCCGCUCAAAAUAUUAUUUAUCUCUAUUUCAAAAUCGAGCUCUGGCACCUCUACAAAUCCCUGCUUCCCUCUGCGAAGGGCCUAUCUAUUUACUUUUAUGUUGAGCCAUCACCCUCUUAUUAAAAAGCACCAGCUGGAGAGCACCGCUGUCAUUUGCAUCCAUUACUAUUAGUUUAUAUUGGGUAUGACUAUGACUGGAUCUCUUUUACCAUGAAUUACAAUGUUUAGUCAGUCCUUGAUCUUUAAAGGUGCUCUGCAUUUAUGUUUUGCGGUCUCAGAAAGGGCUAGCGAGAUACCAUCUUGUUAUAUCAUAUUAUGAUUGUUUUGAGAAAGUGUUGUCAUUCGAGAUUUAUUAUUAUUGCUCGCUAGUUGAUUAUGCCAUUGAUAUGAGUAAACAUGAGACCUAAGAGUUAUUGUGAAUGUGGUUAGUCAUAAUAUUUGCUGAAAACUUGAAUGCUGGCUUUACAUAUUUACAACAACAAGAGCAAACAGAGUUUGUAAAAGUUUUUCUUUGUCACUUUCAGUUUAUCAACUGAAUUGCUUGAGGACAAGCAAAGGUUUAAGCUUGGUGGAGUUGAUACGUCUCCGUCGUAUCUACUUUUCCAAACACUUUUGCCCUUGUUUUGGACUCUAACUUGCAUGAUUUGAAUGGAACUAACCCGGACUGACGCUGUUUUCAGCAGACUUUCCAUGGUGCUAUUUAUGUGCAGAAACAAAAGUUCUCGGAAUGACCUAAAACUCCACGGAACUUAUUUUUUGGAAAAAAAAUAAAAUACUGGAAGAAGAAUCCACGUCAGGGGGGCCUCCACCUAUCCAUGAGGGUGGGGGCGCGCCCCCUGCCUUGUGGGCCCCCUGUUGCUCCACCGACCUCAACUCCAACUCCAUAUAUUCAUGUUCGGGGAGAAAAAAUUAGAGAGAAGGAUUCAUCGCGUUUUACGAUAUGGAGCUGCCGCCAAGCCCUAAAACCUCUCGGGAGGGCUGAUCUGGAGUCCGUUCGGGGCUCCGGAGAGGGGAAUCCGUCGCCAUCGUCAUCAUCAACCAUCCUCCAUCACCAAUUUCAUGAUGCUCACCGCCGUGCGUGAGUAAUUCCAUCGUAGGCUUGUUGGACAGUGAUGGGUUGGAUGAGAUCUAUCAUGUAAUCGAGUUAGUUUUGUUAGGGUUUGAUCCCUAGUAUCCAUUAUGUUCUGAGAUUGAUGUUGCUAUGACUUUGCUAUGCUUAAUGCUUGUCACUAGGGCCCGAGUGCCAUGAUUUCAGAUCUGAACCUAUUAUGUUUUCAUGAAUAUAUGUGAGUUCUUGAUCCUAUCUUGCAAGUCUAUAGUCACCUACUAUGUGUUAUGAUCCGGCAACCCCGAAGUGACAAUAAUCGGGACCACUCCCGGUGAUGACCGUAGUUUGAGGAGUUCAUGUAUUCACUAUGUGUUAAUGCUUUGGUCCGGUACUCUAUUAAAAGGAGGCCUUAAUAUCCCUUAGUUUCCAUUAGGACCCCGCUGCCACGGGAGGCUAGGACAAAAGAUGUCAUGCAAGUUCUUUUCCAUAAGCACGUAUGACUAUAUUCGGAAUACAUGCCUACAUUACAUUGAUGAAUUGGAGCUAGUUCUGUGUCACCCUAUGUUAUGACUGUUAUAUGAUGAACCGCAUCUGGCAUAAUUCUCCAUCACCGAUCCAAUGCCUACGAGAUUUUCAAAUAUUGUUCUUCGCUUAUUUACUUUUUCGUUGCUACUGUUACAAUCACUACAAAACCCAAAAAUAUUACUUUUGCUACCGUUACCGUUACUUCCGUAUUACUUUGCUACUAAAUACUUUGCUGCAGAUACUAAGUUAUCCAGGUGUGGUUGAAUUGACAACUCAGCUGCUAAUACUUGAGAAUAUUCUUUGGCUCCCCUUGUGUCGAAUCAAUAAAUUUGGGUUGAAUACUCUACCCUCGAAAACUGUUGCGAUCCCCUAUACUUGUGGGUUAUCACCAAGCCGGCGGCCAAGGCCAAUGUAGGCAUUGCGCAGGCGCAACACUCUCUUGGACGUAAACUAACUCACAUGCACGCAUCUUGCCUUUAAAAAUUUCCUUCAAGCUAUACUUGUGAGAGUAAACAAGGGACAUCAAAUAGCUAUCAAGGAAUUCCAGUGUAGCCACCACUGGAGGCAUCUCUUUGCCAUGGCACAAGUCAUUCUGCAGCUGCCAAAUGCACCAAAUCAACAUAAUCACCAUGUCCCGCAUGGUUGAAGUGCAAUUCAUUAGAACAUUCAGCAGCCAAUCAUUCUCACUGUCUACUAAGAGUACAUCCCGGGGCAAGGGCCAUAUAACACACAUGUGCUCCCAAAUAUUCCGAGCAUGGCUGCUGGAAACCAAUGCAUGGAAGGAACUUUCAUCUUCGAUACCGCACAAUGUAAAGAUUUGAUAACCCAUAAGUAUAGGGGAUCAAUUGUAGCCUUUUUUUGAUAAGUAAGAGUGUCGAACCCAACGAGGAGCUAAAGGUAGAAUUAAUAUUCUCUCAAGUUCUAUCGACCACCGAUACAACUCAACACACACUUAACAUUUGCUUUACCUAGAACAAGAAUAAAACUACUUUGUAGGUGUAAUAGGAUAAGUUUGUAAGAAUAAAACUAGAAGUACUUAGCGGGAUAAUAAAAGUUAGGUUGUUUUAAUAGAGAGCAUUUUGUAACACAAAGAGAAAGAUUGUCCAUUGGCAAUUGAAUAUAACACGAUAGAUACUUAUCAUAUGCAAUGAGGGAGAGGCAUGCGCUAACAUACUUUCCGUACUUGGAUCACAUGUUCUUAUUAUUGGAACUCUAGAAAGCAUCCGCAACUACUAAAGAUCAUUAAGGUAAAACCCAACCAUAUCAUUAAGUAACAAGUCCUCUUUACUCUCAUACGCAACAACCCCCUUUCUCGGGUUUAAGGUUAUGUCUCGCAACCCACUAUAAGCGAAUCAUGAAUGUAUUGCAACACCGUACAACGGUUAUCCCACACGCUUGCGCGACACAGAGGGCAUCAUAGGACAGCACCAUAUUAACAUUAAACUCAUAUCAGUCACACCAUACCACAAUUAACCCGUAGGACAAAAUAAAUCUACUCACAUUAUAUGAUUGCCACACAUCAUUGGAUAAUAACAUAUACUAUUAAGCACCAUGUUCAAGUACAUAAUUACAACGGGAACAGAGAGGUUACACCACUGCAUAGAGUUGUUGGUGUAGAUCGCCGUCACGAUGAUUUCCCCGGUGGAGCUCCGGCAACACCGGAAGAGAAGGGGCAGAGCCCCCCUCCUUCUUCUUCUUGCUUGGCCUCCCCCAUAGAUGGGAGGAGGGUUUUCCCACUGGUCCAUGGCCGCCAUGGCUCUCGGAGGGCAGGAGCCCCUCCGAGAUUGCAUCUCUCUCUGUGUUUCUCUUCUGUUUUUCAUUUAUUUUUGGACACCUUCACCGUUUUUUAUAUUCCCGAAGAUCCAUAACUCCAUUGGGAUGAAAUUUUUAGGGGAUUUUUGUCUAGAAAUUAUCUUUCUUGCGGCGAAAGAAGGGCUCCAAUUGAGGUAAGAGGGCGUCACAAGGCAACACAGCGCGCCCUGGGGUAUCGUCUUGCAUUGAUUCUUCUUCCCAAAAAUCACAUAUAUUCCAAAAUAAACCUUAGCAAAAUUUUAUCUUGUUUGGAAUUCAUUUGAUAUGGAUAUUCUGCGAAACAAAAAAACAUGCAAAGAAAAGGAACCGGCACUGGGCACUGGAUCAAUAUGUUAGUCCCAAAAACAAUAUUAAAUGUUGCCAAAAGUAUAUAAAAGUUGUAGAAUAUUGGCAUGAAAUAAUCAAAAAUUAUAGAUACGACAGAGACGUAUCAAGGUUCCACGUCUAGCCAGGUGCCGGUUUGCCUUGUCGAGCGUGGCCCACACACCGACAUCCACGUAGUGAUCUUCAUCUUUUGCGGUACAACUGCUUUCCAAAUACAGUUCCAUAACGACCGCUCACCAUGCGGUGAGCUACUUGAUGCACCAUGCGGUAAUCAUGUUCAGUUGUCGCUAAUCUAUAUGCACUCUUCAGACCGUGGGUAGUAACAUAUAUAGGGUUCAACUCAGCAAAUUUACUUAUGUGGUAAUGAUUUAAUGAGGAGAGAGAUGAUUUUAGUAACAUAGCUCGUUAUUUACACUAUGGGUAACACCACACAUAUCAAGACAAGAUGAGUCUAUAAUCUAAUAAAAGAAGUGUUGCAUGACACCACACUUAUGUUAGGCCCCACUAUGGGUAGUCUCACUGUAAAAUUUCCAGAUUUCUAAGGAUUCCCAGCGAAGAAGUCACUUUGUUGUCUUGGAGAUGUUCGAAUUUUUAUAAUCUCCUGAACAUCAUCACCCAAAAAUGAGUAUUAAGCAUGUCAAUGUUCCAGCUUCCGUUAUCAUCCAAGAAAUCGGCCACCCGGUUAAACCGACAAUUACGGUUCAGAGUAACUGGGCCAAAAGAGGAACACCUCGGAAUCCAUGGAUCUCGCCAAGUUCUGAUCAUGGCGCCAUUCCCAACCCUCGAAAUAAUGCCCUUCUUCACCAGCUCCAAUCCCCUUCCAAACAGCCGAGGAGGUACGUGAAAAAAAUAGUGUCCAAAAGGUUCCCAGUCGGACAGUAUUUUGCAUGGAGGAGAUGAGCACACAAACUGUUAGGUGCAUCCAGCAAACCGCCACACUUGUUUAUCAAGUAAUGCUUGGUUGAAAGCCCUAAUAUCACGGAAGCCCAUACCACCGUUAGAACUGGGUAAUAUCAUUUUUUCCCAACUAAGCUAGGCCAUCUUAUGCUUUCCCUUCUCGACCACCACCAAUAUUGCCUCAUCAAUCGUGUAAGAUCAGCACAUACUGAGGCAGGAAGACGGAACACACUCAUCACAUAUGAAGGGAUAGCUUGGGCCACCGCCUUAAUAAGAAUAUUUUUAUUUCCAGAAGACAAGUAUUGUUCACUCCAAUCCAAUGGACAUUUACUCAACACCGCUUGAACGGUUUCAAAUCUACCCUUGUGCAUCCUCCCUUCCGGCACUGCAAGGCCCAAGUACUUAGGCUCAAACACUUCAUUUGUGAUACCUAGAAUAUUUUUUAUCUCCAUGGAAAUCGUAGGUAAGCAAUUUUCAGAAAAAAUAAUAGAACAGUUGGUAGGGUUAAUGUGUUGGCCCGUGGCUGAGGCAUAAGUGCUCAAACCAUCCUUAACCAAACAUGCCUGUUGCUCAGAAGCUUGAAUGAAUAACAAUGAGUCAUCCGCAAAUAGAAGAUGUGAAAUAGUUUGCGCCCUUCGGCAUAUCAAUCCCUCCUCCGCCAUGGACUUGCUGAUCAGUGCAGACAAUGCGCCAGCAACAAAGAGAAAUAAAAACAUGGACAAAGGAUCGCCUUGGCGAAGUCCCUGCGAAGGGGUAAAAGACUCGAGUAAUUUUCCACUAAACUUUAUGCAAUAUUUCAGCGAAGUAACACAAGCCAUAAUACGAGAAAUCCAUGAUGUAGUAAAACCCCACUUACAUAGGGCUUACACAAGAAACACAUAGUCGGCGCGAUCAUAUGCCUUCAAUAGGUCAAGCUUGUAAGCACAUAAUGCCAGAUUAUCCUCUCACAGAGAUAGAAUAUGAUGAAUCACUCAAAAACAAAGAUGGAAUUAUCUGAAAUAUGUCUACGUGGAAUGAAAGCACUUUGGUUUUUAGAGAUAAGAUCCAUCAUCAAAGGCCUUAGCCUAUUCACCAUGCAUUUUGACACAAUUUUGUAAACCACAUUGCAAAGACUGAUGGGAUGAAAAUCAUUUAUGUCCUUAGGUUGCGGAACCUUUGGAAUUAUAACUAUCGCCGUAUCAUUCACUCCCAUAGGCAUAAUCCCUAUCACAAAAAAACCACUGAACAGUCGCACAACAUCUGAUUUAAGCAUUGCCCAGUUAUAAUGAUAGAAACGAGCUGGAAAACCAUCCAUACAUGGGGCCUUAAUAGGGUCGAUCUGGAAAAGAGCAUCAAAGAUCCCCUUCUCUUAGAAAGGUGCGCACAAGACCUCGUUCAUCUGCACUGUCACCUUAGGCUCAAUACACUCUAAAACUGCCUCUGGGGAGAGGGUUGGGUUGUUGGUACAAACCUCCUUGAAGUAGGAGGCUGCCAUUCGCUCCAUCUUCUAAGGAACAUAGCACCAUGUCCAAUCCAAGUUGCCCAAGCACCGAAUAUAAUUCCUCCUUGCCUGCCAAACAUCGCGAUGGUGGGGGUAUUUGGUAUUCCGCUCCCCUUCUUCCAGCCAUGUGAUACAUGAGCAUUGCAACCAUAACAUUUCCUCACGGUAUAGUAACUCAUCAAGUUGGUUUCUCUUUUUUUGCAUACUCAUACGAUCUGAUCCAUUAUAUCUAGCUCACCACAGAGCUUCUCUAUGUCAUUGUUGAUAGGAGCAAAAUUCUUUCAGCUCCAAUCCUUCAAACUAUGCAUAAGUGCUCACAACAACUCCGCUACAUAGGAGGAUAGUGGUAUCCCUAGCCCACCAGGGUUCAAGUCCUGAUACUCGCAUUUAUCCUGGAUAUAUUUCAGGAUUUCCGAUGAUGCGCGUUCAGUGGGAGGAUACGUUCCCGUCGACUACGAGGCGUCUACGAUGAGUUUGUAAAAUCUCAAGAUGAUAUGUGACUCAGUCUCCCAGAUGUGCUCAUAAGGGUAGGAUGUGUGUGUGUGCGUUCAUAGGGGUGAGUCUAUGCGCACAUAUAUGAGCGCUUAUGUCUGUACUGUGUUAAAACAAGUACUGGACAUUGUGACCUGCCUGGACAUUGUGACUCACUGGAGACCUGGCGGGCGGAUCCGAUGGACGACAAGGCCGAAGGCCCAGGAGGCUAGCUUAUACUCUGGUGGGCUGGCUUAAGGAGAAAGGGAUGACGAAUAUUUCCUUUACGAGGGAGCAAGACCCGGACUUGUAUUCAACUUGUAAGAAAAGAUAGACUAGUCCUAGUCCUACUAGGACUCCGCAUGUAACCCGCCCCUCUAACUUAUAUAAGGAGGGGCAGGGUACCCCAAAGAGGGACAAGCAAGAAACAAUAAUGUCUAGGGCUAGACACAACUAAAGGAGAGCCGGCUUAUGCGGCGUCUCCCUGAUGAGCAUAAUGAGAUCUAGCCACAAACAGCAUGUAGGGCUAUUACCGGAUGAUGUUUCCCGGGGCCUGAAGCUGUCUAAAUCCUUGUCUUGUGUUGCGUCUCUCGAUUCCAACCAACCCCUCUCAAGCUACCACAUAGAUGCACUGGCCUCGCGACUAAGUCCUGACACUAAGGACAUUUGCCGUGACAAUUCCACGACACUACCUAAGCCUUUUUCCCUUGGGAGUCGCGCUCCCGAGGGUCAUCUUUAUUUUACCCCCCUGGGCCAGUGCUCCUCUGAGUGUUGGUCUAAACUAGAGCCCUUUGCAGCGCCACCUCGGGGAAACUUGAGGCCUGGUUUUAGUUGUACGGAUUGCUCAUCUGAUGUGCCCUGAGAACGACAUAUGUGCAGCUCCUAUCGGGAUUUGUCGGCACAUUCGGGCGGCUUUGCUGGUCUUGUUUUACCAUUGUCGAAAUGUCUUGUAAACCGGGAUUCCGAGACUGAUCGGGUCUUCCCGGGAGAAGGAAUAUCCUUCGUUGACUGUGAGAGCUUAUAAUGGGCUAAGUUGGGACACCCCUGCAGGGUAUUAUCUUUCGAAAGCCUUGCCCGCGGUUAUGUGGCAGAUAGGAAUUUGUUAAUGUCCAGUUGUAGAGAACUUGACACUUGACUUAAAUAAAAUGCAUCAACCGCGUGUGUAACCGUGAUGGUCUCUUUUCGGCGGAGUCCGGGAAGUGAACACGGUUUUGGGUUAUGUUUGAACGUAAGUAGUUUCAGGAUCACUUCUUGAUCAUUGCUAGUCUCACGACCGUUCCGUUACUUCUCUUCUCGCUCUUAUUUGCGUAUGUUAGCCACCAUACAUUGCUUAGUCGCUGCUGCAACCUCACCACUUAUCCUUUCCAUACCCUUUAAGCUUUGCUAGUCUUGAUACCCAUGGUAAUGGGAUUGCUGAGUCCUCGUGGCUCAUAGAUUACUACAACAAUAGUUGCAGGUAUAGGUUUUGCGAAGAUCAUGACGCGAGAGCGAUGUUACUUGUUUUGGAGUUCUUCUUCUGCUUCUUCUUCAAUCAGGGGAUAGGUUCCAGGUCGGCAGCCUGGGCUAGCAGGGUGUAUGUUGUUUGAGUUUCUGUUUGUGUUUCAUCCGUAGUCGGAUGUUGAUCUUAUGUAUGAUGUAUUGGUGUAUUCUUGGGGCGUUUGUGCCUUUUGUAUGUUUCCCCAUCUAUUAUGUAAUGUUGAUGUAAUGAUAUCCACCUUGCAAAAAGCGUUUCAAUAUGCGGGUCUAUCCUUGGUGGGACCUUCGAGUUCCUCUCGGAUAGGGUCGCAUAUUGGGCGUGACAAGUUGGUAUCAGAGCCUCGACCGACCUUAGGAGCCCCCCUUGAUUGAUUGUAUAGUUUGGCCGUUGUUGAGUCUAGAAGAAAACUGUUUUUCGGAGUCUAGUUAUAUCGGAGAGUAGGAAUUCUUUUUACUCCUCAGCCCCUUCGUCGCUCUGGUGAGGAAUCUUGACGUAGGUGUUUCGACUUACUUCUCUUCCCCUUCAAUUUUUCUUUAGGAUCACGCGGAUAGUUUUCAUUCGUUGUCCAUCCUCUUUUCAAUCCGGCGCAUUUUUUCUUCGAGUGGUUUCGCUCCUCGCCAUCUUUUGCAAGAUCAGUCCUCAGUGCUUUCUCAACCGACGUUGUUUCCCCAUCAGAAGUUGUCCUUGUCUUUCCCACCCGCCCACCCUUCUUCUUCUUUGAGCCGGAGUCCGUGAUCGAGUAUCCAUCCUACUCGUGUGAAGCCUUUGCAUUCUUUCCUCAAGUAUUUAAACUCUUCAAGCUAUUCGUCGGUUCUCCCUUUCAAGUUGCCUUUGUUUCCCGCCCUCCCACCCUCUUUUUCCCGGAGCUUGAGUCUCUUUCGAGCAUCAAUUUCAUUCGUGUGGAGUAUCUUCAGUCUUUCCUCAGUUGUCUCAACCGGUGAAUUCUCGCCUAGUUAAUCAUUGUUCGUCUCAUUUCCUUUUCCGGUGGAUUCAAUUCCAAUUUUCGGUAGUGAUUAUAUUCUUUCCUCGGCUCAAAUGUUUCCCGUUGCUCGUUCCCCUCUCGUCAUUUAAUCGUUCCGGAGUGAUGAAGACAUCUCAGGAGAUUUGUCUGUGUUCGAAUUAAUCCGAGGUUAUCACCUCAUUCAAAUAUUUCAAUUGUUCCGGUGCAUCAUCUAUCUCUGCAACAAUAUUUUUCAACGGUGUUUCUUUUUAGUGGGCCCUAACCCACAGGUCUUUUCCCCGGAUCUUACCUGACUCUUCUGUCGUGGAAUUGUCACGGCAGAUGUCCUCGUGCAAGGACUCAGUCGUGGAGCCAUCGCAACUAGGAAGCUUAAAGGGGUUAAACGGGACAAAGGACACGAGGAUUAUACUGGUUCGGCCCUUUACGGUGAAGGUAAAAGCCUACUCCAGUUGAGGUGGAAUUACUUAGGGUUUCGAUGACCAGGGAGCUUAAUCGCUAUGCCUGGCUUUCGAUCUGAUGUUGCCUGUCCUGAACCGCCGCCGGGUCGUCUCCUUAUAUAGAGAGGUUGACGCCUAGCGGCUCUCAGAGUCCCAGCCGGCUUAUAACAGCAUCCGGCUCGGACUCUUAACUAUUCUUGCCUUACACUACAAGUCUUGCCAUAACGGCGGUUUAUCACUACGGGCCUUAAGCCGCCUCCGGGUCUUAAACCCAUUACUGAACCGCCAUCCUCAAACUUGGUACUGGGCUUCACGUGAUGAUCAUUAUGACAUAACCCGGCCCCUCCUGGGCGGGUGACUCGAAUGGUUAUAUCCUCAACAUUAGGCCCCGGAUUGAUUUGAACCGGUUCAGGUCAAUCUUCAAUACCUUUUAAAAGAAAAUCUUCCGGCUUCUGCUUGUGCGAAGGUUAUAACCCGCCGUGACGUCAUCUUCUGGAUUCUUGGUAACCCGCCAUGACGUCAUCUUCCAUUAAAUUCAUUUUUUAUUCUGCCAUAUCCCAACGGAUCUUAUCUUAAUGACCAUCCUGAGAAUCGAGGCGUUUCUGCGGCAAGAUAAUCAUGUCUUCAGCCUCGUCGUUUCUCGCGCCCAUUUACCAGCCGUCCCUUAUAAAUAGGCCCGGUCCAUAAACCUUUCGCCACUCUUCUCGAUCCAUCGUCUUCCUCCUCUGACGCACCAGAGCUCGAGCUCCUCCGCCGCCGCCGCGCCCCUCGUCUUCCUCAACCUCGGCCGCUGCAUCAUCCUGAAUCGGUCCAGAGAAACGGCGGCGACCUCCGCUGCUCAUUGGCACCAGUAAGUCCUUGCUACUUCGUACAGUAGAUUCGCAUUAGGGUUCCAUGAUUCUUCCCUGUUCUUCGUAGUUUCAUCUCGAUUUCUUCAUAGUCCCUCCACCGAGGCUCCUUUGGAUCCGAAAACGGUACAGACUCCCUGCGGUAGUAGUUUCUCACCCAUUUUUAUGCUAGUAGAUCCCUUUUGCCCGAAAAAAGACCUCAUUUAGACUUUAUGAACUCCUCUGUAUCAGUUUUUUAGGUCUAGAAAUUUUUCCUUUCUGGACGAUCGUUUGAUCCAAAGUAAUCUCUGCAAUCUGUGAAACUUGUUUGUGCAACACUUAGACAAAAACUGCAUCUGUUAGCCAUGGCGGCUCAUAUCGCCGGCUUAAAAGAGACCCUGCUUUGUAAAAUCUCCGGCUCACUCACAAGAGAGUUAAAUAACUUAAAUUGCAUCAGAUAUCCGCAGUGGCUUAGAUAACCUGACACAGUUAGUCAUAUAUCAUUAGGCCCCUUCAUAAACCGCCAUCUUGAAUACUGAACUGAAAUCUUCCUCCGGCUUAAAUUUGAACGGGGAAUUUUCUUUUGCCGUAGGCUUCCAUUUUCCACAAUGCCGCACAAGGCUCCCAAAGCGCCCAUUACAUGCAACUGGGUGAGAUCCAACAUUACUGAUAGCACCUUAGAUGACUUCGUAAAAAUGGUCUACCUGCCUAAGAAGGAGGUCAUGUCCUACCGAGCUCCUGACCCGUUCGAAGAGAGACCUCAACCAAAGGACGGAGAGGUUGUCAUAUUUGCUGACCACAUGAGCCGGGGCUUUGCUCCUUCUGGCUCAAAAUUCUUCAGAGAUGUUCUACACUUUUUCGAUCUGCGACCUCAAGACAUUGGACCCAACUCCGUGUCGAACAUUUGUAACUUUCAAGUGUUCUGUGAGGUAUACCUUGGAGAAGAACCCAGCCUGCUACUCUUUAGGGAGUUAUUUUACCUGAACCGCCAGAAUGAAUGUGCCAACGGGCCUAGCUUGGAACUUGGUGGAAUCUCAAUCCAACGACGGAGAGAUUGCUCUUUCCUUAUGCUGAGCCACCAAGCCACCCGAGGACUGGAACCAGACAUGGUUCUACUGUCAAGAUACUUCUCCGGCUGAUGAGAACCCUCUGCCCGGCUUUCGCGCCCUGCGUCUGGAGUCAAAUCACCCUCUGCCAGACAAAUUAUCUCAAGCUGAGCGUCAACCGCUUAUUCCCACCAUCAACAAAAUCAAAGCUCUUCUGGGAAACGGCCUAAACGGCAUUGAUAUAGUCCGGGUCUGGAUUGCUUGGCGGGUGAUUCCUCUAAGCCGCCGCCCCGGCUUAAUGUGUGAUUACACGGGCCGGAAGGAUGAUUCUCUUCGGCACAGCCCUGACAACUUACCUGAGGACAUCGUUGAUGACAUGACCAAGUCUCUUCUGAACGAGAGCUUAGAAGAUUGCGGGAGGACAGGCCUAAGCCCCUUGUGCAAGGCUAACCCGGCCCCGGCGGUAAGCUAUUGACCUGAACACCUUACUUUCCAUUUUAACAAUUUUCGUCUUAACUUCAAGAAACAUUUUUUGUAUUUUUCAGGCUAAUGAUAAGUUCUGGAACGUCAGGUAUGACCAUGAAGCUGCUAAAAAAGCCAGGAAGGUUAAAAAAGCCGCCAGGAGAGCCGCUCCCCGCAAGAAGGGGAGUAAGCCUAGCGCCUCAGAUCUGCUUCACCUGGAAGACACCUCUGAGUCAGAGGUAGCCCUUGAUUCUUUAGGCUCCUUUUUAACCAUCUUAUUGACACUGAUUAUCUGCAAGAGGAUACUGGAGCGAGUAACCCGGUGAUUGAAGAGGUAACUAUACUUUCCUCCGACUCGGAGCCCUUGCCAAGACUGAAAGUCCGAAGUGUAACCUGGAAAGUAAGAUUUUCACAUCCUUUAGCUUAUCAAGAUCCUCAAUUUCUUUUGAAGCGACAGAUUCAUGAGAGUCGGAGGCAGACCCGGACCAGCAAGGAUGCAGACCUCUCCUCCGGCUUACCCGAAGCAUCAAGGAAGCGCCGGACCGAGGUUAUCUCCGACUUAUAUCCUUUUCAUCCUUUGGCGGGCGUCACUCGUCAACCACUCAAUUCUUCUGAUUCAAACUAUCAGGGAACUUCACCUUCCUCUGGCGACUCCAUGCAAUCUAACUUGCCGGCCUUCAAAACCGCACCGGGUAAUGAUAGCUAGCUUCUUUUGUGCUUAUCUUACUCAUGUUUUUGCACUAACCCUUUGACUUUCAGUAUACAAGUAAAGCCCAGCAAGAGGGCGAAGAAAAGUAAGCCGACCGAAGAUCCCCAGCCCCUGAACCGCCAUCUGCACCAGCUCCAGAAACCACCACUGCCCCAUCUGAUGAGCAAGCCAUGGAGGGUUCUGAUAACCCGGAGAUCCCCAGCCCGGCUCAUCCAGAUGACCCGGACGUGGUGAUUACCCGGACCGAAUUUGUUGAACCGGGAAGACCCACCGUGCUGGCUAGGUGCUCUGCCAAGGAGGAACUUCUGGAACGCCGCAGAGCCAGGCUGGACAUUACUAACUAUGCCAAUCUGAGCAUUGAAGAUAUUGUCACUGGCUAUAUUGGCCAAGUGCACAACAGCCGGGACCUGGAGAUUGACAUGGUGAAGCAAAUACAACAAAAAUCUGAGGUACGACUCCCUUGCUUACUCCAUAGUCAUCCUUACCAUGCCAGCCCCCAAAUCUAUUACUUAUGAUGGAAUAUGUUGUAGAUUUAAUACCGGCUUAAUAAUUACUGCAAGAAGACCGGCUUCCCUGGUGACACUCACGGGCCGGAUUAAACAACAUAGUUUAACCGGUCUUUACCUUAGGUUAAUCAAGUAGUUGAGCAACUUUACACAUUAGCCCCCAAGUGCCGAGUACCUUUGCCUGCAAAGUGCUGGGGACUUACUUUCAUGAACCGGCACUGUAGAUAGAGCCUUUCAGCAUACAUUAGUCCCCAAGUGCCAAGUGUUUUUGCUUGCAAAAUGCUUGGGACUUAAUAUUGCAUUAUAAUCACCUUAACUGUAACCCGGAAUUUGUACAGGCCGCCUGUAAGAAAUUUGAAUCGGAAAUCUCUGAUCUGAAGAGCCGCCAGAAGACCCAGGAAAGUGAAACCCAAAAAGCCAACUCCAAAUUUGAACUCAGUGUAUCCGCACAAGAGAAACUGAAGAAAAAAUUUGAAGCAGAAAAGAAAGCCUGGGCAGAUGAAAAAGCUGCUUUGCUCAGCCGGGCCGAACAAGCGGAGGCCACUCUUACUGAAAGAACCACCGAGCUCUCCGGCUUAAAACGCCAUGUCUCUCAGAUGGUCUCCGCAAUCUUUGGUAAAUUUCUAACCAGUUUACAUCGUUUAGUUCCCAUAAACAUCUCAAUUGCCAACAACUCACUUGACUUGGUAAUGCAGGUCCCAGGAGUUCCAAUCUCAACCAGAGCGUGCUGACCAAGCUGAAGGCGGUUUACACCUUGGUGGAGCAACUUUACACCGGGUCACAGCGUGCUUUAGCUGUUGUGGCUCUGUCCAAUGAAGUUCCCACUCACCUGGCAGAUGUACUCAGGCGGCUUGCCAUACUUCCUCAGCGCUUCCAAGAGCUGAGACGGGCUUCUGCAAGAGCCGGAGCCAUAGCCGCUCUGAGCCGUGCCAAGGCGUUUCUACCGGAGCUAGACCCGGCUGACAUCGUCCUUGGGUAUCCCAGCUUGAAGGAAGACGGCACCCCCUUUGAACAGAAGGACUUCGCCGCCUGUGUGAAGAGCGUACGCCCUGUGGCCACUUUGAUUGGCAGUGACACAGAUCUUUCCAAAUAUCAGCCGGGCUAUGACACGGAGAAUCAGAGAAUUCCAACACCACGCUAUGAGGCAGUCAGCCUGAUUCCGCCAACUCGUAAGCAUACCUUCGCCCCUGAAGUUGACCCGGCCGGGUUAAUUGAUGAUGAGGCUCAAUUUGAAGCUUUGAGCGGCAUUGACUGGAAAUCAUCAACCUUCCAGGUCAUGGAAACAGCCGGAGGAGCGGAGAGGGAUGAGCCGGUAGCUUCAACCCAACAGGCACUUUAAUUUCUUAGGCGGCUCAUGGUUAUUCCUCAAAACAAUGCCUCACCUUUUGGACUCGGGGAGUCGUGUAAUAGAGUAGAUCGAACACUUAAUUUUGUCGUGCCAUCGUGCACGUGUGCAGCACUUAACUCUGUUUAAGCUACCCUUUUAUAUCCCUCCGGGUUACGUUUGAUCCUCUGCUUUCCUUAAGUUUAAAGAGCUGUCUGUAAUUCCUCUGCAUAGAAAACAAAUCGCAAGUCCCUAGGCGGCUUACCGCAUGGAGAGUCAUAUAUUUUACAUAUAACCCGGAAUAUGAAUCAAAGUCAUAAUAAACUGGCUCACAAUUAUAUCUUAGAGAUAACCAUAACAGCAUACCUGCGAGCUUUCAAGUGAACUUCUGGUUUAUGUAACCCGAAUAAGGAGGUUGAGAACUCAACUCCGGUUUACCAGCACCCAUAAUGCUUAUUGUGUGCUAUCAACAUUAUCAAUCAAGGUUAAACCGGUGGAAUAAGAACCAACCUUGAACACCUUUGAUAUGAUUAAAAGAACUUGUUGCAAACCAAGAGAUCAGAAACUUAAGGGCUUCUGAUUCGAAUACGACCAGAGAACCGUCCCAAAGGGGUUAAGCUAAGAUUCGAAUGCGAUCAUAUAGCCCCCAGUGGCUUUGGCGCUGCCUAUCAAGAGGGUACCGACAGCUAUGUUCUCUUUGGUUCGAAUACGACCUAUGUUUGAACAGGAAGCCCCCAAAUGACCUUGAAAUUUGUUUAACGACACUGAUUCAAAUACGAUCCACGUCGGCUCCCAAAGGGGGUUGAGCUAUGAUUCAAAUAUGAUCAAGAAAAAACUCCCCAAUGAGCUCAGCAAUAUGCCAAUCAAAUGGGUAUCGACAGCUCUGUUCUCUUUGGUUCGAAUACGACCUAUGUUUGAACAGGAAGCCCCCAAGUGAUCAUGUUUUUAACGGCGAGAUUCGAAUACGAUCAUAAGCCGGAUCAACCUCCAAGUGACCAUGUAAUGUUACAAUGAAAAUAACAACGAUACAUUUACCUUGUGAGGAAAAAAGGACAGAGGUCCUGCUUUUUUAUUUAUCACAAUAUAUACAUUGCUAUAGAAAUAUGUACAUUAUGAGAGCCGGUGGCUCAAGUGUAAUAAGGCCGAAGCUGAGCUAUGUUCCACGGGCGGCGGGUCUCCUCCUCCGACUUACGUGAAUCUCUAUGCUCUCGAACAUCGAUAAGGUAGUAUGACCCAUUGUGCAAGUUCUUGCUGACCACAAAGGGCCCUUCCCAAGGUGGGGAUAACUUGUGCGCAUCUGUUUGAUCCUGGAUGAGCCGGAGCACCAAAUCACCUUCCUGAAAGGCCCGGGACUUAACUCGGCGGCUGUGAUAGCGGCGCGGGUCUUGUUGGUAAAUCGCCGAACGAGCUGCUGCUAUGUCACAUUGUUCAUCCAACAAGUCAAGAGCUUCUUGACGCGCCUGCUCAUUGUCUGCCUCGACAUAAGCAGCCACUCGAGGCGAGUCAUGACGGAUGUCGCUAGGGAGGACCGCCUCAGCUCCGUAAACCAUGAAGAAAGGUGUGUAACCCGUAGACCAGUUAGGAGUAGUAUUGAUGCUCCAUAACACGGAAGGUAACUCCUCCACCCAACAACCUGGCGUCCGUUGCAAAGGGACCAAAAGCCGGGGCUUGAUGCCCUUCAAGAUCUCCUGAUUGACUCUCUCAGCCUGACCAUUGGAUUGAGGGUGAGCCACUAAUGAAACAUCGAGCCGAAUAUGCUCUCGUUGACAAAAUUCCUCCAUGGCGCCUUUAGACAGAUUGGUGCCAUUGUCAGUUAUAAUGCCGUGUGGAAAACCAAAGCAAAAUAUCACCCUUUUCAUGAACUGAACCGCUGUGGCCGCGCCACACUUACUAACUGGCUCUGCCUCAACCCACUUUGUGAACUUGUCGACCGCCACCAGGAGGUGGGUCUUCUUAUCCUUGGACCUUUUAAAAGGCCCAACCAUAUCAAGCCCCCAGACCGCAAAUGGCCAAGUGAUUGGAAUCAUCCUCAACUCUUGAGCCGGCACAUGAGCCCAUCGCGAGAACCUCUGACAACCGUCACAUUUACUGACCAAGUCCUCUGCAUCAGCAUGAGCCGUCAGCCAAUAAAAACCAUGACGAAAAGCCUUGGCCACAAGGGAUUUUGAGCCGGCAUGAUGGCCGCAAUCCCCCUCGUGAAUCUCACGUAAAAUUUCUUGACCUUCCUCAGGGGAAACACAACGCUGGAAAGUUCCAGUGACACUGCAACGAUGCAGCUCGCCAUUGAUAAUUGUCACUGACUUAGACCGCCGGGUUAUUUGUCUGGCCAAAGUUUCAUCCUCAGGCAAUUCUCCCCGGGUCAUGUAAGCCAAGUAUGGUACUAUCCAAUCUGGGAUAACGUGGAGAGCCGCCACCAACUGUGUUUUCGGGUCAGGAACAGCCAAGUCUUCCUCUGUAGGCAACUUAACAGAAGUGUUGAGGAUAUAGACCUUAGAGUCACCCGCAAGGAGGGGCCGGGUUACUCAUAAUGGUCAUUGCCAGAAGCCCGGCGCUAAGCUCGAAGACGGUGGGCCAAAGAUGGGCUUAAGACCCGGAUAUGGCUUAAGGCCCGUAGUUACAAUCAUUAUUAUGGUAGAACUUGUAGUGUAAGGCAAGAAUAGUUGAGAGUCCGAGCCGGACACUCUUAUGAGCCGGCCGGGACUCUGAGAGUUGCUGGGCGUCAGCCCCCUAUAUAAAGGGACGACCUGGCGGCGGUUUAGGGACAAGAAAGAUCUGACCGAGAGCCAGGCAUAGCAGUUAAGCUCCCUGGUCAACGAAACCCUAAUCAAUACCACCUCAACUGGACGUAGGCUUUUACCUUCACCGUAAGGGGCCGAACCAGUAUAAACCCUCGUGUUCCUUGUCCCGUUAACCCCUUCAAGCUUCCUAGCGGCGAUGGCUCCACGACUAAGUCCUAGCUUGAGGACAUCUGCCGUGACAAUUCCACGACAGUUGGCGCCCACCGUGGGGCCACCGCACGAUGGAUUUGAGUUCUUGAAGGGCAGCUUCGAAGGGCUCAAGGGAUACGUUGUGGGCCGGAUGACCAAGAGUCGUUGCGGCAAGCUCUACAUCGACGAUGCAAACUGGGGCCCCUACGCCGGCUCAAUUGAGUACGGGUACCGGGUCCCCUUCGGCGGAAUUCAUGUUUUCAUUGGCAAGAUUGGUGAGCCGGGCCCUGAGUCGGAUCUCUGCGCCGAUCUCAUCGAGACGGCUCAGCGCGCACGACCCGCCCGGGCCCGGCCUGCCUGAAAGCAUGCUUUUGUGGGAUGUAUCCAUGGAGGGCUCUCUGAUCGAUCUGGAUCUGGUGAUGAGACGGCCGCCGGCUCUGAUGGCGAGUCGUCCACAGAUGAGUCAAACUCGUUGUAUCAACUUCAAGAUGGCAGGCUCAUGGGUUGUUCCGAUGGUGAUAGUAUUCCGGACCCGUUUGAGCCGCCAAGUCAGAUUGGAGUCUUUAUGGCCGGUGCACAGCCUGUUCAGAACCCUGCUGCUGGAGCGGGAAACCCGGUGCCCUCGCCGGCUCAGGUGCUGAUGGAUCUCACGGACAAGAUGACGGCCCUGUUAACUGCCGCGGUUGACCCGGCGGAUCAAGCUCAGCAUGAUGCGGAGGUGGCGCAAUUAAAGUUAGAUCUAGUGAAAGCUAAGGAGGACCUGGCAGCGGAAGGGAUCAGGAUGGCUGCGGAGAGGGCGGCUCUUGACGCCCAAACACAAUUGAUCUAGGCGCAGUCUUUCCGGCUCACGAUGGAUCAGAACACGUCCAAUGAGGUCAUGAGAAGGAGGCAUCAGAAGGCCCAAUCUCGGCUCCCUCCGGUUUACGAUCCACGAAACCUCUUCAACACACCAGGUGCAGGGUCUAGUAACCCGCCAGGGGUCAUAGUGCCCGGGUCUGGGACCCCUAUUCAGCCACAAGUGAUGGGGCCUCCCCAGGUGCCCCCUGCCCCGCCUCAGUACGUGCCAAUACCACCGGGUCAUUAUGCCAACCCGCUGGAGAACAUGGUCGCCGCGGCAGCACGGCUGGCGGCUCUCCCAAUUGACGGCGACUCUCCGACGGCUAUUGAAACCCGCCGGGUCAGGGAACUCCUUCAGACAGCACUGGCGCAACAAGAGGCGUACUCCUACAGCCGGGACAGGAUCCACUCGACCCCUCGUCCAGGCCGGAGCCCGAGUUACAGCAGACACAUGGUCUCAGCGACCGGCUUAAGUAACGUCCGACGCCAUGACCCGCCCCCUACCCAUGGCCCGGCUCAUAGCGGAGCCUUUCACGCAGCAAACCAAGACAGAGUGCGGCAAGAGGCGGAGCAGGUGCCUCAGUUGACGGCUUACCAGACUCCCCCGGCUUACCCGACGACGUCUGUCGACGUGGGUAUCCCUAACAGGACUGGGGGUGUCCCUUGUUUAGUACCAGCUAUCCACAAUGAACGUCUACCCAAGGACUUCAAAGGCCCUAGGAAGGUGCCUAAUUACACGGCUGACUUACAGCCCGCAGCCUGGAUCGAGAUUUACGAGAUGGCCAUGGAACUGCUGGAGGUCAGUGAGGCGGCAAUGGCCAAGUACUUCACCAUGAUGUUAGAUGGGACUGCCCGCACUUGGUUGAAAGGGCUACCACCAAAUUCCAUCGGGUCUUGGGCUGAGCUGAAAGCCCGGUUCAUCCAAAACUUCAAGGAUACCUGUAGGCAGUCUAUGUCAAUUGUGGAUUUGAGUAACUAUAAGCAGCAGAAGGGUGAAUCCACGACACAUUGGGUUCGCCGGGUCAAGGAGAUCAUACAUUCAUCAGAUAAGAUGGAUGCCGGCUCUGCAGUCUUAAUAUUGGAGCAGAAUUGUCGUUUUGUGCCCCUGAAGAUGAAACUCGGGUGGCUUAAGCGCGACUGCAAUGAUAUGGGUACACUGAUGGCGGCUCUUGUCAAGUACGCCGAUUCUGAUGGUACCAAAGACCCCGCUUCAGAUGAUGAAAGGACAGGGAAGGGAAAGAAGAAUGGCAAUGGCAAGGGUCCUCAGCAUAACCCGGGGAAUCAAGGAUGUGAGAAGCGCAAGGCCGAUGGCAGCCUAGAGUUUGUAGCCAAUGCCAGCUCACAGGGUAAUAACCAGCGACGCAAGGGAAGGCCCCCUCCCCGAGCCGGCGGGUCAGGCCCGACGCUGGAGCAGCUGUUGAAUGAGCCUUGUCCAAGGCAUGGCUCUAGAGAGAAGCCACCUACCCAUCUAUGGAAGGAUUGUGCAAUCAUGAAGGCCUUUAAAAAUUACAAUGGCCCGGGCGGCGGCUCAGGCGCCGGCGGUUUUCAUGGCCCGGGCGGUGGCUCAAAUUCUAAUCCUCGGAACGGUCAAGGGGGUUUUAAUCAGCAGUCUGGCCAGGGUCAUCAACAGCAGCAGGGGGGUUAUCAGACCAAUCCAAAGCAGCUUAGCGGUGGACAGUAUCAUGUGUUUACCACCAGUCUGUGUAAGCGAGAUCAGAAGCCUCAUAAGAGGGCUGUGAAUGCUGUUGAGCCGGCGGUUCCACGCUACUUGCGGUGGUCUGAGCAGCCUAUAGUGUGGAGUAGGGAGGAUCAUCCUCCCCGGGUGGAUAAUCCGGGUCACUUGGCCUUGCUGGUGGCUCCUCAGGUGGGAGGAUAUAAGUUCACUAAGGUGCUCAUGGAUGGAGGCAGCAGCAUCAACAUCCUCUAUUAUGAGACGUUCCGUCGUAUGGGGUUGAUUGAUAAGAACCUCAGCUAGUCAAACACUAUUUUCCACGGUGUGGUGCCUGGUAAGUCGGCUUACCCAGCCGGCAAGAUCGAGUUGGAAGUGGCCUUUGGAGAUGAGCACAACUACAGGGUGGAAAAAUUGACCUUUGAGGUGGUCAAGAUAAGAAGUCCGUACCAUGCCAUAUUUGGGCGGCCGGCUUACGCCAAGUUCAUGGCACGGCCGUGUUACGUGUAUUUACAGCUCAAGAUGCCGGGUCAUAAUGGGACCAUUACGGUUCAUGGAAGCCGGAAGGUGGCCCUGGAGUGUGAGGAAGGCGGUGCAGCUUAUGCAGAAUCUGUUUGUGCAACAGAGGAGUUAAAGUUUUACGAAGACAACGUUGACCCAACAGAUAUGACCUCUCUGAAAAAGCCGACUACGGAGCAUGAGCUGGCAAUGAAAUUCAAGUCAGCUGAUGAGACUAAACUUGUUGAUUUCGUUCCAAGAGAUUCAUCUCAGCAGUUUAGCAUCAGUGCCAAUCUGGAUCCAAAAUAGGAAAGCCCGCUCAUCGAGUUCAUCCGUGAGAAUAGGGACAUCUUCGCGUGGAAACCUUCUGACAUGCAAGGUGUACCUAGAGAACUCGCUGAGCACACUCUCAAUGUUGAUUCGAAAUUUAAGCCGGUCAGGCAGUUCCUUCGGCGGUUCAAUGAGGAGAGGCGGGAAGCUAUUGGUGAAGAGGUGGCCCGGCUCUUGGCGGCCGGGUUUAUUGUUGAAGUCUUUCACCCAGAGUGGUUAGCUAACCCGGUCCUCGUACUCAAGAAGAACGGCACUUGGCGGAUGUGUGUGGACUACACGGACUUAAACAAGGCGUGUCCGGCUGAUCCUUUUGCCCUUCCCCGUAUUGACCAAAUUAUUGAUGCUACGACAGGUUGUGCGCGCUUAAGUUUCUUGGAUGCUUAUUCCGGUUAUCAUCAGAUCAAAAUGGCAGUUAAGGACCAGGAGAAGACGACGUUCAUCACUCCCUUUGGAGCCUUCUGCUAUGUAUCUAUGCCCUUUGGACUCAAGUGUGCACAGGCAACUUAUCAGCGUUGCGUGCAGAACUGUCUUCAUAACCAGAUUGGGUGCAAUGUUCAUGCUUAUGUGGACGAUAUUGUGGUUAAAUAUAUAAAGGAGGAAACCCUGAUAGAUGAUUUGAGGGAAACCUUUGAUAAUCUCCGGGUUUACAAGAUGAUGCUUAACCCGGCCAAGUGUGUUUUUGGUGUUCCUGCAGGCAAACUCUUGGGUUUCUUGGUUUCUGACAGAGGCAUUAAAGCUAACCCGGAGAAGAUCAAGGCCAUCACCUCCCUGGCUAAGCCGGCGUGUAUAAUGAUGUUCAGCGCUUGGCUGGUCGCAUCGCUGCUUUAAGCCGGUUUAUAAGCCGUUUGGGUGAGAAGGCCAUGCCAUUAUAUCAGUUGAUGAAGAAAACUGAUAACUUUGUCUGGAAUGGUGCAGCUGAUACUGCCUUUGAGGAUUUGAAGAAGCAGCUGGCAGAGCCCCCAGUCCUUGCUGCUCCGGUUGAUAAGGAGCCCUUAUUACUAUAUGUGGCGGCGAACACACGAGCUGUCAGUGUGGCUGUGGUGGUGGAGCGCAAGGAAGAGGGUAAGGAGCAUCCGGUUCAGCCGCCGGUUUAUUAUGUCAGCGAAGUUCUCAUCGAGUCCAAACAGCGGUAUCCACAUUGGCAGAAGCUUGUUUAUGGUGUGUUCAUGGCGAGCCGGAAGCUUAAGCAUUAUUUCCAGGGUCAUCCCAUCACUGUGGUUAGUUCGGCUCCUCUUGGUGAUAUCAUUCAAAACAGAGAGGCCACAGGAAGAGUAGCUAAGUGGGCCAUAGAGCUCGGACCUCAUGGUCUCAAAUACGUGCCACGCACUGCUGUUAAAUCUCAGGCCUUGGUGGAUUUCAUCAAUGAUUGGACAGAGUCACAAGUGCCUGAGCAAAAGCCGGAUAACACAUAUUGGACUAUUCACUUUGAUGGGUCCAGGCAGUUGGAGGGCUCGGGGGCUGGAGUCGUAUUGGCUUCCCCUAAGGGUGAUAAGUUCCAUUAUGUGCUACAAUUGAUGUUUCCUUGUACCAACAACGUAGCUGAGUACGAGGCCUUGCUCCACGGUCUUCGAAUGGCUAAGGAGAUGAGCUUGAGCCGGGUAAGGUGUUUCGGUGACUCAGACUUGGUGGCUCAACAAGUAUCAGGGAAGUGGGACUCUAAGGACCCUCUCAUGGCGGCUUAUCGCCGCGAAGUUGAUGCCAUUGCUGGGCACUUUCAGGGCUACCAAGUAGAGCACAUUGAUCGCAGGAAGAACAAGGCGACUGAUGCCCUAAGCCGGCUGGGCUCUCAGCGAAAGCCGUUGCUACUUUCCUGGAUGUCCUGUAUAACCCUUCUGUUAAGUUGCCUACAGAGGAAGACUUGGCUGUCCCUGACCCGGAGGCACGACUGGUGGCGGCUCUCCACAUCAUACCGGACUGGACAAUGACCUAUCUGGCUUACAUGACCCGGGGAGAGUUGCCUGAGGAUGAAACUUUGGCCAGAAAAAUAACCCGGCGGGCUAAGUCAAUGAUUGUUAUCAAUGGCGAGUUGCAUCACCGCAGUGUUAUGGGAGCAUUCCAGCGUUGUGUCUCCCCUGAGGAAGGUCAAGAGAUCUUGUGUGAGAUUCAUGAAGGGGAUUGUGGCCAUCACGCCGGCUCAAAAUCUCUUGUGGCCAAGGCUUUUCGUCAUGGUUUUUAUUGGCUGACGGCUCAUGCUGAUGCGGAGGACUUGGUCAGUAAAUGUGAUGGUUGCCAAAGGUUCUCACGACGGGCUCAUGUGCCAGCUCAGGAGCUGAGGAUGAUCCCAAUUACUUGGCCCUUUGCGGUCUGGGGGCUUGAUAUGGUUGGGCCUUUUAAAAGGUCCAAGGAUAAGAAGACCCACCUCUUGGUGGCAGUUGACAAAUUUACCAAGUGGGUUGAAGGGAGCAAGUUAGCAAGUGUGAUGCAGCCACGAUGGUUCAAUUUAUGAAAAAGGUGAUUUUUCGCUUUGGCUUUCCGCACAACAUUAUAACUGACAAUGGCACCAAUCUAUCCAAAGGCGCCAUGGAAGAGUUUUGUCAACGAGAGCAUAUCCAACUUGAUGUUUCCUCGGUGGCUCAUCCUCAAUCCAAUGGUCAAGCUGAGAGAGCUAAUCAGGAGAUUCUGAAGGGCAUCAAGCCCCGGCUUUUGGUCCCUUUGCAAUGGACGCCGGGUUGUUGGGUGGAGCAGUUGCCCUCCGUGUUAUGGAGCAUCAACACUACUCCUAACAGGUCUACAGGUUUUACGCCUUUCUUCAUGGUUUAUGGGGCAGAAGUAGUCCUCCCCAGUGACAUCCGUCAUGACUCGCCUCGAGUGGCGGCUUAUGUUGAGGCGGAUAAUGAGCAGGCGCGCCAAGAUGCUCUCGACUUGUUGGACGAACAGCGGGAUGUGGCAGCAGCUCGCUCAGCGAUUUACCAACAAGACCUGCGCCGUUAUCAUAGUCGCCGGGUUAAAUCCCGGGUCUUCCAGGAAGGCGAUCUCGUGCUCCGGCUCAUCCAAGAUCAAACAGAUGCGCACAAGCUAUCCCCGCCUUGGGAAGGGCCCUUUGUGGUCAGCAAGAAUUUGCACAACGGGUCAUAUUACCUCAUUGACAUUCGGGAGCACAAAGAUUCACGUAAGUCGGAGGAAGAGACCCGUCAGCCAUGGAACAUAGCUCAGCUUCGGCCUUACUACACUUGAGCCACCGGCUCUCAUAAUGUACAUAUUUCUCUCAGCCAUGUAUAUAUUAUGAUAAGCAAUAAAGCAGGACCUCUGUCCUUUUUUCUCCUCCAAAUGUGCAUGUGUUGUUUUCAUUGCAAGAUUACAUGAUAACUCGAAGGAGGAUCCGGCUUAUGAUCGUAUUCGAAUCUAGCCGUCGGUAAUAAGGUCACUUGGGGGCUUCCUGUUCAAACAUGGGUCGUAUUCGAACCAAAGAGAACAUAGCUGUCGAUACCCAUUUGAUUGGCAAAGUGCCGAGCUCAUUGGGGAGUUUUCUUUGAUCAUAUUUGAAUCUUAGUUAACCCCUUUGGGAGCCGACGUGGAUCGUAUUCGAAUCAGCGUCGUUAAACAAAUCUUAAAAUCACUUGGGGGCUUCCUGUUCAAACAUUGGUCGUAUUCGAACCAAAGAGAACAUAGCUGUCGGUACCCUCUUGAUUGGCAUCGCCACACCCACUGGGGGCUAUAUGAUCGCAUUCGAAUCUUAGCAUAACCCCUUUGGGACGGGUCUCUGGUCAUAUUCGAACUGGAAGCCCCUAAGUUUUUCUGACUUGUCACAAGUUCUUCUGAUUAUGUCAAGUAUGCACGGCCGGGUCGCACUUUGCCGGCUUAACUUUGAUUUGCAGUACUAGUCGAACACAAUUGGCGUUAGUAAGACUGGUAAACCGGAAUUGAGGUACCAACCUCAUAGCCCGGGUUAUCUAAGCCGACAGUGUACUUGCAGGCUGGUAAGUGUGUUGUUACGAUUAUAUCAAGGACAUCAUUGAGGGCCAGUCUUUGGUGAAUCAUAUUCCGGGUUAUAGGCAUAAGACUAUGAUUCUCCAUGCGGUAAGCCGCCUCGAGACUUGUGAUUUGUAUUUUCUUGCAGGGUAGUUAAAGACAACUAUUUCAGCUUAAGGAAUAUGACUGAUCAACUGUAACCCGGAGACAUAUAAGGAAGCAACUUUCAUAAGGAUUCAGCAUUCAACACGUGCACGAUGGCACAACACAGUUAAAGUGUUGACCCUAUUCUAUUACAAGACUCGUUGAGUCCAAAAGGGUGAAGCAUUGUUUCACAUAAAUCGUCUACAGAGUUAAGACGCUUGCUGGGUUGAAGUCUCCGGCUCAUCCCUCUCUUCUCCUCCGGCUGUUCCCAAGGUCUGGAAAGUCGACGACUUCCAGUCGAUGCUGCUCAGAGCUUCGAAUUGAGCUUCCACGUCAAUUAACCCCGCCGGGUCAAUCUCCGGGGCGAAGGUCUGCUUGCGAGUCGGCGGGAUUAAGCUGAGGGCCUCAUAGCGCGGAGUGGGGAUCCUCUGAUUCUCUGCAUUGUAACCCGGUUGAUACUUAGUCAGAUCUGUAUCAUUGCCAAUCAGAGUGGCCACCGGGCGUACGAUCUUCACGCAAGCUGCGAAGUCCUUCUGGUCGAAGGCGGUGCCGUCUUCCUUCAAACUGGGGUAGCCCAGAGCGAUGUCCGCCGGGUCUAGCUCUGGAAGGAACGCCUUAGCCCGGCUUAGAGCCGCUAUGGCUCCGGCUCUUGCAGAGGCCCGUCGCAGCUCUUGGAUGCAUUGAGGAAGAACGGCGAGCCGGCGAAGAACCUCAGCCAGGUGAGUCGGCACCUCGUUGGAUAGGGCCACCACAGCCAGAGCACGCUGUGACCCGGUGUAGAGUUGCUCCACCAGGGUGUACACGGCUUUCAGCUUGGUUACCACGCUUUGGUUGAGGUUGGCGCUUCUGGGACCUGUUUAACAGAAUAAGAUAAGCCGCCGACAAGGAUGAGUUAUGAGAUAUACAGAUUCUAAACUUGAUGAAAGCUGGUGAGAUGACUUACCGAAGAUUGCGGCAACCAUCUGGGACACUUGGCGCUUUAAGCCGGAGAGUUCGGCGGUCUUCUCUGAGAGAGCCUUCUCCGCCUGUUCGGCCCGGCUCACCAGAGUGGCCUUCUCUUCGGCCCAGGCUCUCCGUUCAGCAUCAAAGUCUGUCUUCAGCUUUUCUUGCGCGGCAAUGCUGGACACAAAUUUGGCGUUUGCUUUCCGGGUCUCCGUCUCUUGCGUCUUCAGACGGGUCUUGAGAUCAGCGAUGUCAGCUUCAAACUUCUUGCCAGCAUCCUGCAUAAUUUCCGGGUUAUAGCAUGAACAGUUACUAUGCAAAUUUAAAAGUCCCAAGCGUUUUCCAAGCAAAGACACUUGGCACUUGGGGGCUAAUGCGUAUCGAACGUUCCUAUCUACAAAUUUCCGGUUCAUGGAAGUAAGCCGGAACUUAAGUCUACAACAUAUUCUUUCAUAAGUCGUCGACUUGGGGGCUAGCAUGGUAAAGGUAACUAUGCAGUAAGUAAGAGGACAGAAGAGUGAUACCUCAGACUUCUGCUGAAUCUGGUUCACCAUGGCGAUCUCUAAGUCCCGGCUCUUGUGCACUUGGUUGAUAUAGCCGGAGAUGACCUCUCCGAUGCUCAGAUUGGCAUAGUCGGUGAGGUCCAGAUUGGCCUGGUGGCGCCCUAACAACUCCUCCUUAGCGGAGCACUUGGCCAGCGCAGUAGGUCUCCCCGGCUCAACAUAUUCCGUCCGGGUGAUUACUACAUCCGAGUCAUCUGCUGGUUGAGCCGAGCUGGAGGCCUCCGGGUUAGCAGAAGCUUCUGCUAUGGGCUUGUUGGUUGGAGCAGCGGCCUCAGGAGCAGAGGCAGCUGGCGGUUCUUGAGCGGCUAUCUCCGGCUCAAGCAAGUCCGGCUCAUCGGUUGGCUUGUUCUUCUUCGCCCUUUUGUUGAGUUUUGCUUGGGCACUGAAAAGACAAAAAGGUCAAGCACAAAAGUUUAAGUAAAGACAAAAUACAACAUGAGGUGAUCAUCAUUACCCGGGCACGGUCUUGAAAGCCGGAAGAUUCGACUGCAUAGAGUCGCCAGAAGAGGGGGAAGUUUCCUGAUAAUUUGAAUCAGAAGAGUUGAGCGGUUGACGUAUAACACUUGCCAAAGGAUGAAAAGGGUACAACUUUGAGAUCACCUCGGUCUGGCGUUUCUUCGAUGCGUCAGGUAACCCGGAGGAGAGGUCAGUGUCUUUGUUGUUCCGGGUGUGCCGCCGGCUUUCAUGAACCUGUCGCUUCAAAAUAAAUUGAGGAUCUUGAUAAGCUAAAGGAUGUGAAAAGCUUACUUUCCAGGUUACCCUUCGGACUUUCAGCCUUGGCAAGGGCUCCGAGUCAGAGGAAAGUGACAUUACCUCUUCAACCACCGGGUUACUUGCGCCGGUGUCAUCCUGUUGGUGAACAGUAUUGGUAAGGUGGACAGAAAUAAAUAGCAGAUAUAACAAGAGCUUACAGGUUCAGGGGUUACCUCUGACUCGGAGCUGUCGCUUAAUUGCAUCAGCUCUGAAGCAGUAGGCCUACUUCCCUUCUUGCGGGGAGCGGCUUUCUUCGCCUUCCUGGCCUUCUUGGCCGCCUCGUGGUCAUAUUUGACCUUCCAGAAUUUGUCAUCAGCCUGAAAAAUACAAUGAUGAUUUCUUAAAGAUUCAGAUGAAGGUUAUCUGCAGACGGAGAUAAAAUGUUGAAAUCAGCGGCUUACUGCUGGGGCUGGGUUGAUCUUGCAGAAGGGGGCUAACCCGGUCCUCCCGCAGUCUGCCAAGCUCUCGUUCAAAAGAGCCUUGGUCAUGUCCUCAGCAACAUCUUCAGGAAGAUCGUUGCGACUGUGUCUCUGGGGGUCAUCCUUUCAGCCCGUGUAUUCGCACAUUAAGCCGGGGCGGCGGCUCAAUGGGAUCACCCGCCACGACAUCCAGACCCGGACCAGAUCGAUUCCGUUGAGACCAUUGCCCAGGAGAGCCUUGAUCUUUUUUAUGGUGGGGAGCAGAGGUUGGCGCUCCGCCUGAGUCAACUUGUCAGACAGAGGGUGAGUUGGUUCCAGACGUGAAGGGCGAAAGCCGGGCAGAGGGCUCUCGUCAGCCGGCGACGUGUCUUGGCAAUAGAACCACGUCUGGUUCCAGUCUUUUGGGUGACUCGGCGGCUCGGCGUAAGGGAAGAGGCAGUCUCUCCGUCGCUGAAUGGAGAUUCCGCCGAGUUCCAAACUUGGCCCGUUGGCGCACUCAUUCUGGCGGUUCAGGUAGAAUAGCUCUCUGAAGAGCAGCAGGCUGGGCUCUUCUCCAAGAUAAACCUCGCAGAACACUUGGAAAUUGCAUAUGUUGGACACCGAGUUGGGUCCUAUAUCUUGUGGCCGCAGGUCAAAGAAGUUCAGCACAUCUCUAAAAAACUUUGAGCCGGGCGGUGCGAAGCCCCGGCUCAUGUGAUCCGCAAAAAUGACCACCUCCCCGUCCCUUGGCUGUGGUCUCUCCUCUGAUGGGUCGGGGGCGCGGUAGGACAUGAUGUCCUUCUUGGGUAGGUAACCUGACUUGACAAAAUCCGCUAAAGUCUCGUUGGUGACAUUGGACCUCAUCCAAUUGCAAGUGAUGGAGGCUUUAGGAGCUUUGGGAGGCAUGGUGAAAGUCGGCAGCCUAUGAUAAAAGGAAACGUCCGGUUUAAUUAUAAGCCGGAGGAAAUUUACAGUUCAAUGUUAAAGUGGCGGCUUAUGAAGGGGACUAAUGACAUAUAUCUAAGUGCACCGGGUUAUUUAAGCCGCCCGAAGUAUUGAGAGUAAUUCGAUUGUCUACGGCCUUAUCACAGAUGAGCCGGAAAAUUCUAUGGCGCAUGGUCUCUUUUGAGUCGGAAGGUUCUACGGCGCGUGGUUUCUUUAAACCGGAAAUGUAAACCGCCAUGACUCAAUGAGUGCAGUUUUUACUAAGUGUGGUGAAAACAAGUUUCACACAUUGCAGUAAAUAAUUUGGAUCAAAAUGGUCGGUCAAAAGGAAAGUUUCUAGACCUAAAAACAGACGCAGGGGAGUUCUUGAGCUCGAACGAGGCCUUUAUGCAGUAAAAAGAGGUCUACUUGCAUUUGAAAUGAGUACUAAACAGCCGCCGCACUGGUUCUAUACUGUCCUAAGAUCAAAAAGAGGCAGUAAAAAGGAAAACUACCAAGAACUCACGGGCGGCAGCGAAGAACACGGAAGAACAGGAUGAACCUACUGCAGAUCUGUUCUACGGGGCAGUCAGAACUUACAGGUGCUGGUGAGUCGCGGAGGUCGCCGCCGUUUUCUCUGGACACAACAGGUUGAUGCAGCGGCCGGAGUUGGUGAGGAGGAGGAGACCCGCGGCGGCGACGGCAACAGAGCUUGAGCGGAGGAACAGUGGCACGAGGAGGAAGAACGGGUGGCUGAAGGACCGACGGACCGGGCUAUUUAUAAGGACGAGCUCAUAAGUGGGCGCGAGAAACGAGGAGACCACGACGUGGUUAUCUCCCCAUGAAACGCCUCGAUUUUCGGGAUGGCAGUAAAGAUAAGAUCCGUUGCGGAUCUGGUGGAGUAAAAAACGGACUUAAUGGAAGAUGACGUCACGGCGGAUUACCCGGAGUCCAGAGGAUGACGUCACGCCGGGUUAUGGCCUUCACACAAUUAUAAGCCGGAGAUUUUUCUGUCGAAAGGAUUGAAAAUUGACAUGAGUCGGCUCAAAUCAAUCUGGGGCCUAAUGUUGAGGAUAUAGACCUUAGAGUCACCCGCCAGGAGGGGCCGGGUUACUCAUAAUGGUCAUUGCCAGAAGCCCGGCGCCAAGCUUGAAGACGGUGGGCCAAAGAUGGGCUUAAGACCCGGAUAUGGCUUAAGGCCCGUAGUUACAAUCAUUAUUAUGGUAGAACUUGUAGUGUAAGGCAAGAAUAGUUGAGAGUCCGAGCCGGACACUCUUAUGAGCCGGCCGGGACUCUGAGAGUUGCUGGGCGUCAGCCUCCCUAUAUAAAGGGACGACCCGGCGGCGGUUUAGGGACAAGAAAGAUCUGACCGAGAGCCAGGCAUAGCAGUUAAGCUCCCUGGUCAUCGAAACCCUAAUCAAUACCACCUCAACUGGACGUAGGCUUUUACCUUCACCGUAAGGGGCCGAACCAGUAUAAACCCUCGUGUUCCUUGUCCCGUUAACCCCUUCAAGCUUCCUAGCGGCGAUGGCUCCAUGACUAAGUCCUAGCUUGAGGACAUCUGCCGUGACAAUUCCACGACAAGAAGGGUUAUGCAAAAUGUCCAAGAAAGUAUUAGGCGGCACCGGCUUUCGCUGAGAGCCCAGCCGGCUUAAUGCAUCAGCCGCCUCGUUCUUCCUGCGAUCGAUGUGCUCUACUUGGUAACCCUGAAAAUGUCCAGCAAUGGCAUCAACUUCGCGGCGAUAAGCCGCCAUGAGGGGGUCCUUGGAAUCCCACUUGCCUGACACUUGUUGGGCCACUAAAUCUGAGUCGCCAAAGCACCUUACCCGGCUUAAGCUCAUCUCCUUAGCCAUCCGGACACCAUGGAGCAAGGCCUCGUACUCAGCUGCAUUGUUAGUACAGGGAAACAUCAACCGUAGCACAUAGCAAAACUUGUCACCUCGAGAGGAAGCUAGUACAACUCCAGCCCCCGAGCCCUCCAAUUGCCUGGACCCGUCGAAGUGAAUAGUCCAGUAUGUAUUAUCUGGCUUCUCUUCAGGCACCUGCAGCUUUGUCCAAUCGUUGAUGAAAUCCACCAAUGCUUGAGACUUGAUAGCAGUGCGUGGCACGUAUUUUAGACCAUGAGGCCCAAGCUCUAUAGCCCACUUAGCAACUCUUCCUGUGGCUUCUCGAUUUUGGAUGAUAUCUCCUAGGGGAGCAGAACUAACCACAGUGAUAGGGUGACCCUGGAAAUAAUGCUUAAGCUUCCGGCUUGCCAUGAACACCCCAUAAACAAGCUUCUGCCAAUGUGGAUACCGUUGUUUGGACUCAAUGAGUACUUCGCUGACGUAGUAAACCGGCCGCUGAACCGGAUGCUCCUUACCCGCUUCCUUACGCUCCACCACCAUAGCCACACAGACGGCUCGUGUGUUAGCGGCUACAUACAGCAAUAAAGGCUCCUUGUCAACAGGAGCAGCAAGGACUGGUGGCUCAGCUAGCUGUCUUUUCAAAUCCUCAAAAGCAGCAUUAGCAGCAUCAUUCCAGAUAAAGUCAUCUGUUUUCUUCAUCAUCUGGUACAGUGGCAUGGCCUUUUCACCCAAACGGCUUAUAAACCGACUCAAAGCAGCGAUGCGACCCGCGAGACGCUGGACGUCGUUUACACACGCCGGCUUAGCCAGAGAGGUGAUUGCCUUGAUCCUUUCCGGGUUAGCUUCAAGGCCUCUGUGAGAAACCAGAAAACCCAAGAGCUUGCCUGCGGGAACACCAAAACACACUUGGCCGGGUUAAGCAUCAUCUUGUAGACCCGGAGAUUGUCAAAGGUCUCUCUCAGCUCUUCUAUCAAGGUCUCCUUCUCCCUGGAUUUAACCACGAUAUCAUCCACAUAGGCAUGAAUGUUGCGCCCAAUCUGGUUAUGAAGACAAUUCAGCACGCAACGCUGGUAAGUCGCCUGUGCACUCUUGAGCCCAAAAGGCAUUAGACACAUAACAGAAGGCUCCAAAGGGAGUGAUGAACGCCGUCUUCUCCUGGUCCUUAACUGCCAUUUUGAUCUGAUGGUAUCCAGAGUAAGCAUCCAAAAAGCUUAAACGCUCACAACCCGCCGUAGCAUCAAUAAUUUGAUCAAUACGGGGGAGAGCAAAAGGAUCAGCCGGACAAGCUUUGUUUAAAUCCGUAUAGUCUACACACAUCCGCCAGGUGCCGUUCUUCUUGAGCACGAGCACCGGGUUAGCUAACCAUUCUGGAUGAAAAACCUCAACAAUAAACCUGGCCGCCAAGAGCCGGGCUACCUCCUCACCAAUGGCUUUCCGCCUCUCCUCAUUAAAUCGCCGGAGGAAUUGCCUGACCGGCUUAAAUUUCGGAUCAAUAUUAAGAGUGUGCACAGCGAGUUCUCUAGGUACACCCGGCAUGUCAGAAGGUUUCAAUGCAAAGAUGUCCCUGUUCUCACGGAUGAACUCGAUGAGCGCGCCUUCCUAUUUCGGAUCCAGAUUGGCACUGAUGCUGAACUGCUGAGAUGAGUCACCUGGAACAAAAUCAACAAGUUUAGUCUCAUCAGCUGACUUAAAUUUCAUUACCGGCUCAUGCUCCGUGGUUGGCUUUUUCAAAGACGUCAUAUCUGCCGGGUCAACAUUAUCCUUGUAAAACUUUAAUUCCUCUGUCGCACAAACAGAUUCAGCGUAAGCAGCGUCACCUUCCUCACAUUCCAAGGCUAUCUUUCGGCUGCCAUGAACCGUAAUGGUCCCAUUGUGACCCGACAUCUUGAGCUACAAAUACACGUAACACGACCGUGCCAUGAACUUGGCGUAAGCCGGCCACCCAAAUAGAGCAUGGUACGGGCUUUUUAUUUUAACCACCUCAAACGUGAGUUUUUCCGCUUUGUAGUUGUACUCAUCUCCAAAGGCUACUUCCAGCUCGAUCUUACCGACUGGGUAGGCCGACUUACCAGGCACCACCCCAUGGAAAACAGUAUUGGACUGGCUGAGGUUUUUAUUAGUUAGUCCCAUACGACAGCAGGUCUCAUAAUAGAGGAUGUUGAUGUUGCUGCCUCCGUCCAAGAGCACUUUAAUGAAUUUGUAUCCUCCAACCUGAGGAGCCACCACCAAGGCCAGGUGACCCGGAUUAUCAACCCGGGGAGGGUGAUCUUCCCUACUCCACACAAUAGGUUGUUCAGACCAUCUCAAAUAACGGGGAACCGCCGGCUCAACAGCAUUCACAGCCCUCUUAUGAAGCUUCUGGUCUCGCUUGCACAGACUGGUAGUAAACACAUGAUACUGCCCACCAUUAAGCUGCUUUGGAUUGGUCUGGUAUCCCCCCUGCUGCUGCUGCUGAUUACCCUGGCCAGACUGCUGAUUAAAGCCCCCUUGAAAAUUCUGAGAGUUGGAAUUUGAGCCACCGCCCGGGCCAUGAAAGCCGCCAGCUCCUGAGCCGCCGCCCUGCCCAUUGUUGCCAUUAAAAGCGUUGGAAUUUUUGAAGGCUUUCAUGAUUGCGCAGUCUUUCCAUAGAUGAGUGGCCGGCUUAUCCCUAGAGCCAUGCCUUGGACAGGGCUCAUUCAACAACUGCUCAAGCGUCGGGCCUGACCCGCCGGCUCGGGGAGGUGGUCUCCCCUUACGUCGGUGGUUGUUACCCUGCGCAUUGACGUUGGCCACAAACUCCACACUGCCAUCAGCCUUACGCUUGUUACCUCCCUGGUUCGCCGGGUUAUGCUGAGGGCCCUUGCCAUUGCCAUUCCGUUUUCCCUUCCCUGUCCUUUCAUCAUCCGACGCGGGAUCCUUGGUACUAUCCGAGUCGGCGUACUUGACCAGAGCUGCCAUCAGCGUACCCAUAUCAUUGCAAUCGCGCUUGAGCCGCCCGAGCUUCAUCUUCAGGGGCGCAAAACGACAGUUCUGCUCCAGGAUUAAGACUGCAGAGCCGGCAUCCAUCUUAUCAGAUGAAUGUAUUAUCUCUUUGACCCGGCGAACCCAAUGGGUUGUGGACUCUCCCUCUUGCUGUUUGCAGUUAGUCAAAUCCACAAUUGACAUAGAUUGCCUACAUGUAUCUUUGAAGUUCUGGAUAAACCGGGCUUUUAGCUCGGCCCAUGACCCGAUGGAGUUAGGCGGCAGUCCUUUCAACCAAGUGCGGGGAGUCCCAUCCAACAUCAUGGUGAAGUAUUUGGCCAUUGCCGCUUCACUAACCUCUAGUAACUCCAUAGCCAUCUCGUAGCUCUCGAUCCAUGCUCCGGGUUGUAAAUCAGCCGUGUAAUUAGGUACCUUCCGAGGUCCUUUAAAAUCCUUGGGCAGACGUUCAUUACGGAGAGCCGGCACCAGACACGGGACACCUCCGGCCCUUGUAGGUACGCCCGCAUCGACAGAAGCCGUCGGAUGAGCCGGGAGGGGCUGGUAAGCCGUCAACUGAGCCGCCUGUUCUGCCUCUUGUCGUGCUCUGUCAUGGUCUACCGCGUUAAAGGCUCCAUUAUGCGCCGGGCCGUGGCCAGCUGGCAAGUUACGGCGCCGGACGUUGCUUGAGCCGGUCGCUGAAUCCAUGUGCCUGCUAUAACUUGGGCUCCGGUUCGGACGAGGGGUUGAAUGAAUCCUGUCCCGGCUAUAUGAGUAUGCCUCUUGCUGCGCCAGAGCCGUCUGAAGAAGUUCUCUGACCCGGCGGGUUUCGACCGCCGUUGGAGAGUCGCCCUCAAUUGGAAGAGCCGCCAGUCGCGCCGCUGCGGCGAUCAUGUUUUCCAACGGGUUGGCAUAAUGACCUGGUGGUAUCGGUACAUACUGAGGCGGAGUAAUGUUCACACGAGGAGGCCCCAUCACUUGUGGUUGAAUCGGCGUUCCAGCCCUGGGUGCUAUGAUCUCCGGUGGGUUACUGGGCCCUGCACCUGGCGUGUUGAAGAGGUUUCGAGGAUCGUAAACCGGAGGGAGUCGGGAUUGAGCCUUCUGGUGCCUCCUUCUCAUGAUCUCAUUGGAUGCGUUCUGAUCCAUCGUGGGCCGGAAAGAUUGCGCCUGAAUCAGCUGAGUCUGGGCAUCGAGAGCCGCCCGCUCUGCAGCCAUCCUGAUCCCUUCUGCUGCCAGAUCUUCCUUGGCUCUUGCUAUAUCCAGCUUUAGCUGUGCCACCUCCGCAUCAUGUUGAGCUUGAUCCGCCGGGGCGACCAUAGCGGUUAACAGGGCCGUCAUCUUAUCUGUGAGAUCCUCAGCACCUGAGCCGGCGAGUGCACAGGGCCUCCUGCCCCAAUGGCGGAGUUUUGAACAGGUUGUGCGCCGGCCAUGAAGAUUCCAACCCGGCUCGGCGGCUCAAAGGGGUCCGGAAUACUGUCGCCAUCGGAACAACCCCAGAGCCUGCCAUCCUGAAGCUGGUAUAACAAGUUGGUCUCAUCCGUGGAUGACUCGCCGUCAGAGCGAGCGGCCGUCUCAUUGCCAGAUCCAGACCUUCAGAGAGUCCUCCAUGGACGCAUCCCACGAAAGCACUCUUCAAGGCAGGCAGAGUUCGGGCGGGUCUCGCACGCUGAGCCGUCUCGAUGAGGUUGGCGCAGAGGUCCGGCUCAGGGCCCGGCUCGCCAAUCUUGCCAAUGAAAACGUGCAUUCCGCUGAAGGGGACCCGAUACCCAUACUCGAUUGAGCCAGUGUCGGGGCCCCAGCUUGCAUCAUCGAUGUAGAGCUUGCCGCGACGACUCUUGGUCAUCCGGCCCACAGCUUAUCCCUUGAGCCCUUCGAAGUUGCCCUUCAAGAACUCAAAUCCCCCGUGCGCUGGCCCCACGGUGGGCGCCAACUGUCGUGGAAUUGUCACGGCAGAUGUCCUCGUGCAAGGACUUAGUCGUGGAGCCAUCGCAACUAGGAAGCUUAAAGGGGUUAAACGGGACAAAGGACACGAGGAUUAUACUGGUUCGGCCCCUUACGGUGAAGGUAAAAGCCUACUCCAGUUGAGGUGGAAUUACUUAGGGUUUCGAUGACCAGGGAGCUUAACCGCUAUGCCUGGCUAUCGAUCUGAUGUUGCCUAUCCUGAACCGCCGUCGGGUCGUCUCCUUAUAUAGGGAGGUUGACGCCCAGCGGCUCUCAGAGUCCCAGCCGGCUUAUAACAGCAUCCGGCUCGGACUCUUAACUAUUCUUGCCUUACACUACAAGUCUUUCCAUAACGGCGGUUUAUCACUACGGGCCUUAAGCCGCCUCCGGGUCUUAAACCCAUUACUGAACCGCCAUCCUCAAACUUGGUACUGGGCUUCACGUGAUGAUCAUUAUGACUUAACCCGGCCCCUCCUGGGCGGGUGACUCGAAUGGUUAUAUCCUCAACAUCUUCUAAGUUUCCCGGAGUUAUUCUCAAAUCCUUUUCGAAGUUUGACGUAAGUAGGAAUUUCAUCAGUCAGAUGCUUCUCCAAGAUCGCUUUCAAAUUCUUUCAUGAUCGGGUCAACCUUUUCCUCUUUUCAUUCUCCCGGAGUAUCUCAUCAAUUUUGGUGUUGUUUCUCGUCGUCAUUCUCAACAUUUGAGGACCGAAGAAGAGUUUCUUUUAAAUCUUGCCCGUUCUCUCGGAGAUUCGUGGUGCUAGCUUCAUGUUAUCCUCUCAAAUUGUUUCUAGUCGUGCAAUUCUUUUCAUCCAUCCGGAGUAUUUCAGGAGCUGUUUUCUCUCUCGAUCAUCUGAAGGCCACCUUUUCAGAAGAUUUCUUCAUCCCAAGUUUUCAGAUUCAUUCUCCAAUUAUUCUAUAUGCAUGCCCCUUCGUUCGUUUACAUAUUCUUCCGGUGCUUCGUUCAAGUAUGCUUCAAUCAGCUCAUGAUCUCUUCUUUCAAUUGCAUCUUGAUUCCCUCAAGUAUAUUCGUGCUUUUCCUAUUUUUCCGGGUGAGUCAUUCUCCUUCGUCAUUCAAUUUUGAAUUCUAACGGUGGUUCGUUCAAGACCCCUUGUCAUUUGUAAUCAUAUCAAUUAAUUCGUUCUUUCCAAAUCCUACCGGUGGUUCAUGAAGACUUUCUCAAGUUUUGCGCUAUAUCCCCCCUUAAUCUUUUCCAACGCGAAUAAGUGGUAUGCAAAUCCAUGGUAUCUCAUCAAUUUAAUUGAUGGAGGAUAGGCAUAACACAAUUCUUAUUCUUCCCCAUCAAGUUAUCUAAUCCCUCCCUUCAGAGUUGUUCAUGUUGAAUAUACUCUAAUCCCAAGUGAUUCCAUAUUACUUUCCGGAGUUCCAAGCUUCCUCGGCCAUCUCGUCGGAACCUCCAUCAGAAUCGCAAGGCUCAAACCUUAUUCUAUUCAUCCUUCAAUUCUAUCUCAGAAUCCUUUUUGCAACCAGAGUGGUUUCAAAUUCAUUCUUAUUCCUUGAGCUUUGAUUCCCAUCGUAAUCGUCGUUCCUCUUUUCUAUUCGGGUGCCCUCGACCUUGUUCUUUCUCUCUUUUUUGCUCUUAUUUCACCUCAUCUUCUUUCCCUUCCGUCUCGGUCCUAAGAUCUCGAGACGAGAUCUCUUGUUAGUGGACGAGUGUUCUAACGCCUCGGAUCCGAUGCGCCAGGUGUCUUCCAGUUUUUCGCCGUCUUUGUCAUGUCAUUUGAUUGCGUGUUGCAUUUUGCCAUGUCAUCAUCUGCAUUUAAUCUACAUGCUUUUCAAAACUUGCAUCCGGCCUUUUUCCCCGUUGUCCGUUUCGCGAUCCGACACACUCGCACGCGUCCGUCGCCCCUCUCAGACCUUGGUUCGUGAGCGGGAGAAAAAGUUCUUGGAAUGGGCCGAGAUUUGCCGAGUGGCCUUGCUAUAUCACCGGCAGACCGCCCGUCAAAUUUCGUUCCAUUUGGAGGUCGUUUGAUGCCCCAACAGUUAACCCCGUAGCCCGAAAGCCCCUUUUGUCUUGCAGCCCAACACCCCUCCAAAUCAGCCCACUAACCCAGCAAAAACCCCCUCCAUGCUCUCGGUCAUUCGAUCAUGAUUGUGUGGGCGAAAACCGCACCUCAUUUGGACUCUCCUAGCUCCCUCUACCUAUAAAUAUGUGACUUCCCCCGAAAAUCCCGGAUGAAACCCUAGCCUUCCUCUUCCUCGCGCCGCCGGACACAUCCGCCCGCCGCCGGACUUGUCCACCGCCGCCAGCCACGUUGUCGGGGAUAUACCCCGCGGUAUGACCCGGCCGGAGAUAGUACCCGGCUGGGACAUGAUCUUUCAUUGGUGACCCGGCAGACUAUAAGUCGGCGGGAACAGUUAGGCAUUGUAAGCCGGCAGGCACAGUCAUGUAACCCGGCAUACACAGUCAUGUAACCCGGCAGACAUGUCGGGUGGUUGAUGCGACAUAUGCCAAGGGAUGGCUUAUCAUUGUGGGAGCCAAUAAAACGUCGCCGGUGCCUGGAAACGGGAUGAGGCGAAGACAUGCACGCCGGCGAAUCUUACCCAGGUUCAGGGCUCUCCGAGGAGAUAACACCCCUAGUCCUGCUCUGCGGGGUCUCCGCAUGAUCACUAAAUCGAUAAAGGGUAGCUACAAUCGCUCCUAGAGCUGUUGGGAUCAAGGGAGAAGGAGCACAAGGCUAGCUCUUGCUUCUCUCUAUCUAUGUGUGCGCGUGUGUCAUCUUGGAUGCGAACCCUUUGCAUGGGUGCUCCGGGGGGUUUAUAUAGGCCUACCCCCCGGGGGUACAAUGGUAAUCCGACUGGGACCUGGCCCCAGCCGUCAGUGUCUACGCUCGCCGGCUUCUCCGCCGGCUGCUGGGUCCCGCCGGCUGGUGGGUCCCACCGGCUGCCGGAUACUCGGUCGACAGGCCGGUCCCACCGCCUAGGGUUUUGUCGGCGGCUACUUACUGUAGCCGCGCCUCGGAGGAUGAGGGCUUUGUCGAGGUGAGCGUGGCUACAGUGGGCCGCGUCGGCGGCUAUCACUGUAGCCUCACCUCGUCUUGUCUCCUUAAUGGGGCUCCUGCUUCGAGGAAGGGCAUGGCCGGCUUCUGGAGGCCGGCUAUGCUCCCGGCCGACUAGGGAAAGCCGGGCCGCCUUCACGCCUCUCUCUGGCUGAAGGGGCCCACAGUCCUUGGGUCGUGCAAGAACGGGUCGUGGAUGACGUCGAGGCUAACGUGGCUAUAGUGCCGGGCCGCACGGGAGACCUCCCUCUCGUACGGCCUCCUGUAGCCAUGCCCGCCUCGGGCUUCGGGGGUCGUGGGCCGCACUGUGGCCACGCCCCGUCAGGUCGGCGUUAAGUUGGAGUGGUUGUGGUCGUGGCCGGCUUCUAGGAGUCGGCGUCCUUCUGGGCCGGCUUCUUGGAGUCGGCGAGGCUGGGUCGUCUUCCGGGAGUCGGCUUUAGUGGUAGCCGGCCCGGGAAGGCGGCCCAAAUGCUUGGAGUGCUUGAAGGCCCAAAGGCCUGAUAAAUUUUCUGAAGAGCCAGGGGUAGCCGGUUUAGCUACCCGUGGCCACUUACUCAGACAGUAGUCCCCGAACCUGAUCGGGCUUCGAGGUGGAGUAGGGUUCGAGAAGCUCGAACAGCUUCCCAUCGCGACAAGCCGACAGCUGGGAGCCGGCCUUGGUCAGGCACGUCGCCUGAGCCGAAAUCUUCUGGAGUCGGAGGGCGGGAACCUGCUAGCAUGUGCGCCGGGCCGCGGGCCGAUGGCGCGCCACGUAGCCGGAAAGCCUGCCAGCCCACGCGCGAGACGGGACGUUGCCGCAGAGAGGGGGCCCGCCACGUCCACGCCCCGGCCCAGGCGCGGAUCUUUUGCAUCCCGGAACCGCCCGCACGUUCCAUGCGGCAGUUUCGGCUCGCACUUAUGCGUAAUAAACGCGAGACGUGGGGGGAGUGGGCGCAGUUAAUCCCACGUCUCCCCCCACGUCCGGCCUCUUCGGCCGCGUGAGGCUAUAAGUAGGGGGAGGUGGAGGGCGGUAGGCCCUCGCACGCUCCUCCUACUUCCGCCGUCUUCUUGCCUUGCUCGUUCUCGCAACAGCGCCUCGCCGCCGCGCUCUUCCUCCGCACGCUCCUCCGCCGCCGUGCUAGCUUCCGCCAUGCCUCCCCAUGUAGAGCAGCGUGGCGGGGAUUGGGACGGCUCCAUCGUCCACAACAACCACAUCGACUUCCUCCGCGACACACGGCGUCUGCCCAGUGCGGACAAAGUGGAGGUCCGCCUCGCGCCGGAGAAAAAAAUCAGGCCGGCGCCGCGGGAUGGCGAGCGGGUGGUCUUCCGCUCGCACUUCCUACGCGGCUUCGGCUUGCCAGUGAGCGCCUUCUUCCGCACCUGGCUGGACUUCUAUCAGCUCCAACCGCACCACCUCACCCCCAACGCGGUGGUGCUGCUGUCGGCCUUCGUCACCCUGUGCGAGGGCUAUCUAGGCGUCCUCCCCACCCUUGAGCUCUGGGGGGAGUUCUUCCAGUCGAAGCUGGGUACGCGCAGCCAGGGCGUGCCGGCCCACACUGGCGCCUUCAUCGCGUCGCGGAGAUCAGGCGCCGACAACCCCUUCCCCGUCAUCACGCUGAUCCAAUCGGUGAAGAAGUGGCAGAAAUCAUACUUCUACGUGCGGAACAUCGCUCCACGGGGCGACUACGUCAACCUGCCGGCUUACGUAGCCGGCCCGCCGGCGGGGAGGCUGCCCCAGUGGUCCUUCCGGGCGGUGACGCUGUCGCAGGGAGGAAACGCCACCAUCGCCCACCUGCGGGUGAUGGUCCAGACGGAGGGCCUGACGGGGCCCGACCUCCUGGCCGCGUUCGUCACACGCCGGGUCCUCCCGCUCCAGAGCCGGCCUCAUCUGAUCUGUCAGAUGAGCGGCCAGCUCGAUCCGAGCCGGAUGUGUACCAAGGAGAUGCCGCAGGCUGACGCUGCCGACAUGGUGAACUACCUCGCCAACUACCAGCUUCCCGACGACUGGCAAUUUGGCAAGGAGCCAUACAGCCGCGCCAAUCCUCCGCCUACGGUACGCUCCCCUUCUCUUUUUCUCUUUGUCGCCGAGUUCCUCCGGGCCGACUCUAACUCAGUCGGCUCACUCUUUUGACAGAAUCCUCUGCUUCGGCCGGCCGGCGGGGUGGACGUGGAGCGCCGCUUCGUCCCCGACCGGACCAAGCACGACCAGGAGGACCCCGAUCUGGGGGCGGUCCAUAUGGAGGAAGCCGCCGAGCCGGCUGGUGGCCAAGCCGCCGGCGAAGCAGGCGGCGCCGGGUUCUCCGCGACCUUCGACGAUUGGCCGGAUGAGGACGAAGCCGAAGUCGUCCCGCCCCGCCAGCCAGCCUCCGGACGCGGCGCGGGCUCCUCCGGCGCGCAGCCUGCUCGGGGUAGAGGCCAGAAACGUCGCGCCGCCCAGGGCAUGUUCGGUAGCUGGACGAAGAAGCCGAGGGGUGGGGCGGCGGCCACCAGGCAGGAAGAAGCGGCCGCGAAGGCGGCUCGCUUCCGUAAAGUGGUGAAGCAGCCGCAGGCUGUGUCAGCGUAAGCUUUCUUUCUUUCUGUGCAUUCUCCUUCUCUCUUUCUUGAGUGGUCUUCUGAACCUUUGUCUUCUUUUCUUUGAUCAGGGCUCCACUGUCGCUCGAGCGGGCGGCUGCCGGCUCCGUUGUCGAGUCGCCAGGGGGCUCUGGGAGCACCACCCGCCGCGUAGAUCCCCGCGCCGCCCUCCUGGAGGCGACGGAAAGGAACGCGCGGGAGGUGCGGGAGGAGCAGGAAGCGCGGGAGGCGGAGGCACGGAAGGCAGCCUCUGCCCAGGCAGCUCGGGACGAGGAGGCAGCGAAGGCGCUCGCCGAGGCUGCAGCCAAGGCCCAGGCAGAGGCCGAGGCCGAAGCGGCGGCAGGGGAGGCCUUGAUGGUCACCCCUCUGCGCGCCAUGGCGCCCGGGGACGCGGAUCCCUCGCCAGGGGGAGCCAGCGGUUCCCAGCCGGGUCUGGGCGGGAGCGGCGACGACGUCAUCUUCGUGAGGGAGGCGCCGGGGCCGACUCCUCCGACUAGGGCGGCUCGAGGCGGUCAGACUGAGCAUGCGCCUGCACAGUCGGCGGAAGGCGAGCCGGCCGCGGGAGCUGAGGUGGCGGUCCGGGUUCCGCCAAGCCGGCGCGCAGGGAAGGCCGCGUCGGAGCCGCAAAAGGCGGCGUCGGAGCCACGGCCGGCCGUGGGCUCCAGCUCGUCGGCCCGAGACGCGGAGGCGGCCAGCGCUACCUCCGGGUGGACGCCAGGCGGAGGGACAGCCGUGGUGAACAUCGCUGCACAAGACGUCCGGACCCGGCUCCAGAGCCAAGCCGCGACGCUGAGGCUGUUCACCGACGAAUUCCUCGCCACGCGGGCAGCCAUCCGGGUUCGUAUUCUCAAUUUCGCCCUUGAUUUUUCUCGUGGGGGAGCGUCAGCGCACCCACUGGGUGUAGUCCCCGAGUUCCGAGUCGGCUGCUGAGCAGGCGGCUUGGAACUUCUUGGUGGAUUUGCCUUUGCUAUUUUUGUUCUUACUUCGGUCUUCUGUCCAUCUUGCAGGACUACCACAACCUCCGAGCGGCCGCCUUCAACUCCCAGGCUCGGGAGCUGACGCAGAAGACCGCCGAUCUCACUGAAAGCCGAGGUAUGUGACUUGAUCUCUAUCUCAUGUGGGGGCGCGUCAGCGCACCCACUGGGUGUAGUCCCCGAGAUUCGGGCCGACUGCUGAGCAGUCGGCUCGGAUCUUCCUUGAUGAUUUCUCAUUGUUCUUCUUCUUCUGUCUCUGCAGCGGCCAACGCCAGUCUGAGGGCACAGCUGGGGGAGUCCCAGACUGCUCUUCGUGCCAAGGACGCGGAGCUCGCCGCCUUGGUGCAGAAGCGUGACCGCCUGGUCAAGAAGCUGGCCGACCAGGAGGAAAGCCACAAGGCGGCGCUGAAGGCCGCGCAAGACCGUGAAGCCGCCCUCCAGGCCGAGUUCGAGACGGAGGCGGCCGCCUGGGACGAGGCCAGGAAGACUCUGGUCUCCGGCUAUGGCCAGAUUGAGGAUCUGGUUGACGGUAAGUCGUCUACCCCUUCGUCCUUUCUUGCUAUCUGUCACUUUGACUUGUUUUUCUGAUUUGGGGUUCUUCUUUUCUUUUCUGCGCAGAGUACUUCCCCGGCUAUUCCACUGCCGCCAACCAGGCCAUCAAAGCUCGUCGCCAGGCGAAGAGGCAAGCCGACUUCGAGAUUUCGCCGACUGCCGGCCGCUCGCUGGAGGAGCAGCUCCUGGCGAUCCAGGCUCGCAUCCAGCCGGCUCACAGGCUUCUCCGCCGGCUUCAGCGUGCCGGGUCGCAGGUCCUGGCCGCCCUCUAGCCCGGCCAAGUGAUCCCGCGCACUCCUAGUCGGACCGCCGAUUGGCUGGAGGUGGCCGUCGGGCGCUUCGAGGCUUGGAAGGCAUCAGCGGCUCGCUCCGGCGUCGGGCGGGCGCUGGAGUUCGUCAAGGCCUGGUACCCAGGCCUGAAUCUGGACCAGCUGGCUACCUGGCGGCAGCAAGCCGACGCGGAGCUGGAGCCGGCGCGGCCGGCCAUCAUUCGACGGGCUUCGGCAAUCGCCGACUACACCGACACCAACGUCUUCGCCCCCGAGGUGGACGACAAUGGAGUCGCCUAGCCGGAAGAUUGGUUCGGGCUGGACCCGGCGUGCGGCGAGGACUCGGCGGAGGAGAUCGACUCCAGCGACGAGGGCGAAGAUGAGGAGGAGGAGGGUGAAGACGUCGAGCCGGCUGGUGGAGCAGCCGGCCAGCCUGACCGCGCCUCCAGCACUACGUUACGUGCGAGUGCGUCUCCUGUUGCGGGAGGCGGUCAAGCCGGGACCAGCUAGGCGGCCACUCCUUCAGCCGGCGAGCUGCCUUCACCGACCAACUCGGCCUUCGCGCCUUUGUCUUCUUUCUUUUGUUUCCUGUCUUGUUACUUUUGAACAAUGUUUUUGGUUAAGUCUGCGCAGUCCCACCCACUGGGUGUAUUGAAACUCAAGUCUGUUGCCGCCUAUCGGGGGCUUUAUGUAUAUAAGUUAUGCAAUCGGUCUUUCCUUGUACUUUCGCUUUUUGUCCUUCUGCUUUUUUCCUUUGCCGCCCUCCCUUGGUUUCCGCCUCCCUAGUCAAACAGUUGCUCUGCAAUCUGUAGCCGGGGAGUGCCUGGCCGAUUGGGGAGGGGGAAGUACUUUUAGCUCGGUCGGACUUAAGCUAAGUUUUUAGGAAGCCGGCAGGCAUAUAUGGAGGCCGUCUUUUUGCUAUAUAGGUUGGUUGUUCCUUAGCCGUUUUUUCGUGUGGGCAUCCUUUCUGUCUUCUCUCUUGCUAGCCGGACAGUCAGUUCUUUGAGCUGCGACUUUCAACAAGAGAGGACUUGGGAGCCGGCGCACUACUUUGCUGACUUUGGGAAGAACGUAGAAUAUAGCUCAAGGCGGCCAGUCCCCGGGCCGACUAGUCGGACCCGGUGCCGGACAAGAAUUCGAAAUGUAAUAAUACAUUCAUGGAUAUGACACUCGUCAUUCAUGAAUAAAUAAAAGGCAGUCCCCGAGUAGGUUUGUAACGUAAUACAAAAACAAGGGGUAGCGUGAUACAUACUGCUUUUCAGCUGUAAAAUCGUCUUAGGAGGUUUGCGUUCCAUGGUCGCUCUGACUCCUUGCCGGAGUCGUCUCUCUUGCGUGCUUUUGGCUUUUGCGCGUCGAUCAAGUAGUAGGAGUCGUUGCCGAGUGCCUUGCUGACGACGAAGGGGCCUUCCCAAGGGGCCGAGAGCUUGUGCUGGCCGUCUGUUCGCUGGAUCAGCCUGAGCACAAGGUCGCCCUCUUGGAAGGAUCUUGGCUUGACCUUGCGGUUGUAGUAGCGGCGCAGGCCUUGCUGGUAGAUGGCGGACCGGCUGAGGGCUCACAGCCGGCCUUCUUCCAGUAGGUCAACGCCGUCUUCUCUUGCUUCUUUGGCUUCCUCCUACGUGUACAUGGUGAUCCGAGGCGAGUCGAACUCGAUGUCUGUUGGGAUGACAGCCUCGGCACCGUACACGAGGAAGAAUGGAGUGAAGCCGGUUGACUUGUUAGGUGUAGUGCGCAGACUCCAGAGGACAGCCGGCAGCUCUUCGAGCCAGCAGCCGGCCAAUCGCUCCAGUGGUACAACCAGUCGGGGUUUGAUGCCGGAGAGGAUAAGUCCAUUUGCUCGCUCGACCUGGCCAUUUGACUGCGGGUGGGCAACGGACGCUAAGUCCAGUCGGAUGCUCUGUGUCGCGCAGAAAGGUGCCAGCGCGCCUUGGGCGAAGUUUGUGCCGUUGUCGGUGAUGAUGCUGUGCGGCACGCCGUACCGAGUGGUGAUGUCGGUGAUGAAUGUCACGGCAGUCGGCCCGUUCAGCUUCUUGAUGGGCUUGGCUUCGAUCCACUUUGUGAACUUGUCCACCGCAACGAGCAGGUGUGUCAUGCCACCGCGGGCUGUCUUGAAAGGGCCUACCAUGUCCAGUCCCCAGACGGCAAAAGGCCAGGUGAGGGGAAUGGUCUUGAGGGCGGAAGCCGGCAGGUGUUGUUAGGAACUGAAGACUUGACACCCUCUGCAGCUCUUUACUAUUUCUUUAGCAUCCUCCAAGGCAGUCGGCCAGAAGAACCCAUGGCGGAAAGCCUUGGCCACGAGGGAUCUUGAGGCGGCGUGGUGGCCGCAUUCGCCUUGGUGGAUGUCUUUGAGGAUUGCCACUCCUUUUUCUGGCUCGACGCAACGCUGGAAGACUCCAGUGACGCUGCGCUUCACAAGCUCCCUGUUGAUUAUUGUGUAUGCUGCGGCUCGUCGUUGCACUAGUCUUGCUGCGAUCUCAUCAGUCGGCAGCUCUCUGCUGACUAGGAACUUGAGGAUGGGCUGGGCCCAUGAGGGAGCUGUGACUUCUUCUGCUGUUGUCGUGGCCACCAUGACUCGGGUGGGUGGUUUGGGUGUUGUAUUGGAGUCGACCACUGCUUCUUGUGUCAUUGCAGUCCCCGGGCCGACUGCUGCAGUCCCCGAGCCGGGUUCUGAAGUCCCUGGGCCGGGUUCGACUACGUCAGUCCCCGGGGCAGUCGUCAACGUCCCCGUGCUGCCUGCAGGAUUUCUUGAGCCGGAUCCGGCUGUUUCUGGCGCAGGCGGUACGAAGAUGGAGUCCGACUCUGGAGACGGCUUGAUGGACGGCUUGAGGAGGCGUUGGAGGGAGACGCCAGUCGGUAUGGCUUGUCGGGUGGAGCCGAUCCGUGCUAGGGCAUCUGCUUGGUCGUUGUCGGCCCUUGGCACAUGAAGGAACUCGCACCCUUCGAAGUAUCCGCUCAUCUGCUGGACGAGGAAGCGGUAGCUCGCCAUGUUCGCGUCCUUGGCGUCCCAAUCGCCAGAUGAUUGCUGGACCACUAAGUCGGAGUCGCUGUAGCACAGGAUCCGGCGUAUGCCUAGCUCUUUGGCUAGCCGGAGCCCAUGUACGAGCGCCUCGUACUCGGCCACGUUGUUGGAGGCGGCGAAGUGGAUCUGCAGCGUGUACUUGAGCUUGUCGCCUUUGGGAGAGGUGAGGACGAUGCCGGCUCCCAAGCCGGUGCGCAUCUUGGACCAAUCAAAGUGCAUCCGCCAAUGGGUAGAGUCGGGAGCCGGCGGUAAGUACUGGGUCUCGGCCCAGUCGACGAGGAAGUCGGCCAAUGCUUGCGACUUGAUGGCGGUGCGGGCUUGAUAGAAAAUCGUGUAAGGCGCCAAGGCAAUGGCCCAUUUGGCCACCCGGCCGGAUGCAUCCCGGCUGCCUAUGAUCUCGGUGAGCGGGGCAGCGCACACGACCGUGAUGGGGUGCUCUUGGAAGUAGGGCUUCAAUUUCCUGGCAGCGAAGUACACCCCAUAGCACAUCUUCUGGUAGUGCGGGUAGUUUUGCUUUGAGCUGGAUAGUACUUCGCUGAGAUAGUAGACCGGCCUCUGGACCAGCUGGGCUCGGCCUUCCUCCGGGCGCUGGACCACAACAACAGUGCUGACGACUCGGCUUGUCGCGGCGAUGUAGAGGAGCAUGGGCUCCUUCUCAGUCGGCGCAGCCAGGACGGGUGGAGUGGUUAACAUUUUCUUCAACUCAUGGAAGGCUUGGUCGGCUUGAUCAUUCCACUCAAAGUGAGUGGACUUCUUCAUGAGUCGGUACAGGGGGAGGGCCUUCUCUCCUAGUCGGCUGAUAAAACGGUUCAGGGAGGCUAAGCAGCCAGUGAACUUCUGCACAUCUCGCAGCUUGGUGGGUAUCUCCAUCCUCUCGAUGGCCUUGAUCUUGACAGGGUUGCACUCAAUGCCGCGUUCGGAGACCAGGAAGCCUAGCAGUUGGCCGGCUGGUACUCCGAACACGCACUUCUCGGGGUUGAGCUUGAUCUGGAAUCGGCGCAAGUUGGCAAAUGUUUCCUUCAGGUCUUCCAGCAAGGUACCGCGCUUCUCUGUGUUCACCACAAUGUCGUCUACGUAGACGUGGGCAUUUCUGCCGAGUUGUUUCAAGAGACAUUUCUGCAUGCAACGCUGAAAAGUGGCACCGGCGUUUCUCAAGCCGAAUGUCAUUGUCAGGUAGCAGAAAGCUCCAAAGGGUGUGAUGAAGGCAGUCUUGAGGCGGUCAGCCGGGUCAAACUUGAUCUGAUGAUAUCCUGAGUAUGCAUCCAAUAUACUUAACAGCUCGCAUCCGGCUGUGGAGUCUAUCACUUGGUCAAUCCGUGGCAAAGCAAACGGAUCCUUUGGGCAGGCCUUGUUCAGACUUGUGUAGUCUAUACACAUGCGCCACUUGUUAUUCUUCUUCAAAACCAGAACUGGAUUGGCAAGCCAUUCUGGAAAGAACACUUCCAUGAUGAAGCCGGCUGCAAGGAGCCGGGCUAUCUCUUCUCCCACGAUUCUUCGCUUCUCUUCUGAUAGUCGGCGGAGGGGUUGCUUGACCGGCUUCGCAUCAGCUCGGACAUGUAAUUUGUGCUCGGCGAAAUCCUUCGGGACACCCGGCAUGUCCUUUGGGGACCAUGCAAAGAUGUCUCGAUUCUCACGGAGGAAGUCGGCGAGCUCGCCUUCCUAUUUACUGUCCAAGUUCGCCCCAAUCACGGCGAACCUCUCCGGGUGCUCCGGUUCUAGAGGUAUCUUCUUCGUCUCUUUUGCAGGCUGGAAGGAGCCCUGCGCGUCACAGUCCUUGGGGUUGGGGGGACAAGGCCGGCUCCUUGCCGGCCAUGGCCACAACCCGUUCCAACAUCUUCUUCUCUUUUGCCACCACAAGGGACUCGGCCAGCCGGCUGCUGGCCAUGGCACACUCGAUGGACUUCUUGUAGUCGCCGGCUAUCGUGAUGAUCCCUUUCGAGCUCGGCAUCUUCAUCUUCAGGUAGGCAUAGUGGGGCACAGCCAUGAACUUGGCCAAAGCAGGUCGGCCAAGCAGUGCAUGAUAGGGGCUUUCCAAAUCCACCACCUCGAACCAUAUUGCUUCCCGGCGAAAAUGAUCUUUGUCUCCGAAGAGAACAUCCAUCUUGAUCUUGCCGAUUGGAGAGCAAGAUAGGCCGGGUACGAUACCAUGGAAGACUGUGCGGCUCGGCAUGAGCUGCUUCGCUUUGAUGUUCAGCUUGUCCAUGGUAUCGCGGUACAGUAUGUUGAUACUGCUUCCGCCGUCUAUCAGGACGCGGGAAAAUCUGGCAGCUCGCCUCUCUGUCGCAAGGGUGACGUCCAAAACCAUAGCAUAGGAGCCAGGCGAAGGCAUCACCUCGGGGUGGUCGGCCUGGCUCCAGCUGAUGGGUUUUUCCGACCAGUGCAUGAACUCGGCGGUGCUAGAGGCGACUGCGUUUACUUCUUGGUGCUGCCGGCGUCGGCUGCGCUUGUCGUCGACUUGACUUGUGAAGACAACGUAGGCGUCGUGCGCUUCAGGGAACUCGUCUUGGAUGGCGCCGACUGCCGGCCGGGCCGCCGGCUGCGGGGGAGCUGGAGGCGGCGGGCCGGGAGGCGGAGGCGGCACCAUCCCUUCGCCCUUGGUGAUGCGGGUGAGCCAAUGGCAUUUCCGUGUUGUAUGGUUGGACGGCUUCGCGCCGCUGUGGAACUUGCAGGGAGCAUCGAGUGCUUGUUCGUAGGAGAAGGACGGCUGCCAGGGCGGCCGGCCUCCCUUCUUCUUGGGAGCAGGCCGCUCUUCGGGCUGCUCGUCUUCAAUGGUGGCCACCUGCCGACUGGAGCAAGUCGGCAUGGGGCCCUUGCGCUUGUGGUCGUUCUGGUAGGGGCGCCGGUUGGGGUCGCCAGCCGGCUGCUUGGGAGCCGGGGCGACCACUUUCCCCGAGGCGUCCACUCGGAGCUCGGUCUUCAUGGAGGAGUCGGCAGUAGCGUAUUUGUCGGCGAUGACGAGUAGCUCGUCGAGGGUGGCGGGCUCGUCGCAGAGGAGUCGGUGCUUGAGGAGGGUGCCCUCUCGGCACCCGGUAGUGAAGUAUUUGAUGGCCUGGACCUCGUGCACUCCCUCGCAGGAGUUGCGGAGCUCGGCCCAUCGCGUGAGGUAGUCGCGGGUCGACUCGUUGGGCCCCUGGACGCAGAGGGAGAGCUGGCGAGGCUUGGGAGGCCGCUUGUAGGUGCUGGUGAAGUUGCGAACGAAAGCUUCGGUGAAGUCCAGCCAACUGUUGAUGCUGUAGGGCUUGAGGCUGUUGAGCCAUGUGCGCGCCGCGCCCUACAGCAUCAGGGGGACGUACUUCACGGCAACGCGCCGGUUGCCGUUGGCGAUGCUGACGGCUGUGGAGUAGUCGAUGAGCCAAUCUUCCGGCUUCACCGAGCCGUUGUAUUUGGGCGUGUCUCUGGGGAACGAGAACCCUUUGGGAAAGGGCUCAUCGCGGAUGCGGGGGCCAAAGCAUGGCGGGCCGACAUCGUCUUCUUCUUCUAACGCCAAGGAUCAGGCCAGGCGGUCGAUCCUGUGGCGGGCGUCGCUCUCGCCGACUCCUUCUCGGCGGCCGAGUCGGCCGCCAAGGGUCGGAUGGGUGACAGGCGGUGGAGUGAGGCGUCUUUCUCUUCGCGGUGGGGGAGGAGGCAGGUUUCCCUGAUGUUCAACCGCCCGAGGGCGGCCUUCCGCGUCGCGCUCGAUAGUUAUGCGGGUCCGGCUGCGGCUGGCAGCCGGCUCCUUGUCUUUCUUCUGGCGCGCCGCUCGCAGUCGGCGAGCAGGACGUUGCCGCGUGCUCCCGGCGCGGAGGUUGACUAUCGGCACGGGCACCGGCUUCGUGCCGUUCUGCAGCCGCGUCGAUCAGCUGCUGGAUCCGUCUUGUCAUGUAGGGGAGAUCGUCGGCUCCCAGCUCAUUGAGCUCCUCUGCAGCCGCCUGAGCGGCCCGCAGAUUCUCGAGCGGGGUGGCGUAGACGGGGCGAUCUGCGCCCAACAUGCUGGCAACGGCUGCGCCGCGCUUCUGGACGAAACCGGCUCGGCUCGGGCCGCUAGGCGGCGGCGUCCCGAAGGCGGCGCGGUCAGCUUCGCGCUGGUGGGCCUCGGUGAGACGUCUCAUCGAGGCUAUCUUCUUGCCCUCCGUGAUGAGGGCAAGGCGGCGUGCCUCCAGGGUCUCGGCGUCGGCGUCGGCCGGGAUGGGGACGGAGAGGUCGUGCAUCGCCGCUCGCUGAGCGUCGCGGGCGUUCUCGCCCGAGUCGGAGACGUGGCCGAUGACCAUCACUUCGGUGACAGCGCUGCUGCCGCUGUCAGCUCGAGGGAGUGGGUCGUCGAAGACCACCACGUCGGAGGGGUAAGCGUCGAGCGACGCGGUGUCGGAGUCGAUGAGCAUCGGGUCGGUGGAGCCGACAAACUCCAUGUCCGCAGCAGGCUCGCCGGAGACGUGAAGUUGGUCGAGGAGGCUGACGAGGCAGCUCUCGGGGUAGUCGGUGCCUGCGUCGGACGCAGGCUCGUCGGAGAUGCGAGUCUCGCCGAGCUGAUCGGCGAGGCGGCUCGCUACGCAGGCGUCGCCGACGCCUUGCAGCGCGUCGGGGCAAGCGCCAUCGGGCGCAGCAGGCUGGCUGCGCUCGCGGGGAAGGAAGAAGAUUCCCGUCCAGAACAGGUCUCCGGACGACGGUGCACCUGGCCCAACGGUGGGCGCCAAAUGUCGGCUGGUUGAUGCGACAUAUGCCAAGGGAUGGCUUAUCAUUGUGGGAGCCAAUAAAACGUCGCCGGUGCCUGGAAACGGGAUGAGGCGAAGACAUGCACGCCGGCGAAUCUUACCCAGGUUCGGGGCGCUCCGAGGAGAUAACACCCCUAGUCCUGCUCUGCGGGGUCUCCGCAUGAUCAGUAGAUCGAUAAAGGGUAGCUACAAUCGCUCCUAGAGCUGUUGGGAUCAAGGGAGAAGGAGCACAAGGCUAGCUCUUGCUUCUCUCUAUCUAUGUGUGCGCGUGUGUCAUCUUGGAUGCGAACCCUUUGCAUGGGUGCUCCGGGGGGUUUAUAUAGGCCUACCCCCCGGGGGUACAAUGGUAAUCCGACUGGGACCUGGCCCCAGCCGUCAGUGUCUACGCUCGCCGGCUUCUCCGCCGGCUGCUGGGUCCCGCCGGCUGCCGGAUACUCGGUCGACAGGUCGGUCCCACCGCCUAGGGUUUUGUUGGCGGCUACUUACUGUAGCCGCGCCUCGGAUGAUGAGGGCUUUGUCGAGGUGAGCGUGGCUACAGUGGGUCGCGUCGGGGGCUAUCACUGUAGCCUCACCUCGUCUUGUCUCCUUAAUGGGGCUCCUGCUUCGAGGAAGGGCAUGGCCGGCUUCUGGAGGCCGGCUAUGCUCCCGGCCGACUAGGGAAAGCCGGGCCGCCUUCACGCCUCUCUCUGGCUGAAGGGGCCCGCAGUCCUUGGGUCGUGCAAGAACGGGUCGUGGAUGACGUCGAGGCUAACGUGGCUACAGUGCCGGGCUGCACGGGAGACCUCCCUCUCGUACGGCCUCCUGUAGCCAUGCCCGCCUCGGGCUUCGGGGGUCGUGGGCCGCACUGUGGCCACGCCCCGUCAGGUCGCCGUUAAGUUGGAGUGGUUGUGGUCGUGGCCGGCUUCUAGGAGUCGGCGUCCUUCUGGGCCGGCUUCUUGGAGUCGGCGAGGCUAGGUCGUCUUCCGGGAGUCGGCUUUAGUGGUAGCCGGCCCGGGAAGGCGACCCAAAUGCUUGGAGUGCUUGAAGGCCCAAAGGCCUGAUAAAUUUUCUGAAGAGCCAGGGGUAGCCGGUUUGGCUACCCGUGGCCACUUACUCCGACAAGACACAUUCAUGUAACCCGGCAUACACAGUCAUGUAAACCGGCAGACACAGUCAUAUAAGCCGGACAGUUAAGCCGGCAGAUGUUAAGCCAGAUGUUAAGCCAGACGGUAAGCCAGAUGGUAAGACAGAUCGUAAACCAGACCGCAAGUCAGAUUGUAAGCCAGAUUGUAGGAAACCCAAGACGUUAAGAAGCCCAUGGAGAGAGGCCCGUGAUGAGAGGUCAGAAUAGUUUAAGUCUUAGUCCGAGAUGGACUCUACAUGUAACCCGCCCCUUCAUCUUAUAUAAGGAGGGGCAGGGCUCCCCAAAGAGGGACAAGCAACAAGAAACAAUCUCUAGGGCUAGACACAAAGAGCCAGCUUACCGGCGACUCUCUCAUGAGCAUAAUGAGACCUAGCCACAAACAACAUGUAGGGCUAUUACCGGAUGAUGUUUCCCGGGGCCCGAAGCUGUGUAAAUCCUUGUCUUGUGUGCCGCGUCUCUCGUCCCGAUCAACCCCUCUCAAGCUACUACAUAGAUGCGUUGGCCUCACGACUAAGUCCUCACACUAGGACAUCUGUCGUGACAAUUCCUCGACAGUUGGCGCCCACCGUGGGGCUGUGCACGGUGGUGUUGAGUUCUUGGAGGGAUCUUUCCCAAGGUUUCAAGAAGUUCGUGAAUUUUCGGAUGAAGAAGAACCGGUUUGGAAGGGUCUACGUUUGCAAUCCGCGAGAUCUGCGUUCGAUGAAAAUUAGGGUUGCGUACAGUGCGACGGUUGAUCAUGAUCCGGCGAGUCAAAAGACGAAUCGGUAUCUGCUACAUUGAAAAUAUGGCUGUUGUGACCAGCCGUUGCGGUGACCCUUGGAGCAAGAGCCUCUGUUAAAUUUGCUGAGUCGCCGCCGGGUCAAGCCCUGCUUCCUCGCUAGGAUGUACAUGGAAGGAUUUACAUGGACUGCAAGUUCAUCAGAGAAGAUUGAAUAAAAAGGGAGGGGUCAUGGACUCGAUUUCGGCGGCCAUGGCCUGUCUCGACCUGACUUCGCCCCGUCUCGCUGGCUGCAUCGCCCUCAACCGCAGCGCCGCCUCAGCGCGCCUCCGCUCCAAGUGGCCCCAGCUGCCGACUGGUCGUCGCUGCGGUCGAGCCGCCUCCGCUGGUCGCCGUUUUUGCCUCGUCGGCCGCCCUUCCUCGCUCUGAGCCGCCUUGAGCCGCUGGAUUCUUCCGUCGCGGAUCACUUCCGCCGGCCGUCUUCAAGUCGGCAACGUUGAGCCGCCUCACGCCGCGGCCACGAUUGCCAUGCUUCAAGUCACGGCGAAUCGCCAAAUUGCCUCCGCCUUUAGAGCUGUCUGCCGGAGCUGUUGCCAUCGCCGAGAGCCGCCCAGUCUCUUUCUAUUUUCAACCCGGACUGGCCUCGCCCACCUCUGCUCUGCUCCGCGCGCGCGUGCGCGCACAGCCGUCUGGCUCACCUCUGCUGCUACCUGCUCUGAGCCGCCACUGCUGAAUCACCGGACUGCUCGUCCGCCGGGUAGCCACAGCCUCUCUCACCCCGGGUCGAGCUGCCGCGGCCGAACCGCACUACGGACUCAUAUCCGCAGCAGUCGCCUGCCUCCAUCAUUGCACGACCUGGAGGAGGUCUCAGUCAAUCAGAGUCGGCCUCUUUUCCGCGCGCUGCAUCAAGUCAUCGCCGCGCCUCCGAGCCAUUACGGCCGGCCGGGUCCCUACCGUCGCCGCCGCUGUACUUCUGAACCGCCACUGCGCCGGGUCAUCUUCCACCUCCGUCGACCUCCCGCGUCCUCGCCUUGAGACACCCACCUCUGCUGAGCCGCUCCGGGCCGAUCGUCGCCAUCGCACCCUUGUCGUUCGACUCGCCGGCGCCUCUCUGACCGCACCACGAGCAACUUCCCCUCAGCUGUGACAGGGUCGGGCCGCCCCCUACACAACCGAGCCGCCAAAUCAUCUCCGCCUUGGAUUCAAGUAACCAUCGCCACGCCAGAGUCAAUGGCCCCUGCACAACAUACGUUCGCAGCGUCUGAGCCGUCAUGGCCUGCCUGAGCCCUCGCCGAGCCGCCUGUUUAGAAUGGCUGUCAACAUACGGCCGUGUUAAAUCACCGUUGUUCCUUGCUGGGUCACUGGAGCCCCUCUGCCACUUGUGAGCCGCCACCACGGACACGACUCCGCUCCAAGUCGCCUCCGCCUUGGUCUGCCUGCUCGAACUCUGACCCCUGGGUUGUCCAUCUGCCGCGGCCGUCCCCCACGCUGGUUUUCUGUACCGCCCCGCGCGGCUCCAGCUCACGCCCGGUCUUCUCCGAUUCCCAGCUCGCUGUUCCGAGUCACUUAUGGCCUGAGUCACUGGUCUGGCCGGUUCUGGCACGCCAUGUAAGACGAAUCUCCGCAACCACAAGCGCGGAGGAAAAAUUCGCGCCGCAAUAGGGCAGCGGCAUGCUGGUCAAACUGGGAUGCAACGUCGCGUGUGAUCAAACCGCGGCUACAAAUCUCUGUUUCUUUACUUAAGAGCCAGGCGCUCUUUUCUGCUACUGCAAUUGUCGCGUGUACGAAGCAAAACAGUUCCAGGUCAAUGAAAAAUCUACCGAGGUUAGUCAAACAGGGGAGUCUAGCAGCACGAUUCAUGGGAGGACCAUCAAGUGCUUCGUCUACAGACAUCCGACAAGUCCAAAGUCUAGUUACCAUACUAGCACAUCUUACGGGAGGACCACCAGUGCUAUGUCUACGUACUGCAUCCGCCGACCACUACUGCUGAGUCGCCAUGGCCAUGUCUCACUGAGCCGUCUCUGCAUCAAAUCCGAUUGCCUACGGUCCCUCGUCAAGCCACUGUCUCACCUCGCCGGAUGCCUCCUCAAUUUCAGCAGUGCCGAGUUGAUCCGACCUGGCGCCCUUCCAAACUGCGGUGACCCGCCCCCUACAAACCGCCACCACGCUCGCCGGCUCGCAGCUCGGGCCGCCCAUGCGGUCCUUCCACGACCCUCGCCUCGCCUCGCUCUGCGCCCGGCCGCCGUCCAGGCUGGUGCCUUGCUUCACUGGCGUCACUCACUUGGCGUUUUCAAGCUGACCGGCCGCCGUUGAGCCGCCCCUGCUACGGCCGCCGUUGAGCAGCCCCCGCUGUCAUCGCUGGCCACGAACCGCCUUACCGCGUUGUUCUGUCGCGGUGUCUUGCAGCAAGUCGCCUCGGCCCCAUGCUACCGCGAGCCACCUUGCCGCCAGAACCGCUGUCAGGGCCUCCACAGGUUUGAGCCGCCCUCGCCUCUGACGCAAGUCGCCCUGUGUGGCCUCGUCCUGAGACGCCCCUGCCGGCUAUCCGUUUCGACCCCCACGACCUCAAGUUGACCUGCUUCUGAGACGCUGUGACUCAUGCUGCAAAUCGCCGCCUUUGAACUGCCGCUGCCAUUGAGAGCCUUUACCUCGCCUAACCGGGUGUUCCACCAGCACCGGCCCUUCGCGUUGCCGAGCUGCCCUUUGUUUGAAACCGCCGAGGCCGCAACCCACCGGUGCCUCCAUUGAGCCGCCGUUGCACGUCACCUCUAUCUUGGUCCGGAGCCUCUGGGCCAGCCUGUAACGCUGCUGAGUCACCACUCCGGGUUGCCUCCGUCGUCGUGCCUCGAGUUGCCAUGUUCCUCCUCCGCCUCGCCGGGGGCUUCCUUGAACCGCCUCGCUCUGCCACGGAUGCGCCACCCUGCCUUCGAGCUGCUCCAUUUGACCCGCCGGUGCGGCCUUGAGCCGUCCCUGCCGGUUGCGUUUUGCUUUAAGCCGCCCCUACUGGAGGACACCUUGCACCUUGCCGGCACGGUGCUGCAUGCCCUCUCUGUUUCAACGCAUGAGCCGCCAGAUGACAAAAGUUAUGCAAGACCAAAGCAAGGUGCCAUUAUUUCAUGCAAAAAUUGGCCAUGCAGUGAUCCCACUGGUUUGACCGGUGCUAAGUGGUACUUGAGGCUACCCACGUGGGAUUAAGCACAAAAGUACCAGCGAUUUGUGGUGAGCCACCCUGUUGUCGCCCGGCGCUUUAAACGCCUCUGUCGUCGUCUCACCCUUGCGGUGAGCCGCCGCUGCCCACUGGCCUUGACCCGCCUGUUGUCGCGCUUCAAACCGCCACCUCUGUCGUUGUUGCUGCAACCUACAGCUAAUAUUUCUUCAUAAAAAAUAUCAGAAUUCAUCAUUACAAAGGAUGCCAUCAAGCUAUGGCCCUUACCUGCACCGGAUGGGUUAAUGGACAGGGUCAAUUAUAACCCGCCAAGAAUAAACAUAUUCCAGUAAUCCAUUGGUCAUAUCAUGAUCAAGCAUGGAGAGUCUCAAGCCAACGCCUCAAGUAGUCUUAAGACUCAGGGGCUAGAAUGACAUGACUCAAAUAAACUUGCCAGUUUCAGCGGGCUCAAGAACUUCGGAUCAUUGGAGGGUAGAUAACCCGGUCCCAGAGGCUACCGCCAUAUCGGUAAAAAUUUAAGGGCCGUCAGAAAAUUUCUGGCUAAAAAUGAAGCAAUUCCGGUUUAAAAACCGGUUCAAGGGAAAUCUGUUAUGUCCCACAAAGCUCUGAAGCUCUCAAUAUCCGGCUCAACACCCGGUUCAAGAAGAAUUUAUCUUUUGCAAAAAGUUAAAGGUUGCCGAAGAGGACCUGCUGCCAUGAUGUGCAGUUCAAAAAUGGGUAUCCUGCCUAAUGGGCUUAUCACAUUAUUGGUCACUUGGGGGCUUCCUGUUCAAACAUAGGUCGUAUUCGAACCAAAGAGAACAUAGCUGUCGGUACCCUCUUGAUCAGCGCAAUGCCAAACCCACUAGGGGGCUUCUUGAUCAUAUUCGAAUCAUAGCUUAACCCCUUUUGGGUCCGACUUUGAUCGUAUUCGAAUCAGAGUCGUUAAAAAACUCUCAAGGUCCUCUGGGGGUUUCCUGUUCAAACAUAGGUCGUAUUCAAACCAAAUAGAACAUAGCUGUCGGUACCCUCUUGAUCGGCGCAACGCCAAAGCCACUGGGGGCUACAUGAUCGUAUUCGAAUCCUAGCUUAACCCCUUUGGAAUGGUUCACUGAUCGUAUUCGAAUCAGAAGCCUCGAUUUUUCUUUCUAUUUGGCUUAAGUUUUUUGAAAACAAUCUUUGAUUUUGUCUUGAGACUUUUCUGUUCAGAUCUAAGUAUAAGUGUGGUUUAAAUUUAACCCGGCUUGGUUUUGGACGAUAAGUUGCCAACAUAUGACAAACAUCAUACAUUUGGAAGUGAGUGGCUUCUAAGGAUUGGGUUAUCACCCAUACUGCACAGGUAUCCUAAACCGACAGUACGAUUCAAUAUCAUAGGAACCGGUUUUCCAAACCCGAUUAUAUUAUUCAAUUCUUUAAUAGCCAACAUGGCUGGAUUUUUAUUAUGGUUAUCAAUAGCCAGUAUUAUGAUGGAGGUCUUCAAAGUCGCUUCAGCGCAAUGACUAUUAUUUUAUCAAUGGGCAUGAUUUAUUUUACAAUCGAGGAAAUAGUCCCGAGUCGCUGCAGCUUACGACCCGGCACUUGAGGGCUACAUUAUUCAAGUUGAGAUUACAUCAAAUAUGCAAGUCUCAUGUCGCUGCGAGCAUGCACCAUGACACUUGGGGGCUAAUGCAAAGUCAUUUUUAUUGGCCUUAUUGAAGACCCGACUCAUCCCAUUGUAAUGAGCCGGCCCUUGUGGGCUACCAAUUGCUCCUGUCAAAAAUUCAAGGUACACAAGCUUCAGCCCAUUAUAUUGAAAGAUCCACUACUCAGUUGGUAGAGUACAAAGCUCUUAACCUUAUGUAUGGACAUGGGUUCAAGCCCCAUGGUGGAGAUUACACCAUAUGAUGUUAUCAUCAAUAAAUUAUAUACAAAGUCCCAGCUCAGUAUUAUCUUACUGAGCCGGCCCUUGGGGGCUACACGUUGCUACUCAAGUUUACAUGAUCAUAUUUACAAAAGUCCCUGCUCAUUAUUUCAUAAUGACCCGGCAUUUGGGGGCUACAAGUGAUAUGAAUAUAUUGGAGUUCUACAUCUUCAAGCUCGCUGAAAAUCAGAUGAGUAUUUCAUGUCCAAUGUUUUCUAUUAUGAAGCUAGUCUAUUGACUCGGAUUUUCUAGAAGAAGGAAAUACCAAGGAAUUAAGGCUGAUCAGGUGCCAGCUUACAAGAGCUUUUAACACGGAGCAUAAUCUGUCAAAAUUGUUCUUGUGUUUGUUUUACAGGAUCAGUUUAACAUGGAUGAAUCCAAAUUAAACUGGGGGCUAAUGUCGGGGAUAUACCCCGUGGUAUGACCCGGCCGGAGAUAUGACCCGGCUGGGACAUGAUGUUUCAUUGGUGACCCGGCAGACUAUAAGCCGGCGGGAACAGUUAGGCAUUGUAAGCCGGCAGGCACAGUCAUGUAACCCGGCAUACACAGUCAUGUAACCCGGCAUACACAGUGAUGUAACCCGGACAGACACAGUCAUAUAAGCCGGACAGUUAAGCCGGCAGAUGUUAAGCCAGACGGUAAGCCAGAUGGUAAGACAAAUCGUAAACCAGACCGUAAGUCAGAUUGUAAGCCAGAUUGUAAGAAGCCCAAGACGUUAAGAAGCCCAUGGAGAGAGGCCCGUGAUGAGAGGUCAGAAUAGUUUAAGUCUUAGUCCGAGAUGGACUCUACAUGUAACCCGCCCCUUCAUCUUAUAUAAGGAGGGGCAGGGCUCCCAAAAGAGGGACAAGCAACAAGAAACAAUCUCUAGGGCUAGACACAAAGAGCCAUCUUACCGGCGACUCUCUCAUGAGCAUAAUGAGACCUAGCCACAAACAGCAUGUAGGGCUAUUACCGGAUGAUGUUUCCCGGGGCCCGAAGCUGUCUAAAUCCUUGUCUUCGGUGUCGCGUCUCUCGUCCCGAUCAACCCCUCUCAAGCUACUACAUAGAUGCGUUGGCCUCACGACUAAGUCCUCACACUAGGACAUCUGCCGUGACAAUUCCACGACACACGUCGCCCCGGCCAAUGGCAGCGCACCACGUCAGCUCCGCCGCCGCCCACAACCAACCAGGAGGCGACACGUCACCCAUGCCUCGUCGGCGACCGCCGCCGCGCCUCCCCGAUCGCGUGCCCGCGCCUCCUCGCACGCCGCCUCGUUUGCCGAACCCCGUCGCCGACCGCCCCGCACCGGCGCACGAGCGCCGCCGUGUCCCGCGCCUCACCCAUCGCCGCCAGUUCAUCNNNNNNNNNNNNNNNNNNNNNNNNNNNNNNNNNNNNNNNNNNNNNNNNNNNNNNNNNNNNNNNNNNNNNNNNNNNNNNNNNNNNNNNNNNNNNNNNNNNNNNNNNNNNNNNNNNNNNNNNNNNNNNNNNNNNNNNNNNNNNNNNNNNNNNNNNNNNNNNNNNNNNNNNNNNNNNNNNNNNNNNNNNNNNNNNNNNNNNNNNNNCGCCGGCCCCAGAUCUGGACGCCGCCGUCCCGGAUCGGCUUCGCCCCCGAUCCAAACACGCGUCCCCCCCAAGAUCUCUCCAUCCCGCACGGUUCCGGCGCGAUUUCGCGGGGUGAGAUUUCUGCCAAGUCCCAACAUUCAUACAUCAUGUGUGCAUAUUCAUCAUGACAUAACUUAAUGUGCGCUGCUCCGUUUUAUGCGUGUGAUAUGUCAAAAUGUUCACCAUGAGAUGCUCUUCACCUCAUUCCAUUGUGCCAUGUUUUUUUGAGUCCAUCUUGAUGCCUUAAUCAUUGUUACAAAAGUGCUAUAUGAUGUUAACUGCUUACUGUUAUCAGAACUUGGUGAUUUGUCUUUUUCAUUGCAUUUUGUGUGUGCAUCCUAUGAGCAUGAGCUCUACACGUGUUUUGAACUACAUCAUGCCAUAUUUACAGGGGUGCUUGUCUUGAAUUUUAUUGAUAUAUGUGGUGUCUAGCACAAGCAUGCAAACUAGCCUCCUUGAUGUUGUUGAUUUCUGUGACUUGGUCAUUUCUGCUAAGUCUGUAGCUGUAACAUUGUGAUGCUAUGUAAACCUGCUGCUACCAUGAGUUCGAUGCAUAAUCUGGAGAUGUUAACUAAGGGUCUUUUGUUAUACAUGUUAUGGUGUAUCCAUCCAUGCCCUUGGUUGCAUUUAUAGCCUGCUGUAGCUUGCUUAAAACUUGCUCUCAAUUUGCUAAAUAAUGAUGCUGUCAGCCUGUUAAUAUGAAGUUCAGUUUUGACAUGUGUUUUGCUAGUGAUCCAUUCACCCUAUAAAUUUCUCUUGCCAUGCUUAGCUUCAUAAAUGUGCCUUAUUACUGUUUGUCACCUUGUCAUGCUAUGUAAUACUCUCUGGUGAGUGGUACAAGCUCACCAAAGUGCCUAGUUAUCGUUGUUGCAGCCAUGAACUGUUAUUUUCAUCGUCUGGAUCUGUUUAUGAAACUUGCUAUGUUUACAUGGGUGCCAUCAUAUCUUAUGUGCAUUUUUGGCUCAUGAUCAGUAAGAUACUUUUGUUCUAUAAAAUUAGUAGAUUCAUGCCAUCACUUUGUUUGCUACGAUAUGUUCCUGUAGCAUGUUGUUUGAUAGCUCUAAACUUAGCAACCUGAUGUUAUUUCUGCCAUGUCCAGUGAUUUCUGCUAAGUCUGUGAAACUGUUAUUAUUUGCAAUCUUGCCAUGUCCUUUUGAGCAUGCUCUAGUGAUUUCUAGAGAUAGCUCAGUGUUCAUGUUUUGUCGUGCUUUACCGGUACAUUUUGUCCAUGCCUUUUACUCUCAUGUUAGGAUGCUGUAGCAUACUGCUUUGAUGCCUGCAAAAUGCCUAGUUGCUGUUUUGGACAGAUUGUUAUUAUAUCUUGUUUGGAGUGUAUGUGUUGCACCGUUGCUCCGUUUUGAGCAUGCUCUAUAUGAAACUUGCUUAGUUUUGCAUGAGGUUCCAUAUUAUCAUGUUGCAUCCUUGUUUUGAGAGUGUUUGCUUGAUGUUUGAAUGCAUUUUGCAUCAAUGCUAUGUUUAACUUGGUUUGCUCAUAUCUUCUAGGCCGUAGGUCCGAACUAAAUGAACUUUAUAUGUAACUUGACUAGAAUUUCAUGUAGAUCAUCUUGGUGCAUCUUAACUUGCUGUUUAACAACUUGAACAUAAGGUUUAUUCCGAUCUGGACCAAUUUUGAAAUUUGCAUAUGGGGAUUUACCGGAAUUGUUAUAGGUUGUUUCCGGCCUCAUUUAAACUUUCUUUGAUGUGUUGCUCUUGUAUGCAUCAUCUCUUGCCAUGAGUAGCAUCACAUAGCCUUGUCAUGCAUCAUACUUGAUUGAGCAUCAUGCCUUGUUCAUGUGUGGUGUGUUUACCAUGUUGUGCUCCUUCUCGAUAGUUCCCGUAUCGUUGCGAUCGUGAGGAUUCGUUCGUCUACGCUUGGUUCGUCUUCGUGGCUUCAAUCUUCUUCAUGGACUCGUUCUUCUUCCUAGAGGGAGUUCAGGCAAGAUGACCGUAACCUUGGAUCUCAUUACUAUCAGUGCUAUGCUAGGUGCUUCGUUCUAUCGCUAUGCUGCGCUACCUAUCACUUGCUCUUCAAGCCUCCGAAAUUGCCAUGAAACCACGUCUAACCUUUGUCACCGUUCCUAGUAAACCAUUGUUUGGCUAUAUUACCGUUUUUGCUCAGCCCCUCUUAUAGCGUUGUUAGUUGCAGGUGAAGAUGAAGUUUUCUCCAUGUUGGAUUAUGCUUAUGUUGGGAUAUCACAAUAUCUCUUAUUUAAUUAAUGCAUCUAUAUACUUGGUAAAGGGUGGAAGGCUUGGCCUUAUGCCUGGUGUUUUGUUCCACUCUUGCCGCCCUAGUUUCUGUCAUACCGGUGUUAUGUUCCUUGAUUUUGCAUUCCUUACGCGGUUGGGUGUUAUGGGAACCCCUUGACAGUUCGCUUUGAAUAAAACUCCUCCAGCAAGGCCCAACCUUGGUUUUACCAUUUGCCUACCUAAACCUUUUUCCCUUUGGAGUCGCGCUCCCGAGGGUCAUCUUUAUUUUACGCCCCCGGGCCAGUGCUCCUCUAAGUGUUGGUCCAAACUAGAGCCCUUUGCAGCACCACCUCGGCGAAACUUGAGGCCUGGUUUUAGUUGUACGGAUUGCUCAUCCGAUGAGCCCUGAGAACGAGAUAUGUGCAGCUCCUAUCGGGAUUGGUCGGCACAUUCGGGAGGCUUUGCUGGUCUCGUUUUACCAUUGUCGAAAUGUCUUGUAAACCGGGAUUCCGAGACUGAUCGGGUCUUCCCGGGAGAAGAAUAUCCUUCGUUGACCAUGAGAGCUUAUAAUGGGCUAAGUUCGGACACCCCUGCAGGGUAUUAUCUUUCGAAAGCCGUGCCCGCGGUUAUGUGGCAGAUGGGAAUUUUUUAAUGUCCGGUUGUAGAGAACUUGACACUUGACUUAAAUAAAACGCAUCAACCGCAUGUGUAACCGUGAUGGUCUCUUUUCGGCGGAGUCCGGGAAGUGAACACGGUUUUGGGUUAUGUUUGAACGUAAGUAGUUUCAGGAUCACUUCUUGAUCAUUGCUAGUCUCACGACCGUUCCGUUGCUUCUCUUCUCGCUCUUAUUUGCGUAUCUUAGCCACCAUACAUUGCUUAGUCGCUGCUGCAACCUCACCACUUAUCCUUUCCAUACCCUUUAAGCUUUGCUAGUCUUGAUACCCAUGGUAAUGGGAUUGCUGAGUCCUCGUGGCUCAUAGAUUACUACAACAACAGUUGUAGGUACAGGCUUUGCAAUGAUCAUGACGCGAGAGCGAUGUUACUUGUUUUGGAGUUCUUCUUCUUCUUCUUCUUCGAUCAGGGGAUAGGUUCCAGGUCGGCAGCCUGCGCUAGCAGGGUGGAUGUCGUUUGAGUUUCUAUUUGUGUUUCAUCCAUAGUCGGAUGUUGAUCUUAUGUAUGAUGUAUUGGUGUAUUCUUGGGGUGUUUGUGCCUUUUGUAUGUUUCCCCAUCUAUUAUGUAAUGUUGAUGUAAUGAUAUCCACCUUGCAAAAAGCGUUUCAAUAUGCGGGUCUAUCCUUGGUGGGACAUUCGAGUUCCUCUCGGAUAGGGUCGCAUAUUGGGCGUGACAAGUUGGUAUCAGAGCCUCGACCGACCUUAGGAGCCCCCCUUGAUUGAUCGUAUAGUUUGGCCGUUGUUGAGUCUAGAAGAAAACUGUUUUUGGGAGUCUAGUUAUAUCGCAGAGUAGGAAUCCUUUUUACUCCUCAGCCCCUUCGUCGCUCUGGUGAGGAAUCUUGACGUUGGUGUUUCGACUUACUUCUCUUCCCCUUCAAUUUUUCUUUAGGAUCACGCGGAUAGUUUUCGUUCGUUGUCCAUCCUCUUUUCAAUCCGGCGCAUUUUUUCUCCGAGUGGUUUCGCUCCUCGCCAUCUUUUGCAAGAUCAGUCCUUAGUGCUUUCUCAACCAACGUUGUUUCCCCAUCCGAAGUUAUCCUUGUUUUUCCCACCCGCCCACCCUUCUUCUUCUCGGAGCCGGAGUCCGUAAUCGAGUAUCCAUCCUACUCGUGUGAAGCCUUUGCAUUCUUUCCUCAAGUAUUUAAACUCUACAAGCUAUUCAUCGGUUCUCCCUUUCAAGUUGCCUUUGUUUCCCGCCCUCCCACCCUCUUUUUCCCGGAGCUUGACUCUCUUUCGAGCAUCACUUUCAUUCGUGCGGAGUAUCUUCAGUCUUUCCUCAGUUGUCUCAACCGGUGAAUUCUCGCCUAGUUAAUCAAUGUUUGUCUCAUUUCCUUUUCCGAUGGAUUCAAUUCCAAUUUUCGGUAGUGAUUAUAUUCUUUCCUCGGCUCAAAUGUUUCCCGUUGCUCGUUCCCCUCUCGUCAUUUAAUCGUUCCGGAGUGAUGAAGACAUCUCAGGAGAUUUGUCUGUGUUCGAAUUAAUCUGAGGUUAUCACCUCAUUCAAAUAUUUCAAUUGUUCCGGUGCAUCAUCUAUCUCUGCAACAAUCUUUUUCAACGGUGUUUCUUUUUAGUGGGCCCUAACCCACAGGUCUUUUCCCAGGAUCUUACCUGACUCUUCUAAGUUUCCCGGAGUUAUUCUCAAAUCCUUUUCGAAGUUUGACGUAAGUAGGAAUUUCAUCAGUCAGAUGCUUCUCUAAGAUCGCUUUCAAAUUCUUUCAUGAUCGGGUCAACCUUUUCCUCCUUUCAUUCUCCCGGAGUAUCUCAUCAAUUUUGGUGUUGUUUCUCGUCGUCAUUCUCAACAUUUGAGGACCGAAGAAGAGUUUCGUUUAAAUCUUGCCCAUUCUCUCGGAGAUUCGUGGUGCUAGCUUCAUGUUAUCCUCUCAAAUUAUUCUAGUCGUGCAAUUCUUUUCAUCCAUCCAGAGUAUUUCAGGAGCUGUUUUCUCUCUCGAUCAUCUAAAGGCCAUCUUUUCAGAAGAUUUCUUCGUCCUAAGUUUUCAGAUUCGUUCUCCAAUUAUUCUAUAUUCGUGCCCCUUCGUUCGUUUACAUAUUCUUCCGGUGCUUCAUUCAAGUAUGCUUCAAUCAGCUCGCGAUCUCUUCUUUCAAUUGCAUCCUGAUUCCCUCAAGUAUAUUCGUGCUUUUCCUAUUUUUCCCGGUGAGUCAUUCUCCUUCGUCAUUCAAUUUUGAAUUCUAACGGUGGUUCGUUCAAGACCCCUUGUCAUUUGUAAUCAUAUCAAUUAAUUCGUUCUUUCCAAAUCCUACCGGUGGUUCAUGAAGACUUUCUCAAGUUUUGCGCUAUAUCCCCCCUUAAUCUUUUCCAACGCGAAUAAGUGGUAUGCAAAUCCAUGGUAUCUCAUCAAUUUAAUUGAUGGAGGAUAGGCAUAACAUAAUUCUUAUUCUUCCCCAUCAAGUUAUCUAAUCCCUCCCUUCAGAGUUGUUCAUGUUGAAUAUACUCUAAUCCCAAGUGAUUCCAGCUUUCUUUCCGGAGUUCCAAGCUUCCUCGGCAAUCUCGUCGGAACCUCCAUCGGAAUCAUCGCAAGGCUCAAAUCUUAUUCUAUUCAUCCUUCAAUUCUAUCCCAUAAUCCUUUUUGCAACCGGAGUGGUUUCGAAUUCAUUCGUAUUCCUUGAGCUUUGAUUCCCAUCGUAAUCGUCGUUCCUCUUUUCUAUUCGGUUGCCCUCGACCUUGUUCUUUCUCUCUUUUUUGCUCUUAUUUCACCUCAUCUUCUUUCCCUUCCAUCUCGGUCCUAAGAUCUCGGGACGAGAUCUCUUGUUAGUGGAGGAGUGUUGUAACGCCCCGGCUUCGAUGCGCCAGGUGUCUUCCAGUUUUUCGCCGUCUUUGUCAUGUCAUUUGAUUGCAUGUUUCAUUUUGCCAUGUCAUCAUCUGCAUUUCAUCUGCAUGCUUUUCAAAACUUGCAUCUGCCCUUUUUCCCCGUUGUCCGUUUCGUGAUCCGACACACUCGCACGUGCCCGUCGCCCCUCUCAGACCUUGGUUCGCGAGCGGGAGAAAAACGUUCUCGGAAUGGGCCGAGAUUUGCCGAGUGGCCUUGGUAUAUCACCGGCAGACCGCCCGUCAAAUUUCGUUCCAUUUGGAGGUCGUUUGAUUCCCCAACGGUUAACCGCAUAGCCCGAAAGCCCCUUUUGUCUUGCAGCCCAACACCCCUCCAAAUCAGCCCACUAACCCAGAAAAACCCCUCCAUGCUCUCGGUCGUUCGAUCACGAUGGUGUGGGCGAAAACCGCACCUCAUUUGGACUCUCCUAGCUCCCUCUACCUAUAAAUAUGUGACUUCCCCCGAAAAUCCCAAAUGAAACCCUAGCCUUCCUCUUCCUCGCGCCGCCGGACUUGUCCACCGCCGCCAGCCACAUCGCUCCGGCCAAUGGCAGCGCGCCAUGUCAGCUCCGCCGCCACCCACAGCCAACCAGGAGGCGACACGUCGCCCCUGCCUCGUCCCACUCCGUCGCGGCCCGCCAGGCCCAUGGGGAGCCCGCCCCAGGCCCGAUCUCGCGCCCGCUCGCCCGUGCCACUGCCGGAGAGCGCGGCCCGCUGCCUCAUCGACGACCGCCGCCGCGCCUCCUCGCCCGCUACCUCNNNNNNNNNNNNNNNNNNNNNNNNNNNNNNNNNNNNNNNNNNNNNNNNNNNNNNNNNNNNNNNNNNNNNNNNNNNNNNNNNNNNNNNNNNNNNNNNNNNNNNNNNNNNNNNNNNNNNNNNNNNNNNNNNNNNNNNNNNNNNNNNNNNNNNNNNNNNNNNNNNNNNNNNNNNNNNNNNNNNNNNNNNNNNNNNNNNNNNNNNNNNNNNNNCCGGCCCCAGAUCUGGACGCCGCUGUCCCGGAUCGGCUUCACCCCCGAUCCAAACGCGCCUCCCCGCCCGGAUCUCUCCAUCCCGCACGGUUCCGUCCCAAUUUCGCGGGGUGAGAUUUCUUCCAAGUCCCAGCGUUCAUACAUCAUGUGUGCAUAUUCAUCAUGCCAUAACUUCAUGUGCGCUGCUCCGUUUCGUGCGUGUAAUAUGCCAAAAUGUUCACCAUGAGAUGCUCUUCGCCUCAUUCCAUUGUGCCAUAUUUGUUUGAGUCCAUCUUGAUGCCUUAAUCAUCGUUGCAAUAGUGCUAUAUGAUGUUAACUGCUUACUGUUAUCAGAACUUGGUGAUUUGUCUUUUUCAUUGCAUUUUGUGUGUGCAUCCUAUGAGCAUGAGCUCUACACAUGUUUUUAACUACAUCAUGCCAUAUUUGCAGGGGUGCUUGUCUUGAAUUUUUUGGAUAUAUGUGGUGUCUAGCACAAGCAUGCAAAGUAGCCUCCAUGAUGUUGCCGAUUUCUGUGACUUCUCAUUUCUGCUAAGUCUGUAGCUGUAACAUUGUGAUGCUAUGUAAACCUGCUGCUACCAUGAGUUCUAUGCAUAAUCUGGAGAUGUUCACUAAAGGUGUUUUGUUAUACAUGUUAUCAUGUAUACAUCCAUGCCCUUGGUUGCAUUUAUAGCCUGCAGUAACUUUUUGCGAACUUGCUCUCAAUUUGCUAAAUAAUGUUGCUGUCAGCCUGUUAACAUGAAGAUCAGUUUUGACAUGUGCUUUUCUAGUGAUCCAUUCACCCUAUAAAUUUUCUUUUGCCAGGCUUAGCUUCAUAAAUGUGCCUUCUUACUUUUUGUCACCUUGUCAUGGCAUGUCAUGCUCUGUGGUGAGUGGUACAAGCUCACCAACAUGCCUACUUAUCAUUGUUUCUGCCAUGAACUGUUAUUUUCACCGUCUGAAUCUGUUUAUGAAACUUGCUAUGUUUACAUGAGUGCCAUCAUAUCUUCUGUGCCUUUUUGGCUCGUGAUCAGUAAGGGACUUUUGUUCUAUGUAAUUAGUAGAUUCAUGUCAUGCGUUUGUUUGCUAUGAUCUGUGCCUGUAGCAUAUUGUUUGAUAGCUCUAAACUUAGCAACCUGAUGUUAUUUCUGCCAUGUCCAGUGAUUUCUGCUAUCUGUGAAACUCUUAUUAUUUGCAAUGUUGUCAUGUCCUUUUGAGCAUGCUCUAUUGAUUUCUAGAGAUAGCUCAGUGUUCAUGUUUUGUCAUGCUUUACCUGUACAUCAUGUCCAUGCCUUUUUCUCUCAUGUUAGGAUGCUGUAGCAUAUUGUUUUGAUGCGUACAAAAUGUCUAUUUGCUGUUUUGGACAGAUUGUUGUUAUAUCUUGUUUGGAGUGUAUGUGUUGCACCGUUGCUCUGUUUUGAGCAUGCUCUAUAUGAAAUUUGCUUAGUUUUGCAUGAGGUUCCAUAUUAUUUUGUUGCAUCCUUGUUUUGAGAGUGUUUGCCUGAUGCUUGAAUGCAUUUUGCAUCAAUGUUAUGUUUAACUUGGUUUGCUCAUAUCUUCUAGGCCGUGGCUCCGAACUAAAUGAACUUUAUAUGUAACUUGACUAGAAUUUCGUGUAGAUCAUUUUGGUGCAUCUUAACUUGCUGUUUAACAACUUGAACAUAAGGUUCAUUCCGAUCUGGACCAAUUUUGAAAUUUGCAUAUGGGGAUUUACCGGAAUUGUUAUAGGUUGUUUCCGGCCUCAUUUAAACUUGCUUUGAUGUGUUGCUCUUGUAUGCAUCAUCUCUUGCCAUGAGUAGCAUCACAUAGCCUUGUCAUGCAUCAUACUUGAUUGAGCAUCAUGCCUUGUUCAUGUGUGGUGUGUUUACCAUGUUGUGCUCCUUCUCGAUAGUUCCCGUUUCGUUGCGAUCGUGAGGAUUCGUUCGUCUACGCUUGGUUCGUCUUCGAGGCUUCAUCUUCUUCAUGCACUCGUUCUUCUUCCUAGCGGGAGUUCAGGCAAGAUGACCGUCACCUUGGAUGUCAUUACUACCAUUGCUAUGCUAGUUGCUUUGUUCUAUCGCUAUGCUGCGCUACCUAUCACUUGCUCUUCAAGCCUCCCAAAUUGCCAUGAAACCACGUCUAACCUUUGUCACCCUUCCUAGCAAACCAUUGUUUGGCUAUGUUACCUCUUUUUGCUCAGCCCCUCUUAUAGCGUUGUUAGUUGCAGGUGAAGAUGAAGUUUGCUCCAUGUUGGAUUAUGCUUAUGUUGGGAUAUCACAAUAUCUCUUAUUUAAUUAAUGCAUCUAUAUACUUGGUAAAGGGUGAAAGGCUUGGCCUUAUGCCUGGUGUUUUGUUCCACUCUUGCCGCCCUAGUUUCCGUCAUACCGGUGUUAUGUUCCUUGAUUUUGCAUUCCUUACGCGGUUGGGUGUUAUGGGAACCCCUUGACAGUUCGCUUUGAAUAAAACUCCUCCAGCAAGGCCCAACCUUGGUUUUAUCAUUUGCCUACCUAAGCCUUUUUCCCUUGGGAGUCGCGCUCCCGAGGGUCAUCUUUAUUUUACGCCCCCGGGCCAGUGCUCCUCUGAGUGUUGGUCCAAACUAGAGCCCUUUGCAGCGCCACCUCGGGGAAACUUGAGGCCCGGUUUUAGUUGUACGGAUUGCUCAUCCGAUGUGCCCUGAGAACGAGAUAUGUGCAGCUCCUAUCGGGAUUUGUCGGCACAUUCGGGCGGCUUUGCUGGUCUUGUUUUACCAUUGUCGAAAUGUCUUGUAAACCGGGAUUCCGAGACUGAUCGGGUCUUCCCGGGAGAAGAAUAUCCUUCGUUGACCAUGAGAGCUUAUAAGGGCUAAGUUCGGACACCCCUGCAGGGUAUUAUCUUUCGAAAGCCGUGCCCGCGGUUAUGUGGCAGAUGGGAAUUUUUUAAUGUCCGGUUGUAGAGAACUUGACACUUGACUUCAAUAAAACGCAUCAACCGCGUGUGUAACCGUGAUGGUCUCUUUUCGGCGGAGUCCGGGAAGUGAACACGGUUUUGGGUUAUGUUUGAACGUACGUAGUUUCAGGAUCACUUCUUGAUCAUUGCUAGUCUCACGACCGUUCCGUUGCUUCUCUUCUCGCUCUUAUUUGCGUAUGUUAGCCACCAUACAUUGCUUAGUCGCUGCUGCAACCUCACCACUUAUCCUUUCCAUACCCUUUAAGCUUUGCUAGUCUUGAUACCCAUGGUAAUGGGAUUGCUGAGUCCUCGUGGCUCACAGAUUACUACAACAACAGUUGUAGGUACAGGUUUUGCAAUGAUCAUGACGUGAGAGUGAUGUUACUUGUUUUGGAGUUCUUCUUCUGCUUCUUCUUCGAUCGGGGGAUAGGUUCCAGGUCGGCAGCCUGGGCUAGCAGGGUGGAUGUCGUUUGAGUUUCUGUUUGUGUUUCAUCCGUAGUCGGAUGUUGAUCUUAUGUAUGAUGUAUUUGUGUAUUCUUGGGGCGUUUGUGCCUUUUGUAUGUUUCCCCAUCUAUUAUGUAAUGUUGAUGUAAUGAUAUCCACCUUGCAAAAAGCGUUUCAAUAUGCGGGUCUAUCCUUGGUGGGACCUUCGAGUUCCUCUCGGAUAGGGUCGCAUAUUGGGUGUGACAAGUUGGUAUCAGAGCCUCGACCGACCUUAGGAGCCCCCCUUGAUUGAUCGUAUAGUUUGGCCGUUGUAGAGUCUAGAAGAAAACUGUUUUUUGGAGUCUAGUUAUAUCGGAGAGUAGGAAUCCUUUUUACUCCUCAGCCCCUUCGUCGCUCUGGUGAGGAAUCUUGACGUUGGUGUUUCGACUUACUUCUCUUCCCCUUCAAUUUUUCUUUAGGAUCACGCGGAUAGUUUUCGUUCGUUGUCCAUCCUCUUUUCAAUCCGGCGCAUUUUUUCUCCGAGUGGUUUCGCUCCUCGCCAUCUUUUGCAAGAUCAGUCCUUAGUGCUUUCUCAACCAACGUUGUUUCCCCAUCCGAAGUUAUCCUUGUUUUUCCCACCCGCCCACCCUUCUUCUUCUCGGAGCCGGAGUCCGUAAUCGAGUAUCCAUCCUACUCGUGUGAAGCCUUUGCAUUCUUUCCUCAAGUAUUUAAACUCUACAAGCUAUUCAUCGGUUCUCCCUUUCAAGUUGCCUUUGUUUCCCGCCCUCCCACCCUCUUUUUCCCGGAGCUUGACUCUCUUUCGAGCAUCACUUUCAUUCGUGCGGAGUAUCUUCAGUCUUUCCUCAGUUGUCUCAACCGGUGAAUUCUCGCCUAGUUAAUCAAUGUUCGUCUCAUUUCCUUUUCCGAUGGAUUCAAUUCCAAUUUUCGGUAGUGAUUAUAUUCUUUCCUCGGCUCAAAUGUUUCCCGUUGCUCGUUCCCCUCUCGUCAUUUAAUCGUUCCGGAGUGAUGAAGACAUCUCAGGAGAUUCGUCUGUGUUUGAAUUAAUCCGAGGUUAUCACCUCAUUCAAAUAUUUCAAUUGUUUCGGUGCAUCAUCUAUCUCUGCAACAAUCUUUUUCAACGGUGUUUCUUUUUAGUGGGCCCUAACCCACAGGUCUUUUCCCAGGAUCUUACCUGACUCUUCUAAGUUUCCCGGAGUUAUUCUCAAAUCCUUUUCAAAGUUUGACGUAAGUAGGAAUUUCAUCAGUCAGAUGCUUCUCCAAGAUCGCUUUCAAAUUCUUUCAUGAUCGGGUCAACCUUUCCUCUUUUCAUUCUCCCGGAGUAUCUCAUCAAUUUUGGUGUUGUUUCUCGUCGUCAUUCUCAACAUUUGAGGUCCGAAGAAGAGUUUCUUUUAAAUCUUUCCUGUUCUCUCGGAGAUUCGUGGUGCUAGCUUCAUGUUAUCCUCUCAAAUUGUUUCUAGUCGUGCAAUUUCUUUUCAUCCAUCCGGAGUAUUUCAGGAGCUGUUUUCUCUCUCGAUCAUCUGAGGGCCAUCUUUUCAGAAGAUUUCUUCGUCCUAAGUUUUCAGAUUCGUUCUCCAAUUAUUCUAUAUUCGUGCCCCUUCGUUCGUUUACAUAUUCUUCCGGUGCUUCGUUCAAGUAUGCUUCAACUAGCGCGCGAUCUCUUCUUUCAAUUGCAUCUUGAUUCCCUCAAGUAUAUUCGUGCUUUUCCUAUUUUCCCGGUGAGUCAUUCUCCUACGUCAUUCAAUUUUGAAUUCUAACGGUGGUUCGUUCAAGACCCCUUGUCAUUUGUAAUCAUAUCAAUUAAUUCGUUCUUUCCAAAUCCUACCGGUGGUUCAUGAAGACUUUCUCAAGUUUCACGCUAUAUCCCCCCUUAAUCUUUCCAACGAGAAUAAGUAGUAUGCAAAUCCAUUGCUUCUCAUCAAUUUAAUUGGUGGAGGAUAAGCAUAACGUAAUCCUUAUUCUUCUUUCUUCAAGUGGUUUUAUCUCUUCUUUUCGGAGAUUUUUCAUCUUAUCACAUUCUCGGUUCAAAGUGUUUUCAUCUUUUCUUUUCCGGAGUUCGAAGCUUCUCGCCGAUUUCGUCGCGAACCUCCAUCCAAAUGAUCGCAAGGAUUUCAUCUUAUCCCUUUCAACCUUCAAUUUUAUCUCGUCAUUCUUUUGUUACCGGAGUUCAUCAUGGCGGCUCGUCAUGAUUUAAUUCAUUCUUCAAGUGUUCAUCAAGAUUCUUGUAGGCAUAGCUCAAGUAUCUUCUUCUUGCUUCUCAAAGUGCAAUUAAUUCUCCAUAUUCUUCUGAAGUGGAGUUUUUCAUUUCCUCGUUCUUCUCAGCUUUUCAAUCUUUUCCGCUUGUGGUAGGUUACCACCUCAUAAUUUUGAGAUGUUAUCCAUAAGUCCACAACAAUCUUAUUCUUUUGUUGUUGAUUUUCCAACAACUCCAUUCAAUGUUUCCUUCUAAGGAUGCUCUCUAUUUCAUUCAUGGUAGAAGUUGUCAUCUUCUUCCCCGUUCUUCUCAUUCCACUCAUUCAAGUCUUCCGGAGGUUUUGUGUUGUUCCUCAAGUCAAGUAUCGUUCCAUUUCUCAAGUUCAUGUUCUAUUCUUUCCUUAUUCAGCCGGAGUGCUGGAUAAAUUCCUUCAUUAUUAUUCCUUUUCUAUCUUGUCCUAACCGGAGUGGUUUCAAAUUCAGCCUUAUUCCUUGAGCUUUUGCUUCUUGUCUCAUUCAACAUUCCUCUUUCCUACUCGAGUGUUCUUAACUUUGUUCAUCCUCACUGUUUUGUUCUUAUUUCACCUCAUCCCUAUUUCCUUCCGUCUCGGUCCUAAGAUCUCGGGACGAGAUCUCUUGUUAGUGGAGGAGUGUUGUAACGCUCCGGAUCCGAUGCGCCAGGUGCAAUCCAUUUAUUCGCCGUCGUUGCCAUUUCAUUUGCUUGCGUGUUGCAUCUUGCCAUGUCAUCAUCUGCAUUUCAGCUGCAUGUUUUUCAAACCUUGCAUCCGGUCCUUUUCCGCGUUGUCCGUUUCGCGAUCCGACACUCCCACAAGCGCCCGUCGCCCCUCUCAGACCUUGUUUCGUGAGCGGGAUAAAAACCGUUCUCGGAAUGGGCCGAGAUUUGGCAAGUGGCCUUGGUAUAUGACCGGCAGACCGCCCGUCAAAUUUCGUUCCAUUUGGAGGUCGUUUGAUGUCCCAAUGGUUAACCGCGUAGCCCGAAAGCCCAUUUUGUCUUGCAGCCCAACACCCCUCCAAAUCAGCCCACUAACCCAGCAAAAACCCCUCCAUGCUCUCGGUCAUUCGAUCACGAUCGUGUGGGCGAAAACCGCACCUCAUUUGGACUCUCCUAGCUCCCUCUACCUAUAAAUAUGUGACUUCCCCCGAAAAUCCCGGAUGAAACCCUAGCCUUCGUCUUCCUCGCGCCGCCGGACACAUCCGCCCGCCGCCGGACUUGUCCACCGCCGCCAGCCACGUCGCCCGGCCAAUGGCAGCACGCCACGUCAGCUCCGCCGCCGCCCACAGCCAACCAGGAGGCGACACGUCGCCCCUGCCUCAUUCCACUCCGCCGCGGCCCGCCAGGCCCACGGGGAGCCCGCCCUGGGCCCGAUCCCACGCGCGCUCGCCCGCGCCACUGCCGAAGACCGCCGCCCNNNNNNNNNNNNNNNNNNNNNNNNNNNNNNNNNNNNNNNNNNNNNNNNNNNNNNNNNNNNNNNNNNNNNNNNNNNNNNNNNNNNNNNNNNNNNNNNNNNNNNNNNNNNNNNNNNNNNNNNNNNNNNNNNNNNNNNNNNNNNNNNNNNNNNNNNNNNNNNNNNNNNNNNNNNNNNNNNNNNNNNNNNNNNNNNNNNNNNNNNNNNNNNNNNNNNNNNNNNNNNNNNNNNNNNNNNNNNNNNNNNNNNNNNNNNNNNNNNNNNNNNNNNNNNNNNNNNNNNNNNNNNNNNNNNNNNNNNNNNNNNNNNNNNNNNNNNNNNNNNNNNNNNNNNNNNNNNNNNNNNNNNNNNNNNNNNNNNNNGCGCUGCCCGGAUCCGGCUGCCCUGCGCCGCCCCGCCGUCAUUCGGACCUCGCCGCCCCCCUCCCCCGCUCGCCGGAGCCCCGGCGCCGGCCACCUCGUCGCCGGCCCCAGAUCUGGACGCCGCCGUCCCGGAUCGGCUUCGCCCCCGAUCCAAACGUGCGUCCCCGCCCGAAUCACUCCAUCCCGCACGGUUCCGUCCCGAUUUCGCGUGGUGAGAUUUCUUCCAAGUCCCAGCAUUCAUACAUCAUGUGUGUAUAUUCAUCAUGUCGUAACUACAUGUGUGCUGCUACGUUUUGUGCGUAUAAUAUGUCAAAAUGUUCAUCAUGAGAUGCAAUUCAUUUCAUUCCAUUGUGCCAUGUUUGUUUGUGUCCAUGUUGAUGCCUUAAUCAUCGUUUCAAAAGUGUUAUAUGAUGUUAACUGCUGUCUGUUAUCAGAACUUGGUGAUUUGUCUUUUUCAUUGCAUUUUGUGUGUGCAUCCUAUGAGCAUGAGCUCUACAUGUGUUUAUAACUACAUCAUGCCAUAUUUACAGCGGUGCUUGUCUUGAAUUUUUGUGAUAUAUGUGGUGUCUAGCACAAGCAUGCAAAGUAGCCUCCAUGAUGUUGCUGAUUUCUGUGACUUAGUCAUUUCUGAUAAAUCUGUAGCUGUAACAUUGUGAUGCUAUGUAAACCUGCUGCUACCAUGAGUUCUGUGUAUAAUCUGGAGAUGUUCACUAAGGAUGUUGUGGUAUACAUGUUAUGCUAUAUCCAUCCAUGCCCUUGGUUGCAUAUAUAUCCUGUUGUAGCUUGUUGCAAACUUGCUCUCAAAUUGCUAAAUAAUGUUACUGUCAGCCUGUUAACAUGAAGUUCAGUUUUGACAUGUGUUUUGCUAGUGAUCCGUGAACCCUAUAAACUUGCUCUUGCCAUGCUUAGCUUCACAAAUGUGCCUUCUUACUGUUGGUCAUCUUUUCAUGCCAUGUAAUGCUUUGUGGUGAGUGGUACAAGCUCUUACUGUGCCUUCUUAUCGUUGUUUCUGCCAUGAACUGUUAUUUUCUGCUGUCUGAAUUUGUUUAUGAAACUUGCUAUGUUUAUAUGAGUGCCAUCAUAUCUUCUGUGCCUUUUUGGCUCGUGAUCAGUAACGGACUUUUCUUCUAUGAAAUUAGUAGCUUCAUGCCAUGCCUUUCUUUGCUAUGAUCUGUUCCUUUAGCAUGUUGUUUGAUAGCUCUAAACUUAGCAACCUGAUGUUAUUUCUGCCAUGUCCAGUGAUUUCUGCCAAGUCUGUGAAACUGUUAUUACUUGCAAUCUUGACAUGUCCUUUUGAGCAUGCUCUAAUGAUUUCUAGAGAUAGCUCAGUGUUCAUGUUUUGUCAUGCUUUACCUGUACAGCAUGUCCAUGCCUUUUUCUCUCAUGAUAGGAUGCUGUAGCAUAUUGCUUUGAUGCGUGCAAAAUGCCUAGUUGCUGUUUUGGACAGAUUAUUGUUAUAUCUUGUUUGGAGUGUGUGUUGCACCGUUGCUCCGUUUUGAGCAUGCUCUAUAUGAAACUUUCUUAGAAUUGCAUGUAGUUUCAUCUUAUCAUGUUGCAUCCUUAUCUUGAGUGUGUUUUCUUGAUGUUUGAAUGCAUUUUGCAUCAAUGCCAUGUUUGACUUGUUUUGCUCAUAUCUUCUAGGCCGUAGCUCCGAACUAAAUGAACUUUGUAUGUAACUUGACUAGAAUUUCGUGUAGAUCAUCUUGGUGCAUCUUAACUUGCUGUUUAAUAACUUGAACAUAAGGUUGAUUUAGAUCUGGACCAAUUUCGAAACUUGCAUUUAAGGACUUACCGGAUUUGUUAUAUGUUAGUUCCGCCUCAUUUAAACUUGCUUUGAUGUGUUGUCCUUGUAUGCAUCAUCUCUUGCCAUGAGUAGCUUCAUGUAGCCUUGUCAUGCAUCAUACUUGGUUGAGCAUCAUGUCUUGUUUAUGUGUUGAGUGUUUACCGUGUUGUUUGCUUUUUUCCGGGUGUGCUCCUUCUCGUUAGUUCCUGUUUCACUGCGAUCGUGAGGAUUUGUUCGUCUUCGUGGCUUCAUCUUCUUCAUGGAGUCGUUCUUCUUCCUAGCGGGAUUUCAGGCAAGAUGACCGUCACCUUGGAUCUCACUACUAUCAUUGCUAUGCUAGUUGCUUUGUUCUAUCGCUAUGUUGCGCUAUCAGUUGCUCUUCAAGCCUCCCAAAUUGCCAUGUCAGCCCCUAAGCUUUUCACCCUUCCUAGCAAACCGUUUUUUGGCUAUGUUACCGCUUUUGCUCAGCCCCUCUUAUUGCGUUGCUAGUUGCAGGUGAAGAUGAAGUUGUUCCAUGUUGGAACAUGGAUAUCAUGAACUUUGUUGGGAUAUCACAAUAUUCUCUUAUUGAAUUAAUGCAUCUAUAUACUUGGCAAAGGGUGGAAGGCUCGGCCUUAUGCCUGGUAUUUUGUUCCACUCUUGCCGCCCUAGUUUCUGUCAUGCCGAUGUUAUGUUCCUUGAUUUUGCGUUCCUUACGCGGUUGGGUGUUAUGGGGACCCCUUGACAGUUCACCUUGAAUAAAACUCCUCCAGCAAGGCCCACCCUUGGUUUUACCAUUUGCCUACCUAAGCCUUUUUCCCUUGGGAGUCGCGCUCCCGAGGGUCNNNNNNNNNNNNNNNNNNNNNNNNNNNNNNNNNNNNNNNNNNNNNNNNNNNNNNNNNNNNNNNNNNNNNNNNNNNNNNNNNNNNNNNNNNNNNNNNNNNNNNNNNNNNNNNNNNNNNNNNNNNNNNNNNNNNNNNNNNNNNNNNNNNNNNNNNNNNNNNNNNNNNNNNNNNNNNNNNNNNNNNNNNNNNNNNNNNNNNNNNNNNNNNNNNNNNNNNNNNNNNNNNNNNNNNNNNNNNNNNNNNNNNNNNNNNNNNNNNNNNNNNNNNNNNNNNNNNNNNNNNNNNNNNNNNNNNNNNNNNNNNNNNNNNNNNNNNNNNNNNNNNNNNNNNNNNNNNNNNNNNNNNNNNNNNNNNNNNNNNNNNNNNNNNNNNNNNNNGCCACCUCGGGGAAACUUGAGGCCUGGUUUUAGUUGUACGGAUUGCUCAUCCGGUGUGCCCUGAGAACGAGAUAUGUGCAGCUCCUAUCGGGAUUUGUCGGCACAUGUGGGCGGCUUUGCUGGUCUUGUUUUACCAUUGUUGAAAUGUCUUGUAAACCGGGAUUCCGAGACUGAUCGGGUCUUCCCGGGAGAAGGAAUAUCCUUCGUUGACCGUGAGAGCUUAUAAUGGGCUAAGUUGGGACACCCCUGUAGGGUAUAAACUUUCGAGAGUCGUGCCCGCGGUUAUGUGACAGAUGGGAAUUUGUUAAUGUCCGGUUGUAGAGAACUUGACACUUGACUUAAAUAAAACGCAUCAACCGCAUGUGUAACCAUGAUGGUCUCUUUUCGGCGGAGUCCGGUAAGUGAACACAGUUUUUGGGUUAUGUUUGACAUAAGUAGGAGUUCAAGAUCACUUCUUGAUCGUUGCUAGUUUCACGACCGUUCCGUUGCUUCUCUUCUCGCUCUUAUUUGCGAAUGUUAGCCACCAUACAUGCUUAGUCGCUGCUCCAACCUCACCACCUAUCCUUUCCUUACCCAUUAAGCUUUGCUAGUCUUGAUACCCAUGGUAAUGGGAUUGCUGAGUCCUCGUGGCUCACAGAUUACUACAACAACAGUUGCAGGUACAGGUAUUGCGAUGAUCAUGACGCGAGAGCGAUGUUACUUGUUUUGGAGUUCUUCUUCUGCUUCUCUUCGAUCUGGGGAUAGGUUCCAGGUCGGCAGCCUGGGCUAGCAAGGUGGAUGUCGUUUGAGCUUCUGUUUGUGUUCCAUCCAUAGUCGGAUGUUGCUCUUAUGUAUGAUGUUGUUGUAUUCAUGUGGCAUUGUAUGCCUCUUCUAUGUAUCCCCAACUAUUACGUAAUGUUGAUGUAAUGAUAUCCACCUUACAAAAGUGUGUCAAUAUGCGGUUCUAUCCUUGGUGGGACCUUCAAGUCUCUUUAGGAUAGUAUCGCAUAAUGGGCAUGACAAGUUGGUCGGGUCGCUACAAGAUGGUAUCAGAGCACACGUUGAAUGUAGGACACGACCACUAAGAAAAGCCAUAGGUCACUCUUCUCUACUCAUUUCUUACUCCUCUCCAUUUUCUACUUUUUAGGAUGGCAGACUCGAGGAAUAAGUUUGCACAACCGGAUGAAGACAUACCUUUUGGACGACACUUGAAGGAAGUCACUAGGUACCUGAACAUCGGAAUACCAAGCUUCAUCGGGACCUACACCGCCACUAUUCCAGAAGAGGAUCGAUGGAUGAUUCGAGUUCAAGUUCCAGGAAGGACAUGUAUGCCAGUUACAGAGCCCAUAGAGUUUUCCUUUGAUGCACCCACCUGGAGCCUAGGCAAGAGCAUGGCAGCCCACAUUGCUAUGGGACGUAUUGGAGAAGUCUACAAAAAGGAGCUGAAGGACACUAUCUACCAGAUAUGUGGGCGCCGAGAUGAGAAAUGGGAGAUAGUCAGCGCCAGGAGAGACAGGUCCAUUGCAACAUUCAUCCAGGAGCUAAACCAGCACAUUAGACGCCAGGAGAACCAGAUGUGCACAAGCAUGAUAGAUUUGAAGAAGGCGAUGACAAGGAUCACCGAGCUAGAAGAGGAACUUAAGUCCACGCACGACGGAUAUGAGGAGGAAAUUGCAAUACUAUUGGAGAAGAAUGACGACCUGAUAAAGAAGAUCGGCGUGUUCAUGGGAGAUCCCCCACCAGGAAGAGAUGAAGAUGAACCCUAGGAGAUUCGUUUUGAAGACUACAUCAUCAUCGACGACACCGACUCUGACUCCGAUGAUAGUGAUGAUGAUUAUGAAGACGAAGCUGGAGCGGAUAUCAUGGAGUCUUCCACCGAUCAAAAUUUCUAGAUGACCACCAUAUGACUAGAAGUAUUCCCCCUGUAUAUAGUAGUAGUCUGAGCAUUUUCAACGAUAGUUCUAGACCGAUUGUAUGCCCUUGCUUGAUUGAUUGAGUGAUAUGAUUGUGUUUGUCUCAUGUGCAUAUGGUUAGUGCCUUCUCACUAGACCUCAUUUCUAUUCUAAUCUCUCCCCUCUAAACCCAUCAGAUGCCUCCGAGACGUGACACCGGAUUUUUCUUCCCAUCGGAGAUCUCCCAAUUGAUCCAGCAGCAGAAUGCCUUGAUGCAGAUAUUAGUCCAGAACCAAGGCAACAACAACAACAACAACAACAACAACAACAACCACCCACCUCCAGUUGACAGCUUAGCCCGUUUUUUGAUGUUACAGCCGCCGGUGUUUUCUAGUAGCAUCGAGCCAAUAGUUGUGGAUGACUGGCUACGUAGGAUUGGAAGGGAGUUGACCACCACAGGUUGCACAGAUGCAGAGAAGGUGCGUUUGGCCGCACACCAGUUGGAUGGACCAGCAGCCUCAUGGUGGGAGAAUUACACAGCCACCUUCCUAUAGCCAAUAUCACUUGGGAUCAGUUUCAGCAAGCAUUCCGCACAGCUCAUGUCUCAACUGGAGCUAUGAGCAUGAAGAAGCGUGAGUUUUGCAACUUGCGCCAGGGAAAUCGUACAGUGUCUCAGUACGUAGAUGAGUUUAGUAAGUUGUCUCGUUAUGCCCUUGAUGAUGUGGCCACGGAUGCCGCGAAGCAGGGGAAGUUUAUGGAAGGGCUUAAUGAUGAGAUGAGCAUGCAGUUGAUGGUGGCAACAUUCACCAACUACCAGGAGUUGGUAGACAAGGCCCUUAUGAUUGAAGGGAAGCAGCAGCAGAUUGAGAGCCGCAAGAGGAAGUAUGGACAAGGAAGGUACAACUCAGGAGCUCAGCAGAAGCCUUGUUUAACCCCGAACUCGGGAGGAUUCACCCAUAACCAUGGAGGCCACACCCACAAUGGAGGGAGUUCUCACAACCACAAUGGCCCCAAGAAUGGCAAUGGGAAUGGAGCAAGCAGUAAUUAGAACCGCUCCAAUACAGCCACACCCGCCAAGAAGGACCUAAGUCACAUUACUUGUUUCAAGUGCGCGAAGACUGGACACUAUGCCACUGAGUGCCCUGAAGCGAAGAAUGGGAGUGGAAAUGGAAGCGCUGGGAAGAAGCCCAACCCUUUCAACAGAGGACAAGUGAACCACGUGAACGUGGAGGAGGUUGAGGAGCAGCCUGAUGCAGUUAUCGGUAAGUUUUCGGUUAAGUCAUUUACUGCAAUUGUUCUUUUUGAUACCGGUGCAUCGCAUUCAUACAUAUCAAGGGGAUUCGUGGAUAAGUAUAAGUUGCCCACUAAAGUACUAAGGACACCUAUGUUAGUAAGCUCACCAGGAGCGGAGUAUAUGGCAAGUCAAGGAUGUUUUCAGAUGCCAUUGACCAUUGGAAGCCAUGUUUUCCCCUCAGACUUGAUAAUUUUGGAGUCACAAGGAUUGGAUGUGAUACUAGGCAUGGAUUGGCUAUCGAUGUAUGGGGGCAACAUCGAUUGCAUGAGUAAGUCAAUUUUACUCACCACCCCGGAGGGAAAAAGGAUCAAGUAUGUUUCCAGGCAUACGCCGAGGAGGACCCAAGUAAAUUCUCUCAAGGGAGUUGUUCAGGAGGAAGUGCUUGUUGUGAAGGAUUACCCAGAUGUAUUUCCAGAGGAGUUACCAGGCAUGCCGCCAGAUCGAGACAUCAAGUUUUUGAUAGAACUAUUGCCAGGCACCGGGCCUAUAUCGAAGUGACCAUACCGGAUGCCCGCGAAUGGUUUGGAAAAGAUCAAGAAGCAGAUUAAGGAGUUGUUGGAGAAAGGUUACAUUCGACGAAGUUCAUCACCAUGGGGAUCCCCAGUGCUCUUGGUUGAUAAGAAGGAUGGAUCGUUAAGAAUGGUUGUUGAUUAUCGUGCGUUGAAUGAAGUAACAAUCAAGAAUAGUACCCACUGCCAAUGAUCAAUGAUUUGUUUGACCAGCUGCAAGGAGCUAAAGUGUUUUCGAAGAUCGAUCUGCGAGAAGGAUAUACCUAAAAUAGCUUUCACCACAAGGUAUGGGCUGUAUGAGUAUACGGUUCUGUCGUUUGGAUUGACCAACGCCCCUGCCUAUUUCAUGAGUAUGAUGAACAAGGUGUUCAUGGAGUUCUUGGAUAAGUUUGUCGUGGUGUUCAUUGAUGAUAUCUUGGUAUACUCGAAGAAUGAAGAGGAACACAAGGAGCAUUUGCGUUUAGUUCUCGAGAAGCUCAGGGAACAUCAGUUAUAUGCCAAGUUCAGCAAAUGUGAGUUUUAGUUGAAGGAAGUUGGAUUUCUUGGGCAUGUUAUAUCUGGGGAAGGUAUAGCAGUGGAUCCCACCAAGGUUCAGUUAGUCACUGAGUGGUUGGCACCCACCUCAGUUGGAGAGAUCCGCAGUUUUCUUGGACUCGCGGGAUAUUAUCAGAGAUUUAUUGAUAAUUUCUCCAAGAUUGCGAUGCCGAUGAUAGUAUUAUUCAAGAAGGACACCAAGUUCCAUUGGACUGAAGAAUGUGAAGCAAGUUUCCAGGAGUUGAAGAAACGUCUGACUACAGCCCCAGUGCUGAUUCUGUCGGAUAUACGCAAGGAUUUCCAAGUGUAUUGCGACGCCUCUCGCUUAGGACUUGGAGGAGUACUUAUGCAAGACGGAAGAGUUGUUUCGUAUGCCUCACGACAAUUUCGACCGCAUGAGUUGAAUUACGCCACGCAUGACCUACAGUUAGCAGCAGUAGUGCAUGCGCUUAAGACCUGGAGACAUUUUCUUAUUGGAAACCGUUGUGAUGUGUACACGGAUCAUAAGAGUUUGAAGUACAUAUUCACCCAGAAGGAGCUGAACCUCAGACAGAGGAGAUGGUUUGAGCUUAUAAAGGAUUAUGACAUGAAGUUGCACUAUCAUCCAGGUAAGGCCAAUGUCGUAGCAGACGCUUUGAGCCGGAAGAGUUAUGUCAAUACCCACGUAAGCGGAGGAAUGCCAAAGGAGUUGAUAGAAGAUCUCAGGGUUUCGCUUGGAGAUAGUCCCUAGAGGUUUUGUUGCAGCGUUGGAGGUUCAGUCAACAUUAUUGGGAAAGAUUCGAGAAGCUCAGAAAGAUGACAAAGAAAUUGCCGAAAUAAAGGAGAAGAUGAGUGAAGGGAAAGCCAAAGGUUUCCGUGAGGAUGAGCACGACACCUUGUGGUUUGUGGAACGUGUAUAUGUGCCCAAUAAUGCGGAGCUCAGGAAGUUGAUACUACAAGAAGCUCAUGACUCACCAUACUCGAUACACCCCGGCAAAACCAAGAUGUUUUUGGACUUGUUGAGGAUAUAGACCUUAGAGUCACCCGCCAGGAGGGGCCGGGUUACUCUUAAUGGUCAUCGCCAGGAGCCCGGCGCCAAGCUUAAAGACGGUGGGCCAAAGAUGGGCUUAAGACCCGGAUGUGGCUUAAGGCCCGUAGUUACAAUCAUUAUUAUGGUAGAACUUGUAGUGUAAGGCAAGGAUAGUUGAGAGUCCGAGCCGGACAAUCUUAUGAGCCGGCCGGGACUCUGAGAGCUGCUGGGCAUCAACCUCCCUAUAUAAAGGGACGACCCGGCGGCGGUUUAGGGACAAGAAAGAUCUCAUCGAGAGCCAGGGAUAGCAGUCAAGCUCCCUGGUCAUCGAAACCCUAAUCAAUACCACCUCAACUGGACGUAGGCUUUUACCUUCACCGUAAGGGGCCGAACCAGUAUAAACCCUCGUGUUCCUUGUCCCAUUAACCCCUUCAAGCUUCCUAGCAGCGAUGGCUCCACGACUAAGUCCUAGCUUGAGGACAUCUGUCGUGACAAUUCCACGACAGUUGGCGCCCACCGUGGGGCUAGCGCACGGUGGAUUUGAGUUCUUGAAGGGCAGCUUCGAAGGGCUCAAGGGAUACGCUGUGGGCCGGAUGACCAAGAGUCGUCGCAGAAAGCUCUACAUCGACGAUGCAAACUGGGGCCCCGAUGCCGGCUCAAUUGAGUACGGGUACCGGGUCCCCUUCGGCGGAAUUCAUGUUUUCAUUGGCAAGAUUGGUGAGCCGGGCCCUGAGCCGGAUCUCUGCGCCGAUCUCAUCGAGACGGCUCAGCGUGCACGACCCGCCCAGGCCCGGCCUGCCUUAAGGCAUGCUUUUGUGGGAUGUAUCCAUGGAGGGCUCUCUGAUCGAUCUGGAUCUAGUGAUGAGACGGCCGCCGGCUCUGACGGCGAGUCGUCCACCGAUGAGUCAAACUCGUUGUAUCAACUUCAAGAUGGCAGGCUCAUGGGUUGUUCCGAUGGUGAUAGUAUUCCGGACCCGUUUGAGCCGCCAAGCCGGGUUGGAAUCUUCAUGGCCGGUGCGCAGCCUAUUCAGAACCCUGCUGCUGGAGCGGGAAACCCGGUGCCCUCGCCGGCUCAGGUGCUAAUGGAUCUCACGGACAAGAUGACGGCCCUGUUAACCGCCACGGUUGACCCGGCGGAUCAAGCUCAGCAUGAUGCGGAGGUGGCGCAGUUAAAAUUGGAUCUAGUGAAAGCUAAGGAGGAUCUAGCAGUAGAAGGGAUCAGGAUGGCGGUGGAGAGGGCGGCUCUCGAUGCCCAAACCCAGUUGAUUCAAGCGCAGUCCUUCCGGCUCACGAUGGAUCAAAACGCGUCCAAUGAAGUCCUGAGAAGGAGGCAUCAAAAGGCCCAAUCUCGACUCCCUCCGGUUUACGAUCCACGAAACCUCUUCAACACGCCAGGUGCAAGGUCUAGUAACCCGCCAGGGGUCAUAGUGCCCGGGUCUGGGACCCCUAUUCAGCCGCAAGUAAUGGGGCCUCCCCAGGUGCACCCUGCCCCGCCUCAGUACGUGCCAAUACCACCGGGUCAUUAUAACAACCCGCUGGAGAACAUGGUCGCCGCGGCAGCACGGCUGGCGGCUCUCCCAGUCGACGGUGACUCUCCGACGGCUAUUGAGACCCGCCGGGUCAGGGAACUCCUUCAGACAGCACUGGCGCAGCAAGAGGCGUACUCCUACAGCCGGGACAGGAUCCACUCGACCCCUCGUCCAGGCCGGAGCCCGAAUUACAACAGACACAUGGUCUCAGCGACAGGCUCAAGUAACGUCCGACGCCAUGACCCGCCCCCUGGCCAUGGCCCGGCUCAUAACGGAGCCUUUCACGCAGCAGACCAAGACAGAGCGCGGCAAGAGCCAGAGCGGGUGCCUCAAUUGACGGCGUACCAGACUCCCCCGGCUUAUCCGACGACUUCCGUCGACGUGGGUAUCCCUACCAGGACUGGGGGUCUCCCUUGCUUAGUGCCAGCUAUCCGCAAUGAACGUCUACCCAAGGACUUCAAAGGCCCUAGGAAGGUGCCCAAUUACACGGCAGACUUACAACCCGCAGCCUGGAUCGAGAGUUAUGAGAUGGCCAUGGAACUGCUGGAGGUCAGUGAAGCGGCCAUGGCUAAGUACUUCACCAUGAUGUUAGAUGGUACUGCCCGCACUUGGUUGAAAGGGCUACCACCGAAUUCCAUUGGGUCUUGGGCGGAGCUGAAGGCCCGGUUCAUCCAAAACUUCAAGGAUACCUGUAGGCAGUCUAUGUCAAUUGUGGAUUUGACUAACUGCAAGCAGCAGGAGGGUGAGUCUACGACACAUUGGGUUCGCCGGGUUAAGGAGAUAAUACAUUCCUCGGAUAAGAUGGAUGCCGGCUCUGCAGUCUUAAUGUUGGAGCAGAAUUGUCGUUUUGUGCCCCUGAAAAUGAAACUCGGGCGGCUUAAGCGCGACAGCAAUGAUAUGGGCACACUGAUGGCGGCUCUUGUCAAGUACGCCGAUUCUGAUGGUACCAAGGACCCCGCUUCAGAUGAUGAAAGGACAUGGAAGGGAAAGAAGAACGGCAAUGGCAAGGGUCCGUCAGCAUAACCCGGGAAACCAAGGAGGAGGCAAGCGCAAGGCCGAUGGCAGCCUAGAGUUUGUAGCCAACGCCAGCUCACAAGGUAAUAACCAGCGACGCAAGGGGAGGCCCCUUCCCCGAGCCGGCAGGUCAGGCCCGACGCUGGAGCAGCUGUUGAAUGAGCCUUGUCCAAGGCAUGGCUCUAGAGAGAAGCCAGCUACCCAUCUAUGGAAGGAUUGUGCAAUCAUGAAGGCCUUUAAGAAUUACAAUAGCCCGGGCGGCGGCUCAGGCGCCGGCGGCUUUCAUGGCCCGGGCGGCGGCUCAAAUUCUAAUCCUCAGAAUGGUCAAGGGGGCUUUAAUCAGCAGGCUGGCCAGGGUCAUCAACAACAGCAGGGGGGUUAUCAGACCAAUCCAAAGCAGCUUAGCGGUGGACAGUAUCAUGUUUUUACCACCAGUCUGUGUAAGCGAGAUCAGAAGCUUCAUAAGAGGGCUGUGAAUUCUGUUGAGCCGGCGGUUCCACGCUACUUGCGGUGGUCUGAGCAGCCUCUAGUGUGGAGUAGGGAGGAUCACCCUCCCCGGGUGGAUAACCCGGGCCACUUGGCCUUAGUGAUGGCUCCUCAGGUGGGAGGAUAUAAGUUCACUAAGGUGCUCAUGGAUGGAGGCAGCAGCAUCAACAUCCUCUAUUAUGAGACGUUCCGUCGUAUGGGGUUGAUUGAUAAGAACCUCAGCCAGUCCAGCACUAUUUUCCAUGGUGUGGUACCUGGUAAGUUGGCUUAUCCAGUCGGCAAGAUCGAAUUGGAAGUGGCCUUUGGAGAUGAGCACAACUACAGGGUGGAAAAAUUGACCUUUGAGGUGGUCAAGAUAAGAAGUCCGUACCAUGCCAUAUUUGGGCGGCCGGCUUACGCCAAGUUCAUGGCACGGCCGUGUUACGUGUAUUUACAGCUCAAGAUGCCGGGUCAUAAUGGGACCAUUACGGUUCAUGGAAGCCGGAAGGUGGCCCUGGAGUGUGAGGAAGGCGAUGCAGCUUAUGCAGAAUCUGUUUGUGUAACAAAGGAGUUAAAAUUUUACAAAGACAACGUUGACCCAACAGAUAUGACCUCUCUGAAAAAGCCGACUACGGAGCAUGAGCCGGCAAUGAAAUUCAAGUCGGCUGAUGAGACUAAACUUGUUGAUUUCAUUCCAGGAGAUUCAUCUCAGCAAUUUAGCAUCAGUGCCAAUCUGGAUCCAAAAUAGGAAAGCGUGCUCAUUGAGUUCAUCCGUGAGAAUAGGGACAUCUUCGCGUGGAAACCUUCUGACAUGCAAGGUGUACCUAGAGAACUCGCUGAGCACACUCACAAUGUUGAUCCGAAAUUUAAGCCGGUCAGGCAGUUCCUUCGGCGGUUCAAUGAGGAGAGGCGGAAAGCUAUUGGUGAAGAGGUGGCCCGGCUCUUGGGGGCCGGGUUUAUUGUGGAAGUCUUUCACCCAGAAUGGUUAGCUAACCCGGUCCUCGUACUCAAGAAGAACGGCACUUGGCGGAUGUGUGUGGACUACACGGACUUAAACAAGGCGUGUCCGGCUGAUCCUUUUGCCCUUCCCCGUAUUAAUCAAAUUAUUGGUGCUACGGCAGGUUGUGCGCGCUUAAGUUUCUUGGAUGCUUCUUCCGGAUACCAUCAGAUUAAAAUGGCAGUUAAGGACCAGCAGAAGACGGCAUUCAUCACUCCCUUUGGAGCCUUCUGCUAUGUGUCUAUGCCCUUUGGACUCAAGUGUGCACAGGCGACUUAUCAGCGUUGUGUGCAGAACUGUCUUCAUAACCAGAUUGGGCGCAAUGUUCAUGCUUAUGUGGACGAUAUUGUGGUUAAGUCCAUAAAGGAGGAAACCCUGAUAGAUGAUUUAAGGGAAACCUUUGAUAAUCUCCGGGUUUACUAGAUGAUGCUUAACCCGGCCAAGUGUGUUUUUGGUGUUCCUGCAGGCAAACUCUUGGGUUUCUUGGUUUCUGACAGAGGCAUUGAAGCUAACCCGGAGAAGAUCAAGGUCAUCACCUCCCUGGCUAAGCCAGCGUGUAUAAAUGACGUUCAGCGCUUGGCGGGUCGCGUCGCUGCUUUGAGCCGGUUUAUAAGCCGUUUGGGUGAGAAGGCUAUGCCAUUAUACCAGUUGAUGAAGAAAACUGAUAACUUUGUCUGGAAUGAUGCAGCCAAUACUGCUUUUGAGGAUUUGAAGAAGCAGCUGGCCGAGCCCCCAGUCCUUGCUGCUCCAGUUGACAAGGAGCCUCUAUUGCUGUAUGUGGCUGCUAACACACGAGCCGUCAGUGUGGCUGUGGUGGUGGAGCACAAGGAAGAGGGUAAGGAGCAUCCGGUUCAACGGCCGGUUCAUUAUGUCAGCGGAGUGCUCAUUGAGUCCAAGCAACGGUAUCCGCAUUGGCAGAAGCUUGUUUAUGGGGUGUUCAUGGCAAGCCGGAAGCUUAAGCAUUAUUUCCAGGGUCAUCCCAUCACUGUGGUCAGUUCUGCCCCCCUUGGUGAUAUCAUUCAAAACAGAGAGGCCACAGGGAGAGUGGCUAAGUGGGCUAUAGAGCUCGGACCCCAUGGUCUGAAAUACGUGCCACGCACUGCUGUUAAAUCUCAGGCCUUGGUGGAUUUCAUCAAUGAUUGGACAGAGUCACAAGUGCCCGAGCAAAAGCCGGAUAACACAUAUUGGACUAUUCACUUCGAUGGGUCCAGGCAGUUGGAGGGUUCGGGGGCUGGAGUCGUAUUGGCUUCCCCUAAGGGUGAUAAGUUCCAUUAUGUGCUACAAUUGAUAUUUCCUUGUACCAACAACGCAGCUGAGUACGAGGCCUUCCUCCACGGUCUUCGGAUGGCUAAGGAGAUGAGCUUGAGCCGGGUAAGGUGUUUCGGUGACUCAGACUUGGUGGCUCAACAAGUAUCAGGCAAGUGGGACUCUAAGGACCCUCUCAUGGCGGCUUAUCGCCGCGAAGUUGAUGCCAUUGCUGGGCACUUUCAGGGCUAUCAAGUAGAGCACAUUGACCGCAGGAAGAACGAGGCGGCUGAUGCCCUAAGCCGGCUGGGCUCUCAGCGAAAGCCGGUGCCGCCUAAUACUUUCCUGGAUGUCCUGUAUAACCCUUCUGUUAAGCUGCCUAUAGAGGAAGACUUGGCUGUCCCUGACCCGGAGGCACGAUUGGUGGCGGCUCUCCACAUCAUACCGGACUGGACAAUGCCCUAUCUGGCUUACAUGACCCGGGGAGAGUUGCCUGAGGAUGAAACUCUAGCCAGACAAAUAACCCGGCGGGCUAAGUCAAUGAUUGUUAUCAAUGGCGAGUUGCAUCACCGCAGUGUUACGGGAGCAUUCCAGCGUUGUGUCUCCCCUGAGGAAGGUCAAGAGAUCUUGCGUGAGAUUCAUGAAGGGGAUUGUGGCCAUCACGCCGGCUCAAAAUCUCUUGUGACCAAGGCUUUUCGUCAUGGUUUUUAUUGGCCGACGGCUCAUGCUAAUGCGGAGGACUUGGUCAGUAAAUGUGACGGUUGCCAAAGGUUCUCACGACGGGCUCAUGUGCCGGCUCAGGAGCUGAGGAUGAUCCCAAUUACUUGGCCCUUUGCGGUCUGGGGGCUUGAUAUGGUUGGGCCUUUUAAAAGGUCCAAAGAUAAGAAGACCCACCUCUUAGUGGCAGUUGACAAAUUUACCAAGUGGGUUGAAGCGGAGCCAGUUAGCAAGUGUGAUGCAGCCACGGCGGUUCAAUUUAUGAAAAAGGUGAUUUUUCGCUUUGGCUUUCCGCACAGCAUUAUAACUGACAAUGGCACCAAUCUAUCCAAAGGCGCCAUGGAAGAGUUUUGUCAACGAGAGCAUAUCCAACUUGAUGUUUCCUCGGUGGCUCAUCCUCAAUCCAAUGGGCAAGCUGAGAGAGCUAAUCAAGAGAUUCUGAAGGGCAUCAAGCUCCGGCUUUUGGUCCCUUUGCAACGGACGCCGGGUUGUUGGGUGGAGGAGUUGCCCUCCGUGUUAUGGAGCAUCAACACUACUCCUAACAGGUCUACAGGUUUUACGCCUUUUUUCAUGGUUUAUGGGGCAGAAGCAGUCCUCCCCAGUGACAUCCGUCAUGACUCGCCUCGAGUGGCGGCUUAUGUUGAGGCGGAUAAUGAGCAGGCGCGCCAAGAUGCUCUUGACUUGUUGGACGAACAGCGUGAUGUGGCAGCAGCUCGCUCAGCGAUUUACUAACAAGACCUGCGUCGUUAUCAUAGUUGCCGGGUUAAAUCCCGGGUCUUCCAGGAAGGUGAUCUCGUGCUCCGGCUCAUCCAAGAUCAAACAGAUGCGCACAAGCUAUCCCCGCCUUGGGAAGGGCCCUUUGUGGUCAGCAAGAAUUUGCACAGCGGGUCAUAUUACCUCAUUGACAUUCGGGAGCACAAAGAUUCACGUAAGUCGGAGGAAGAGACCCCUCGGCCGUGGAACAUAGCUCAGCUUCGGCCUUACUACACUUGAGCCACCGGCUCUCAUAAUGUACAUAUUUCUCUUAGCCAUGUAUAUAUUAUGAUAAGCAAUAAAGCAGGACCUCUGUCCUUUUUUCUCCUCCAAAUGUGCACGUUUUCAUUGCAAGAUUAACAUGAUAACUUGAAGGAGGAUCCGGCUUAUGAUCGUAUUCGAAUCUAGCCGUAGGCAAUAAGGUCACUUGGGGGCUUCCUGUUCAAACAUGGGUCGUAUUCGAACCAAAGAGAACAUAGAUGUCGAUACCCAUUUGAUUGGCAAAGUGCCGAGCUCAUUGGGGAGUUUUCUUUGAUCAUAUUUGAAUCAUAGUUUAACCCCUUUGGGAACCGACGUGGAUCGUAUUUGAAUCAGCGUCGUUAAACAAUUCUUAAAAUCACUUGGGGGCUUCCUGUUCAAACAUAGGUCGUAUUCGAACCAAACAGAACAUAGCUGUCGAUACCCUUUUGAUUGGCAUCGCCACACCCACUGGGGGCUAUAUGAUCGUAUCCGAAUCCUAGCAUAACCCCUUUGGGACGCGUCUCUGGUCGUAUUCGAACUGGAAGCCCCUAAGUUUUUUCUGAUUUAUAGCGAGUUUUUCUGGUUAUUUCAAAGUGUAUACGGCCGGGUUUCACUUUGCCGGUUUAAACUUUGAUUUACAGGGUUAAUCGAAUACAACCGGUGUCAUUAAGACUGGUAAACCGGAAUUGAAGUACCAAUCUUAUUGCCCGGGUUAGCUAAGCCGGAAAUGUGCUUGCAGGCUGGUAAGUGUGUUAUUACGGUUAUAUCAAGGACAUAACUGAGGAACAGUCUUUUUUGAUUCAUAUUCCGGGUUAUAUGUUUAAAACUAUGCUUCUCAGUGCGGUAAGCCGCCUAGAGACUUGUGAUUUGUCCUUCUAUGCAGGAUAGUUAAAGGCAAUUAUUUUGAGCUUAAGGAAAAUGAAUAAUCGAUUAUGACCCGAGGAAAUAUAGAGGAGACAACUUCAAUGGACUUCAGCAUUCAACGCGUGCACGAUUGCACGGCAAAUUUAAAGUAUUGAGUCCAAAAGGGUGGAGCAUUGUUUUAUAAGCCGCCUGCAGAAUUAAGAUGCUUGCUGGGUUGACGUCUCCGGCUCAUCCCUCUCUUCUCCUCCGGCUGUUCCCAAGACCUGGAAAGUUGAUGACUUCCAGUCGAUGCCGCUCAGAGCUUCGAAUUGAGCUUCCUCGUCAAUUAACCCGGCCGGGUCAAUCUCCGGGGCGAAGGUGUGCUGACGAGUUGGCGGGAUUAAGCUGAGGGCUUCAUAGCGCGGGGUGGGGAUCCUCUGAUUCUCCGCAUUGUAACCCGGCUGGUACUUGGUCAGAUCUGUGUCGUUUCCAAUAAGGGUGGCCACCGGGCGCACGAUCUUCACGCAGGCGGCAAAGUCCCUUUGGUCGAAGGUUGUGCCGUCUUCCUUCAAACUUGGAUAACCGAGGGCGAUGUCCGCCGGGUCUAACUCUGGAAGGAAAGCCUUGGCCCGGCUCAGCGCGGCGAUCGCUCCGGCUCUUGCAGAGGCCCGUCGCAGCUCUUGGAUACGUUGAGGCAGAACGGCGAGCCGGCGAAGCACUUCCGCCAGGUGAGUCGGCACCUCAUUGGAUAGGGCCACCACAGCCAAGGCACGCUGUGACCCGGUGUAGAGUUGCUCCACCAGGGUGUACACAGCCUUCAGCUUGGUUACCACACUCUGGUUAAGGUUGGCGCCUCUCGGACCUGUUUAACAAAGUAAGAUAACCCGCCGACAAGGAUGAGUUAUGAGAUAUGAAGAUUCUAAACUUGAUGAAAACCGGUGAAAUGACUUACCGAAGAUUGCGGCAACCAUCUGGGACACUUGGCGCUUUAAGCCGGAGAGUUCGGCGGUCUUCUCUGAGAGAGCCUUCUCCGCCUGUUCAGCCCGGUUCACCAGAGCAGCCUUCUCUUCGGCCCAGGCUCUCCGUUCAGCGUCGAAGUCCGUCUUCAGUUUUUCUUGCGCAGCAAUACUGGACACAAAUUUAGCAUUUGCUUUCCGGGUCUCCGUCUCUUGCGUCUUCAGACGGGUCUUGAGAUCAGAGAUGUCAGCUUCAAAUUUCUUGCCAGCAGCCUGCAUAAUUUCCGGGUCAUAAGAUGAACAGUUACUAUACAAUCUUAAAAGUCCCAAGCACUUUCCAAGCAAAGGUACUUGGCACUUGGGGGCUAAUGCAUAUUGAACGUUUCUAUCUACAAAUUGCCGGUUCAAUUGAGUAAGCCGGAACUUAAGUCUACAGCAUAUUCUAUCAUAAGUCGUAGUCUUGGGGGCUAGAGCAUGGUAAAGGUAAAUAUGCAGUAAGUAAGAAGACAGAAGAAUAAUACCUCAGACUUCUGCUGAAUCUGGUUCACCAUGGCAAUCUCAGCAUCCCGGCUCUUGUGCACUUGGCUGACGUAGCCGGAGACGAGCUCUCCAAUGCUCAGGUUGGUGUAGUCGGUGAGGUCCAGAUUAACCCGGCGGGGCUGAAGCAGCUCCCCCUUGGCAGAACACUUGGCCAGUGCAGUAGGUCUCCCCGGCUCAACAAAUUCCGUCCGGGUGAUUACCACAUCCGGGUCAUCUGCUGGUUGAGCCGAGCUGGAGGCCUCCGGGUUAACAGAAGCUUCUGCUAUGGGCUUGUUGGUUGGAGCAGCAGCCUCAGGAGCAGAGGCAGCUGGCGGUUCUUGUGCGGCUACCUCCGGCUCAGGCAGGUCCGGCUCAUCGGCCGGCUUGUUCUUCUUCGCCCUUUUGCUGAGUUUUGCUUGGGCACUGAAAAGAUAGAAAGGUUAAGCACAAAAGUGUAAGUAAAGACAAAGUACAACAUAAGAUGACCAUUAUUACCCGGGCACAGUCUUGAAAGUCGGCAGGUUCGACUGCAUAGAGUCGCCCGAAGAGGGGGAAGUCUCCUGAUAAUUUGAGUCAGAAGAAUUGAGCGGUUGACGUAUAACACCCGCCAAAGGAUGAAAAGGGUACAAGUUGGAGAUAACCUCAGUUCAGCGCUUCCUCGAUGCGUCAGGUAACCUGGAGGAGAGGUUGGCGUCCUUGUUGGUCCGGGUGUGACGCCGGCUCUCAUGAACCUGUCGCUUCAAAAUAAAUUGAGGAUCUUGAUAAGCUAAAGGAUGUGAAAAGCUUACUUUCCGGGUUACCCUUCGGACUUUCAGCCUUGGCAAGGGCUCCGAGUCGGAGGAAAGUGACAUUACCUCUUCAACCACCGGGUUACUUGCGCCGGUGUCAUCCUGUUGAGGAAUAGUAUUGAUAAGGUGGACAGAAAUAAAUAGCAGAUAUAGCAAGAGCUUACAGGUUCAGGGGUUACCUCUGACUCGGAGCUGUCGCUUAAUUGCAUCAGCUCUGAAGCAGUAGGCCUACUUCCCUUCUUACGGGGAGCGGCUUUCUUGGCGGCUUUCUUCGCUUUUCUGGCCUUCUUGGCCGCUUCAUGGUCAUAUUUGACCUUCCAGAACUUGUCAUCAGCCUGAAAAAUACAAGGAUGAUUUCUUAAAGAUUCAGAUGACGGUUAUCUACAGAAGAAGAUAAAAUGUACAGAUCUGCGGCUUACCGCUGGGGCUGGGUUGGUCUUGCAGAAGGGGGCUAACCCGGUCCUCCCGCAGUCUGCCAGGCUCUCGUUCAAAAGAGCCUUGGUCAUAUCCUCUGCAACAUCUUCAGGAAGAUCGUUGCGGCUGUGUCUCUGGGGGUCAUCCUUUCGGCCCGUGUACUCGCACAUUAAGCCGCGGCGGCGGCUCAAUGCGAUCACCCGCCAGGAGAUCCAGACCCGGACCAGAUCGAUUCCGUUGAGACCAUUGCCCAGGAGAGCCUUGAUCUUGUUGAUGGUGGGGAGCAGAGGUUGGCGCUCUGCCUGAGUUAACUUGUCAGACAGAGGGUGAGUCGGCUCCAGACGUGAAGGGCGAAAGCCGGGCAGCGGGCUCUCGUCAGCCGACGACGUGUCUUGGCAAUAAAACCACGUCAGGUUCCAGUCCUUUGGGUGACUCCGCGGCUCGGUGUAAGGGAAAAGGCAGUCUCUCCGUCUCUGAAUGGAGAUGCCGCCUAGCUCCAAACUUGGCCCGUUGGCGCACUCGUUCUGGCGGUUCAAGUAGAAGAGCUCUCUGAAGAGCAGCAGGCUGGGCUCUUCUCCAAGGUAAACCUCGCAGAACACUUGGAAAUUGCAUAUGUUGGACACUGAGUUGGGUCCUAUAUCUUGUGGCCGCAAGUCAAAGAAAUUCAGUACAUCCCUGAAGAACUUUGAGCCGGGCGGUGCGAAGCCCCGGCUCAUGUGAUCCGCAAAAAUGACCACCUCCCCGUCCUUUGGCUGUGGUCUCUCCUCUGACGGGUCAGGGGCACGGUAGGACAUGACAUCCUUCUUGGGCAGGUAGCCUGAUUUGACAAAAUCUGCUAAUGUCUCGUUGGUGACAUUGGACCUCAUCCAAUUGCAAGUGAUGGAGGCUUUAGGAGCUUUGGGAGGCAUGGUGAAAGUCGGCAGCCUAUGAUAAAAGGAAAUGGCCGGUUUAAUUAUAAGCCGGAGGAAAUUUACAGUUCAAUGUUAAAGUCGCGGCUUACGGAGGGGACUAAUGACAUAUAUCUAGGUGCAUCAGGUUAUUUAAGCCACCCAAGGUGUUGAGAGUAAUUUGAUUGUCUACGGCCUUAUCACAGAUGAGCCGGAAAAUUCUAUGGCGCGUGGUCUCCUUUGAGUCGGAAGGUUCUACGGCGUGUGGUUGCUUUAAACGGGAAACGUAAGCCGCCAUGGCUCAACGAGUGCAGUUUUUUACUAAGUGUGGUGAAAACAAGUUUCACACAUUGCGGUAAAUAAUUUGGAUCAAGUGGUCGGCAGAAAAAGAAAAUUUCUAGACCUAAAAACAGACACGAGGGAAGUUCUUGGGCUUGAAUGGGGCCUUUAGGCAGUCAAAAGAGAUCUGCUUGCAUUUGAAAUGAGUGCCAAACAGCUACCGUGGCAGGUCUAGACAGGUCUAAGAUCAAGAAGGGCAGUAAAAACCAAAUCUACCGAAGGCCCGCGAUGAACUACGAAGAACAGAGGUAGAACUACGGAGCCCUAGUGCGGAUCUGCCCUAUGGAGUAACGAGGACUCACCGGUGCUGAAGAGAUGCGGAGGUUGCCGCCGUUUGUCUGGACCGACUCAGGGUGAUGCAGCGGCCAAGGUUGACGAAGACCGGGGGCGCGGCAGCGGCGGCGGAGUUCGAGCUCGAGCGGAGGAACAGUGGCGCGAGGAGGAAGAAGAGUGGCUGAAGGCCCGUCGGGCCGGGCUAUUUAUAAGGGCGAGCUCAUAAGUGGGCGCGAGAAACGAGGAGACCACGGCGUGGUUAUCUCCCCAUGAAACGCCUCGAUUUUCGGGAUGGCAGUAAAGAUAAGAUCCAUUGCGGAUCUGGUGGAGUAAAAAACGGGAUUAAUGGAAGAUGACGCCACGGCGGAUUACCCGGAGUCCAGAGGAUGACGUCACGCCGGGUUAUGGCCUUCACACAAAUGGCAAGCCGGAGAUUUUUUCUGUCAAAAGAAUUGAAGAUUGACAUGAGCCGGCUCAAAUCAAUCUGGGGCCUAAUGUUGAGGAUAUAGACCUUAGAGUCACCCACCAGGAGGGGCCGGGUUACUCUUAAUGGUCAUCGCCAGGAGCCCGGCGCCAAGCUUAAAGACGGUGGGCCAAAGAUGGGCUUAAGACCCGGAUGUGUCUUAAGGCCCGUAGUCACAAUCAUUAUUAUGGUAGAACUUGUAGUGUAAGGCAAGGAUAGUUGAGAGUCCGAGCCGGACACUCUUAUGAGCCGGCCGGGACUCUGAGAGCUGCUGGGCGUCAACCUCCCUAUAUAAAGGGACGACCCGACGGCGGUUUAGGGACAAGAAAGAUCUCAUCGAGAGCCAGGGAUAGCAGUCAAGCUCCCUGGUCAUCGAAACCCUAAUCAAUACCACCUCAACUGGACGUAGGCUUUUACCUUCACCGUAAGGGGCCGAACCAGUAUAAACCCUCGUGUUCCUUGUCCCAUUAACCCCUUCAAGCUUCCUAGCGGCGAUGGCUCCACGACUAAGUCCUAGCUUGAGGACAUCUGCCGUGACAAUUCCACGACAGGAAUUGAAGGAGCGUUUCUGGUGGACUGGUAUGAAGAAGGAUAUUGCCGAGUAUGUAGCCAUAUGUGAGGUAUGUCAGAGAGUGAAGGCAGAAAAUCAGAAGCCAGCAUGAUUACUGCAGCCUAUGCCAAUAACCGAAUGGAAGUGGGACAAGCUUGGCAUGGAUUUUAUCACCGGAUUGCCCAGGACCCGAUCGGGAUAUGAUUCUAUCUGGGUAGUAGUGGAUCGCCUGACCAAAGUAGCUCACUUUAUCCCAGUGAAAACCACUUAUACAAGUGUGAAGUUGGCCAAGAUAUAUAUGACCAGGAUCGUAUGUCUGCACGGAGUUCCGAGGACCAUCAUAUCAGAUAGAGGAUCACAGUUUACUUCAAAGUUUUGGCACCAGCUGCACCAGACCUUGGGAACUAGGCUAGAGUUCAGCACUGCUUUUCACCCGCAGACAGAUGGACAGACUGAGAGAGUCAAUCAGAUUCUGGAGGACAUGUUAAGAGCUUGUGCGCUAGAUUAUGGAUCUAGUUGGGAUGACAACUUGCACUAUGCCGAGUUCUCGUACAACAAUAGCUACCAGGCCAGUUUGAAGAUGGCACCGUUCGAAGCCCUGUAUGGAAGAAGGUGCAGAACACCGUUGAUGUGGGAUGAGGUUGGAGACCAUGAGUUUUUUGGACCAGAUUUGAUUAAGGAGUCUGAAGAGAAGGUUAAGCUGAUUCGAGAUAGGCUGAAGGUAGCCCAGUCCCGACAGAAGAGUUAUGCAGACUCGAAACGCAAGGAGGUAGUCUAUGAAAUCGGAGACAGAGUAUAUCUGCGAGUGUCACCCUUGCGAGGAGUUAAGCAUUUUGGAGUCAAGGAAGUUAGCCCGAGAUUUGUAGGACCGUACCGUGUUUUGGAGCGUAUGGGAGAGGUAGCCUACAAGUUGGAGUUACUCCAAGGACUGUCAGGAGUUCAUGAUGUGUUUCACGUUUCCCAGUUGAAGAAGUGUCAUGCUGAGAUGGCUGACAUACCUCUAAGAGAUACAGUGCAUCUGGAAGCAAUUCAGUUGGAUAGUGAUUUGACAUAUGAGGAGAAACCUGUCAAGAUUCUUGAAUUUGCCAGCCGCGUUACUUGCAGCAAGGUUAUCAAGUUUUGCAAAGUUCAGUGGAGCCACCAUACCGAGGAUGAAGCCACCUGGGAACGAGAGGAUGAUCUACGCAAAGACCACCCACACCUAUUUUCUAGCCAACCCGAAUCUCGAGGACGAGAUUCAUCUUAAGGGGGGUAGGUUUGUAACAUCCCAAAUUUUCAAUUUGGAAUGUUAUACAUAGGUCAUUCAUGCAUAUCAUAUUUUAUUGCAUUUCGUUUCUCGAUCCUCGAAAUUCUAAGCAACUCAAGGACCCUCGUAGAGAGUUGGGGAUUUCACCGUUUUCAUAUUUGAAUAUUAUCAAAUAUUGAAACAAGGAUCAUUUUGGUUUUAAUGAUUUUUCUCUCCGAAAAUAUUUCGAAUUAAAAUAUAUGAGAGGAGAUAAUAUGACUUCUCCAAAAUAAAUGAAAUAUUGGAGGAAAAAUAUUAAAAUCCAAUAAAUGAUUUUAUUUGGUUUUAUUGCAAUUUUAUUUGAAUUAGGAAAAAAUAUGCGUUUUUCAAAAAUUGUAUUAGAGGCCCAAAUAAAUGUUCACUUUGUCCGGAAUAUUUUUAGAGGACGGCGAAAAUUUAUUUCAGGAUUUUUGUAGUCCGUUUAGUAUUUCUUUUCUUUGUUUUUCUCCGCGUCAGAAUAUUAAAAAAAACGACCUACCGGGCCGUGUCCGCCUGGGACACCGACCCGGCCAGCCUCUUAUAAGCCGCGGCCCGCCAGCCCCCCCCCCAAACCUAGCCACCCCAAGCCCCGCACCCCAGCCGCCGCCGCCUUCUGCCAUCGCCGCCUCGCCACCGCCCCCGCCGCCGUCACGAUUGCCGAGGUAGCCGCCACUUUUUUUUAACUGUUCGGUUUUAUUUCGAAAACCUAGAUUCGUUUUUUAGAUUAGAUCGGUUCGGUAUUCCGUCGGUUUACUUAUUUUGCGGACGUUCGUCCGUACGUUCGUUUUAACGAACGCCGUUCACCCGUUAGCCACAGACAGCGAACGUUCGUUCGUUAGCCUGUUCGUCAGUUUUUCUUUUUCCAGGGUUUUCCGCGAUUAUUUUUCGAUCACGAUUUCUGCCCUAAUUUUCAUUUUAGUAUAACUUCUCGCUCGUUUAUCGAAAUCAGGCGAUUCAAGCGCCUAGAUCUUCGUCUCGAAACCCUCUUUCUGUUUAAACAACUUGAACAAGAUUUUGUUACUGUAAAAUUUGACUUUAGUCCAGAUUCGUAAACGGAUCUUGUUUCUUUCGCAGUUGUAGUUUCGUUGCUCCGUUUGAUUUGAUUCUUUUUGCAAACCGGAGUUCUUAAGUUGAACUUUCUGGUUAGAUCUCUUUAUUUGAGUUUUACCCGUGCAUCUUUGCUUGAUUGCUUAUGUAUGCUAUUUUUUGUUUGCGAUAGAAUUCCCGGAGUGCGAAGCGUGCUACUACGAGUCCCUAGGUUUUGCAGAUCAUCAGCAAGGCAAGUAACACAUUGAUCAUACCCCUUUAUUACCAGUUUUUAUGCAUUAGUUACAAUCCUCACACAUUGCAUGAGUAGGAUCUCUUAACAUGUGGGUUUGGGAAGUAGAUGUUGAGGUAGAACCUAUUACCUGUUUUAUUAUCAAACCCUUGGGAGUUACUUCUGCGUUAUGCUUAUUGCCAUGCCAUGCUCGUAGACGUGGAUUGGGUUUGAGUGUAUCCAUGACAGAUGUGAGAUUGUUAAUUAAUGGUUCAACUUAAGGUGGCAACUUUAAUACACAUCUGGGUGGAUUGCUUGUGGGCACCUGGAGAAUCCAGUAUUGUCUUAGGAUAUCCCGGAGUACCCGUGUGAUCAUCCUACGGUCCGCCACCCAGGCUCAAAGGGAUCAUAAGAUUAUUCAUGCUAGAAACUUCCGUGUGCAGCCACAAGCCAUUAUGGGCUCUGGCAUAGUUGAGCAUGUUGUGUGACCUCUUUCAGUGGUGGGCUAGCAGAUGUAGAGGGAAAGUAGGUGUAACUGUGCACCCAGAGUAAAGAGUUAAUGCUACUGAAAGACUGUGUCUCGGUCAUCCGUUUCUCAGACAUCAUGUAGUGCGAGAAAUCAAACGGAGGAGAUCGAGUCUUGUGGGGAAAAGUGUGCAAACCUCUGCAGAGUGUAUAAACUAAUCAUGGUUAGGCGUGUCCCUGGUUAUGGACAUCUUGAGUAUCUGGUAGUUGAAUUAUUGAUUUGAUCUCAUCACUCUAAAUUAAUUUGUUGGGUUGUUAAUGAUUACUUUAAUUGGGAUUGAGUUGGAGGAACCUUCUCAAUGUUGUUCAACUACCAUGAUAGUUAAAUAAAAUUUAUUCCUUUGUUGUAGGGAAAAAUUGGCUUUUCGCAAAAACCAUAUAACCAUAGAGCCUCCACCAGCCAUAUAUGCAUGUAGUGAUAGCAUUUAUCUGUUCAUUGCUCUACUGUGUUAUAUUGCCAGCAUAUUCCAUGUGCUGACCCGUUUUCGGGCUGCAACGUAUUAUGUUGCAGACUUUUCAGACGAGGAGUAAGGUUCGCUAGGUCGUUUGUCACGCACUCAGCUAUGCCGUUGGAGUUGAUGGACUCACUUUAUCUUCCAAGCCUUCCGAUGUUAUCGUUUUAGAUGGCCUUAAGCCAUAUUUAUUGUGAUAAGUUCUCUUUUGAGACAUUCGAUGUAAUAAGUGUGUGAUUGGUACUCUGCUAUAAAUCCAUUCGAGUACUGUGUGUGUCAGCAUUACCGAUCCAGGGAUGACACUGAAGCACAGAGACUUGACCGUUUGAGGUCGGGUCGCUACACGUUGUAUGUGAACGUAGAGCUUAUCACACCCGAUCAUCACGUGGUGUCUCGGCACGAUGAACUGUAGCAAUGAUGCAUACUCAGGGAGAACACUUGUACCUUGAAAUUUAGUGAGGGAUCAUCUUAUAAUGCUACCGCCGUUCUAAGCAAAAUAAGAUGCAUAAAGGAUAAACAUCACAUGCAAUCAAAAUAAGUGAUAUGAUAUGGCCAUCAUCAUCUUGUGCCUUUGAUCUCCAUCUCCAAAGCACCGUCAUGAUCACCAUCGUCACCGGCUUGACACCUUGAUCUCCAUCGUAGCAUCAUUGUCGUCUCGCCAACUAUUGCUUCUACGACUAACGCUACCGCUUAGUGAUAAAGUAAAGCAAUUACAUGGCGAUUGCAUUUCAUACAAUAAAGCGACAACCAUAUGGCUCCUGCCAGUUGCUGAUAACUGUUACAAAACAUGAUCAUCUCAUACAACAAUUUAUAUAUCAUCACGUCUUGACCAUAUGACAUCACAACAAGCCCUGCAAAAACAAGUUAGACAUCCUGUACUUUGUUGUUGCAAGUUUUACAUGGCUGCUACGGGCUUCUAGCAAGAACCAUUCUUACCUACGCAUCAAAAAACACAAAGAUUUUCCUCAAGUGUGCUGUUUUAACCUUCAACAAGGACCAGGCAUAGUCAAACUCGAUUCAACUAAAGUUGGAGAAACAGACACCCGCUAGCCACCUGUGUGCGAAGCACGUCGGUAGAACUAGUCUCAUGAACGUGGUCAUGUAAUGUCAGUCCGGGCCACUUCAUCCAACAAUACCACCGAAUCAAAGUAAGACGUUGCUGGUAAGCAGUAUGACUAUUAUCGCCCACAACUCUUUGUGUUCUACUCAUGCAUAUAACAUCUACGCAUAGACCUGGCUCGGAUGCCACUAUUGGGGAAUGCAGUAUUUCAAAAAAUUUACCUACGAUCACGCAAGAUCUAUCUAGGAGAUGCAAAGCAAUGAGCGGGAAGAAUGUGUCCACGUACCCUCGUAGACCGAAAGCGGAAGCGUUUAGUAACGCGGUUGAUGUAGUCGAACGUCUUCACGAUCCAACCAAUCCAAGCACCGAACGUACGGCACCUCCGCGUUCAGCUCGAUGACGUCCCUCGAACUCUCGAUCUAGUUGAGGCCGAGGGAGAGUUCCGUCAGCACGACGGCGUGGUGACGGUGAUGAUGAAGUUACGGACGCAGGGCCUCACCUAAGCACUACGACGAUGUGACCGAGGUGUGUAACGGUGGAGGGGGGCACCGCACAGGGCUAAGAGAAGACUUGGUGUGUCUUUGGGGUGCCCCCCUCCCACGUAUAUAAAGGGGGGAGGAGAGGUGGCCGGCUCAAGGGGGGGCGCCAGGUGUGGGGAGUCCUACUAGGACUCCCUAGUCCAAGUAGGAUUCCCCUCUCCUUUUUCCUUUUUCGGAAUAGCAAAGAGGGAAAGCGAGGAGGAGGAGGAGAGGGAAAGGGGGGGGCGCCGCCCCCACCCCUUGUCCAAUUCGGGCUGGGCAAGGGGCGCGCGCCACCUCCCUGGAUGGCCCUCUCUCCUCCGCUAAGGCCCAUGUAUGGCCCAAUAACUUCCUGGGGGGGUUCCGGUAACCCCUGGUACUCCGAAAUUCAUCCGAUAUGACCCGAACCAUUCCGGUGUCCGAAUGUAACCUUCCAAUAAUGAAUCUUUAUCUCUUGACCAUUUCGAGACUCCUCGUCAUGUCUGUGAUCUCAUCCGGGACUCCGAACAAACUUUGGUUCAUCAAAACACAUAACUCAUAAUACAAAUCAUCAUCGGACGUUAAGCGUGCGGACCCUACGGGUUCGAGAACUAUGUAGUCAUGACCGAGACACAUCUCCGGUCAAUAACCAAUAGCGGAACCUGGAUGCUCAUAUUGGCUCCUACAUAUUCUACGAAGAUAUUUAUCGGUCAAACCACAUAACAACAUACGUUGUUCCCUUUGUCAUCGGUAUGUUACUUGUCCGAGAUUCGAUCAUCGGUAUCAUCAUACCUAGUUCAAUCUCGUCACCGGCAAGUCUCUUUACUCGUUCUGUAAUGCAUCAUCCUGUAACUAAAUCAUUAGUCACAUUGCUUGCAAGGCUUAUAGUGAUGUGCAUUACCGAGAGGGCCUAGAGAUACCUCUCUGAUACACGGAGUGACAAAUCCUAAUCUCGAUCUAUGCCAACUCAACAAACACCAUCGGAGACACCUGUAGAGCAUCUUUAUAAUCACCCAGUUAUGUUGUGACGUUUGAUAGCACACAAGGUGUUCGUCCGGUAUUCGGGAGUUGCAUAAUCUCAUAGUCUGAGGAACAUGUAUAAGUCAUGAAGAAAGCAAUAGCAAUAAAACUAAACGAUCAUUAAUGCUAAGCAAACGGAUGGGUCUUGUCCAUCACAUCAUUCUCUAAUGAUGUGAUCCCGUUCAUCAAAUGACAACACAUGUCUAUGGCUAGGAAACUUAACCAUCUUUGAUUAACAAGCUAGUCAAGUAGAGGCAUACUAGGGACACUCUGUUUGUCUAUGUAUUCACAGAUGUACUAAGUUUCCGGUUAAUACAAUUCUAGCAUGAAUAAUAAACAUUUACCAUGAUAUAAGGAAAUAUAAAACAACUUUAUUAUUGCCUCUAGGGCAUAUUUCCUUCAUCUUGAUCCGGAUACGGUGGCAAGUGAGCGAGGAUCGGGUCGUCGCAUCCUUAGUGGCGCGCUACAUCGGCGCCCGGAUGUAGUGGAAAAUGAGCAAGGGUCUUCGCAUUUGACUCGACGAGUGCGAAGGGUAAGGAAGCUAGCUGAGCCUAGGAGGAUUCGCUUAGGUAGCUGGAACGUAGGGUCUCUGACAGGGAAGCUUCGGGAGCUAGUUGAUGCAGCAGUGAGGAGAGGUGUUGAUAUCCUUUGCGUCCAAGAAACCAAAUGGAGAGGACAGAAGGCGAAGGAGGUGGAGGAUACCGGCUUCAAGCUAUGGUACACGGGGACGGCUGCAAACAGAAAUGGCGUAGGCAUCUUCAUCAACAAGAGCCUCAAGUAUGGAGUGGUAGACGUCAAGAGACGUGGGGACCGGAUUAUCCUGGUCAAGCUGGUAGUUGAGGACUUGGUUCUCAAUGUUAUCAGCGCCUAUGCCUCACAAGUAGGCCACAAUGAGAACACCAAGAGGGAGUUCUGGGAAGGCCUGGAAGACAUGGUUAGGAGUGUACCAAUUGGUGAGAAGCUCUUCAUAGGAGGAGACCUCAAUGGCCACGUGGGUACAUCUAACACAAGUUUUGAAGGGGCGCAUGGGGGCUUUGGCUAUGGCAUCAGGAAUGAAGAAGGAGAAGAUGUCUCAAGCUUUGCUCUAGCCAACAACAUGAUUGUAGCUAACACCCUCUUUAGAAAGAGAGAAUCACAUCUAGUGACUUUUAGUAGUGGCCAACACUCUAGCCAGAUUGACUUCAUCCUCUCGAGAAGAGAAGAUAGGCGUGCGUGCCUAGACUGUAAGGUGAUACCUGGAGAGAGUGUUGUACCCCAGCAUAAGCUGGUGGUUGCUGACUUCCGCUUUCGGAUUCAUGUCCAACGGGAUAAGCGUGCCAAAGUCGCUAGAACGAAGUGGUGGAAGCUCAAGGGGGGAGGGUAGCUCAGGCGUUCAAGGAGAGGGUCAUUAAGGAGGGCACUUGGGAGGAAGGAGGGGAUGCGGACAAUGUGUGGAUGAAGAUGGCGACUAGCAUUCUUAAGGUGGCCUCAGAGGAGUUUGGAGUGUCCAGGGGAAGGAGAAGCGAAGAUAAGGAUACCUGGUGGUGGAAUGAUGAUGUCCAGAAGGCGAUUAAAGAGAAGAAAGAUUGCUUCAGACGCCUAUACCUGGAUAGGGGUGCAGACAACAUAGAGAAGUACAAGAUGGUGAAGAAGGCUGCAAAGCGAGCUGUUGGUGAAGCAAGGGGUCGGGCAUAUGAGGACCUCUACCAAAGGUUAGGCACGAAGGAAGGCGAAAGGGACAUCUAUAAUAUGGCCAAGAUCCGAGAGAGAAAGACGAGGGAUAUUGGCCAAGUCAAAUGCAUCAAGGAUGGAGCAGGCCAACUCUUGGUGAAGGACGAGGAGAUUAAGCAUAGAUGGCGGGAGUACUUCGACAAGCUGUUCAAUGGGGAGAAUGAGAGUUCUACCAUUGAACUGAACGACUCCUUUGAUGAGACCAGCAUGCGUUUUGUGCGGAGAAUCCAGGAGUCUGAGGUCAAGGAGCAGUAUAAGGGAAAACCCUAGUAGUAGCGCGGCUUUCGAGGCUAUCAGCAACGCGGGCAGCCGCGCUACUAAUAAGGCGCUACAACUAACUGUUACUAGUAGUGCGGUCUGUACCCCCGCUACUAAUAUUGACUAUAUCAGCAGCACUUUUCCAGAACACGCUACUGUUAGUUAGCUGUAGCGCUUUCCUAGCCCCGCGCUACUUCUAUGUGUUUCAUCAUUCCCCCCAGCUUCCUACCCAGUUUUAGUUUCAAUAAACUGCAAUUUCCAGAUACUAGGUACUCCUAGAUAUCAAUUUCAUAAAGCAUUAUAGGUAUUAGGUAGUACUAUCUCGGUCCCAAAUUACUCGUCGUCGUUUUAGUUCAAAUUUGAACUAAAACCACGAUGAGUAAUUUGGAACGGAGGGAGUACUAGAUAACAAUUUCAUAUAUAGUCAACAUGCAUCCUCAAGCUGUACAAGGUGAUAUCGACGAUGAUCAUCAUAUGUAGUUCUAGAUGAUAUCGACGACGAUCAUCAUAUGUAGUUCUACAUGACAUCGACGACGAUCAUCAUAUGUAGUUCUAGAUGAUAUAGCCACACACACACAUAUGUAGUUCUAGGUGAUAUCGACGACGAUCAUCAUCCUCAAGCCUGGGCGAUGGGUGUUCCUGAUAGUAAUUAGGAUGGCAUGUCCAACACGAAGAUUCUUGCCAACGAGGAAUCUCUUCCACCCAACCGAGUUUAAGUGUGUGCGACCGUCUGUGUCCAUGCGGUAAGUACAGGUGGUGACGGAGCCCCAUGCGGUAAGGCGUAGUCCAGCUGAGCCUUCUUCAUCAGGCUCGAUACCACAACUCACCAAUAGGUUCUUUGGCAAUUUUUGAAUAAGAAAAACAUAUCAAUUAAUAAAUAGCCUCGCACAUACUCUUGCAAAUAUAUUUCUAUUAAGUAUAGAUUUCUACACUAUCCAAAGACAUAGUACUACACAUUUGUACUAAUUAAGCAUUAAUUCUACUAAUAAGUAUAUAUGGAUUAUCUACACUAUUAAUAGUUCCUUGGAUUCUACACUAAUAAGCAUGUGAUCAGACUCUACACUAAAGCAUAUCAUCGACUAGAUUCCACACAGCAUAUCUUGGACUCUACACUAAGAAUAUCAUCGUAUUCACUAAGCAUAUCAUCGGAUAAUUUGCAUUUGUAAGUAUGACAAUAAAGCAUAUAUAUAUAUAUAUAUAUAUAUAUAUAUAUAUAUAUAUAUAUAUAUAUCAUCAAAUUACUACAGUCAGUAUAACAUACCAUUUCAUGCCGAUCGACCAUGGUACUUGUCAGGCGGGUCACGAAUGGCACCCCGACAAAGUCAUCACGUGGCGGAAUUAUGUCCCAUAGGUUGCACACCUCCUCCUCGCUCAGCCUCAUUCUUUGAGCAAUGAUGGCUUCAUGAAGUGGGUUCUCAUCAUCUUCAUUGAGUGGGUCCUCAUUAUCUUCAUCAUCUUCGUCAUCUUCAUCAUCUUCGUCAUCAUCAUCUUCCACCAGGUUUAUAUAAAUGACAACCAGCUUGGGUCUUUCUGCUCUGAAGGAGAAGCUGGUCAACUCACCACCAGUAAGACACAUGCGGGCGAGGAAACGGGCCCAUCCAUCUCCUCCAAUCUGUGAUAUUACGUCCUUUCUCGGCCUGCAUAGUGUACGGCCCCCAGGAGCCUCAAAUGUCACAGUGUCUCCUGUCAGCUUGUUGAAUUUCAACCUCACAUUGCAUGGGACGAUCUGUGUAAAAAAAGCAAAAUGACACAAUGCAGUAAUGCCAACACUAAAAAUAAAAUAGUUGUUACAUUUCAUCUAAUUUCUUACCGCCGCAUGACGAAAACUCGGCUGGAAGUAGAUGCCGAAUAGCUUGCCAGUUGCAAGGCUGCUGGCGCACCUUGACUUGCACAGUCGACAUGGUGGUGGUGGUGGUGGUGGCGCCAUUUUCCUAAAGCAAUAUGAGCAAAGGAUUAACGAUCCACUUCACAGGAAAGAAAAACAGUAGCAUGUGAUAUUUAUGGUUCUUCCGUGAGAAGCAAUUUGAUGGACAAUUAUAAUCCUAAGAUCUAGUAACAUAUUAGAUGACAAGGUACCACCUACCAAAGCAUUUCGGUGGCACCUAUUGCCGAAAAAACUUUUCACAACUAUCUACCAAAUCAGGGUACCACCUACCAAGACAUUUCAUCUAAUUUGGCCCCUAUUGCCUAAGAUAAUUGAUUAAAAAACAAGUGGCAAAUUUAACUAAAUUGGCACCUACAUUUUGCAAAAAAUUAAGUUAUUACAAAAAAACAAAAGCAUCUAGCUAUCCAUGCACAGAAAAAAUAACAAUAAAAUGGUGCAUACUAAAUCAACUAAAUCAACAAGCCUACUAAAUCAACUAAAUCAACUAGCCUACUAAAUCAACUAGCAUAAUAAAUCAACUAAAUCAAAAUGUUCUAAAUCAACUAGCCUACUAAAUAAACUAAAUCAUAUCAACUAAAUCAAAAUGUUGCAUAUGAACUAGCCUACUAAAUCAAAAUGUAUCAGGAAGAAAUUUGUAAGCCCUCGUAGCAUCUAGGUAGGGCAGCCCUCGGGGGGUGCUGUCGAGCGGAGGGGGGAUGGCAUGGUGACCUCGGUCGGGGGUGCUGACGAGGGGAAGGCCGGUGACUUUACUACNNNNNNNNNNNNNNNNNNNNNNNNNNNNNNNNNNNNNNNNNNNNNNNNNNNNNNNNNNNNNNNNNNNNNNNNNNNNNNNNNNNNNNNNNNNNNNNNNNNNNNNNNNNNNNNNNNNNNNNNNNNNNNNNNNNNNNNNNNNNNNNNNNNNNNNNNNNNNNNNNNNNNNNNNNNNNNNNNNNNNNNNNNNNNNNNNNNNNNNNNNNNNNNNNNNNNNNNNNNNNNNNNNNNNNNNNNNNNNNNNNNNNNNNNNNNNNNNNNNNNNNNNNNNNNNNNNNNNNNNNNNNNNNNNNNNNNNNNNNNNNNNNNNNNNNNNNNNNNNNNNNNNNNNNNNNNNNNNNNNNNNNNNNNNNNNNCCGGCAAGGGGAUCGAGGGCAGUCGGCCAAAGGCGCCCGGCCAGAGCUCGCGGCCAGCGACAGAGUGGGCGGCGAGAGGGUGGAGGAGCAGUGGAUGGGCGACGAGAGGGGGGAGGAGCAUUACCUGCGGCGGCGGUGGCGGAGGAGAAACCCUAACCGCAGCUGCCGGCGUCGGGAGGAGGGGGACGAUUGAGAGAUGACCGUGCGGGGGGGGCGGCCAGGCCGCGUGUUUUGUUUUGCUUUAGCAGUAGCGCAGGUAUAGGGAGCGCGCUACUGCUAAGCCCAAUAUCAGUAGCGCUUUGUCCUAAAAAAACGCUACUGCUAAGUCUAAGCAAUGUAAAAACAUCAAAAAUAUACAUUGGUCAUCAUUGAUCUUUUUGUGUAGAAUCUAAAUAGUCAACAUGAAUCCUCACCGUACCUGUAUAGGUACACGCGAGGAUUCAUAUUGCAGCCACAAAUCCUACACAUAUAGUUCAAUGAAGACCAAGUGCUCGAGAUAGUUUGAGAAGUAACAUAUUUAAGGUGGUAAACACCUUGUUGGCUUAGCAGUAUGGGACUAAACUUAAUUAGUUGCAAGGGGGGUGAUACUUAGCAGUAGCGAGUUUUGAAGAAAAACACUACUACUAAGUACUUUAGCAGUAGCGCGUCUAGAAGAAGGGCGCUACUACUAUAUCUAGCCUGGAGGCAACACCGUGGCAAUUAUAGUAGUAACGCUUGUUUCACCUAGAGCGCUACUGCUACUUGGUUAUUAGUAGCGCGGUUUCCUGAAGCUCGCUACUGAUAAUUAGCAGUAGUGUUUGUUUUUAAACAACGUUGCUGCUAAGAUUCUGUGUAUAAGGUUUUCCCUAGUAGUGGAGGCUUUAAAAAGGAUGCAAGGGGGCAAGGCGAUGGGCCCUGAUUGUAUCCCCAUUGAGGUGUGGAAAGGUCUCGGGGACAUAGCGAUAGUAUGGCUAACCAAGCUUUUCAACCUCAUUUUUCAGGCAAACAAGAUGCCAGAAGAAUGGAGACGGAGUAUAUUAGUACCAAUCUUCAAGAACAAGGGGGGUGUUCAGAGUUGUACUAAUUAAAGUGGAAUUGAGCUGAUGAGCCAUACAAUGAUGCUAUGGGAGAGAGUCAUUGAGCACCGCUUAAGAAGAAUGACAAGCGUGACCAAAAAUCAGUUUGGUUUCAUGCCUGGGAGGUCGACCAUGGAAGCCAUUUUCUUGGUAUGACAACUUAUGGAGAGAUAUAGGGAGCAAAAGGACUUGCAUAUGGUGUUCAUUGACUUGGAGAAGGCCUAUGAUAAGAUACCGCAGAAUGUCAUGUGGUGGGCCUUGGAUAAACACAAAGUCCCAGCAAAGUACAUUACCCUCAUCAAGGACAUGUACGAUAAUGUUGUGACAAGUGUUCGAACAAGUGAUGUCGACACCGAUGACUUCCCGAUUAAGAUAGGACUGCAUCAGGGGUCAGCUUUGAGCCCUUAUCUUUUUGCAUUGGAGCUGGAUGAGGUCACAAGGGAUAUACAAGGAGAUAUCCCAUAGUGUAUGCUCUUUGCGGAUGAUGUGGUGCUAGUUGACGAUAGUGAGACGGGGGUAAAUAGGAAGUUAGAGUUAUGGAGACAAACCUUGGAAUCGAAAGGGUUUAGGCUUAGUAAAACUAAAACCGAGUACAUGAUGUGCGGUUUCAGUACUACUAGGUGUGAGGAGGAGGUGGUUAGCCUUGAUGGCUAGGUGGUACCUCGGAAGGACACCUUUCGGUAUUUGGGGUCAAUGCUGCAGGAGGAUGGGGGUAUUGAGGAAGAUGUGAACCAUCGAAUCAAAGCUGGAUGGAUGAAGUGGCGCCAAGCUUCUGGCAUUCUCUGUGACAAGAGAGUGCCACAAAAGCUAAAAGGCAAGUUCUACAGGACAGCGGUUCCACCCGCAAUGUUGUAUGGCGCUAAGUGUUGGCCGACUGAAAGGCGACAUGAUCAACAGUUAGGUGUGGCAGAGAUGUGUAUGUUGAGAUGGAUGUGUGGACACACGAGGAAGGAUCAAGUCCAGAAUGAUGAUAUACGAGAUAGAGUUGGGGUAGCACCAAUUGAAGAGAAGCUUGUCCAACAUCGUCUGAGAUGGUUUGGGCAUAUUCAGCGCAGGCCUCCAGAAGCUCCAGUGCAUAGCGGACGACUAAAGCAUGUGGAGAAUGUCAAGAGAGGGCGGGGUAGACCGAAUUUGACAUGGGGGUGUCUGUUAAUAGAGACCUGAAGGAUUCGAGUAGCACCAAAGAGCUAGCUAUGGACAGGGGUGCGUGGAAGCUUGCUAUCCAUGUGCCAGAGCCAUGAGUCGGUUGUGAGAUCUUAUGGGUUUCACCUCUAGCCUACCCAAACUUUUUUGGGAAUAAAGGCUUUGUGGUUGUUGGGUUGCCUCCCAACAAGCGCUAUAGUUUUACGCCCUUAGCUAGGCAUAAAGCAAGGAUCUAAGUUUUCUCAUCUUUGUUUCGAGAUCCAUAAGAUGCCCUCAUGAUUGAUUCGUAUGGUGGCCUAAUUCUUGUUCUAGGGAAGUGUUCCAUACCCUUCCUCAAAGGAAAUUGGAAAUUAAUAUUGCCUUCUUUCAUAUCAAUCACGACACCGAUAGUGCGUAAAAACGGUCUACCAAGAAUAAUUGGACAAGACGGAUUGCAAUCAAUAUCAAGAACAAUAAAAUCUACGGGCACAUAAUUCCUAUUUGCAAGAAUAAGAACAUCAUUAAUUCUUCCCAUAGGGUUUUUAAUAGUAGAAUCCGCCAAGUGCAAAUUUAAAGAACAUUCUUCAAGAUCGGUAAGACCAAGACAUCACAUAAAGAUUUCGGAAUUGUAGAAACACUAGCACCCAAGUCACACAAAGCAAAACACUCAUAAUUUUUAAUCUUGACUUUGAUAGUAGGUUCCCAUUCAUCAUGCAAUUUUCUAGGAAUUGAAACUUCUAAUUCCAAUUUUUCUUCAAAAGCUUUCAUCAUAGCAUCAACAAUAUGUUUAGUAAAAGCUUUAUUUUGUUCAUAAGCAUGGGGUGAAUUUAUCAUGGAUUGCAACAAAGAAAUACAAUAAAACAAACAGCAACUAUCAUAAUUAAAGUCUUUGUAAUCCAAAAGAGUGGGCACAUCACAGGUUAAAGUUUUGACCUCUUCAAACCCACUUUCAUCAAUUUUCUCAACAAGAUUUUCACCCUCUGAAUUAUCGGCACCCCUUCUAGCUUCGACUCUUCUCCAGUCCUUUUUCCAUCAAUCUUAACUUUACAAACAAGGAAUCAAUAGAAGAAACACCAAUCGUUUUAAGAUCUUCAUCACUUUUAUGAAAGUAAUCGCUAGAAAUUCUUUUUCUAAAAAUUCUCUUUUAUCUCUAAGCAUAGCGGUUCUUUUCUUACUUUCAUCCAUAGAAACAUAAAGAGCUUUAAUUUAUUAAUCAACCUUAGGCACAAAAAAUUUCAUCUUGAGAUUUUCCACAUCAUGAGAAAUUCUAUCAACACUUCUAGAAAAAUCAUCAAUCUUAUUCAACUUUUCUUCUAUGGAAGUGUUGAAAACUUUUUGCGUGUUGAUAAAUUCUUUAAUAUUAUUCUCAAGAUCAGAGGUGUUCCUAUUAUUAUUAUAAGAAGGAUUUCCAUAGGAAUUACCAUAAUUAUUAGAGGAAUUACUAGGAAAAGGCCUAGGAUUAAAAUUACCUCUAUAAGCAUUGUUAUUGAAAUUAUUUAACCCAUGAGUUGGGCAAUUCCUUAGCAUCAUUUUCAUCCUUUCCCAAGAUUGUGCAACAUGCUCAUGUUCAAGUUGCUUGAAAUUCAUGAUCUGUGUUCUAAGGGAAAUAAUUUUUGUGGGUGGAAAAUACUUAGUGAUAAAAGCAUCUUUGCACUUAUUACAAGAAUCGAUACUAUUGCGAGACAAAGAAGAGAACCAAAUUAUUGCAAAAUCACGCAAAGAAAACGGAAAUAAUUUCAUCUUCACAACAUCAUUGUCCACAUCUUUUUUCUUUUGCAUAUCGCAUAAUUCCACGGAGGUAUUAAGAUGGGACGCGGUAUCCUCAUUAGGAGUACCGGAAAAUUGAUCUUUCAUAACAAGAUUCAAUAAAGUAGUAUUAAUAUCACAAGACUCCGCACUAGUGGCGGGAGGAACAAUCGGAGUGCCAAUAAAAUCAUUGUUGUUGGUAUUUGAGAAAUCAAAUAACUUGGUGUUCUCUUGAGUCAUGAUGACUACACAACAAGAUUGCACUCAAAAACAGAUCCGGCAAGAAAACGGCGAAUGAAAAAAGAGGGGCGAAUAAAACUGCAAAUUUUUGUGAAGUGGGGGAGAGGAAAACGAGAGGCAAAUGGCAAAUAAUGUAAAUUGCGAGGAGAUGAGAGUUGUGAUUAGGAACCUGUUAUAUGUUGAAGAUCCUCCCUGGCAACGGUGCCAGGAAUUCCUUUUGAUGCGGCUUGAAGCUACGUCGGUAUUUCCCCAAAGAGGAAGGGAUGAUGCAGCACAGCAUCGGUAGGUAUUUCCCUCAGAUAUGAAACCAAGGUUAUCGAACCAGUAGGAGAACCAAGCAACACAACCUAAACAGCACCUGCACACAAAUAACAACUUCUCAGAACCCGAUGUGUAAAAGGGGUUGUCAAUCCCUUUCAGGUAGCGCCGCCCCAAGAUGGGCAAACGGACGUGAAUAAAAUUGUAGCAGAUUGAUAGAUCGAACGCCAAAUAAAAUAAAUAAGAAUAAACCCCAGCAAGGUAUUUUUGUAUUUUUGUUUAAUAGAUCUGAAAAUAAAAGCAAGGGAAAAUAGAUCGCAAAGGCAAAUAAUAUGAGAAAGAGACCCGGGGGUCGUAGGUUUCACUAGUGGCUUCUCUCGAGAAAAAUAGCAAACGGUGGGUGAACACAUUAUUGUUGGGCAAUUGAUAGAACUUCAAAUAAUCAUGACAAUAUCCAGGCAAUGAUCAUUAUAUAGGCAUCACGUCCAAGAUUAGUAGACCGACUCCUGCCUGCAUGUACUACUAUUACUCCACACAUCGACCGCUAUCCAGCAUGCAUCUAGUGUAUUAAGUUCAUGGAGAAACGGAGUAAUGCAAUAAGAACGAUGACAUGAUGUAGACAAGAUCUAUCUAUGUACAAAUAGAUUCCAUCGUUUUACCCUUAGUAGCAACGAUACAUACGUGUCGGUUCCCCUUCUGUCACUGGGAUCAAGCACCGUAAGAUCGAACCCACUACAAAGCACCUCUUCCCAUUACAAGAUAAAUAGAUCAAGUUGGCCAAACAAAACCCAAAUAUUGAAGAAGAAAUAUGAGGCUAUAAGCAAUCAUGCAUAAAAGAGAUCAAAGAAACUCAAAUACUUUCAUGGAUAUAAAAAGAUAGAUCUGAUCAUCAACUCAAAGUUCAUCCGAUCCCAACAAACACACUGCAAAAAGAGUUACAUCAUACGGAUCUCCAAGAGACCAUUGUAUUGAGAAUUCAGCGAGAGAGAGGAAGCAAUCUAGCUACUAACUACGGACCCAAAGGUCCACAAAGAACUACUCACGCAUCAUCGGAGAGGCACCAAUGGAGGUGGUGAACCCCAGCCGUGAUGGUGUCUAGAUUGGAUCUGGUGGUUCUGGACUCUACGACGGCUGGAAUUGAUUUUCGUCGACUCCCUUAGGGUUUCUGGAAUAUUGGGGUAUUUAUAGAGCAAAGAGGCGGCCCGGGGGCACCCGAGGUGGGCACAACCCACCAGGGCGCGCAUGGGCCUCCUGGCGCGCCCUGGUGGGUUGUGCUCUCCUCGGAGCACCCCCCAGGCGUAGCCUUGGCCCAUUAGGUGUCUUAUGGUCCAAAAAAAUCUCCAUAAAGUUUCGUUGCAUUUGGACUCCGUUUGGUAUUGAUUUCCUGUGAUGUAAAAAACAUGCAGAAAACAGCAACUGGCAUCUGGCACUAUGUCAAUAGGUUAGUACCAAGAAAUGAUAUAAAAUGACUACAAAAUGAUUAUUAAACAUCCAAGAUUGAUAAUAUAAUAGCAUGGAACAAUCAAAAGUUAUAGAUACGUUGGAGACGUAUCAAAGCCCUGUCUGAUACAUGCGACUCCAAGCACAGACUCAACUCACAGCCUUCGAGCAUGUUGGGUACUUCGGCAGGUAGCUAAAAGUGGGGAGGCCAUCCUCACCACCGCCACUUCAGAGAAGCAUUCUCCGGAGGAUGAUGAUUUUAAUGUCCUUACAGUCUUUGAGACAUUCUCUUCAAAUAAUCGGCAUAACAGGGCACUUCGCGACCUCGCCGAAGUCCACCAAGUAACCGCAAUGAGCCUAUGGAACAACUCGACAAUAACCUUCACCGCUGAUGACGAACCAAGGGCCCGAUCAGUCCGAGCACCCGUCGCUUUAGUACUAAACCCCACUGUGGACGGCUUUCGACUUACCAAAGUGCUCAUGGACGGCGGCAGUGGGGUUAACCUCAUCUACGAGGACACGCUUGACAAAAUGCAGGUUGACAGAACACGCAUCAAGCAAAGCAGUACCACCUUUCGAGGCAUCAUCCCCAGUCGAGAAGCACGAUGUUCAGGGAGAAUUAAGCUUGACGUAGUAUACGGCACGCCUGCAAAUUAUAGGUCAGAAGAGCUGCUCUUUCACGUUGUUCCCUUCAAUAGCGGAUAUCAUGCCCUUCUAGGGCGGGACGCUUUCUCAUGCUUCCAAGCCAUACCCCAUUACAGGUACAUGAAGCUUAAAAUGCCAGGGCCCAAUGGAAUAAUCACAGUUUCGAGUGACCGGAUAAGGCACUCCGCGCCGAAAACAAAACCACAUCCUUGGCUCUUGAGUUAUGAUACGUCUCCAACGUAUCUAUAAUUUAUGAGGUAUUCAUGGUAUUAUUUUAUCAUUCUUGGAUGUUUUACAAUCAUUUUAUAGCAACUUUAUAUCAUUUUUUGGGACUAACCUAUUGAUCCAGUGCCCAGUGCCAGUUGCUGUUUUUUGCUUGUUUCUUACAUCGCAGAUAAUCAAUACCAAACGGAGUCCAAACGCAACGAAACUCCACGGAGAUUUUUAUGGACCGGAAGGAACCCAAUGGGCCAGAGCUGCACCUGGGGGGUGCCGCGAGGGGGGCACAACCCACCAGGGCGCGCUCAGGUGGGUUGUGCCCACCUCGGUGGCCUCCUGCGCCCCCUCUUUACCCUAUAAAUUCCCCAAAAUUCCAAAAACCCUCGGGGUUAACCUAGAUCAGAAGUCUCGCCGCCGCAGGGCUCCGUAGCCAUCGAAAACCAAUCUAGACCCGUUUUGGCACCCUGCCGAAGGGGGGAAUCAUCUCCGGUCACCAUAUUCAUCAUCCCGGCGGCCACCACGAUGAGGAGGAGUAGUCCACCCUCGGGGCUGAGGGUUUGUACCAGUAGCUAUGUGUUUAAUCUCUCUCUCUCUCGUGUUCUUGAUAUGUCACGAUCUUGAUGUAUCGUGGGCUUUGUUAAUAUAGUCAGAUCAUAUGGUGUUUUCCCCUCUCUAUCUUGUUGUGAUGAAUUGAGUAUUUCCCUUUGAGAUUUCAUUGUUAUCGGAUUGAAUACUUUUAUGGAUUUGAGAACACUUGAUAUAUGUCUUGCAAUUGAAUACUCAUGGUGAGAAUGGGGUAUCGUAUUGAUUCACAUGAUAUAUGUUUUGGCACUCAACUCGCGGAUUCCCGAGGUGACAUUGGGGUAAUCUAUGCAUAAGGGUUGAUGCACGUUCUUGUCUUUGUUUCUCCGGUAGAAAUCUUGGGGCACUCUUUGAAGUUCUUUGUGUUGGAUUGAGUAUUAUGAAUAUGGAUUUGCUUUGGUGUUAUUUUAGUACGAACUCUAGGAUAGAUCGAACGGAAAGAAUAGCUUUGUGUUAUUUUACUACGAACUCUUGAAUAGAUCGAAUGGAAAGAAUAGCUUUGAGGUGGUUUCGUGCCCUACAAACAAUUUAUUCUUAUGUUCUCUGCUAGAUAGGAACUUUGGAUUGAUUCUCCGUCGCACUUUGAGGGGUGGUUAUAUGAUCCAAUUAUAUUAGCAUUGUUGAGAGAUUGCACUAGCGAAAGUACGGACCCUAGGCCUCAUUUUCAAGCAUUGCAAUACCGUUUUUGUGCCCGUUUACUAUUUGCUACCUUGCUGUUUUUAUUUAUUCAGAUUAUAAAAAUAUAUUUCUACCAUCCAUAUUACAUUUUUAUCACCAUCUCUUCGUCGAACUAGUGCACCUAUACAAUUUGCCAUUGUAUUGGGUGUGUUGGGGACACAAGAGAUUUCCUGUAUUUUGUUGCAGGGUCAUUUGAGAGAGACCAUCUUCAUCCUACACCUCUCACGGAUUGAUAAACCUUAGGUCAUCCACUUGAGGGAAAAUUGCUACUGUCCUACAAAACUCUGCGCUUGGAGGCCCAACACGUGUCUACAAGAAUAAAGUUGCGUAGUAGACAUCAAGCUCUUUUCUGGCGCCGUUGCCGGGGAGGUGAGUGCUUGAAGGUAUAUCUUUUGAUCUUGCAAUUGAAUCUUUUAGUUUCUUGUUUUAUCACUAUUUUGGUUUAUAAAAAGAAAACUACAAAAAAAUGGAAUCGAGGAAAAUUGUGCGCCAUUGUUAGAAGAAGAAUUAUAUAAAAUGUUUGACAAAAAAUCUUUGAAUGAUGAGCAUGAUUGCAAUGUUGUUGGUAUGAAAUCUUUGAAUAUCCAUGAUGCUAGGGAUAUGCAAAGCCAUAAGCUUGGGGAUGCUAUGUUUGAUGAAGAUGAUAUUUUUAGUCCCCCAAGAUUUGAUGUGCAAAUUUGUUAUAAUGAUUGCAUGCCACCUAUUUAUGAUGAUUAUAUUGAUGAAAGUGGGUUUGUAAGAGUGUCAACUUUAGAUAGUGAUCCCACUAUUUUGGACGGUGUUGAAUCUUAUUGUUAUAAUGAUAAAAGUGGAUUUGGAGAGGUCAUGACUUUAUUUAGUGAUGAGUCCACUAUUUCGGAAGAGGUUCCAAUUGAUUAUGAGAACAAAAUUGCUACAUAUGAUGAUUAUGUUGAUGACAUGUAUGCUAUAAAGAAUAAUGAUAACCAUGAAACUUGUCAUCAUGAUUUUAAUUUUCACUCUCAUGAUAGUUAUUUUGUUGAGUUUGCUCCCACUACUAUAGAUGAGAAGAAAUUUUCUUAUGUGGAGAAUAAUGAGUUUUCUAUGCUUUUGUGUCAUGGAAAGAAUGCUUUAUGUGAUAGUUAUAUUGUUGAUUUUCUUAAUGAUGCAACUAAAAAAAAUUAUGAGGGAGGAACUUAUGCUUGUAGGAAUUGCAAUAAUAUCAAGUUUCCUCUCUAUGUGUUGAAAGUUUUGAAGUUAUGCUUGUUUUGCCUUCCUAUGCUAGUUGAUUAUUGUUCCCAUAAGUUGUUUGCUCUCAAAAUCCCUAUGCAUAGGAAGUGGGUUAGACUUAAAUGUGCUAGUCAUAUGCUUCAUGAUGCUCUCUUUGUGUUUCAAUUCUUUACUUUUAUACGAGCAUCAUUGAAAUCAUCAUGCCUAGCUAAAAGGCAUUAAAGAAAAGCGCUUGUUGGGAGACAACCCAAAACUUUUACCUACUGUUUUUGUGUGUUCACAUGAUUAGGCUACUGUAGUAAUCAUGUUGUAUUGCAUUCGGUUCAAUAAAGUACCAAGUAAGACCUUUGGGAUCAUGUUGGGUGAUAGUAGAUUUGAUCUUGCUGCAAAACAGAAACUUUGGCGCUCACGAAAAUAAGUCUCAUUUUUAACAGAAGAGUACUUUUGAGUUUAUUCUUUUUGCAGAAGUUUAAUAUACAAAUUGCUCACGUGGUCAUAAUUUUUUGAGUAGCAGAAGUAUGGUAGUUAUCCAGAUCAUUACAGACUGUUCUGUUUUUGACAGAUUCUCUUUUCAAUACAUAGUUUGCUUGUUUUCUAGUUUCUAUGGCUUAUAGUACUCAAUAUAAAUUGUGGAAAUGAUGAGGUACAGUAGGAAUUGUGUGGAAAAAAAUAUGAAUCUUAUCUUUGACAGUACCAAAGUGAAAUGGUUUGCUCUUUAUCAUACUAACCUAUCUCACGAAGUUCCGUUAAGUUUUGUGUGAUUGAAGUUUUCAAGUUUUGGGUGAGAUAUCGAUAUGAGGAGAAUAAGGAGUGACAAGACCCUAAGCUUGGGGAUGCCCAAGGCACCCCAAGUUAAUAUCCAAGGAAGAUCCAAGCAACUAAGCUUGGGGAUGCCCUGGAAGGCAUCCCCUCUUUCGUCUCCAACAUUAUCGGUAACCUCACUUGGAGCUAUGUUUUCUUCGUCACAUGAUUUGUGUUUUGCUUGGAGCAUCAUUUUAUUUUGUUAGUAUUUUCUCGCUGGUAUUUAGAAUAAUGUUUUGCAUCUUUUAUUUCAAUAAAAGUGGCAAUGAUAGCCUUUGCCAUGCUUAUUUUGCAAGUAUACAUGUUACUGUUUGAAAACAGAAAGUUUACCGCUAUUGCAAAAAUUCCCUAGAAAAGUCAGAAUGUGAUAAAAUGUUGAAACUUUUUGAAUGAUAAUCUAUGAUAAAUUCUCUACAGUGUGGUAGAAUUCCAUAAUGUUUGGAGGUGAAUAAGUAUUGAUACUCUUGCAUUCUUUACAGACCGUACUGUUUUGGCAGAUUGUUGUUAUGUUUGCAUUGUUUGCAUAUGUUUGCUUGUUUAAUGCUCCUAUUUGAGGGUAUGAGUAUUAAAUAUGCAGAGGCAUUUAGUAUGCAAUGUUGAAUAAUAAUUUUAGUGAUUUGCUACAGUAGAUAAUGAUAAGGUUUUUGCAUUGGUUUAUACUAACUUAUCUCACGAGUUCUUGUUGAGUUUUGUGUGGAUGAAGCUUUUUAGAUUUAGGAAAACCGUGAUAUGAGAGGAAUUAAGUAGACACAAAACCUCAAGCUUGGGGAUGCCCAAGGCAUCCCAAGAUAAUAUUUCAAGAAGUCUCAAGCAUCUAAGCUUGGGGAUGCCCCGGUAGGCAUCCCACCUUUUUUCUUCAACAAUUAUCGGUUAGUAUCGGUUGAGCCUAAGUUUUUGCUUCUUCACAUGAGUUGUGCUAUUCUUAGAACGUCAUUUUAUUUUUGUUCUGCUUGUUGUUUUAAUAAAAUACUUAUAUCUGAAAGUUUUAAAUAAGAGAGAGUCCAGACAUAGCUAUCUAUUUACUUAACUACUCAUUUGAUCUUCACUUAUAUCUUUUUGGAGUAGCUUGUCAUUUACUCUUGUGCUUCACUUAUAUCCUAUGAGUAAAUUGUUGAAUGAAUUGAAUAUCAUGAAGUUGAAAUUAUAGCAUGCCUAGUGGUAGCUUCACAUUGGGUUUAGAAAGUGAAAUCUUUUGAGGCAUGACAAUCACAAUAUUGGUCAUACAAGCAAUUCACGACUAAUUAGUAUAAGGAAGAGAACUUUCACAUGCAAAUACAUUAUCAUGGAAAUCUUUUGUGAUUGUGAGCCCCCAUCAAAAUAUUAUAUGCCAAAAUUAUUGAUGUUGGACAAGGAAGAUGUAAUGAUUUAUGUUUGCUCAUAUUCACAUAGAAGUUAUAUUGUCAUAUAUCCUUCAACAUGUGGUGCUUGCCCCCAUCUUUGCUAGCCAAAAAUUUUGCACCAAGUAGAGAUACUACUUGUGCAUCCAAAAACCCUUAAGCCCAAAUCUUAUUUUCAAGAGUCCACCAUACCUACCUAAGGAUUGAGUCAGAUCCUUCAAUUAAGUUGUCAUCGGUGCAUUAAGGCAAUAAUUUUUUUUUCUAAAAGUGAGAUCAUUUAGUGCAAGAGAAAAUUGAGCCUUGUACGAACUUGGAUGCCAAAGAAUAAAAUCGACAGACUGCAUAAUAAAGGUUGCCAUCUUAAGGGGCAAUACAACGCGGCGUUCUUUUUCACUAAGGGAUUGAGCAUACAAACAAAUAAGCGCAUGGCAACCUCUGCUUCCCUCUGCGAAGGGCCUAUCUUUUACUUUUAUGUAUUUACUUUUAUGCAAGAGUCAAAGUUUUUCUCUCUAUUCCUUUUUUAUUUUCUCUUUUGGCAAGCAUCAUGUGGUGAGGAGGAAUCUAGGCACAUAUGUCCAGUUGAAUUUGGGUAGCAUGAGUUAUUAUUGUUGACAUCACCCUUGAGGUGAAUACGUUGGGAGGCGAAACUCUAAGCCCCUAUCUUUCUAUGUGUCCGGUUGAAACGUUCUGCUCAUGUGUAUGCGGUGAGUGUUAGCAGUCAUAGAAGACUAUAUGAUGGUUGAGUAUGUGGAGCUCUUACUUAGACUCUGUUGAAUAAGUUGAAUUGCAAUUGCUUGGUGACUAAGAACAUAAUUUGUUGAGUUUCAAGAGAGUUCAUUGUUUGGACCUUAACAUGUGAAUUGGUUGCUACUAUAACAUGAGAAGUUUUAUAAGAAAGAAUUGUUGUUAUGAUGCUAGGAAAAGUGAUUAAAUUUAUCAUUGAUCAAACUUAUGUACUUUCCUAGCAUUCACACUUCAUAAAUUAUUUCUUUUAUCAUUUACCUACUCGAGGACAAGUAGGAAUUAAGCUUGGGGAUGCUGAUACGUCUCCAACGUAUCUAUAAUUUAUGAAUUAUUCAUGUUGUUAUUUUAUCAUUCUUGGAUGUUUUACAAUCAUUUUAUAUCAACUUUAUAUCAUUUUUUGGGACUAACCUAUUGACUCAGUGCCCAGUGCCAGUUGCUGUUUUUCGCUUGUUUUUUACAUCGCAGGAAAUCAAUACCAAACGGAGUCCAAACGCAACGAAACUCCACGGAGAUUUUUUAUGGACCACAAGGAAUCCAAUGGCCCGGAGCUACACCUGGGGGUGCCCCGAGGGGGGCACAACCCACCAGGGCGUGCCAGGGCCCCCUGGCACGCCUAGGUGGGUUGUGCGCACCUCGGUGGCCUCCCGCACCCCCUCUUUACCCUAUAAAUUCCCAAAAAUUCCAAAAACCCUCGGGGUUAACCUAGAUCAGAAGUCCCGCCGCCGCAGGGCUCCGUAGCCACCGAAAACCAAUCUAGACCCAUUCUGGCACCCUGCCGGAGGGGGAAAUCAUCUCUGGUGGCCAUGUUCAUCAUCCCGGCGGCCACCACGAUGAGGAGGGAGUAGGCCACCCUCGGGGCUGAGGGUUUGUACCAGUAGCUAUGUGUUUAAUCUCUCUCUCUCUCUUGUGUUCUUGAGAUGUCACGAUCUUGAUGUAUCGCGGGCUUUGUUAAUAUAGUCGGAUCAUAUGGUGUUUUUCCCUCUCUAUCUUGUUGUGAUGAAUUGAGUAUUUCCCUUUGAGAUUUCGUUGUUAUCGGAUUGAAUACUUUUAUGGAUUUGAUAACACUUGAUAUAUGUCUUGAAAUUGAAUACUCGUGGUGACAAUGGGGUAUCGUAUUGAUUCACAUGAUAUAUGUUCUGGAACUCAACUCGCGGAUUCCCGAGGUGACAUUGGGGUAAUCUAUGCAUAGGGGUUGAUGCAUGUUCUUGUCUUUGUUUCUCCGGUAGAAAUCUUGGGGCACUCUUUGAAGUUCUUAGUACGAACUCUAGGAUAGAUCGAACGGAAAGAAUAGCUUUGUGUUAUUUUACUACGAACUCUUGAAUAGAUCGAACGGAAAGAAUAGCUUUGAGGUGGUUUCGUACCCUACAAACAAUUUAUUCUUAUGUUCUCCGCUAGAUUGGAACUUUGGAGUGAUUCUCCGUCGCACUUUGAGGGGUGUUUAUAUGAUCCAAUUAUAUUAGCAUUGUUGAGACAUUGCACUAGCGAAAGUACGGACCCUAGGCCUCAUUUUCAAGCAUUGCAAUACCGUUUUUGUGCCCGUUUAUUAUUUGCUACCUUGCUGUUUUUAUUUAUUCAGAUUAUAAAAAUAUAUUUCUACCAUCCAUAUUACACUUUUAUCACCAUCUCUUCGCCAAACUAGUGCACCUAUACAAUUUGCCAUUGUAUUGGGUGUGUUGGGGACACAAGAGAUUUCCUGUAUUUGGUUGCAGGGUCAUUUGAGAGAGACCAUCUUCAUCUACACCUCUCAGGGAUUGAUAAACCUUAGGUCAUCCACUUGAGGGAAAAUUGCUACUGUCCUACAAAACUCUGCGCUUGGAGGCCCAACACGUGUCUACAAGAAUAAAGUUGCGUAGUAGACAUCAAGUUACUAGCCGAAGCCUUUGCGGCUGAAGAACUAACCACCCUACGAUCCCUAGUGGGCAAGGAUGAUGUGAUUCUCGACAAGAGAUCUAAAUGCACCUCUUUCAAGCCAGCAGAUGAAAUAGUUAAAUUCCAAGUGCACCCAGCGGAUCCUAAUAAAACAGCGUCCAUCGGAGCACAGCUGGAUCCGACGGUAGACACCGCCUUAUGUGUGUUCCUACGUGAAAAUCGGGAUAUCCUUGCCUGGCACCCCUUAGAUAUGCCCGGGAUCCCACACAGACUGGCUGAACACAGCCUCAACAUAAUCAAAGGGUUCAAACCAGUCAAGCAAACGCUACGGCGAUUUUCCGAACCCAAACGACAAGCUAUGGUGGAGGAGCUAGCCAAACUGCUCGAGGCCGGGUUCAUCAGAGAAAUCAAACACCCGGAUUGGUUAGCCAACUUGGUCAUGGUGCCGAAGAAGGAUCAAUCUUGGCGCCUUCGUGUCGAUUUCAAAGACCUCAAUAAGGCUUGCCCUAAAGCCCCUUUCCCAUUACCCCGCAUUGACCAGAUCAUUUAUGCGACCGUGGGACACGACUCAUUGUGUUUACUCGACGCUAACUCCGGAUACCAUCAGAUUAAAAUGAAGGACUCUGAUCAGGCCGCAACGGCGUUCAUCACCCCAUAUGGGCCUUUCUAUUUCAACACUAUGCCUUUUGGGCUUAAAAACGCUGGUGCCACUUACCAACACAUGAUUCAAACAUGCUUGGAAAUAAAAUCGGCAAGACAGUUGAAGAAUAUGUGGAUGACGUGGUCAUCAAGACUAAACACGUUGAAUCAUUGGUGGACGAUCUCCGCCUCACAUUUGACAACCUCCAAACAUACCAAUCAAUCCGGAAAAAUGCGUCUUCAGUGUUCCAGCCAGAAAGCUAUUAGGAUUCAUUGUCUCCCAUAGAGGAAUUGAAGCAAACCGAGCUAAAAUCCGAGACUUGUCGCAAUUGGCCACACCAACAGACUUAAAGCAGGUCCAAAAGCUAGCAGGGUGCGUGGCGGCGUUGAGCCGCUUCAGCUCCAGAUUAGGAGAAAAAGCAUUACCACUUUAUAGACUGCUUAGACGCACCGACAACUUUGAAUGGACGGAUGCGGCCACAGCCGGAUUGUAGGAAAUAAAAACCUUCUUAGCAGGCAACCCAAUCCUAGCCGCCCCAAGUGUUGGCGAGCCUAUGUUGCUUUAUAUCUCCGCAACUCAACAGGUAGUGAGCGAUGUACUCGUCAUCGAGCGAGGGGAAGAGGGACAUAAAUUCCCCAUCCAAAAGCCAGUGUAUUACGUAUCAGAGGUCCUUACACCAUGCAAAUCCCGAUACCCUCACUACCAGAAGAUAGCUUACGUGGUCUUUAUGGCAUCCCGAAAACUCCGACACUAUUUUCAAGAGUGUUCGAUCAUGGUGGCAUCCAAAGUACCACUUAACGACAUUAUAAACAACAAGGACGCCACCGGCCGCAUAGCUAAAUGGGCCAUUGAGCUCUUAUCGUUUGAAAUAACAUACAAGCCACGCCGAGCUAUUAAAUCUCAGGUGCUGGCCGACUUCGUUGCCGAGUGGACGGAAGCCGAGCUCCCUAAAGAGUAAAGUUCAUACUCCAACUGCAUGUACUUCGACGACUCUAAAAUGCUAGCCGGACUGGGGGCUGGUGUCAUCUUGACAUCCCCUACGGGGGACACGGUCCGCUACGUGUUGUAAAUCAUGUAUACGGACUCCAAUAAUGCAGCUGAAUAUGAGGCACUUCUACAUGGUCUCCGCAUGGCUGUCUCCAUGGGCAUACAAUGACUCGAGGUGCACGGCGACUCAAUCCUUGCAAUAUCUCAGAUAAAUGGAGAGUUCGAUGCAAAAGAUCCAAAAAUGGCGGCAUAUCGAAACGCCGUAUUAAAAAUAUCGGCUCGGUUCGAGGGACUUGAAUUUCAUCACUUCGCUCGAGACAGUAACCAGGCAGCGGACAUACUCGCUUGCACGGGCGCCAAGUGCAACCCUGUCCUGCCUAAUACCUUUAUGGAAAGGCUCUUUAGGCCAUCCGUGGUAUGGCAGGACGAGAGCGGAGACGCCAGUACGGACCUGAUCAUGCCCCCGGCAGCCGAACAUAAUACAGAUAUCAUCGGGGGUCCGGAUACCGAAAUAACGCCCUCUAAUCAUGAGAUCAUGGUCGUUAUUGCUCCUUGGACCGAACCCUUCCUGGCCUACCUUAAUAGGCAGGAGCUUCCCGAUGAUCAAAAUGAGGCCCGUCGCAUAGUUCGGCGUUCUAAAGCCUACAAAGUUCACGAAGGUGAACUGUACAAGAAAAGCACUACCGGAGUUCUCCAAUUGUACAUCUCCGAAGAGGAUGGACGACAACUCCUGGCUGAAAUACAUGCUGGUCUAGGCGGCCAUCACGCCGCAGCUCGGGCCCUCGUAAGCAAAGCCUUCCGGACAGGUUUUUUCUGACCAAUGGCCCAAGCAGACGCACAGGCCCUUGUCCAACGUUGUGUGGGAUGUCAGCUUUUCGCCAAUCAAAGUCAUAUGCCUCCCACUGCCUUAAGAACAAUCCCCAUCACUUGGCCCUUCGCGGUCUGGGGGCUGGAUAUGGUCGGACCCCUUAAAGGGGGAAGCCACAAAAAGAAAUAUUUACUGGUUAUGGUGGAUAAAUUCACUAAGUGGAUAGAGGCCAAACCAAUAAAAACGGCUGAAGCAGGACCAGUGGUUGACUUUAUAUCCGGCGUGGUACACCGCUAUGGUGUCCUGCACAGCAUCAUCACUGAUAAUAGCUCCAAUUUUACAGCUGAUGAGGUGAAAAACUAGUGUGCUAACUUGGUUAUUAAACUUGACUAUGCAUCCGUCUACCACCCUCAAACAAACGGUCAGAUUGAACGGGCCAAUGGCCUGAUAAUGAGCGGCAUUAAACCCCGACUAGUGCGCUCCCUAUGGGAGUCGGAUAAGCAAUGGGUUGAGGAACUCGAUUUCGUGCUCUGGGGGCUGCGGACUACACCUAACCGAACAACCGGAUAUACACCUUUCUUCAUGGUGUACGGUGUGGACGCUGUCCUGCCCUGCGACAUUAUUCAUGACUCACCUCGAGUGCGCAUGUACGAAGAGCGAGAAGCUGAGCUUGAUCGACAGGACGACCUAGACGGCCUCGAAGAGGAGCGCGAUAUUGCACAAGCCCGUUUCGCAUUUUAUCAACAACAGGCCAGGUGAUACCAAAGAAGAGAAGUGCGGUCCAAGACAUAUAACACUGGCGACCUCGUCUUGCGUCUCCCAGAGAAUAAUAAGGAUAAGCUCAAACCAAGAUGGGAGGGCCCCUUCAUCAUAGAUGAAGUUCUCACGGGAGGAGCCUAUCGCCUUUGUAAUGCAUCGGAUAAUCGCCUUGAGUCGAAUCCAUGGAACGAUGCUCGGCUCCGACGAUUCUACGGAUAGUUCGGUAGCACCUUUUUACUUUGACUAGGUUCCUUUUUCUCCUCUCCUUUUUUAUUUUUUCAUUUUUAUAUCCCAGGGUAUGUUCGGAUCUACCGAACUGUUAGGGGUACACAUCUUUAAAUGUAUACACCCCACUAUAACUUGGGCCUUCUUUGAUGAAGCUUAUUAUUAAAAGCUUGUGGCUUACAUUGUUUACGUCAUUUGUUCUAUACACUUUUUUGCCAUUAUAUGCACCUCUAUGACUUAAGUUUUUGCCAAGCUUGGUUGCCUUGCUCCCGUGUUUAUACCCUACGUUCCCUAUUGUUCGGCUAGGGUGUAAAGGGAGCACCUCUGCGAUUGUUACAACCGGGUAAUCCGGAUCUGUACCUCAGACGGGUGAAGCCAAAAGCUAGUGCUCUUAAGGGAAUAAUUGGUCGGCAAGCAACGACAGAUUAUUUACGUUUAUGUAAUUCUUCUAACAAAUAAGGGAUAGGCUACCCAUAAUUCUAUCUUUUGGAUCAAAGCCUAGGCGUGCAUAAUUAGGCAUGCCGACCCAAGGAAAGGAACCUUAACGGAACUAUUUUCCCUGGAAGAUGUUUCUUACGUUAAAUAGUAAUAUAACAUAACUCCCCGAACAAAUUUUGUCUAUUUGAGCAAUAUGACCGGAUUGCCUGGUUUCCGGACAUAAUGAAUUUUUAUUACAUUCCAACAUGGUCUCCGGAAACACUCCAACUUCUUCGUUCGGAGGUUGAAGCCGAAGGCCUGCGAUGACAAAUUUUGACAAGUUCGGUUGGACAUAAGUUCGAUGAUAAAGUACAUUGAUACAUUGAAUCGAACGCCUACUCUUUAUCUAUGUCAUCUAUAAGACUGUUUAAGCUACAGUCUUCUUGCAAAUAUUUCGCGGCUAUCAUCACUUGGUCAUAUACCAAGUUCACGGGAAUCUUUUUUCCGUCCGGUCCCUGAGGUCCAACUUGGGCCAUACGAUUCGGAUCGAGCCCGGUGUAGCGCGUUUUCACCAUCGCCCUUGCCUCUCGUGCACCUUCCUGGCAUGCUGACGCCUUCCAUAGCUCCAAACAGCGCCGGGAACCUUUGAACAGGUUCGCCAACCCCUCCAUGCUUUCUGGAGGGACAUCGGAUGGCCAUAAGGCUUUGUCCAUACUUCUCAUGGCUUUCCGGGCCCGCUCAUGCACUACGGACAGCUCUUUUAGAACGUGGCCUCGGAAUCCGGAUACUUCUUCUUCAUGACGCCCAGUUAACAGACCUGCAAGAACAGCAUUAUAACACUCCGAAAUACGGGAUAAUAUUAGUCCCUUGGAUGGUUCAAAUGUCAUACCGAAUAUACCGCCUUUCAACUUUUUAUUCUCUUUUUGUGCGUCUGAUAAUUGAGCCUUUAAGCUCUUUAUCUCUUCGGCUUGCUUAUCAUUUUCCUCCUCCAGUUUGUUCUUUUGAUCAAUGGUCAUCGCGACCUUCUUCAUUUCCUCUAGCUCUGUGGUGGCGGCAUUUAGCUUUGUCCAGCUCGUUUCAAGCUCCUGGGACAGUGCGUUGUUCUUCUCUUUGAGAACCUGCGGUCAUAACGAUCCUUAAAUCAGUUGGUCUAAACCACUUCAAGUCUCGGGGGCUACUGGCAUGUAUCUAUUAAAUUUACACAAAACAUUACAUGCAUAUCUUUUGAAAACAGGUGAGCAACUCCAGCAAGUCUAUCCCGGGCAGCUCGGAUAUAUGCAUCCACGGUGCUGAGGGCACUAAAUUCCUGCUCGGUAAAAACUGGAGCACGCAUGGUCUCUUUCAGUCGUGGGUGGUUCAUCACGCUCUCCACUUCGGAAUUUGUGACGGAUAUGUCAUCCGAGUCCUCAUGAGGUGGAUGAGUUGGCUCUACAUCCGUAUUGGCGCUUGUCUUGGUUGAUGAGCCCGGUGUCGGAUUAGCUGAUGAUCGGCUAGCUGGGACUUUACACACGGUUCACCAUGUGCUCCUCCGAAAAUAAGAUGGGAGGAGAAGUAUGACAAUCUGGUCUUAUGCCUAGGCACAUGUUAAAAGUUAUAGAUCUUUGAUAAAGGAGGGGGCCCGACGGCGCUCCCGGUUUCCUUUCGUUUUGAAGGCUCACCCUGCGUAGAUGCUACCCUCCUAGAGGCCACCCUCGAUGGAGUGUAGCUCGCUGAUCGCCGGUCCUAUGAAGCACGAUUCAAUGUCAUGGGUGAGACACAAGUGGGUGGCUCCUUUUUUGUGGCUCCUUUUUUGAGGAUGAUUUCCGAGUACUUACCUUGGAGAAAGGGAAAAUGCCGGGGUAGUCGGCCGUAAUAGCCACUUCCGAGCCAUCAAGCCUCGCUUGAUAAAAGACUCCAUCCUCAAACUCUAUAAAUCUAUCCGGAUCCUCGUGAAAUCCGGGGUCCUCGUUGCAAGCAUAGUCCUCUGGCUCUGGGGAGGGACAAUUAAUAUUUUCGACCACCUUCCUCCAUGUCUGUUUCAAGAUGACAAGAACAAUUUGAUUAGCGCACCUGAAUAAUGAGGUAGGACAAUGUUGAUAAACAAAAACUUACCCAUUCAAUGGGGUUAUACAUGGAGAAACCUUCCCGACAAUUUAAACGGAUGAAUUCUUCUUUCUCCCCCUUAUAAAGAUCUAUAAGAAUGGCCGCCAGAGCAGCCGGGGUAUCCGGGCCCUCAUGCUUAUAACGAGAUGCAUCGUACUUCCCAUUGUAACACCAUAAAGGGGUCACUCUAGACUGAAGGGGCUGGAUGCAUCGCUUUAUCGCGAUGGCCAUGACUACGAUUAUCAAGAGUUCGGAAUGGGAGAGUAACCUGACCUUGCUAACUACCUAUUUACUUCUACACUGUCUUCUUGCUUGGGACUCCGUGGGCUCCAAUUGAAACGUUUCUUCAAAGGAGAACUGGAGAAUUCGGGAAGUCCACGUCAAACUUUGUCUGGAAGGGGAACAUCCUCAACAUAAAACCAUUAUGAAGUCCAUUCUUCUGAUCCCUUCUUGGGAGUUCCGACGAGGUAACCUGAUCCGGCUAUGCACCAUACUUCGGCGCCGCCCACUUCAAAUAUAGAACCCCCUUGAUGACGAGGGACGAGGCAAAAGAACUUUCUCCACAGUUUAAAAUGAGCCUCGCAGCCUAAAAUUGUUCGCAGAGAACGAGAAAACUUGAUAUGUGCAGAAUAGAACCUGGUGUGAGUUUGUGCAAUUGGAUCCCGUAGAAUUCCAAUAGACCUCUAAGGAAUGGGUGGAUCGCGAAUCCUAAGCCCCUCAGAAUAAACGAGACGGAGCACACCCUCUCCUCCUUGUUGGGGUUGGGGAAAUUCUAUGCUAGCACAUCAUUGCCAAUCGAGGCCAAUCCUGCCUGCAUGGAGGCUAGAUCUGUGGGAGGGAGAUAUCCCUGCGUUUGAAGUCGAUUCAGUUGGAGGUGAGACACUGAGCAGCUUCGCCAAUCACCCGCUUGAGCGCCAUGAGGGCGCGAGGAGGAGCUAGGAGCGCUCGCCAUGUUUUGAAGUUUUUUCCUGGUUUGCUCUGAUGCUUCUUGCGCAAUAUGGGAUGGCAUUUGGGGAUCUAACCCCUUUAUAUAGAUGCCGCCCUUGCAUGGUAAGGGGAUUAUUUGUAAAAAAUUAUGGACCAUUCGCAUUCGCCUGGCGCGUGGAAAUCGAGGCAAUGACAGGAAGGAAUGUAAAGGCAGAACAUGAAGUUCAAAGCCGGACUGUCGUCAAUCCGGAGUAUGGUGAGGAACCUGCCUUGCAAAGCUGGAUACUACCUCGCCAUUGAAGGCAAGUUCGGGGGCUACUGAGGGAGUCCUGGAUUCGGGGGUCCUCAAGUGUCCGGCCUAUUCGAUAUGGGCCGGGCUGAUGGGUCGUGAAGACGAAGCAGAAGACCGCCUCCCGCGUCCGGGUAGGACUCCUAUGUGCGUAGAACGGCAAGUUUGGUGUCUGGGUGUAAUUUUAUUUGCCUCUGAACCAACUUUGUAUAACCCUAGGUCUCUCCGGUGUGUAUAUAAACCGGAGGGGUUAGUCCACAGAGGGCAUCAGAAUAAUCAUAGGCUAGACAGCUAGGGUUUGGCCAUUACGAUCUCGAGGUAGAUCAACUCUUGUAACCCCUAUACUCAUCGAAUACAAUCAAGAAGGACGUAGGGUUUUACCUCCUUCGAGAGGGCCCGAACCUGGGUGAACACCGUGUCCCAUUGUCCCUUGUUACCAUUGAUCCUUAGACUCACAGCUUGGCCCCCCCUACCCGAGAUCUGCCGGUUUUGACACUGACAGGUAUCCCUAGCCCACCAGGGUUCAAGUCUUGAUACUCGCAUUUGUCAUGGAUUUAUUUCAGGAUUUCCGGUGAUCUGCGGGUCAUUCCGUGCUUGACCCUGCACAGAUCGCACAUGCUCAUCAGACAGUACAACACCAUAGGAUCCACAUCGCGGUUUCCCAGCAUUCCAAUUCUAUGGUCUCGUCGAUUUUUCCUACUUUAUGUGGGAUCAAGAAAUAGCAUGUACAUGGGCCUUCGCACCCAACACACACAGUAGUAUAGCAUGUUCUUUCACAUGUUUUGCCAUUAAUCAUUUGGUUCGAUCGAUCACAAGCCCCUGCUGCUGGACAGCAAAGCGACUAAACACGCAACAAAUCACCAAACUCCAAUUAAUUAUUAUACACCAAAGGUGCACACAAGUUUAACCGAAGAACGAUACUAAAAACUCAGUCGGCUGAUAGGUGGAUCAUCAAAGGAGAAUCAACGCAUCCAGAAGUAAGGCCAACAUAGGAGAGGUGCACCACGCGAGAGACAUAGCCAGUCGAGGAAAUUCAGCCAGUGAUCCUCAGAAGAACCCCCAGACAACGCCACCCCCACGCUGCAUGGUAGGCUUCACAUGCCACCUACUCCAUGACUUUUGCUCCUAGCGUCAACAUCCUUUGAUUUCCCUCCUUUUAU
RNAcentral lists this long non-coding RNA (249719 nucleotides) under Triticum aestivum (bread wheat). RNAcentral describes it as "long non-coding RNA (TAES_LNC009298)". The stretch from base 179642 to 179714 matches the Rfam family "tRNA". The record is from RNAcentral. Lineage: Eukaryota; Viridiplantae; Streptophyta; Magnoliopsida; Poales; Poaceae.